UGCUGCAGGAUGUAGUGAAUGCAUUGGUAGAUGCAUCGAGGGUGGAGGAGGCUGCCAAGCUUGUUGAUAUCGGGCGGAAGAAGUACUACUACUCACGAAAGGGUUUGAGAAUGCCAGGUAGUGCAAAAGGCAGUGAAUUAAGAGCUGAAACUGAUGAGUAAGAAGCAAUAUCAGAAGAAAAGGAGUGUGAAGUGGAACACAAGACUGAAAAGUAAAAUUCAUAGGUCAGACUUUGACUGAUGCAUGCCAAAUUUCACCAUGAUUUGUUUUACUCAGUUUCUCUGUUGGCAUGAUAGAACAAUAAGUGCAAGUUAAAGUAGUGGUUUAACUAGUUUAAUAAGGUACUCUACAUCUCUUUUUAUUCAUUUUGAUGACAAGUAUUUCCAGACAGAGGGAGUAUUGGUUAAGCUUGCCCUGUGCUGUAAUACUUAUUGAAAAUGUUUUUAUCCAUUUUGGAAGAGAUCCACAGGAAGUCUUUAUUCUUAUCUGCAAUGUUUUGCUUGUGCUGAUUAUUCUCGUUGCAUCAAAUUCCUUGUAUGGAUGUAAUAUUUGUGUUUGGAAACAUCCUCCAAGAGUGCCAACAUUUUUUGGAAAAGAAAAAAAGGAAAAUAAAGAAGGAGAAAAAGAGAAAGAAGAAGAAGAACAACAAAAACAAAGCCUUUAAAAAUCAAAAACAGAAAAACGAAAAUUUAAAAUGAAAAAAAGGAAGCAGAAAAAUAAAAGGAAAAAAGCCGUAUAAUGAACCUUCUAUACGGUUCCCAUACCUGAAAAAAUGGCUGGGAAACUUCUAUAGGAGCUUCGCAAAACCAAAAUUGCUAAGCAAUACGAACAGUGGGAGAUGGGUUGGACCAAGUGGUCGUGCGCCUGUGAGAUCGACCCUUUGACGCCGGAGGGCACCCUAUUUCUCGCUUUAAGCGAGCACAGGGGAAGCCUCGCGUCCUGGGGGAACCCGGCCCAGCCGCGCAGGAGGCUACAGCCUGUGUAUUUUUCUAUUUUCUGUUGUCUUUUUGCUUUAUUUUUAUACUUUUAUUUAUACAUUAAAAUAUGGAAAAAGAUUCAGUUCAGCCGGCUGAUAUUCACCAUCGUGUCAAUCCUCUCGUGCGCGUGCGCCACGUGUACGUAGGCCCAGAACCGCAUGCACUCUCAUCCUUAUCCCCAGAGCAACAUAUUUUUUGUUCAGCAAUCCAUUCCCAUAUGCAGAUCCCCUCCUGCUGCUUCUUCUGCAGCGGCGGCCAGCGCCGGCAAGCAAGUGCUUUACUGCCCGCGUCCCUCAUAUUCUUCCUCCUCCUAUUCUCUCCCUCCCUCUCUCUCUCUCUCACACACACACACGCACACACACGCGCGCGCGCGCGCGGAGAUUCAAUCGGCUGCUGCCUCUAGAUCGAGAUGCAACACUCCUUCAUCGCUCGUCUUUGCAAGGCAUGCAACCUUCGCCCGUCAAUCCAUGUCGCCGCCGCCUCAGAAAAGCACUAGCGUCUAUGUCUAUCGCCUCAUUGAGAUUCAGCAGUGCUUCAGCUGUAACUGCCGGUGCUGCCGCACAAAGAGUUCCCGCAACAUUACCUUCGUUGCAUAAUUUUUUUGCAACUUGACCUCUGUUGCAAAAAAAUACAGGGAUGUUUUUUUGCUACACGAUCUCUCGUGGAAUUUUUUUUGCAACUCAAACCUCUGUUCAAAUGUUUGUAAAACAAGAUCUAUGUUGCAAAGGAUUUUACAACAAGACUUCCGUUGCAAAAGUAAAUUUCUGCAACACAAUCUCUGUUGCAAAUAUUUCUAAAAUAAGAUCUCGGUUGCAAAGAGUUUUGCAACAAGACUUUUGUUGCAAAAAUAGAGCACGACGCUCGGUCGUUAGAUUGAGCCAGAUCAAACGGUAGCGAGGCGACGAAUCUUUCUAAAAAAUCUGUCAGCCGACAUGUAGCAAGCCCCUUAAAAUAUUCUACACAUAUAUACAAAAAACACUCUUUGAAACACACUUAAAAAUGUUAAACAAGUAUUCAAAAAAUGUUGAAAAAGCAUUAUAAAAUGUUGAACAAGUAUUUGAAAAUGUUGAAUAAGUAUUUGACAAAUGUUGAAUAAGUAUUAAAAAAAUUUGAACGGGUAUUUGAAAAAAUAGUGAACGAGUAUUUCAAAAUGUUGAAUAAGUAUUAAAAAUACGAUAAAGCUAAAUUCCUGCCAACUGUAAAUUUGCAACAGAUCCGCAUGCAUCCGAUGUCGUCCGUUCAGAUCCAACGGUUCGCAGCGUCUCAGGCGAGCGAAGCGCGUGUUGCCGUUUCCUUCCCAUAGCCGUUACUGUUUCUGCGUCGAUGCCAAGUGGGGCCGAUCGAACCGCCCCUCUCGCCCAAUGCAUGCACAAACUCCACUCCCCCAUCCUCAUCGCCCGCAUUACUUCUCCCCCUCUCUCGCAUUGUGGUUGGCAUUUUACGCUCCCCCCCUUUCCCCUUCCUCAUCUCUCCGUCGUCCGCAACUUCUCCCGGGGGCGGCGCAGUCUGCUUCUCGAUGGCGUCGUCUGAUUCGGAGGUGAGGGACGCAUUUCCCCGUGCCCUCUGUUUUCCCUGUUGCUUAUCCCGUUCGUCCCACCGUAGAUUUAUCCGUUUCCCCUUCGAAUCUGCGCGGGUUGUUGAUGACAUUAUGGUCGAUUAGGUCAUCUAUAUAGUCUACGUGUAGAAGCAUGCUCGGAUUUUGGUUCAAUCCGUGCGGAUUUGGUCGGCGGGUGGAUGGUGUAUAGGUUUUCGUGGCGGAUUGCAGGUUUAUUUUUCCAUGGAUUUUUUUCCCACGGGUUUUCUUUCUGUUGACAUUUGUUGUUGUGGAUUAUGAUGUGCAGUAGUGUAUGUGUAUUUUGAACAACAACCCUGAAAUUUCCCCACUAGAUGCCCUUAUGUCGGAUAUAUGUAGUGUAUGUGUAUUUUGAAUAGCAACCCCUGACAUUUGUUGUUGUUGAUUAGGGUCAUGCUGGUAAACUUUGAUUAUCAGUGUUGUUGUGCUAUUAAUUAUCAGGAUCAUGAUAUUGUACUUACCAGUGUCAUUGUGCCUAAAUUACCAGUAGCCCAACAGUUUCAUAUUCACCAGUUUUUGUACGUGCUAUUAAUUAUCAUGACCGUGGGAUUGUACUUACCAGUGACAAUGUGCCCAAAUUACCAGUAGUGUAACAAUGCUAUUUUUUCACCAGUGAUGAUAUAUGUGCAUACAAUUUCAGUGGUUGGUAUAUUUUUGUACCUAUCUGUUGGGGAACGUAGUAUUUAAAAAAAAAUUCUACGAUCACGCAAAAUCUAUCUAGAAGAAGCAUAGCAACGAGCGGGGAGAGUGUGUCAACGUACCCUCAUAGACCAGAAGCGGAAGUGUUUAGUAAUGCGGUUGAUAUAGUCAAACAUCUUCGCGAUCCAACCGAUCCAAGCACCGAACGUACGACACCUCCGCGUUCAGCACACGUUCAGCUCGAUGACGUCCCUCGAACUUUUGAUCCAGUUGAGGCCGAGGGAGAGUUUCGUCAGCACGACGGCGUGGUGAGGGUGAUGAUGAAGUUAUCGGCGCAGGGGUUCGCCUAAGCACUACGACGAUAUGACCGAGGUGGGUAACUGUGGAGGGGGGCACCGCACACAGCUAAGACAAUUGAUCUUGUUUGUUCUAGGGUGUCCCCUGCCCCCGUAUAUAAAGGCGGGGAGGGGAGGCCGGCCAACAGACCCUCCUAGGGCGCGCCAGGAGAGGGGAAUCCUACUAGGACUCCAAGUCCUAGUAGGUUUCCACCUAAGGAAGAGGGGGAAGAAGGAGGGAAGAGGGGGGAGGGAAGGAAAGGGGGGCGUCGCCCCCUUCCUCUAGUCCAAUUCGGACCCAAGGCGGGGGCGGCCAGCCCCUCUUGGCCCUUCCUCUCUUCCCACUAAGGCCCAUCGAGGCCCAUUAGUUCCCCCCCGGGGGGGGGGUCCGAUAACCCUCCGGCACUCCGAUAAUUAUCCGGUAACUCUCGAAAUUCAUCCGGUGUCGGAAUAACAUCGUCCAAUAUAUCAAUCUUUAUGUCUCGACCAUUUCGAUACUCCUCAUCAUGUCUGUGAUCUCAUCCGGGACUCCGAACAAACUUCGGUCAUCAAAUCACAUAAUUCAUAAUACAAAUCAUCAUCGAACGUUAAGCGUGCGGACCCUACGGGUUCGAGAACUAUGUAGACAUGAUCGAAACACAUCUCCGGUCAAUAACCAAUAGCGGAACCUGGAUGCUCAUAUUGGCUCCUACAUAUUCUACGAAGAUCUUUAUUGGUCAAACCGCAUAACAACAUACGUUGUUCCCUUUGUCAUCGGUAUGUUACUUGCCCGAGAUUCGAUCGUCGGUAUCAUCAUACUUAGUUCAAUCUCGUUACCGGCAAGUCUCUUUACUCGUUCCGUAAUGCAUCAUCCUGUGACUAACUCAUUAGUCACAUUGCUUGCAAGGCUCAUAGUGAUGUGUAUUACCGAGAGGGCCCAGAGAUACCUCUCCAAUACACGGAGUGACAAAUCCUAAUCUCGAUCUAUGCCAACUCAACAAACACCAUCGGAGACACCUAUAGAGCAUCUUUAUAAUCACCCAGUUACGUUGUGACGUUUGAUAGCAAACAAGGUGUUCCUCCGGUAUUCGGGAGUUACAUAAUCUCAUAGUCUAAGGAACAUGUAUAAGUCAUGAAGAAAGCAAUAGCAGAAAAACUAAGCGAUCAUUAUGCUAAGCUAACGGAUGGGUCUUGUCCAUCACAUCACUCUCUAAUGAUGUGAUCCCGUUCAUCAAAUGACAACACAUGGAUAUGUCUAGGAAACUUAACCAUCUUUGAUUAACGAGCUAGCCAAGUAGAGGCAUACUAGGGACACUCUGUUUGUCUAUGUAUCCACACAUGUACUAAGUUCCUGGUUAAUACAAUUCUAACAUGAAUAAUAAACAUUUAUCGAUAUAAGGAAAUAUAAAUAACAACUUUAUUAUUGCCUCUAGGGCAUAUUUCCUUCAGUCUCCAACUUGCACUAGAGUCAAUAAUCUAGAUUACAUAGUAAUGAUUCUAACACCCAUGGAGUCUUGGUGUUAAUCAUGUUUUGCUCGUGAGAGAGGCUUAGUCAACGGGUCUGCAACAUUCAGAUCCGUAUGUAUCUUGCAAAUCUCUAUGUCUCCCUCCUUGACUUGAUCGCAGAUGGAAUUGAAGCGUCUCUUGAUGUGCUUGGUUCUCUUGUGAAAUCUGGAUUCCCUUGCCAAGGCAAUUGCACCAGUAUUGUCACAAAAUAUUUUCAUUGGACCCGAUGCACUAGCUAUUACACCUAGAUCGGAUAUGAACUCCUUCAUCUAGACUCCUUCAUUUGUUGCUUCUGAAGCAGCUAUGUACUCCACUUCACACGUAGAUCCCGCCACGACGCUCUGCUUAGAAAUGCACCAACUGACAGCUCCACCAUUCAAUAAAAAUAUGUAUCUGGUUUGUGACUUAGAGUCAUUCGGAUCAGUGUCAAAGUUUGCAUUGACGUAACCGUUUAUGACGAGCUCUUUGUCACCUCCAUAAACGAGAAACAUAUCCUUAGUCCUCUUUAGGUAUUUCAGGAUAUUCUUGACCGUUGUCCAGUGAUCCACUCCUGGAUUACUUUGGUACCUCCCUGCUAAACUAAUAGCAAGGCACACAUCAGGUCUGGUACACAACAUUGCAUACAUGAUAGAACCUAUGGCUGAGGCAUAGGGUAUGACUUUCAUUUUCUCUCUAUCUUAUGCAGUGGUUGGGCAUUGAGUCUGACUCAACUUCACACCUUGUAACAUAGGCAUGAACCCUUUCUUUGACUGAUCCAUUUUGAACUUCUUCAAAACUUCAUCAAGGUAUGUGCUUUGUGAAAGUCCAAUUAAGCGCCUUGAUCUAUCUCUAUAGAUCUUGAUGCCCAAUAUAUAAGCAGCUUCACCGAGGUCUUUCAUUGAAAAAUUCUUAUUCAAGUAUCCUUUUAUGCUAUUCAAAAAUUCAGUAUCAUUUCCGAUCAACAAUAUGUCAUCCACAUAUAAUAUCAGAAAUGCUAUGGAGCUCUCACUCACUUUCUUGUAAAUACAGACUUCUCCAAAAGUCUGUAUAAAACCAUAUGCUUUGAUCACACUAUCAAAUCGUAUAUUUCAACUCCGAGAGGCUUGCACCAGUCCAUAAAAGGAUCACUGGAGCUUGCACACUUUGCUAGCACCUUUUGGAUCGACAAAACCUUCUGGUUGCAUCAUAUACAACUCUUCUUUAAGAUAUCCAUUAAGGAAUGCAGUUCUGACAUCCAUUUGCCAAAUUUCAUAAUCAUAAAAUGCGGCAAUUGCUAACAUGAUUCAGACGGACUUAAGCAUCGCUACGAGUGAGAAGGUCUCAUCGUAGUCAAUUCCUUGAACUGUCGAAAACCUUUUGCAACAAGUUGAGCUUUGUAGACAGUAAUAUUAUCGUCAGCGUCAGUCUUCUUCUUGAAGAUCCAUUUAUUCUCUAUGGCCUGCCGAUCAUCGGGCAAGUCAACCAAAGUCCACACUUUGUUCUCAUACAUGGAUCCCAUCUCAGAUUUCAUGGCCUCAAGCCAUUUUGCAGAAUCUCGGCUCAUCAUCGCUUCCUCAUAGUUCGUAGGUUCGUCAUGGUCAAGUAACAUGACCUCCAGAACAGGAUUACCGUACCACUCUGGUGCGGGUCUUACUCUGGUUGACCUACGAGGUUCGGUAGUAACUUGAUCAGAAGUUUCAUGAUCAUCAUCAUUGGCUUCCUCACUUACUGGUGUAGGAAUCACUGGAACUAAUUUCAGUGAUGAGCUACUUUCUAAUAAGGGAGUAGGUACAAUUACCUCAUCAAGUUCUACUUUCCUCCCACUCACUUCUUUCGAGAGAAACCCCUUCUCUACAAAGGAUCCAUUCUUAGCAAUGAAUAUCUUGCCUUCGGAUCUGUGAUAGAAGGUGUACCCAAUAGUCUCCUUUGGGUAUCCUAUGAAGAUACAAUUUUCUGAUUUGGGUUCGAGCUUAUCAGGUUGAAGUUUUUUCACAUAAGCACCGCAACCCCAAACUUUAAGAAACGACAACUUGGGUUUCUUGCCAAACCAUAGUUCAUAUGGUGUCGUCUCAAUGGAUUUAGAUGGUGCCCUAUUUAACAUGAAUGUAGCCGUCUCUAAAGCAUAACCCCAAAACGAUAGCAGUAAAUCAGUAAGAGACAUCAUAGAUCGCACCAUAUCUAAUAAAGUGCGGUUACGACGUUUAGACACACCAUUACGCCGUGGUGUUCCAGGUGGCGUGAGUUGCGAAACUAUUCCGCAUUGUUUCAAAUGAAGACCAAACUCAUGACUCAAAUAUUCACCUCCGCGAUUAGAUCGUAGAAACUUUAUUUUCUUGUUAUGAUGAUUUUCCACUUCACUUUGAAAUUCUUUGAACUUUUCAAAUGUUUCAGACUUAUGUUUCAUUAAGUAGAUAUACCCAUAUCUGCUCAAAUCAUCUGUAAAGGUCAGAAAAUAACAAUAUCCGCCGCAAGCAUCAACACUCAUCGGACCGCACACAUCAGUAUGUAUUAUUUCCAACAAGUCUGUUGCUCGCUCCAUUGUUACGGAGAACAGAGUCUUAGUCAUCUUGCCCAUGAGGCAUGGUUCGCAAGCAUCAAGUGAUUCAUAAUCAAAUGAUUCCAAAAGCCCAUCAUCAUGGAGUUUCUUCAUGCGCUUUACACCAAUAUGACCUAAACGGCAGUGCCACAAAUAAGUUGCACUAUCAUUAUUAAACUUAUAUCUUUUGGCUUCAAUACUAUGAAUAUGUGUAUCACUACUAUCAAGAUUCAAAAAAAAUAGACCACUCAUCAAGGGUGCAUGACCAUAAAAGAUAUUUCUCAUAUAAAUAGAACAACCAUUAUUCUCUGAUUUAAAUGAAUAAUCGUCUCGCAUCAAACAAGAUCCAGAUAUAAUGUCCAUGCUUAACGCUAGCACCAAAUAACAAUUAUUCAGGUCUAAUGUUAAUCCCAAAGGUAGAUGUAGAGGUAGCGUGCCGACGGUGAUCACAUCGACUUUGGAACCAUUUCCCACGCACAUCGUCACCUCGUCCUUAGCCAAUCUUCGCUUAAUCCGUAGCCCCUAUUUCGAGUUGCAAAUAUGAGCAAUAGAACCAGUAUCAAAUACCCAGGCGCUACUACGAGCAUUAGUAAGGUACACAUCAAUAACAUGUAUAUCAAAUAUACCUUUCACUUUGCCAUCCUUCUUAUCCACCAAAUACUUGGGGUAGUUCCGCUUCCAGUGACCAGUCCCUUUGCAGUAGAAGCACCCAGUCUCAGGCUUAGGUCCAGACUUACUUGCUUGCCGUUCUUCUUGAAGUUCCCCUUAUUCCCUUUGCCCUUCUUCUUGAAACUAGUGGCCUUGUUAACCAUCAACACUUGAUGCUCCUUCUUGAUUUCUACCUCCGCUGCCUUUAGCAUCGCGAAGAGCUCAGGAAUUGUCUUAUCCAUCCCUUGUAUAUUAUAGUUCAUCAUGAAGCUUUUGUAGCUUGGUGGCAGUGAUUGAAGAACUCUGUCAAUGACACUAUCAUCAGGAAGAUUAACUCCCAGUUGAGUCAAGUGGUUGUGGUACCCAGAAAUUCUGAGUAUAUGUUCACUGACAGAACUAUUCUCCUCCAUCUUGCAACUAUAAAACUUAUUGGAGAUUUCAUAUCUCUCAAUUCGGGAAUUUGCUUGAAACAUUAACUUCAACUCCUGGAACAUCUCAUAUGCUCCAUGAUGUUAAAAACGUCGUUGAAGUCCUGAUUCUAAGUCGUAAAGCAUGGCACACUAAACUAUCGAGUAGUCAUCAGCUUUGCUCUGCCAGACGUUCAUAACAUUUGGUGUUGCUCCUGCAGCGGGCUUUGCACCUAGCGGUGCUUCCAUGACGUAAUUAUUCUGUGCAGCAAUGAGGAUAAUCCUCAAGUUAUAGACCCAGUCCGUGUAGUUGCUACCAUCAUCUUUCAACUUAGCUUUCUCUAGGAACGCAUUAAAAUUCAAAGGAACAGUAGCACGAGCCAUUUAUCUACAACAACAUAGACAUGUAAAAUACUAUCAGGUACUAAGUUCAUGAUAAAUUAAAGUUCAAUUAAUCAUAUUACUUAAGAACUCCCACUUAGAUAGACAUCCCUCUAGUCAUCUAAAUGAUCACGUGAUCCAUAUCAACUAAACCAUGUCUGAUCAUCACAUGAGAUGGAGUAGCUUUCAAUGGUGAACAUCACUAUGUUGAUCAUAUCUACUAUAUGAUUCACGUUCGACCUUUCGGUCUCAGUGUUCCGAGGCCAUAUCUGCAUAUGCUAGGCUCGUCAAGUUUAACCUGGGUAUUCUGCGUGUGCAAAAAUUGGCUUGCACCCGUUGUAUGUGAACGUAGAGCUUAUCACACCCGAUCAUUACGUGGUGUCUCGGCGUGACGAACUGUAGCAACGGUGCAUACUCAGGAAGAACACUUAUACCUUGAAAUUUAGUGAGAGAUCAUCUUAUAAUGCUACCGCCGAACUAAGCAAAAUAAGAUGCAUAAAGGAUAAACAUCACAUAUGCAAUCAAAAUAAGUGAUAUGAUGUGGCCAUGAUCAUCUUGUGCCUUUGAUCUCCAUUUCCAAAGCACCGUCAUGAUCACCAUCGUCACCGGCUUGACACCUUGAUCUCCAUCGUAGCAUCGUUGUCGUCUCGCCAAUUAUUGCUUCUACGACUAUCGCUAUCGCUUAGUGAUAAAGUAAAGCAAUUACAUGGCGAUUGUAUUUCAUACAAUAAAGCGACAACCAUAUGGCUCCUGCCAGUUGCCGAUAACUGUUACAAAACAUGAUCAUCUCAUACAACAAUUUAUAUGAUCACGUCUUGACCAUAUCACAUCACAACAUGCCCUGCAAAAACAAGUUAGACGUCCUCUACUUUGUUGUUGCAAGUUUUACGUGGGUGCUACAGGCUUCUAGCAAGAACCGUUCUUACCUACGCAUCAAAACCACAACGAUUUUUUGUCAAGUGUGUUGUUUUGACCUUCAACAAGGACCGGGCGUAGUCAAACUCGAUUCAACUAAUGCUGGAGAAACAGACACGCGCUAGCCACCUGUGUGCGAAGCACGUCGGUAGAACCAGUCUCAUGAACGCGGUCAUGUAAUGUCGGUCUGGGCCGCUUCAUCCAACAAUACCGCCGAACCAAAGUAAGACAUUGCUGGCAAGCAGUAUGGCUAUUAUCGCCCACAACUUAUAGUGUUCUACUCGUGCAUAUAACAUCUAUGCAUAGACCUGGCUCGGAUGCCAAUGUUGGGGAAUGUAGUAUUUCAAAACAAUUCCUACGAUUACGCGAGAUCUAUCUAGGAGAAGCAUAGCAACGAGCGGGGAGAGUGUGUCCACAUACCCUCAUAGACCGGAAGCGGAAGCGUUUAGUAACGCGGUUGAUGUAGUCAAACAUCUUCGCGAUCCAACUAAUCCAAGCACCAAACGUACGGCACCUCCGUGUUUAGCACACGUUCAGCUCGAUGACGUCCCUCAAACUCUUGAUCUAGUUGAGGCUGAGGGAGAGUUUCGUUAGCACGACAGCGUGGUGACGGUGAUGAUGAAGUUACCGGCGCAGGGGUUCGCCUAAGCACUACAACGAUAUGACUGAGGUGCGUAACUGUGGAGGGGGGCACCGCACACGGCUAAGACAAUUGAUCUUGUUUGUUCUAGGGUGCCCCCUACCCUCGUAUAUAAAGGAGGUGAGGGGAGGCUGGCCGGCCCUCCUAGGGCGUGCCAUGAGAGGGGAAUCCUACUAGGACUCCAAGUCCUAGUAGGUUUCCACCUAAGGAAGAGGGGGAAGAAGGAAGGAAGAGGGGGAAGGGAAGGGAAGGGGGGCGCCGCCCCCUUCCCCUAGUCCAAUUCGGACCCAAGGGGGGGCAGCCCCUCUUGUCCCUUCCUCUCUUCCCACUAAGGCCCAUCGAGGACCAUUAUUUCCCCCGGGGGGUUGCGAUAACCCUCCGGCACUCCGAUAAUUAUCCGGUAACUCUAGGAACUCAUCCGGUGUCUGAAAACAUCGUCCAAUAUAUCAAUCAUCAUGUCUCGACCAUUUCGAGACUCCUCUUCAUGUACGUGAUCUUAUCCGGGACUCCGAACAAACUUCGGUCAUCAAAUCACAUAACUCAUAAUGCAAAUCGUCAUCGAACGUUAAGCGUGCGGAACCUACGGGUUCGAGAACUAUGUAGACAUGACCGAGACACAUCUUCAGUCAAUAACCAAUAGCGGAAUCUGGAUGCUCAUAUUGGCUCCUACAUAUUCUAUGAAGAUCUUUAUCGGUCAAACCACAUAACAACAUACGUUGUUCCCUUUGUCAUCGGUAUGUUACUUGCCUGAGAUUCGAUUGUUGGUAUCAUCAUACCUAGUUCAAUCUCGUUACCGGCAAGUCUCUUUACUCGUUCCGUAAUCCAUCAUCCCGUGACUAACUCAUUAGUCACAUUACUUGCAAGGCUCAUAGUGAUGUGUAUUACCGAGAGGGUCCAGAGAUACCUAUCCGAUACACAGAGUGAAAAAUCCUAAUCUCGAUCUAUGCCAACUCAACAAACACCAUUGAGGACACCUUAGAGCAUCUUUAUAAUCACCCAGUUACGUUGUGACGUUUGAUAACACACAAGGUUUUCCUCGGGUAUUCGGGAGUCACAUAAUCUCAUAGUCUGAGGAACAUGUAUAAGUCAUGAAGAAAGCAAUAGCAGAAAAACUAAACGAUCAUUAUGUUAAGCUAACCAAUGGCUCUUGUCCAUCACAUCAUUCUCUAAUGAUGUGAUCCCGUUCAUCAAAUGACAACACAUGUCUAUGGCUAGGAAACUUAACAAACUUUGAUUAACGAGCUAGUCGAGUAGAGGCAUACUAGGGACACUCUGUUUGUCCAUGUAUCCACAUAUGUACUAAGUUCCCGGUUAAUACAAUUCUAGCAUGAAUAAUAAACAUUUAUCAUGAUAUAAGGAAAUAUAAAUAAUAGCUUUAUUAUUGCCUCUAGGGCAUAUUUCCUUCACUACCAGCACGACUGUGUUUGAGUUACCGUGGGAACAUUUCUAGGUUUAUCAUCGGUUAGUAUGUUGUUUAUGUGCUUACCGGUAACACCUUGGUCGUUUUAUCAUGUGUUCAGUGCUUUAUUUUCCAUGUUCAUUGAGUUUAUAUGUUGUUGUAAAUGGUUUCAUUCCAAUGUUCAGUGCUUUAUUUUCCAUGUUCAUUGAGUUUAUAUGUUGUUGUAAAUGGUUUCAUUCCAAUGUUCAGUGCUUUAUUGUGCUUUUCGUUCCUACAUGACAUGACACAAUGCCGAGGAAGCACAAAGUAGAUGGUGAUGUUUGAUGAGGUUCCUUCGAAAAAGGCGAAGCGCCCUCCUCCACGGAACAGAGCCUCACCCAGUUUGCUUCUUUUAGCAUGCAAAGACAUGAAUGAUGACGGGAAGGUUGCCAUUGAUGAGAUGGACUUCACAAGCCUUCGGAAUAUCCAGUGUGACCAUCUCUUCAACAAUCUCAGUGUGUGGCUUGCUGAUGUGUACAAUCCCGAUUCCCGUGAGGUGGUCGUACCAGGGCGGGGCAGGCUUCCAGUUAAUGAGGAAUAUGUGCAUCGUGUUAUGGGUGUGCCGCGUGGAGGGAAGAAUGUCCCUUACAACCUCCCUACUGAAGCUGAUAUUGAGUUAGGGCUUGAGUUGUUUGGCGAACUUGGAUAUGCCCCUAAGAUGACUGAUCUUGUUGAUCUCAUAAAGGGUUCUAUAAAUGCUAAUGAUACUUUCAAGCGUAUAUGGCUUUUGCUUGCGGGGAAUACAAUCAUUGCCCCGACCACCUCCAACAAAGUUAGCCCUAGAUGGUAUGUUGUGCUGGUAAGUGGUUAUGUAGUCCUGUCAUUUUCUUUCUUGUGUGCCUGAUAACUUUACUAUAUGUCAGUGUGGUAACUUUCAUAGUUUUUGUGUUCCAUUCGGUGAACUUCAGUUUCUUUGUUUUCAACUUGCAGUGUGACAUCAAUGGUAUUAAAAAUCUCAAUUGGUCAAAAUUCAUUGCUCACGAAUUACACAAGGCGCUUCUGAAACGCAAGCCUACUAGGGGUUGCCUUCUCUUCUAUAAUGUAAGUGAUGAUGCUGUAACAUCCCAAAUUUUCAAUUUGGAAUGUUAUACAUAGGUCAUCCAUGCAUAUCAUAUUUUAUUGCAUUUCAUUCUUGUGAUCCUUGAAAUCCAAAGCAACUCAAGGACCCUCAGAGAGAGUUGGUGAUUUCCCUCGUUCUCAUAUUUGAGUUUUAUCAAAUAUUGAAACAAGGAUCACUUUGGUUUUAAUUAUUUUUCUCCCCAAAAAUAUUUCAUAUUAAAACUAUAUGAGAGGAGAUAAUAUGAAUUAUCCAAAAUAAAUGAAAUGUUGGAGGAAAAAUAUUAAAAUCAAUUUGUAUUUUUAUUUGGGGUUUAAUCGCUAUUUUAUUUGAAUUAGGAAAAUAUGCGUUUUUCAAAUUUGCAUUAGAGUCCCAAAUAAAUGUUCACCUUGUCCGGCGUAUUUUUAGAGGACGGGGAAAAUUUAUUUCAGGAUUUUUGAAGUCCGUUUAGUAUUUCUUUUCUUUGUUUUUCUGCAUGGAAUUAUUUAAAAAAAGUAACCGACCUAACCGGGCCGUGUCCGCCUAGGACUCCUUGCCCGGCUGGAUUUUAUAAGCUGGGAGGCCCGACCCCAGCAGCCCAGUGUCCCGCCCGAAACCCUAAGUUGCCGCCGCCGCACCAGCCGCCACCGCCGUCGCGCCGCCACCCUCGCUGCCCGUGCCGCUCGCCGGAGUUCGCCGCCGUCGCCGCCAAUUUCUUCGCCGGUUCGGUUUUUCUGGUAAAAACCCUAGAUCCAUUUUUUUAUAGAUCGGUUUGGUUUUUAUUUUUUCCUGGUUUAGUUAUUUAGCGAACGCCCGUUCGUACGUUUGUUUCAACGAACGGUUUUCACCCGUUAACCGCAGACAGUGAACGUUCGUUCGUUAGCCUGUUCGUCGGUUUUCUUUUUCCAGGGUUUUUCCGCGAUUAUUUUCGAUCGUGAUUUCUGCCUUGUUUCUUGUUUUAGUUUAUCUUUUCGCUCGUUUAUCGGAAUCAGGCGAUUCAAGCGCCUAGAUCUUCGUCUCUAAGCCCUCUUUCUGUUUAACCAACUUGAACAAGAUUUAGGUACCAUAAAAUUUGACUUUAGUCCAGAUUAGUAAUCGGAUCUUGUUUCUUUGGCAGUUUGAGUUUCAUUGCUCCGUUUGAUUUGAUUCUUUUUGCAAACCGGAGUUCUUCAGUUGAACUUUCCGGUUAGAUCUUCUUAUUUGAGAUUUACCCGUGCAUCUUUGCUUGAUUGCUUAUGUAUGCUAUUGUUUGUUUGCGAUAGAACACCCGGAGUGCGAAGCGUGCUACUACGAGUCUUUAGGAUUUGCAGAUCGUCAGCAAGGCAAGUAACACUUUGAUCAUACCCCUUUAUCACCCAGUUUUUAUGCAUUAGUUUCAACCUUCACACAUUGCAUGAGUAGGAUCUCUUAACAUCUGGGUCUGGGAAAUAGAUAAUGAGGUAGAACCUAUUACCUGUUUUAUUAUCAAACCCUUGGGAGUUACUUCUACGUUAUGCUUAUAUUGCCAUGCUAUGCUCAUAGACGUGGUUUGGGUUUGAGUGUAUCCAUGACAGAUGUGAGUUGUUAAUUAAUGGUUCAACUUGAGGUGGCAACUUUAAUACACAUCUGGGUGGAUUGCUUGUGGGUACCUGGAGAAUCCAGUGUUGUCCUAGGAUAUCCUGGAGUACCCAUGUGAUCAUCCUACGGUCCGCCACCCAGGCUCAAAGGGAUCAUAAGACUAUUCAUGCUAGAAACUUCCGUGUGCAGCCACAAGCCAUUAUGGGCUCUGGCAUAAUUGAGUAAGUUGCGUGAGUUCUUGAAGAGGUGGACUAGCAGGUGUUAUUGUAGGUGUACCGGUCCGCCCGAAGUAAAGAGCAAAUGCUUCUGAAAGAUUGUGUCUCAGUCAUCCGUUUCUCAAACACCCUGUAGUGCGAGAAAUCCAACGAAGGAGAUUGAGUCUUGUGGGGAAAAGUGUGCAGACCUCUGCAGAGUGUACAAACUAAUCAUGGUUAGCCGUGUCCCUGGUUAUGGACAUCUUGAGUAUCUGGUUCUUGGAUUAUCAUAUGGAUCUCAUCACUCUAAAAUAAUUUGUUGGGUUGAUAAUUACUUUCAAUUGGGAUGAGUUGGAGGAACCUUCUCAAUAUUGUUCAACUACCAUGAUAGUUAAAUAAAAUAUGUUCCUUUGUUGUAGGGGAAAAUUGGCUUUUCGCAAAACAUAUUAACCAUACAGCCUCCACCGGCCAUAUAUGCAUAUAGUGAUAGCUUUUAUCUAUUCAUUACUCUCCUGUGUUACAUUGCCAGCAUAUUCCAUGUGCUGACCCGUUUUCGGGCUGCAACAUAUCAUGUUGCAGACUUUUCAAACGAGGAGUAAGGUGUGAUAGGUCAUUUGUCAUGCACUCAGCCAUGUCAUUGGAGUUGAUGGACUCACUUUACCUUCCAAGCCUUCCGCUGUUAUCGUAUUAGAUGGCCUUAAGCCAUAUUUAUUGUAUUAAGUUCUCUCUUGAGACAUUUGAUGUAAUAAGUGUGUGAUUGCCACUGUUAUAAAUCCUUCGAGUACUAUGUUGUGUCAGCAUUACCGAUCCAGGGAUGACACUGAAGCACAGAGACUUGACCAUUUGAGGUCGGGUCGCUACAGAUGCUUUCCUCUUACCUUCUUUCUUGUCAUUUGUCAUCUUUUUGUCAUUUUGUCUCUGAUUUUGUUCGUGACUACCAUGACACUUGUAUUUUUCCUAUCAGCUAUUGUACAUUCAUGCGAUUGAUCUUUCUGGACUCGGCAUCAUAUUGCUUGAUGGUCCUUUUCCUAUCAAUGUCUGGACGAAGAAGCUGAUAACUCUUGUCCUCAACAAGGAUGUUAGGCUGACAAAGUUUCUUUUGAGAAACUACCGGUAAUCUAUAUCUAUGUUUUUAGUUCACACACUGCUUGCCACUGCAUUUUCUUUUGAUUGUUUUUUGUUGUUACUUAUCUGACUUGUCACUACAUUUUUUCCAGUUGAAGCCUGAGUUUUGCAUGAAUUUCUGUCUGUUUGGUGGUCUGGAAGGUCUUGAUAAGUUUAUGCAUGUUCAUGCUGCCCCAAGCUGCAGUCAGGAGGUGUGGAUGUAACCUUGUUUUUGUCUUUUUGCUAUUCUAUGUUUUUCAUAGGCUGAUAACUUAUUUGUUGGACUCAAUCUGGUCUCUUUUGAUGUCAACUUUACCCUCUUUACUAAUGCCAUCAGAUAUUGUUCUUUGUUUCCAAUGUGGCAUAUGCUUUAUAAAGGAUAAUAAUUUUGUUGCAACCUUGUGAUAAUUCUUAUUAUAAUGCCUUGAUAACUUUCUGAUGUGAAACUCGUGCCAUCAUGUUUUUUUAAUGACAACAUAUGUUCUCACAUAUCUUGAUAACUUGGUUACAUUCCCGUGAUGAUUCUUUUUGUAAAGCCUUUGAUAACUUAAGUUUUUGCUGAUAGCUAAAUGUGCUAUUUUAGCUUUGUCGUAUAUUGUUCUUCAUUUUCAUGGUGACUGAAUGUUUGUUAAAUCAUGAAUACAUUCAUGUGUUUAUUGCAAUGACACGAUACAUUUGUCUGGUAUUGUUCAUGUGUGUGCUUUUUGUGAACCCCUGAUAACUUUUGUUGCAUUUCAGUGAUAACUUAUUUUUUUGCAUUUUUUCUUUUGAGCAGAAAUUUGCCAAAUCUACUCAGAUGGUCGCUCGAUUCACGUCCGCCAUGGCUGGCAUACUAGGCGAUCUUGUGCACUCAUUCACCGCUUUGGAUGAUGAGGGCCAUUCAGAUGCCUCCCGUCAGCUAGACACUGGAUUGAAUGUUCUAUCUUCUGCUGCUCGUAUGAUGACAAGGACCACGCGCUCAUCGCAAGGCAGGCGGCCAGAAAGCCCUGGAAAGAACAUUGUUGAUGAUUCUGAUAGUGAUGACGAGUACCACAGAGGCAAUGAUGUUGAUUCUGAUGCUGACUUCAAUGAUGAUGAUGAUGGUGAUGAUGAUGAUAUGGAUUAUCGAAUUGUUCGUCGUUGCCGUAAGGAUCCUUUCGUUGCUUCAGGCAGUGAUACCGCGAAUGCAGCUACGGGCAGCGGGCCAGCUGAUGAUGACACCACACAUCUGGAUGAUGCAACUGUCAAAGCUCAUGAGAGCACGACACCAAAUGUUGAAGACACGCCUGUCCGCACUGUCGAUGAGAACCUUAAUGAGUCUCAGAUCAUGCUCACUGGCACCUCUCACGCAACAUCAGUCGGAUCAAGUGAUGGAGGGCUUAGCCAGUGAUAUCUAACAAACACGCAAGCUGAGGCGGCCACUGAAUCUUCUAUCAAACGAUGUGGUUCCUAGCUUCUGAAAAAUUUGGCUUACCAGAGGCGCAAGAAACUGAGGCUACCAUCACCCCCCGUCCAGCUUCACCAACUAUGCCGCUCCGUCCAACUUCACCAGUUGUGCCCCCCCCCAGCCCAUCGCAAAAGCCGUCUUCCCCAAAUGCACCGUCAACAGCUGAAACUCAUUUAGCUAUGAAGAAAGUUGUGGUCUAGGAGCUUGGUAUACAUGUGGCUGAAAAGGGAACUGGUGUCGCCGUCCCACUAUCCACCAUGCGGAAGGAGGCUCCAUGCAGGUGAAUGAUUUUUCCAUGGUUUUUAAUUAAUGUUGUGCAUGAUACAACAUGGUAAAUCCAGUUGUUUGAGUAUGGUAGUUUGGGUAGUUUCAUCCCGAUAAUUAGCUUGGUCAUAUUUUUUUAGCAACUUCUCUCCUCUCUUUUUUCUGUUCUAAUUAACCUUGUUUUCCCUUGCAGGGCACCUGGCAAACAAGCUGCUGCUGCUAAGGAUUCAGAGAUUGCACCAGUAAAAAUGUAUUCACAUUCUUUUCUACGCCUCUUACUUUCGUUUAUGUUCAAUAGUUCUUUGUUGUUUUUGUAUACUAUUUUCAUGUGCACUGAAACUAUAGUUAGGUUUUACACCUACCAACAUGCUGGUAAUUUUGUUCUUUUUGUCUGAUAACUUAUUUGAUGAACAUUGCUAACUCAAUUAUGCCUCCCUGAUAAUUUACACUUACCAAUCUUGGUAAUUGUUUGUGCUUGUAACAUUUGGUUAUUUUUUUCAUGCAGUGCACCUAUGAAACGAGUUGCUGCUGCUAAGGCUUCGCCAAGUGUAUCAGGAAAAAAGUAUUUACAUACCUUUAUUGUUUACAUUUUCCCCGUACAUUCUUAUUCAUUGCACCAAGUUAUUUUCUGUUUAUAGUUAUACAAAACAAAAUGCUGGUUUUUUUGCUCAUAUCAUUUGAUAACUUUAUAUUGCUAGUCCUUGAUAACUUUGUAAUUUUUUUUCCUGGAAGUUAUUUACACCUGAACUAUGUGACAACUUUUUGUGUUGGUAACAUGUGGUAACUUAAGUUUAACAACAUGUGUAAUCUCAGUACUACUCUUGUGUACCCAUAUUUCAGACGUUCAAAAGAUAAAACUGCUGUGAAAAAUGUGCAAUUCACCAAUACCAGAUCUUCUCCACGACUAAGGGCAGCAUUGUCGCACACAAUAGAAGUUAUCCAUCUUGAUGAAUCGCCCACGGCGACAUCUCCAUCUGCGGUCAAAGUACUUGAUGCGACGGGUGCUUCGUUAGCUUUUGAUAAGGCAACAGCUAGCAACAUCUAGCUUGGGCGCAUCUGAUGCUGUUGCGGCGACAUCCGCUGGUGUUUCUGCUAACCCUGUAGUUCAGCUCGCUGUAGCGGCCAUUGUUACUGCCGUUGUUGAAGAUAUCGCCAGUGCGGCUGAGGCUGUUGAAGGUGAAGAUGAAGUCGUUGCCAAUGUAGGGCAUGAUAAAGGUGAAUCUAUGGGUUAUUUAUGUCUCCCAUCACCUUUUUUCUUGUAUGUAGUGAUGAUUUAUGUUGACGAUGUGUUCACUCUUUUCCCGCUGCAGCCGUUUGAUACGUCUCCAACGUAUCUAUAAGUUUUGAUUGUUCCAUGCUAUUAUAUAUUCUGUUUUGGAUGUUUAAUGGCCUUAUUUAUACACUUUUAUAUUAUUUUUGGGACUAACCUAUUAACCGAAGGCCCGACCUAAAUUGUUGUUUUUGCCUAUUUCAGUGUUUCACAGAAAAAGAAUAUCAAACGGAAUGAAACCUUUGGGAGUGUGAUUUUUGGAACAAAUGUGAUCCAGAGGACUUGGAGUGGACAUCAAGCAACCAAUGAGGAAGCCACGAGGCAGCGGACGCGCCUACCCCCCUGGGCGCGCCCUCCACCCUCGUGGGCCCCUCGUGGCUCCACCGACCUACUUCUUCCUCCUAUAUAUACCUACGUACCCUAAAAACAUCAGAGAGCACCACGAAAACCUAAUUCCACCACCGCAACCUUCUGUAUCUAUGAGAUCCCAUCUUGGGGCCUUUUCCAGCGCUCUGCCGGAGGGGGCAUUUAUCAUGGAGGGCUUCUACAUCAACACCAUAGCCUCUCCGAUGAUAUGUGAGUAGUUUACCUCAAACCUUCGGGUCCAUAGUUAUUAGCUAAAUGGCUUCUUCUCUCUCUUUGGAUCUCAAUACAAAGUUCUCCUCGAUUCUCUUGGAGAUCUAUUCGAUGUAAUCUUCUUUUGCGGUGUGUUUGUCGAGAUCCGAUGAAUUGUGGGUUUAUGAUCAAGAUUAUCUAUGAACAAUAUUUGAAUCUUCUCCGAAUUCUUUUAUGUAUGAUUGGUUAUCUUUGCAAGUCUCUUCGAAUUUUUAGUUUGGUUUGGCCUACUAGAUUGAUCUUUCUUGCAAUGGGAGAAGUGCUUAGCUUUGGGUUCAAUCUUGCGGUGUCCUUUCCCAGUGACAGUAAGGGCAGCAAGGCACAUAUUGUAUUGUUGCCAUCGAUGAUAACAAGAUGGGGUUUAUAUCAUAUUGCAUGAGUUUAUCCCUCUACAUCAUGUCAUCUUGCUUAAAGCGUUACUCUGUUCUUAUGAACUUAAUACUCUAGAUGCAUGCUGGAUAGCGGUCGAUGUGUGGAGUAAUAGUAGUAGAUGCAGGCAGGAGUCGGUCUACUUGUCACGGACGUGAUGCCUAUAUACAUGAUCAUACCUAGAUAUUCUCAUAACUAUGCUCAAUUCUAUCAAUUGAUCGACAUUAAUUUGUUCACCAACCGUAAUACUUAUGCUAUCUUGAGAGAAGCCACUAGUGAAACCUAUGGCCCCCGGGUCUAUUUUCCAUCAUACAAUUUUCCAAUCUAUUUUAUUUUGCAAUCUUUACUUUCAAUUUAUAUCAUAAAAAUACCAAAAAUAUUUAUCUUAUUAUUAUUAUUAUUAUCUCUAUCAGAUCUCACUCUUGCAAGUGGUCGUGAAGGGAUUGACAACCCCUUUAUCGUGUUGGUUGCGAGGUUCUUAUUUGUUUGUGUAGGUACGAGGUGACUCGCGCGUGGUCUCCUACUGGAUUGAUACCUUGGUUCUCAAAAACUGAGGGAAAUACUUAUGCUGCUUUGCUGCAUCACCCUUUCCUCUUCAAGGGAAAACCAACGCAUGCUCAAGAGGUAGAAGAAGCAUUUCUGGCGCCGUUGCCGGGGAGAUCUACGCCAAGUCAAGACAUACCAAGUACCCAUCACAACUCUUACCCUUCGCAUUACAUUAUUUGCCAUUUUCCUCUCGUUUUCCUCUCCCCCACUUCACCCUUGCCAUUUUAUUCUCCCUCUUUUCCUUUCGCCCUCUCUUUUUGUUCGCUUUUUCUUUGCUUGUUUGCUUGUGUGUUGGGUUGCUUGCUUGUCACGAUGGCUCAAGAUAAUACUAAAUUCGUGUGACUUUGCCAAUACCAACAAUAAUGAUUUUAUUAGCACUCCAAUUGCUCCUCUUACCAAUGUUGAAUCUUGUUAAAUUAAUACUGCUUUGCUGAAUCUUGUCAUGAAAGAUCCAUUUUCUGGCCUUCCUAGUGAAGAUGCUGCUACCCAUCUAAACAACUUUGUUGAUUUGUGUGACAUGCAAAAGAAGAAAGAUGUGGAUAAUGAUAUUGUUAAACUUAAGCUAGUUCCGUUUUCGCUUAGAGAUCAUGCUAAAGCUUGGUUUUCGUCUUUGCCUAAAAAUAGUAUUGAUUCAUGGAAUAAGUGCAAAGAUGCUUUUAUCUCUAAGUAUUUUCCUCCCUCUAAGAUCAUCUCUCUUAGAAAUGAUAUUAUGAAUUUUAAGCAACUUGAUCAUGAGCAUGUUGCACAAUCUUGGGAGAGGAUGAAAUUAAUGAUACGUAAUUGCCCAACACAUGGUUUGAAUUUAUGGAUGAUUAUACAAAAAGUUUAUGCCGGAUUGAAUUUUGCUUCUAGAAAUCUUUUAGAUUCGUCCGCGGGAGGCAUGUUUAUGGAAAUCACUUUAGGAGAAGCUACCAAACUCCUAGAUAAUAUUAUGGUUAAUUAUUCUCAAUGACAUAUUGAAAGAUCUACUAAUAAAAGGGUGCAUGUCGGUGUCAAAACCGGCGGAUCUCGGGUACGGGGUCCCGAACUGUGCAUCUAAGGCGGAUGGUAACAGGAGGCAUGGGACACAAUGUUUUACCCAGGUUCGGGCCCUCUUGAUGGAGGUAAAACCCUACGUCCUACUUGAUUAAUAUUGAUGAUAUGGGUAGUACAAGAGUAGAUCUACCACGAGAUCAGAGAGGCUAAACCCUAGAAGCUAGCCUAUGGUAUGAUUGUAUAUUGUCCUACAGACUAAACCCUCUGGUUUAUAUAGACACCACAGGGGGAUAGGGUUACACAAGGUCGGUUACAAAGGAGGAGAUAUACAUAUCCGUACUGCCUAGCUUGCCUUCCACACCAAGUAGAGUCCCAUCCGGACACGGGACGAAGUCUUCAAUCUUGUAUCUUCAUAGUCCAACAGUCCGGUCAAAGGAUAUAGGCCGGCUGUCCGGAGACCCCCUAAUCCAGGACUCCCUCAGUAGCCCCCGAACCAGGCUUCAAUGACGAUAAGUCCGGCGCGCAAUUUGUCUUUGGCAUUGCAAGGAGGAUUCUUCUUCGAUCUUCAAGUGUGCGUAAGUAGUGUCUGGCUCCAUAAAUGUUGAACAUCUUGGCUUCUGUGCCCAGUAAGGGCUAUCUCCCACGUGUCGAAUGAAUACGAGGCACCAGAGUGUUUUUUACAUUCGCCCCCAGCCAAAUAAAUAAAUUGUCUAUUAAAGGGAUAGGGAUUCUUAGAUCCGAUCUACACCUUCCUCCCCUCAGCGAGAAUCCAUCAGAGCGUGUUUCAGAAAGAUCCAUUCCAGCAUGGCCGACCUCCGCAGCUCCUCCUCCCGCCCCCAUAGCCCUAAGCUUGGCGAUUGGGAGAGGUGUUCAGUCCCACAUAGUCGAUUGGUCGAACUGCAGACCAAAGGAUUUCUUCCUCCAGCAUACAUGGUGCCCGUUCGAGCCGGGCUCGCCACCUACAAUGGCGGGGAGCAGGCGGAGAACUUUCCCUGUCCCUCCAUGGGGGAACGGGUUUGCCUUGUUCCUUACUUACUAAGGGGACUCGGAUUUCCAAUUGAUCCGUUCCUUCGCGGGCUCCUGGAGUUCUACGGCCUCCAACUACACAAUCUCACCCCUGCCUCCAUCCUACACAUCGCUGGCUACGUUGCCGUCUGCGAGUUGUUCCUGGGCUGCGAGGCUCACUUCAAGCUGUGGAAAAGGCUAUUUUGCCUUGUUCAUCGCACACAGAGGGAAUCACUUUAUCAAGUGGGCGGAGCCGAAGUAUGGUGCAUCGCCGAUACCGGAUAUCUGUCCGGUACCCCGAAGAAGCCGUCCAAAGACUGGCCUUCAGAAUGGUUUUAUAUGGAGGACGUUCCCCUUCCGGACCCUGUUCGGCGGGGUCUUCCUGAGUUCAGCAAUGCUCCUCUGAAGAAGCGCCGAAGUUGGCGCCCACCGGAGCCCCCAGGUGGAAGACGACAGAGAAGUCCUCUAUCUGAUGAACCGGAUUAAGGCACUGGCUCAGUCAGGAUUGACAAUAAUCGAAGUUAUGUCGAUUUGCAUAAUGCGGGGAGUGCAACCACUUCAAUAUCGUGGGCACCCCUUGUGGUGUUUCAACGGGGAGGAUUACGCCACCCGCUACGGGCGUAAGGGUCCGGGCGAUGCUGCCGCAUUAGCCAAAAUUCUAUCCGAACUGUUCAAGGGAGAGGAGGAGGAGUUCACCCGCAUCAAGCCACGGGAUGGAUUCUCCAUGUACAAUCCUCCAAGAUGGGUAAGCUAUAUCCCCUUAUUUCCAUCUUCCCGUGUUUUCCAUUGUAGGUAUUCACCUUGCCAAUUUACGGCAGGAACUGCGAAAGGCCAUAAAGGAGGUCCGCGGCCCUUCUCCACAACCGGAGGACCCUGACCGAGCCCUUGACUCCGGACUCGAAGAAGAUCCGGUUAUCUCCGUGGAGCUGAUAAACCGGUAGUUCUAUCAGUUGAGCUGCGACGAUGCCAUGGUGGCCAUUAUGGCCGACUAUCCUGGACUGCUCCCUGCAUCGCAUGUAAGAAAAAUCGAAAAGUCCCAACUCAAAAAAGUAGGAUCCCCUUUUGGACACUUCACCCACCAUAUUCACAUGGCCUUUUUUACAGGAAGGCAUUCGGGACGCCCUGCAGCAACGCGCCAACAGGAGGCAUCGAGGCAGGGUAGGCCAAAAAGGAAGGCGGUUAGGACGGCCGGCGCAAAGGUACAACAAACCCCGCUCCGUGGCUGUCGUCUUUUUCAAAAUAUAAUGAUGCCCGUGUUUCUUUAACAGAAAAAACGCUCGCCGGAAUAUGUCCGGCGAUGUCGCCGAUCACGCUUCCACCAGUCGGGCACCAGGACCGGACACGGAGGCAGAAGCCGAUAUGGGGCAGGCGCCAGAUAAUCCCCCUAUAGAGGAUGCGGAUAGGGUAUCUGCUACGAACUCAGAAGUGGAAAGUGCCAUGAAUCAUAAGCGCCACCGGGUCGUACUCCAUGACGCUUGUUUCUCACCAGAGGCGUUUGAUGCCUUUAAUUCUGGAGAGGCGUACCUCCUUGCCGCUCAAGAUGGUCUAGCCAGAGCCACGGAUCAGUAUGUAAAGGAUGUACUGGUGAGUGAAUCGGACGAUUUGUAUGUAUCAGUAUCCCCUGAGACUUGAAAUAGUUAGAAGAACUGAUUUAAGGAUCACCUUUAUUGUGCUGGUUCUUACAGAGAAGAAUACUAGGCUGUCCCAGGAGCUGGAGGAAUGCAAGACCCAACUGCGGGCCGCUAUUGCCGCAUUGCAGGAACAGAAAAAGCCUCCUGCUGGUAACAUUUUAAAAAAUGAUGGUUACCAUAUAGUGCGCGGCAUGGCUGUAAAUCUAACAAUAGAUUUUGCAGAUGAAUCCGGAGAAAAUCCGGAGGACUAGCAUGUUAUGCGGCAGCUAGAAGCUGGCGAACGCGUGAUGACUGAGGUUAGGCGGGAGAAAAACAAUGUCCAAGACGCCAAUAUAAGGCUGAACGUGGAACUAAAAGACGUUCGGAGCCACCUUGCGGACUCCAAGAAGGAGAAUAAGAGGCUUCGACGCGGCAUUUUUAGUAAGUGCUUGAACGAAUCCUUUAAAGGUAUUCGGCGAAGAAGCCGACUAACAGCGUUAUGUCUGUAGGUAUGCCGACGGGUCGUCCCGCGGAGGAAAUGCUUGGGGCUGCAGGUGAUCUUCUGUCCGAGCUGUCACAUCUGCACGAACAAGUUUGGCAGGUGAUGCAGGGUGUUGCCCAGGCCUUGUGGCCGUCCGUCUCCCUGCCAGAGGGUGUUGCGGAGCUUGCGGAGAAGCUCAAAGGAGCGCGGCGGCGCUUCCGAUUAUGGAAGAUAUCAGCCUACCGACAGGGUGCCCGAGAAGCCUGGGCCAUGGUGAAGACGCGGUACACCAAGGCUGACCCAAAUCACAUGGCCGAGGUCGGACCUGUGGGGUCUGACGAAAAAGAGAUUCCCGAUAGCUUAGUUUAUGGGCAAGUAGAAUUAGCCGCAAAGUAUUCCCAACAGGAUUGUAAGCUAGACCGCCUGUUGGAUGGUAUAGAAGAAGAAUUUAGUCAGUCUGCAUGACUAUGUAAUUGAAGUGACAUGUAUAAUGCCUUCUAGCCGGAGUGUAGAUCAUUUGUCGUUGCAGACCUUUUCGCUUCAGCCUCCGGGCCCAAUAGUCCGGAGUGUAUCCGAAUACCCGCUCAGUUAUAUAAGAACAUGGGUAUGCCUAGAGACUAGGUGUAGGGGUCAUUAGUGCUUUAUCAGACAAGUGCCCAACUAGUUAUGUUAUAUUACAUGGGUAGUAAGAAACAUCUUCCAUGGAGAAUAGUUCCGUUAAGGGUUCCUUUCCAUGGGCAAGCAUGCCCUAAAGUGCAUGUCCGGACUGCGAUAGGAAACGCAGGAAAAACAUCUGGGGGCAGAUAUGAAAAAUAAAAAAAUCAUCUUUUGUUCACCGACCGAAUAUUCCCUUAAGAACGCUAGCUUUCGGCUCCACCCAGUCUGAGGUACACAUCCGGCUGACCCGGCAGUAACAAUCGCAGAGGUGCUCCCCUUAUGCCCUAGCCGAAUUAACGGGAACGUAGGGCAUAAAUACAAGAGCCAGACAACCCAGCUUGGCCAAAACUUAAGUCAUAUCGAUGCAUAUAAUGGCGAAAAAAGGUACCUGCGGAAGUAUAACACAUGUGUUGGGCCUGAAGCCCGGAUAAAUAAUUUGAGCUUCUGUGAAAGAAGCCCCCAUGUAUGAAGAGUGCGGCUAGCGCAUCUGUCAUGUGCGAACAAGGCACAAGGUGACCCUUGAAGGCCUAGAGAAAUGAGCAAAGAAAGAAAGGAAAACAAGACAGAUAAUGCAUUUGUGAAAAAUGGAUGAAGGGAGGGGACUAACAUAGAGUCCGGCGCUAGGCGUAGAAUCUUCGGAGCCUGGCCGUGUUCCAUGGGUUUGGCUCGAGUCGACUAGUCGAUGCAUCCCGCAGUCGGUACGCUCACCGGUCAGAACUUGGUCAAUAAUGAAGGGACCUUCCCAUUUGGGUUCGAGCUUGUUCUUUUUCUUAUCCGGUAGGCGUAGAACUAGUUCGCCAACGUUAUAAGUUUUGGCCCGUACUUCUCUGCUUUGGUAUCUGCGAGCCUGUUGCUGAUAAAAUGCGGAACGGGCUUUGGCUACGUCGCACUCUUCCUCCAAGGUGUCCAGACUGUCCUGCCGAUCGAGCUGGGCUUCUCUUUCUUCGUACAUGCGCACUCUAGGUGAGUCAUGAAUUAUGUCACAGGGCAAGACUGCCUAUGCGCCGUACACCAUAAAGAAAUGUGUAUAUCCGGUACUACGAUUCGGCAUGGUCCGCAACCCCUAGAGUACGGAGUCGAGCUCCUCUACCCAGUGAGUGUUAGACUCCGUUAAGGAACGCACUAAUCUAGGUUUAAUGCCGCCCAUUAUAAGACCGUUUGCUCGCUCGACUUGACCAUUGGUUUGUGGGUGAUAGACUAAGGCAUAAUCGAGCUUGAUGCCCAUUUUGCUGCACCAGAGUUUUACCUCGUCGGCCGUGAAGUUCGUGCCAUUAUCAGUGAUGAUGUUGUGGGGGACGCCAUAACGGUGUAUAACCCCGGAUAUGAAAUCUAUCACCGGUCCAGAUUCGGCUAUUUUAACUGGUUUGGCCUCUAUCCAUUUGGUGAAUUUAUCCACCAUGACCAAUAAGUAUUUUUUCUUGUGGGUUCCCUCUUUAAGGGGUCCAACCAUGUCGAGCCCCCAGACCGCAAAGGGCCAUGUAAUGGGGAUUGUUUGGAGGGCGGUGGGUGGCAUGUGGCUUUGAUUUGCAAAGAGUUGGCAACCGGCGCAACGUUGGACCAAGUCCUGUGCAUUUGCCCGGGCCGUUAGCCAAUAGAAUCCUGUAUGGAAGGCCUUGCUUACAAGAGCUCGGGCUACGGCGUGAUGACCGCCGAGUCCGGCGUGAAUUUUUGCCAAAAGAUUCCGCCCUUCCUCUUCGGAGAUGCACCUUUGAAGGACUCCGGUAGUGCUUUUCUUGUACAAUUCUCCCUCAUGGACCCUGUAGGCCUUGGAUCGCCGCACUAUGCAGCGUGCCUCAUUUUGGUUCUCCGGAAGUUCCUGUCUAGUUAGGUAGGCCAGGAAUGGUUCUAUCCACGGGGCAAUAAUGACCAUUAUUUCAUGGGCUGAAGGUGUUAUUUCGGUGGCGGAGCCUCCGAUUGUGUCAGAGAGUUCGGUAUCGGGUAGUUUGGCCGGGUCCAGAUUGUUGUUACCGGUGUCCCCUUCCCAUACUACGGAUGGCUUGAAAAGCCUUUCCAAAAAUAUGUUGGGAGAGACCGCGUCGCGUUUUGCGCCGAUGCGGGCGAGGAUAUCCGCUGCCUGAUUGUUUUCCCGAGCCACAUGGUGAAAUUCGAGUCCCUCGAACUGAGCUGACAUUUUUAGGACGGCGUUUCGAUAGGCCACCAUUUUCGGAUCCUUGGCGUCAAAAUCUCUGUUUAUUUGGGAUAUUGCGAGGUUCGAAUCCCCACGCACCUCUAGGCGUUGAAUGCCCAUGGAGACUGCCAUCCGAAGACCAUGCAAUAGAGCUUCGUAUUCGGCUGCAUUGUUGGAGUCUGUAUACAAUAUUUGCAGUAUGUACCGAACGGUAUCUCCGAUUGGGGACGUCAGGACGACGCCAACCCCUAGACCGGCCAACAUUUUAGAACCGUCGAAGUGCAUGAUCCAAUUGGAGUAUGCGAUGUACUCUUUAGGGAGUUCGGCUUCCGUCCAUUCGGCGACGAAGUCGGCCAAUACUUGCGAUUUGAUGGCUCGUCGAGGUUUGUAUGUUAUGUCGAAUGGGAGGAGCUCAAUGGUCCAUUUGGCAAUCCGGCCCGGAGUGUCGCGGUUGUUUAUAAUAUCAUUAAGUGGCACUUCCGAGGCUACUGUAAUCGAACACUCUUGAAAAUAGUGUCGCAGUUUCCGCUAUGCCAUGAAUACCUCGUAUGCUAUCUUUUGGUAAUGCGGGUACCGUGAUUUGCAUGGAGUGAGGACAGUGGAUACAUAGUAUACUGACUUUUGAAGAGGGAAUUUGUCUCCAUUCUCUUCCCAUUCGACAACGAGCACCGCGCUUACAACUUGAUGAGUUGCCGCAAUGUAUAACAGCAUUGGUUCGCCGAUGUUUGGUGCGGCCAGGAUUGGGUUGGUUGCCAAAGUGGCCUUUAUUUCUUCCAAUCCGGCUGUGGCCGCGUCCGUCCACUCGAAGUGUUCGGUGCGCCAAAGGAGGCGAUAGAGGGGUAAAGCCUUUUCUCCUAAGAGGGAGAUAAAGGGGCUUAGAGCUGCCACGCAUCCAGUUAACUUCUGGAUUUGUUUGAGGUCUGUUGGGGUAGCCAACUGUGACAAUGCUCGGAUUUUGGCUGGAUUAGCUUCAAUACCUCUACUAGAGACAAUGAAUCCCAGGAGCUUUCUGGCUGGUACACCGAAAACGCAUUUUUCCGGAUUGAUCUUGAUGUCGUAUGUUCGGAGGUUGUCAAAUGUGAGCCUCAAGUCGUCUAUCAAAGAGUCAACGUGUUUGGUUUUGAUGACCACAUCGUCUAUGUAUGCCUCUACUGUUUUGCCAAUUUGUUUCUCUAGGCAUGUCUGAAUCAUGCGCUGAUAUGUUGCGCCGGCAUUUUUGAGCCCAAAAGGCAUUGUGUUGAAACAGAAGGGACCGUAUGGUGUGAUGAAUGCCGUUGCGGCUUGGUUGGACUCCGCCAUCUUAAUUUGGUGGUAACCGGAGUAUGUGUCGAGGAAACACAAUGACUCGUGUCCUGCAUUAGCAUCAAUAAUUUGAUCGAUGCAUGGGAGGGGGAAGGGAUCCUUUGGGCAAGCUUUAUUGAGGUCUUUGAAAUCGACACAAAGGCGCUAGGAUUUGUCCUUCUUUGGUACCAUCACCAGGUUUGCUAGCCAGUCCGGAUAUUUUAUUUUGCUGAUGAAUCCGGCCUCCAAUAACUUGGCUAGUUAUUCUCCCAUGGCCUAUCUCUUAGGUUCGGAGAAACGCCGAAGAGCUUGCUUGACCGGCUUAAAUCCCUUUAGGAUAUUGAGGCUAUGCUCGGCCAGCCUGCGUGGGAUUCCUGGCAUGUUUGAGGGAUGCCAGGCGAAUAUGUCCCAGUUCUUGCGCAGGAACUCUCGUAGUGCGGCGUCCACAGCGGGGUUUAACUGUGCCCCGAUGGAGGCUGUUUUUGUAGGGUCCAUUGGGUGGACUUGGAAUUUGACUAUUUCAUCCGCUGGUUUAAAAGAGGUGGACUUGGAUUUCUUGUCGAGUAUUACGUCGUCCCUGUCCACUGUGGAGCGUAGCGUGGUUAAUUCCUCGGCCAAGAGGGCUUUGGAUAAUGCCUCGAGGGCCAAAGCGGCUGUUUUGUUUUCGGCGCGGAGUGUUGUAUCCGGAUCACUGGCGAGAGUGAUGAUUCCGUUGGGCCCGGGCAUUUUAAGCUUCAUGUACCUGUAAUGGGCUACGGCUUGGAAGAUCGUAAAUGCCUCCUAUCCUAAAAGAGCGUGAUAGCCACUGCUGAAUGGGGCCACUUGGAAUGUAAUUUCUUUGGACCUGUAAUUGUCCGGCGUGCCGAAUACCACAUCUAGUGUGAUUUCCCAGUACAGCAUGCUUCCCGGCUAGGGAUAAUUCCUCUAAAGGUUGUACUACUUUGCUCGAUGCGGUUCCAGUCUAUUUCCAUCUUUUGAAGAGUUUCCUCAUAGAUGAGGUUUAGUCCGCUGUCGCCGUCCAUGAGUACUUUAGUGAGUCGAAAGCCGUCCACGAUUGGACUGAGGACCAGUGCGGUUGGUGCUCAGGCUGUUUGGAAUUUAGGUUCAUCACUGGCAUUGAAGGUAAUAGCCGUGUCACUCCAUGGAUUUAUUGCUGCUACGUGGCAGAUUUCGGCCAUGCCGCGGAGUGUUCACUUGCGCCUAUUAUUUGACGCGAAGGUCUCAAACACUGUUAACACCGUAUUGCUAUCCAAGGGAUGGUGGUCUGUGGUAUUUGGGAUAAGAAGAUCCUCACCACUUUUGGCCACCUGCCAGAGUAUCCAACAUGCUCUAAGGCUGUGCGUUGGUAUUGUAUCCGCUGUGCUAUGAAUUUUGCAGGGUCCGUUGAGCUAUCCCUCCAGUACGGUUCCAUGCACUGUAGAGGGUUUUUACUUUUUGGUAGUUGACCCGGGUGUAUUGUGAUAAUUCACCCUUUUAGUUUGGACUGGGUUUGUAUUCAGGGCCGGAUUAUCCCAAAAGUUUGUUUCGGUUUUCUAGGCACUUUCCAUCACACAGUACUUUCGUACUAUGGACGCCAAAUCAGCGAAGCGUGUUAUCUUACAGCGAUUUAUGGAGUUAAGGAUUCCCUUGUCCAUGCAAUUACUGCAGAAAAAUGAGAUUGCGUCUUCCUCACGACAGUCCUUAACCUUGUUCAUUGCAAGGAGGAAUCUGGCCCAAUAGUGAUGUACUGUUUCCUGGGGCUCUUGCCUGAUGUGGUAAAGAUCGCUUAUGUUUGGGUGGGUGGGUGGAAUUGAAUCCGAACCCACUCCCGAUCUGGGAUCCAGGGGCCGAGGAGUUUCCAAUUUUGGAAGUUCCGGUUCCGGGGUGUUACCCGAUAAUCCUGGUCCGCUGCGUGACUCAAGGUUCAGGGAUUGGAUGUUGUCCUCCCGCGAACGGGCGUCCGGCUCGGAGAGCUCGGGAAUCCAGACAUAAUUGGUCCUCAGAAUAGACGAAAGGUCGCCGCGUUGUUCCUCCACCACUGCAAUAUGAUGGGUAAUCAGUGGAGAGUUAAUCUCCCUUCGAUCGGGUUUAACCCCAAUCCGAUCAUAGUCUGUAGCGACUCCCAAGGCGGCGAUGUGAUCCAAGAGCUCGUUUAAGGAGGCAAGCUCCAUUGGAUCCAUCUGUUCGGCGAGUGCCGAUUUGACGUGGAGGUUGUUUUCGAUGACCCCAAAAGUCAUCAUCGGCGCGACGGCCAAACAAGCGGUCAUGAUGAACCCGCCUAGCCAGAGAGUUUGGCCGACAGCCAAAGCUCCCCCGACAGAAAUAUCGUUUUUUAGGACGAGACAAGACAUCCUUCCUUCUGGCAACGGCACAGAGGAACUCUCAAUGAAAGCACCAAUGUCGGUGUCAAAACCGGCGGAUCUUGGGUAGGGGGUCCCGAACUAUACGUCUAAGGCGGAUGGUAACAGGAGGCAGGGGACACAAUGUUUUACCCAGGUUCGGGCCCUCUUGAUGGAGGUAAAACCCUACGCCCUGCUUGAUUAAUAUUGAUGAUAUGGGUAGUACAAGAGUAGAUCUACCACAAGAUCAGAGAGGCUAAACCCUAGAAGCUAGCCUAUGGUAUGAUUGUAUAUUGUCCUACGAACUAAACCCUCUAGUUUAUAUAGACACCGGAGGGGGCUAGGGUUACACAAGGUCGGUUACAAAGGAGGAGAUAUACAUAUCCGUACUGCCUAACUUGCCUUCCACGCCAAGUAGAGUCCCAUCCGGACACAGGACGAAGUCUUCAAUCUUGUAUCUUCAUAGUCCAACAGUCCGGACAAAGGAUAUAGUCCGGCUGUCCGGAGACCCCCUAAUCCAGGACUCCCUCAGUGCAUGCUAUAGAAGAAAUAAAUGUUUUGAGUGGAAAGAUGGAUGAGCUUAUGAAAUUGUUUGCUAAUAAGAGUGUUUCUUCUGAUCCUAAUGAUAUGCCUUUGUCUACCUUGAUUGAUAAUAAUAAUGAAUCUAUGGAUGUGAAUUUUAUUGGUAGGAACAAUUUUGGUAAUAACACAUAUAGAGGUAAUUUUAAUCCUAGGCCGUUUCCUAGUAAUUCCUCUAAUAAUUAUGGUAAUUCCUACAACAAUUCAUAUGUAAAUUAUAAUAAUAUGCCCUCUGAUUUUGAAUCUAAUAUUAAAGAAUUUAUUAGUUCGCAAAAGAGUUUCAAUGCUUUGAUUGAAGAAAAAUUGUCUAAGAUUGAUGAGUUGGCUAGGAACGUGUAGAAUUUCCCUUGAUGUUGAUUCUUUGAAACUUAGAUCUAUUCAACCUAAGCAUGAUAUCAAUGAGUCUCUCAAAGCUAUGAGAAUUUCCAUUGAUGAGUGCAAAGAAAGAACCGCUAGGAUGCAUGCUAAAAAGAUUACUUUGUGAAAGCGUGUUCUUCUAGUUUCCAUGAUAAUAAUGAUGAAGAUCUAAAAGUUAUUGAUGUGUCCCUAUUAAAUAUUUGUUUAGCAAUAUGAAUCUUGAUAAUGAUGGGACUGGAGAUGAGUCAACUUUAGUUAGAAGGCGUCCCAAUGAUUCAGAGUUUUUAGAUCUUGAUGCAAAAAUUGAUAAAAGUGGGAUUGGAGAGGUCAAAACUUUAAAUAGCAAUGAACCCACUAUCUUGGAUUUCAAGGAAUUUAAUUAUGAUAAUUGCUCUUUGAUAUAUUGUAUUUCCUUGUUGCAAUCCGUGCUAAAUUCUCCUCAUGCUUAUAGUCAAAAUAAAGCUUUUACUAAACAUAUCAUUGAUGCUUCUUACGAAGAAAAACUUGAGUUGGAAGUUUCUAUCCCUAGAAAACUUUAUGAUGAGUGGGAACCUACAAUUAAAAUUAAAAUUAAAGAUCAUGAAUGAUAUGCUUUGUGUGAUUUGGGUACUAGUGUUUCCACGAGCCCAAAAACUUUGUGUGAUUUGCUAGGUUUCCGUGAAUUUGAUGAUUGUUCUUUAAACUUGCACCUUGCGGAUUCCACUAUUAAGAAACCUAUGAGAAAAUUAAUGAUGUUCUUAUUGUUGCAAAUAGGAAUUAUGUGCCCAUAGAUUUCAUUGUUCUUGAUAUAGAUUGCAAUCCUUCAUGUCCUAUUAUUCUUGGUAGAACUUUCCUUAGAACGAUUGGUGCAAUUAUUGAUAUGAAGGAAGGGAAUAUUAGAUUCCAAUUUCCGUUAAGGAAAGGCAUGGAACACUUCCUGUUGGGGAUAUUACUACUGGACGUAAACUGGCCAGGAGUAGCCGGGUUAACUUUAUGAAGAUUAGAAGCCCAUAAGAAUGAUGGUGCUUUGUGAAGGCCCAAGGCCCAAAGGCGAGUUAACACUUGUAGAUGUAAACCGACCUAAUUAUGCAACUUGCAUUGUAAGAUAGGAAGUAUAAAGACUGAACUGGACGCCUUUAUGAUCCGGCUUCGAGACUCUGUAAACUGGCGGGCAUCAACCUAUGUAUAUAAACGGACGACCCGACAGCGGUUUAGGCACGACGGACAAUAACUCGAGAGCCAGACAAAGCGGAUUCACUCCCUGGUCUUCGGAACCCUAGCAAUACCAAUCACAACUAGACGUAGGCUUUUACCUUCAUCGAAGGGGCCGAACUAGUAUAAACUCCCCGUGUCCCCUUGUCUGGUUUAACCCCUUUAAGCUAACCCAUUGCGAUGGCUCCACGACUAAGUCCUUUCACAAGGACAUCUGCCAUGACAAACCCACGACAGUUGGCGCCCACCAUGGGGCUGUCGCACGAUGGUUUCGAGUUCUUAAAGGGUAGCUUUGAUGGACUCAAGGGAAAAGCUGUGGGCCGGAUGACAAAGAGUCGUCGUGGCAAGCUCUACAUCGACAACGCAGGAUGGGGCCCCGAGGCCGAUUCAAUCUAAUACGGGUACCGGGUCCCCUUUGGUGGGAUUCACGUCUUCAUCGGCAAGAUUGGCGAACCGGGCCCUGAGCCGGACACCUGCACCGACAUCAUCGAGAUGGCUCAGCGUGCAAGCCCUUCCCCGGUUCAGCCCGUGGCGAAGCAUGUCUUCGUAGGUGUCAUCCAUGGAGCAGGAUACAAGGACGGACCGGCAUCCAAUGGAGAAACCGUUGUCUGUUCCGACGAUGAGUCUUAUGGAGAGACCGAAUCACUCUAUCAGUUGCAGGAUGGCCGGAUUAGUGGAGGUUCCGAGGGCAACAGUAUUCCGAACUCUCCAGAUCCGCCAAACCGGGCCGCUAUCUUCAUGACCGGUACACAGUCAGUGCCUCACUCAUCAACUGCCGCAGCAAUACUCUCCGGUUCAACAACAACCACGCCAAUGGGGGCAGGAAGCUCUGCGCUGCCGCCGGCUCAAGUCAUGUCUGACUUGUUCGACACUUUGGCAACAUUGAUGGCCGCAGAGGUGGAUGCAGCAGCACGGGAUCAGCGCAACACGGAGAUUGCAAAGGUGUAAGAUCAGAUAGCUCAGGCUAAAGCGGACCUAGCGGCCGAGAACGCUAGGAUGGCUACAGAGCGGGCCAAGUUGGAAGCUCAGGCCUACCGGAUUAGGCUGGAUCAGAACGCUUCCGAAGAAGUCAUGAGAAGAAGAUACCGAUCGCAUCUCCCGUCAGGUUAUGAGCCACGAAAUCUCUUCAAUACGCCAGGAGCAGGAACUAGUAACCAACCAAUAUUAAAUCGGAUGGAGGCACCAGGAACAGGAGCGUCGGUUCAGCCGCGCACGAUGGACCUGCCUCGUCAGAACAAUAUUGUGCCACAAUAUGUUCCAACACCUCCUGGGCAUUACUCCAACCCGUUGGACAACAUUGUGGUUGCCGCUUCACGGUUAGCAGCCCUCUCAACCGACAGCGAAUCACCAGUUGCGGUUGAAGCACGACGGGCCAGAGAUCUCCUUCAAACAGCUCUAAACCAGCAGCAGGCAUAUUCGCACAAUCAUGAGAGGAUUCAUUCCACCCCCCGUCCAAGCCGGAGCUACAGCAGGCACGUUGAGGAUGAACCGGUCGUGUCAAGUAGUGCACGUCGCAGUAACUCGCCGCGAGGACAAAACCUGGCAGGGGGAGGUGCCAAUGCGCAGGAUGUGGUGGAUCAUGGUCGCGCACGUCGGGAGGCCGAGUUAGCAGCUCUGCACGGAGCCCGUCAACCUACUCUGGUUCACCCCACCGCUUCAGUCGAACCAGGGGUGGUAUUCAGUUCCUUAGGGGUGCCCUGUCUUACCCCCUCUUUGCGUAAUGUGAGACUUCCCAAGGAUUUCAAAGGACCUCAUAAGGUACCCAAUUACACCGCCGAUCUGCAACCAGAGGCGUGGGUUGAAAGCUACAAGAUGGAAAUGGAGAUGUUGGAUGUGGAUGAAGCAGUAUGUGCUAAAUACUUCACCAUGAUGUUGGAAGGAACAACUCGUACUUGGUUGAAGAGCUUACCAACUAACUCUGUCAGAUCAUGGGCCGAAUUGAAGCACCGGUUUAUCCAGAACGUCAAAGAUACUUGUAAGCAUCCCAUGUCAAUUGUGGAUCUGGCCGCUUGUGUCCAAGAGGAUGGGGAGUCCAUGACCCAUUGGGUAAAGCGGGUCUCAGCAAUUUUGCAUUCAUUGGAUUGUAUCAAUGCAGAUACCGCAGUACUAACAUUGGAGGGCAAUUGCCGUUUUUUGCCGCUCAAACAGAAGUUAGGAAGGCUCAAACGUCACUGCAAUGAUAUGUCGACGCUUAUGGCCGCUUUGGUUAAAUACGCCGAUUCGGAUACUACCAAAGACCCUGACUCAGAGGAGGACAAACCGGGGAAAGGGAAAAAGAACGGCAACACCAAGGGGCGGCAGCAUAAUCCGGCAGGCCAUGGCAACAAUGGUAAACGCAAGGCCGACAACAGUUUGGACUUUGUGGCUAACACCAGCGCUCAGAAGAAUGGUCAGCACCGUAAGGGCAAGCAGCACCAGAGAGGCGGCGGUUCAGGCCCCAAUUUUGAGCGCCUGUUAAAUCAACCCUGUCCAAAGCAUGGAUCCAAGGAGAAGCUAGCAUCACAUCUUUGGAAGGAUUGUUAUAUCAUGCGAGAUUUCAAGAACUCCAAUAUGUUUCAGUAUGAUAAUGGCCCGCCCGGCGGUUCAGGAGGUGGUUUCCAUGGGCCGGGUUAUGGAGGUGGCAGUUCCGGUUCAGGAUUUCAGGGCAAUCAAACUAGAUACAAUAAUCAAGGGAAUCAGGGCAACCAGGGAGGUUACAACCAUCAGGGGAGUCAGCAGCAACAGCAGCAGUCGGGUUAUCAGAGCAAUCCUAAGCAGUUAAAUAGUGGGUAGUAUCAUGUCUUCACCACUAGCUUGUGUAAGCGUGAUCAGAAGCUUCACAAGAGGGCAGUAAACUCUGUUGAACCGGCGGUGCCUCAGUAUUUGCGCUGGUCCGAGCAACCUAUUUUGUGGAGUAGAGAGGAUCACCCCCCUGGGUUGACAAUCCGGGUCAUCCGGCUUUAGUGGUGGCCCCUCAAGUUGGGGGAUACAAGUUCACUAAGGUACUCAUGGACGGGGGAAGUAGUAUCAACAUUCUAUAUUAUGAUACCUUCUGCCGUAUGGGGUUGACAGAUAAGAAUCUUAAACCGUCAAAUACCGUUUUCCAUGGUGUGGUGCCUGGUAAGUCUGCAUAUCCAGUGGGCAAGAUAGCCUUAGAGGUGGCUUUUGGAGAUGAUCAUGAUUCAAGAUCAGAAACAUUGACUUUUGAGGUGGUAAAAAUCAAAAGUCCGUAUCACGCUUUGUUCGGACGACCGGCUUAUGCUAAGUUCAUGGCAAGGCCAUGUUAUGUUUAUCUGCAGCUUAAAAUGCCAGGUCAUAAGGGGACCAUCACAGUACACGGGAGCAGGAAGAUCGCUUUGGAAUGUGAGGAAGGUGAUGCGGCUUAUGCUGAGUCGGUUUGUGCCACGGAAGAGUUGAAGUUUUAUAAAGACCAAGUUGAUUCGGCAGAUAUGACCUCUUUGAAAAAGCAAACUACGGAACACGAUCCGGUGUUGAAAUUUAAAUCGGCCACAGAUACUAAGAUGGUUGAUUUUGUUCCUGGCGAUUCAUCCAAGCAGUUCUGCAUCAGCGCUAACCUGGAUCCCAAAUAGGAAAGUGCGCUCAUCGAGUUCAUCCGUGAGAACCGGGACAUCUUUGCAUGGAAACCUUCUGACAUGCCAGGUGUACCGAGGGAACUUGCUAAGCACACACUUAGCAUUGAUCCUAAGUUUAAACCGGUCCGACAGUUUCUCCGUCGCUUCAAUGAUGAAAGGCGCAAGGCUAUUGGUGAAGAGGUAGCUCGGUUGUUGGCCGCAGGGUUUAUCGUGGAGGUCUUUCACCCAGAGUGGUUGGCUAAUCCGGUGCUGGUUCUUAAGGAAAACGGCACUUGGCAUAUGUGUGUAGGUUACACAGACUUGAACAAAGCUUGCCCUGCAGACCCCUUUGCCCUCCCUCGUAUUGAUCAGAUCAUUGAUGCUACGGCGGGUUGUGACCGUUUGUGUUUUCUGGAUGCUUAUUCUGGUUAUCAUUAGAUCAAAAUGGCAGUUAAGGACUAGGAGAAGACAACUUUCAUCACUCCCUUUGGAGCCUUCUGCUAUGUCUCCAUGCCCUUUGGGCUUAAGAGUGCCCAGGCGACUUAUCAAUGCAUAUGUGGAUGAUAUUGUGAUAAAAUCUAGGAAGGAGGAAACAAUGAUAGAUGAUUUGAGAGAAACCUUUGACAACCUCCGGGUUUACAAGAUGAUGCUCAAUCCGGAAAAGUGUGUCUUUGGUGUCCCGGCAGGCAAACUCUUGGGAUUUCUGGUAUCGAACAGAGGCAUUGAGGCUAAUCCGGAAAAAAUCUCAGCAAUUACAUCUUUGGCUAAACCGACGUGUAUCAAUGACGUUCAACAUUUGGCCGGCCGGAUUGCGGCUUUGAGCCGGUUUAUCAGUCGUCUUGGGGAGAAGGCUGUUCCUUUAUAUCAGAUGCUGAAGAAAACAGAUGAUUUUGUCUGGAGCGAGGCGGCUGAUAAAGCGUUUGAGGAUUUGAAGAGGCAGUUAGUUGAACCGCCUAUGCUUGCAGCCCCGAUCGAUAAAGAGCUGUUAUUGCUAUAUGUGGCUGCUAAUGCCCGAGCUGUUAGCGUGGCUAUUGUGGUGGAGCGCAAGGAAGUUGGAAAGGAGUAUCCGGUUCAAUGGCCAAUUUAUUAUAUCAAUGAGGUGCUCAUUGAAUCAAAGCAGAGAGGUAUCCACAUUGGCAGAAGCUGGUAUAUGGAGUGUUUAUGGCAAGCCAGAAGCUUGAACAUUAUUUUCAGGGCCAUCCUAUCACAAUGGUCAGUUCAGCCCCUCUGGGAGAUAUCAUUCAAAACAGAGAAGCAACUGGCCAGAUUGCCAAAUGGGCUAUUGAGCUUGGACCUCACGGGCUCAAAUAUAUACCUCGCACAACGAUCAAAUCCCAAGCACUCGUGGACUUCAUGAAUGAUUGGACGGAGUUGCAGGCACCAGAGGAAAAGCCAGAUAAUACGUAUUGGACUAUUCACUUUGAUGGAUCCAGACAGUUGGAGGGCUCAGGGGCUGGAGUCAUACUAACUUCCCCAAGAGGUGACAAGUUUUGUUAUGUCCUCCGUUUAAUGUUCCCUUGUACUAACAAUGCAGCUGAGUAUGAGGCCUUGCUCCACGGUCUUCAGAUGGCUAAGGAGAUGAACUUAAGCCGGGCCAAGUGCUUUGGGGAUUCAGAUCUGGUGGCUCAACAUGUGUAUGGCACUUGGGAUUCUAAAGACCCACUCAUGGCUGCAUAUCGGCGAGAGGUGGACACAGUGGCUGGUCAGUUCAAGGGUUAUCAGGUGGACCAUAUAGACCGGCGAAAGAACGAAGCGGCGGACGCUUUAAGUCGCCUUGGUUCUCAGCGUAAACUGGUUCCACCAAAUGUCUUUCUUGACGUGUUGCAUAAUCCUCAGUCAAGGUACCAACAGAGGAGGAGUCGGCUAUUCCUGACCCGGAGGCUCAAUUGGUGGCGGCUUUGCAUGUCAUACCGGAUUGGACAAUCCCAUAUCUGGCUUACAUGAACCGGGGCGAGUUACCGGAGGAUGAAACCUUGGCCCGACAGGUAAUCCGGCGUUCCAAGUCCAUGACCAUAAUCAACGGGGAGUUACAUCGUUACAGCGUCUCAGGAGCAAUUCAGCGUUGUGUCUCUCCUCAAGAGGGUUGUGAGAUUUUCCGAGAAAUCCAUGAAGGGGAUUGUGGUCACCACGCCGGUUCAAAGUCUUUGGUUGCUAAAGCUUUUUGCCACGGUUUUUACUGGUUAACAGCUCAUGCUGAUGCGGAGGAUUUGGUCAAAAGAUGUGACGGUUGUCAAAAAUUCGCAUGCCGUGCUCAUAUUCCAGCUCAGGAGUUGAGGAUGAUUCCAAUAACUUGGCCGUUUGUGACUUGGGGGCUUGAUAUGGUUGGACCCUUCAAGCGAUCCAAGGACAAAAAGACCCACUUGUUAGUGGCAGUUGAUAAAUUCACCAAAUGGGUGGAAGCAGAGCCAGUCAGUAAGUGUGAUGCGGCCACGGCGGUUCAAUUCAUCAAAAAGGUGAUAUUCCGGUUUGGCUUUCCACAUAGUAUUAUAACUGAUAAUGGUACUAAUUUGUCAAAGGGAGAGAUGGAGGAAUUUUGCCAACAUGAGCACAUCCGGCUUGAUAUAGCAUCGGUGGCUCACCCCCAGUCUAAUGGUCAAGCGGAGAGGGCAAAUCAAGAAAUUUUACGAGGUAUCAAACCCCGGCUUAUGGUUCCUUUGAAACGGACACCGGGUUUUUGGGUUGAGGAGUUACCUUCUGUGUUAUGGAGCAUCAACACCAUCCGUCACGACUCGCCCCGUGUGACAUCUUAUGUUGAAAUUGAUAAUGAGAAGGCACGUCAGGAUUCCCUGGACCUGUUAGAUGAAGAGCAUGAUCUUCCAGCAGCACGUUCGGCGAUUUAUCAACAAGAUCUCCGACGUUAUCACAGCCGCCGGUUUAAGACCAGAACCUUUCAAGAGGGCGAUUUGGUGCUCCGGCUCAUCCAGGAUCAGACUGAUAUACACAAGUUAUCCCCACCUUGGGAAGGACCCUUUGUGGUCAGCAAGAAUCUGCACAACGGGUCAUACUACCUCAUUGAUGUUCGAGAGCACAAAGACUCACGUAAAUCGGAGGAGGAGACCAAGCGACUGUGGAAUAUAGCUCUUCUUUGGCCUUACUAUACUUGAGCCACAGGCUCUUCAUAUGUACAUAUUUAUGACAAUGUAUAUAUUAUAUAAUAAACCGGAGCCUCGAAUAAAGUGGGGUCUCUGUUCUUUUUUACAUCAUGUGUGUGCCUACAAGAGUUUCUACUGACAAAGCAAAAUUUUGUUAAACCGGUCUCUGCAGCCGCACAGAUACAAAGAGAUAUCACUAGGGGGCUUGGUUGUUGUCACACCAUAGCUACACAUCUUGAUCGAUUUAAACACCACAAAGGGAUUUCGCUAGGGGGCUUGGUUGUUAUCACACCAUAGCUACACCUCUUGAUGGGCGUUAAAGCCACAAAGGAAAUUAUGUGGGGCCAAAGAGAGUGUUGCACAAAGCACAAACUCAAACAUGGGGCACCCACUGAGCACAACUCACAAAGUUACUUGGGGGCUCUUUGUGCAAAGCAACAAAGAGUUUGAAAGGACCCUUGUAAUCGGCUAUCAAGCCACGGCUUGGAAGCCUGGUGUAUUCACCUAAAACCCCGGGUUAACCUGCCUUCAUCAAGUAAGCCACUCCUGUCCAGGUAAUCCUGGUAUGACCCGCCGAAUGUUUGACAAGUCAAUCUUAUACAGACCCUGAACUUGUCAAAGUUAAAACGACGAUUGGUUAAUUGGAGGCCCAUCUUAAAAGGCUUUGUUAAAUGGUUUAACUCAGAGGCCUGGCAGCCCAUGAAAAGCCUUGAUUUGGAGCCUGGCAGCUCGUAAAAAGUCUCGCGUAUUUCUUUUUUGAGUCCUAUUUGCUAAGUUUUUUGCCUUUAUUGAGGUUCAUAAUAUCUUCUGAUAAACCAUUGUCCUUGACCCGGCUUGGCUUUCAACUACAAGUUGUCAGUACAUGAUCAAUUACAAACCGGCAUUCAUUACCCCGGUCUGGUUUGACUAAAUCGCCAGUGCUUUAAAGAAAACUCGGUGGUUAUUAUAUCCCGGUACGGUUUAUUAUCAUAAUCCGGCAAAAUAAGGACGGAGUUAUCAAUGCUCUGGAUUGGUGUUGACACCUUUACCAUACAAGCAGUUGGUCAGCCAACGAGGUAUGUUGCACAUAUUAUUUUUUAUACAAAAACUUUGAUUAUUCAUCUAAGUAUUGUAUAUUUGUUGGGCAUCAUGACCCGUCUAGUGGUAAACCGCUAGGAUACUUUCAAGUUCUUGUAUCCAGGAACACAACUCAUCAUGGGCUAUGCAUAAAUAGAUCCCCAAAAGUGGAACAAGUUUUCACGAAGUGUCACAAAACAUGCUCGAUGGCAUGACAGAUAAAGGAGUUUUGCUAUCCUAUUACAAGAAGCUUCAAAGCGGCUCCAAUUGCAAAAUUGCUUUUUGGCAUUAGCAUACAAUAGAUGGUAAACCGGCUGCCGGUUUACGCUACUUUGUCCGGACAGUUUGAUGGUUGAGGGUCAUUUGGUGCAAUCACUUCUUCUUCAUCCCUCCCCAGACGCUAGAAAUCAACCGUUGACCAAUUGAUUCCGGUUAAAGCUUGAAACAUGGCUUCUUCAUGGAUAAGGCUGGAGGGGUUAAUGUCAGGAGCGUAAGUAUGCUUACAGAUUGGAGGCACAAGUUCUUCGACUUCAUGGAUUUCCGCAGGCUGUCUCUUCUCUUCAAUGUCGUAAGCCGACUAGAAAUGAGAUAAGUCUGUGUCUUCUGCCAGUUUGCUGGCUAUUGGCCGCAUUUCCUUUGUCAAUCUUCGGAGAUCAUCAUUGUCGAAGUUUGAACCGUCCUCCUUCACACCUGGAUAUCCUUUUAUAAUGUCCUCCGCUUCAAGGUCCGGAAUCCAUGCCUUGGCCCGGAUUAGUGCGGUUAAUGCUCCUGCUCUUGCAGCUGCCUUCUUCAGUUUGGUAAUCCGGGCUGGUAACAUGGCCAGCUUCUCAAGAGUUUCUUUUAUCAGUGAUGGCGCCGGUUUAUUGUAAGCCGCAGUGCAAAUAGCACGCUGGGAUCCAGAGUACAGCUGUUCAAUCAAGGUAUAAGCCGCUUUAAGCUUCAUCCGCAUAUCUAUGCCCAGAUGAGCAAUACGAGUGCCUGUCACGAUUUAAAAUCAGCACUCUACUAAAUGAUAAGGUCUCAUGAAUUGGACAAGCUGCAUAAGGAGAUACUUACCAAAGAUAGUGGAAGUCAUGGCGUUGAUUUGCCAUUUCAAGCCAUUUAGUUCAUAUACAACUGGUUUUAGGGCUGCUUCGGCACCCUCAGCUCUUUUGGUUAAACCGGCCUUCUCGGUUUCCUAGUCAGCACGAUCUUUGUUAAAAGACUCUUUUAGCUUUUCCAUUGUUGUCAGGGCUUUGGUCAGUUCCUCCUUGGCUUUCAAAGCCCCUGCUUGUUGGGACUUCACGUUCUCUUGCAAAUCAGCGGUUCGGGCAUCUCUAUUGCUUAGUUCGGCCUACAACAGUGAAGAUAUGUCAAACAACAGGAUAUAUAUUUUCUAAGUACAAAGCGUAUAACAAGUUAUGCACUUCGUACUUGGGGGCUAAUGCCUAUUUGCUCUGGUUCACUACAUCUUUUAUAAGUCUCCAGAACAAUGAAAGCAUUAUUCUUGACACUUGGGGGCUAUUGUACAUCUGUUCAAAACGGACGCAUGGAUUAAAAGCCAGAUUACCUUGCAAAGCUAAACCGGCCUUUGGGGGCUAUGAUGAGGAAAGCUAUAUAAUUAUAUUAGUAAAGUAUCGGUCUUAGUUUUCACUAAGGACCUGACAUUUUGAGGGCCAAUAGGAGAGACUUAAAGUGUUACAAAGACCCAGUUUACGAUUAACAUCAUAAAACGGCCCUUGGGGGCUACUUGGCCUAGUAUUUCAACUUUGGAAUCAAGAAGUAAAGGGAGAUGAAAAUACCUCAUAGCGUUCCUUCAUCAAGUUCACCAAACCGGCUUCAUAGUCACGGUUUGAGUGCAGAGUUCGUUAGCAUUGAGAUGGGCAUAAGUUGAUAAGUCAGUACUCCAUUUGCCCUUUUCCCUAGCAGCACGCUCUUCUUUGGCACUAUGUUGGGCCAAGAUUACGGGAUGGCCAGGAGAGUUGUGGCCCAUGCCAGUAAUGAUAACAUCAUCUCCUUGGCCUUCAGUGGUUUUUGCGGGUGAUGACGGAGUCUGAGUAUCUCUCACCGGACUAGCCCGGUUAGGAGCUGCCGGUUUAGUGUGAGGCACGACAGGAUCAGCUUCUGGUGGUUCAUCAGUAUUCCGAUCUUGAAGGGGCAAUUCAUCAGAGGCGGCUUCAGGAUGAGGACCCUCCGGUUCACGAGUUUGGUCUGGUUCACCUCUUUGCUCUUCUUCAAAAACUGCCUUGUCUUCUAACAGAUUGUUGACCCGAGCUUUCUUGCUGGGUCUGGCUUUGGCUCUGCAAACAAAAUUAAAAGAGGGUUAGUGUCGGUGUCAAAACCGGCGGAUCUCGGGUAGGGGGUCCCAAACUGUGCGUCUAAGGCGGAUGGUAACAGGAGGCAGGGGACACGAUGUUUUACCCAGGUUCAGGCCCUCUUGAUGGAGGUAAAACCCUACGUCCUGCUUGAUUUAUUCUUGAUGAUAUGGGCAUUACAAGAGUUGAUCUACCACGAGAUUGGAGAGGCUAAACCCUAGAAGCUAGCCUAUGGUAUGAUUGUUGUUGUCCUACAGACCUAAACCCUCCAGUUUAUAUAGACACCGACGGGGGCUAGGGUUACACAAGGUCGGUUACAAAGGAGGAGAUAUACAUAUUCGUAUUGCCUAGCUUGCCUUCCACGCCAAGUAGAGUCCCAUCCGGACACGGGACGAAGUCUUCAAUCUUGUAUCUUCAUAGUCCAAUAGUCCGGCCGAAGGAUAUAAUCUGGCUAUCCGGAUACCCCCUAAUCCUGGACUCCCUCAGUAGCCCCCGAAUCAGGCUUCAAUGACGAUGAGUCCGGCGUGCAGUAUUGUCUUCGGCAUUGCAAGGCAGGUUCUUCUCCAAUUUCCAAGUGUUUGUAAGCAGUGUCCGACCCCAUAAAUGUUGAACGUUUUGGCUUCUAUGCCCAAUAAGGGCUAUCUCCCAUGCGUCGAAUGAAUACGAGGCGCCAGGGCAUUUUUACAUUUUCCCCCCUAGCCAGAUAAAUAAAUUGUCUUUUAAAGGGAUAGAGAUUCUUAGAUCAGAUCCACACCAUCCUCCCCUCAGCGAGAAUCCAUCAGAGCGCGUUUCGGAAAGAUCCAUUCCAGCAUGGCCGACCUCCGCAGCUCCUCCUCCCGCCCCCGUAGCCCUAAGCCCGGUGGUUGGGAGAGGUGUUCAGUCCCACACAGUCGAUUGGUCGAACUGCAGACCAAGGGAUUUCUCCCUCCGGCGUAUAUGGUGCCCGUUCGAGCCGGGCUUGCCACCUACAAUGGCGGGGAGCAAGCGGAGAGCUUUCCCUAUCCCUCCAUGGGGGAACGGGUCUGCCUUGUUCCUUAUUUACUAAGGGGACUCGGAUUUCCAAUUCAUCCGUUCCUCUGCGGGCUCCUGGAGUUCUAUGACCUCCAAUUACACAAUUUCACCCCUGCCUCCAUUCUACAUAUCACCGGCUAUGUUGCUCUCUGCGAGUUGUUCCUGGGCUGCGAUGCUCACUUUGAGCUAUGGAAAAGGCUAUUUUGCCUCGUCCCUCGCACACAGAGGGGAUCACUUUAUCAAGUGGGCGGAGCCGAAAUAUGGCGCAUCGUCGAUACCGGAUACCUGUCCGAUAUCCCAAAGAAGUCGUCCGAAGACUGGCCUUCAGAAUGGUUUUAUAUGGAGGACGUUCCCCUUCCGGACCCUGUUCGGCGGGGCCUUCCUGAGUUCAACAAUGCCCCUCUGAAGAAGCGCCGAAGUUGGCGCCCACGGAGGCCCCAGGUGGAAGACGACAGAGAAGUCCUCUAUCUGAUGAACCGGAUCAAAGCACUGGCUCAAUCAGGAUUGACAGUAAUCGAAAUUAUGUCAAUUUGCAUAAUGCGGGGAGUGCAACCACUUCAAUACCUUGGGCACCCCUUGUGGUGUUUCAACGGGGCGGAUGACGCCACCCGCUACGGGCGUAAGGGUCCGGGCGAUGCUGCCGCUUUAGCAAAAAUUCUGUCCGAAUUGUUCAAGGGAGAGGAGGAGGAGUUCACCUGCAUCAAGCCAUGGGAUGGAUUCUCCAUGUACAAUCCUCCAAGCUGGGUAAGCUAUAUCCCCUUACUUCCAUUUUCCCACAUUCUUUGUCGUAAGUAUUCACCUUGCCAGUUUGCGGCAGGAACUGCGAAAAGCCAUAAAGGAGGUCAGCAGCCCCUCUCCACAACCGGAGGACCCUAACCGGGCCCUCGACUCCGGACUUGAAGAAGAUCUGGUUAUCUUCAUGGAGCUGAUAGACCGGCAGUUCUAUCAGUUAAGCUGCGACGACGCCAUGGUGGCCAUUACGGCCGACUAUCUCGGACUGCUCCCUGCAUCGCAUGUAAGAAAAACCAAAAAUCCCAACUCCAAAAACUAGGAUCCCCUUUUAGACACUUCACCCACCAUAUACACAUGGCAUUUUUUUUACAGGGAAGGCAUUCGGACGCCCUGUCGAACCCGCAGCAACUCGCCAACAAGAGGCACCGAGGCCGAGUAGGCCAAAAAGGAAGGCGGUCAGGACGGAGACGCCGGUGCAAAGGUAUAAAAGCCCCGCUCCGUGGUUGUCAUCUUUCUCAAAAUGUAAUGACGCCCGUGUUUCUUUAAUAGAAAGACCGCUCGCCGGAAUAUGUCUGGUGAUGUUGCUGAUCACGCCUCCACCAGUCGGGCGCCAGGACCGGACAUAGAGGCGGAAGCCGAUAUGGGGCAGGCGCCGGAUAUUCCCCCUACAGAGGAUGCGGAUAGAUUAUCCGCUACUAACUCAGAAGUGGAAAGUGCCAUGAAUCAUAGGCGCCGCCGGGCCGUACUCCGUGAUGCUUGUUUCUCACCGGAGGCAUUUGAUGCCUUUAAUUCCAGAGAGGCAUACCUCCGUGCUGCUCAAGAUGGUCUAGCCAGAGCCAUUGAUCAGUAUGUAAAGGAUGUAUGGGUAAGUAAAUUUGGCGAUUUAUAUGUAUCAGUAGCCCCUGAGACUUGAAACUGUUAGCAGAACUGAUUUAAGGAUCAUCUUUAUUGUGCAGGUUCUUAUAGAGAAGAAUACUAAGCUGUCCCAGGAGCUGGAGGAAUGCAAGACCCAACUGCGGGCCACUGUUGCCGCAUUGCAGGAAUCGAAAAAGCCUCCCGCUGGUAACAUUUACUUUAAAGAAUGAUGGUUACCAUAUAGUGUGCGGCGUGGCUGCAGAUCUAACAAUAGAUUUUGCAGAUGAAUCCGGAGAAAAUCCGGAGGACCAGCAUGUCGUGCGACAGCUAGAGGCUGGCAAACGCGUGCUGACUGAGGUUAGGCGGGAGAAAAACAAUCUCCAAGACGCCAAUGUCAAGCUGAGGGUGUAACUAAAAGACGUUCGAGCCCAGCUUGCAGACUCCGAGAAGGAGAAAAAGCGGCUUUGGCGCGGCAUUUUCAGUAAGUGCUUGAACGAAUCCUUUUGAAGGAGUUCGACAAAGAAGCCGACUAACAGCAUUAUGUCUUUAGGUAUGCUGAUGGAUCGUCCUGCGGAGGAAAUGCCUGGGUCUGCAGGUGAUCUUCUAUCCGAGCUCUCACAUCUGCACGAACAAGUUCGGCAGGUGAUGCAAGGUGUUGCCCAGGCCUUGUGGCCAUCCUCCUCCCUGCCAGAAGGCGUUGCAGAGCUUACGGAGAAGCUCAAGGGAGCAUGGUGGCGCUUCCGAUUAUGGAAGAUAUCGGCCUGCCGAUAAGGUGCCCGAGAAGCCUGGGCCAUGGUGAAGACGCGGUACACCAAGGCUGACCCAAAUCACAUGGUCGAGGUCGGACCUGUGGGGCCCGAUGGAAAAGAGAUCCCCGUUAGCUUAGUUUAUGGGAAAGUAGAAUUAGCCGCAAAGUAUUCCCAACAGGAUUGUAGGCUAGACCGCCUAUUGGAUGGUAUAGAGGAGGAAUUUAGUCAGUCUGCAUGACUAUGUAAUUAAAGUGACAUGUAUAAUGCCUUCUAGCCGGAUUGUAGAUCAUUUGUCAUGGCGGACCUUUUCGCUUCAACCUCGGUACCCGAUAGCCCGGAGUGUAUCCGAAUACCCGCUCAGCUAUAUAAGAACCAGGGUAUGCGUGGAGACCAGGCGUAGGGGUCAUUGGUGCUUGAACAGACAAGUGCCCAACUAGUUAUGUUAUAUUACAUGGGUAGUAAGAAACAUCUUCCAGGGAGAAUAGUUCCAUUAAGGGUUCCUUUCCCUGGGUAAGCAUGCCCUAAAGUGCAUGUCCGGACUGCGAUAGGAAACGCAGGAAAAAACAUCUGGGGGCAGAUAUGGAAAAUAAAUAAAAAUCAUCUUUUGUUCGCCGACCGAAUAUUCCCUUAAGAACGCUAGCUUUUGGCUUCACCCAGUCUGAGGUACACAUCCGGCUGACCCGGCAGUAACAAUCGCAGAGGUGCUCCCCUUAUGCCCUAGCCAAAUUAACGGGAACGUAGGGCAUAAAUACAAGAGCCAGGCAAUCCAGCUUGGCCAAAACUUAAGUCAUAUCGAUGCAUAUAAUGGCGAAAAAAGGUACAUGUGGAAGCAUAACACAUGUGAGGGGCACGAGGCCCAAAUAAAUAAUCAAGCUUCUGUGAAAGAAGCCCCCAGGUAUGCUGAGUGCAGCUAGCGCAUCUGUAAUGUGCAAACGAGGCGCAAGUUGGCCUUUGAAGGCCUGGAGAAAGAAUAAAAGAAAGAAAGAAAAACAAGAUAGAUAAUGUAUAAAAAAUGGACAGAGGAAGGGGACGAACACAGCGUCCGGCGCUAGGCGUAGAAUCUUCGGAGCCUGGCCGCGUUCCAUGGGUUCGGCUCGAGUCGAUUAGUCGAUGCAUCCCGCAGUCGGUACGCUCCACCGGUCAGAACUUGGUCAAUAAUGAAGGGACCUUCCCAUUUGGGCUCGAGCUUGUUCUUUUUCUUAUCCGACAGACGUAGAACUAGUUCGCCAACAUUAUAAGUUUUGGCCCGUACUUCUCUGCUUUGGUAUUUGCGAGCCUGUUGCUGAUAAAAUGCGGAACAGGCUUUUGCCACGUUGCGCUCCUCCACCAAGGUGUCUAGACUGUCCUGCCGAUCAAGCUCGGCUUCUCUUUCUUCGUACAUGCGCACUCGAGGUGAGUCAUGAAUUAUGUCACAGGGCAAGACUGCCUCUGCGCCGUACACCAUAAAGAAGGGUGUAUAUCUGGUACUACGGUUCAGCGUGGUCCGCAGCCCCAGAGUAUGGAGUCGAGCUCCUCUACCUAGUGCGCGUUAGACUCUGUUAAGGACCGCACUAGCCUGGGUUUAAUGCCGCUCAUUAUAAGACCGUUCGCGUGCUCCACUUGAUUGUUGGUUUGUGGGUGAUAGACCGAAGCAUAAUCGAGCCUGAUGCCCAUUUUGCUGCACCAGAGUUUUACCUCAUCGACAGUAAAGUUCGUGCCGUUGUCAGUGAUGAUGCUAUGAGGGACGCCAUAACAGUGUACAACCCCGGAUAUGAAGUCUAUCACCAGUCCGGAUUCGGCUGUUUUAACAGGUUUGGCCUCUAUCCAUUUGGUGAAUUUAUCCACCAUGACCAGUAAGUAUUUUUUCUUGUGGGUUCCCCCUUUAAGGGGUCCAACCAUGUCAAGCCCCCAGACCGUGAAGGGCCACGUAAUGGGGAUUGUUUGUAGGGCGAUGGGUGGCAUGUGGCUUUGAUUUGCAAAGAGCUGGCAACCGGCGCAACAUUGGACCAAGUCCUAUGCAUCUGCCCGGGCCGUUGGCCAAUAGAAUCCUGUACGGAAGGCCUUGCUGACAAGAGCUCGGGCUGCGGCAUGGUGACCGCCGAGUCCGGCAUGAAUUUCUGCCAAAAGGUUCCGUCCUUCCUCUUCGGAGAUACACCUUUGAAGGACUCCGGUAGUGCUUUUUUAAUACAAUUCUCCCUCAUGGACCCUGUAGGCCUUAGAUCGCCGCACUAUGUAGCGUGCCUCAUUUUGGUCCUCCGGAAGUUCCUGCCUAGUUAGGUAGGCCAGGAAUGGUUCUGUCCAGGUGGCUAUGAUGGCCAUUAUUACGUGGGCCGAAGGUGUUAUUUCGGUGGCGGGGCCUCCGAUUGUGUCAGAGUGUUCGGUAUCGGGUAUUUUGGCCGGGUCCAGAUUAUUGUUACCGGUGUCCCCUUCCCAUACUACGGAUGGCUUUAACAACCUCUCCAAAAAUAUGUUGGGGGGACCGUGUCGUGUUUUGCGCCGAUGUGGGCGAGGAUAUCCGCCGCCUGAUUGUUUUCCCGAGCCACAUGAUGAAAUUUGAGCCCCUCGAACUGAGUUGACAUUUUUAGGAUGGCGUUGCAAUAGGCCGCCAUUUUCGAAUCCUUGGCAUCAAAGUCUCCAUUUAUUUGGGAUAUUGCGAGGUUUGAAUCCCCACGCACCUCCAGGCAUUGAAUGCCCAUGGAGACUGCCAUCCGAAGACCAUGCAACAGAGCUUCAUAUUCGGCUGCGUUGUUGGAGUCUGUGUACAGUAUUUGUAGUACGUACUGAACGGUAUCUCCGGUUGGGGACGUCAAGACGAUGCCAUCCCCUAGACCAGCCAGCAUUUUAGAACCGUCGAAGUGCAUGAUCCAAUUGGAGUAUGCGCCAUACUCUUUAGGGAGUUCGGCCUCCGUCCAUUCGGCGAGGAAGUCGGCCAAUACUUGCGACUUAAUGGCUCGUCGAGGUUUGUAUGUUAUGUCGAACGGGAGGAGCUCGAUGGCCCAUUUGGCAAUCCAGCCCAUAGCAUCGUGGUUGUUUAUAAUAUCAUUAAGUGGCACUUCCGAGGCUACUAUAAUCGAACACUCUUGAAAGUAGUGUCGCAGCUUCCAGGAUGCCAUGAAUAACGCAUAGGCUAUCUUUUGAUAAUGUGGGUACCGUGAUUUGCAUGGAGUGAGGGCAGUGGAUACAUAGUAUACCAGCUUUUGAAGAGGGAAUUUAUGUCCGUCCGCUUCUCGUUCGACAACAAGCACUGCGCUGACAACUUGAUGAGUUGCCGCAAUGUACAACAACAUUGGUUCGCCGAUGUUUGGCGCGGCCAGGAUUGGGUUGGUUGCCAAAAUGGCCUUUAUUUCUUCCAAUCCGGUUGUGGCCGCGUCCGUCCACUCGAAGUGUUCGGUGCGCUGAAGGAGGCGAUAAAGGGGUAAAGCCUUUUCUCCUAAGCGGGAGAUAAAGAGGCUUAGAGCCGCCACGCAUCCAGUUAACUUCUGGAUUUGUUUGAGGUCUGUUGGGGUAGCCAACUGUGACAAAGCUCGGAUUUUGGCCGGAUUAGCUUCAAUAUCUCUACUGGAGACAAUGAAACCCAGGAGCUUUCUGGCUGGUACGCCGAAAACGCAUUUUUCUGGAUUGAGCUUGAUGUCGUAUAUUCGGAGGUUGUCGAAUGUGAGCCUCAAGUCGUCUAUCAAAAAGUCGACGUGUUUGGUUUUGAUGACCACAUCGUCUACGUAUGCCUCUACUGUUUUGCCGAUUUGUUUCUCCAGACAUGUCUGAAUCAUGUGCUAAUAUGUUGCGCCGGCGUUUUUGAGCCCAAAAGGCAUUGUGUUAAAAUAGAAGGGACCGUAUGGUGUGAUGAAUGCUGUUGCGGCUUGAUCAGACUCUGCCAUCUUGAUUUGGUGGUAACCGGAGUAUGCGUCGAGGAAACACAAUGACCCGUGUCCUACGGUAGCAUCAAUAAUUUGAUCGAUGCGGGGGAGGGGGAAGGGAUCCUUUGGGCAAGCUUUAUUGAGGUCCUUGAAAUCGGCACAAAGGCGCCAGGAUUUAUCCUUCUUUGGUACCAUCACCAGGUUUGCUAGCCAGUCCUGGUGUUUUAUUUCUCUGAUGAAUCCGGCCUCCAAUAACUUGGCUAGUUCCUCUCCCAUGGCCUGUCUCUUAGGUUCGGAGAAACGCCGAAGAGCUUUCUUGACCAGCUUGAAUCCCUUUAGGAUAUUGAGGCUAUGCUCGGCCAGCCUGCGUGGGAUUCCUGGCAUGUCUGAGGGAUGAAAGGCGAAUAUGUCCCAAUUCUUGCGCAGGAACUCUCGUAGUGCGGCGUCCACGGCGGGGUUUAACUGUGCCCCGACGGAGGCUGUUUUUGUAGGGUCCGUUGGGUGGACUUGGAAUUUGACUAUUUCAUCCGCUGGUUUAAAGGAGGUGGACUUGGAUCUCUUGUCGAGUAUCACAUCGUCCCUGUCCACUGUGGAGUGUAGCGUGGUUAAUUCCUCGGCCGAGAGGGCUUCAGAUAAUGCCUCGAGGGCCAGUGCGGCUGUUUUUUUUCGGUGCGGAGUGCUGUGUCCAGAUCACUGGCGAGAGUGAUAAUUCCAUUGGGCUCGGGCAUUUUGAGCUUCAUGUACCCGUAAUGGGGUACGGCUUGGAAGAUUGUGAAGCCUCCCGCCCUAAAAGAGCAUGAUAACCACUGCUGAACGGGGCCACUUGGAAUGUAAUUUCUUCGGACCUGUAAUUAUCCGGCGUGCCGAAUAGCACAUCUAGUGUGAUUUUCCCAGCACAACAUGCUUCCCGACUAGGGAUGAUUACUCUAAAGGUUGUGCUAGUUUGCUCAAUGCGGUUCCAGUCUAUUUCCAUCUUUUGAAGAGUUUCCUCAUAGAUGAGGUUUAAUCCACUACCACCGUCCAUGAGUACUUUGGUGAGUCGAAAGCCGUCCACGAUUGGGCUGAGGACCAGUGCAGCUGGUGGUCGGGCUGUUCGGAAUUUAGGUUCAUCACUGGCAUUGAAGGUGAUAGCCGUGUCACUCCAUGGAUUUAUUGCUGCCACAUGGCAGAUUUCGGCAAUGCUGCGGAGUGUUCGCUUGCGCCUAUUAUUUGAUGCGAAGGUCUCAAAGACUGUUAAUACCAUAUUGCUAUCCGUGGGAUGGUGCUCUGCGGCAUGUGGGAUGAGAAGAUCCUCACUGCUUUUAGCCACCUGCCGGAGUAUCCAACAUGCUCUAAGGUUGUGUGUUGGUAUGGUAUCCGUACUAUGAAUUUUCCAGGGGCCGUUAAGCCAUCCCUCCAGUACGGUUCCAUGCCGUGUAUAGGGUUUUUGUUUCUUGGCAACUAGCUCGGGUGUCUUAUGAUAAUGCACCCUUUUACUUCGGACUGGGUGUAUAUUUGGAGCCGGAUUAUCCAAAAAAUUCUUUUCGUUUUCCAGGCGCUUUCCAUCACACAGUACUUUCGCACUAUGGACGCCAAGUUAGCGAAGCGUGAUAUGUCACGGCGAAUUAAGGCGUUAAGGAUUCCCUUGUCCGUGCAAUUAUUGCAGAAAAGUGAGAUUGCAUCUUCCUCGCGACAGUCCCUAACCUUGUUCAACACAAGGAGGAAUCUGGCCCAAUAAUGAUGUACUGUUUCAUGGGGCUCUUGUCUGAUGUUGGAAAGAUCAUUUAUGCCUGGGUGGGUGGGUGGAUUUGAGUCCGAACCCCUACCCGAUCCGAGACCCAGGGGCCGAGGGGUUUCCGAUCUUGGAAGUUCGGAUUCCGGUAUGUUGCCCAAGGAGUCUGGCCCGCUGCCUGACUCUAGGUUCAGGGUUUGGGUGAUGUCCUCCCGUGAACGGGUAUCCGGCUCGGAGAGCUCAGGUAUUCGGACAUAGUUAGUCCUCAAAAUAGAGGAAGAGUUGCCGCAUUGUUCCUCCACAACCGCAACAUGAUGGGUGACCGGUGGAGAGUUAAUCUCCCGUUGAUCGGGUUUAAACCCAAUCCGAUCAUAGUCCAUAGCGACUCCCAAGGCGGCGAUGCGAUCCAAGAGUUCAUUUAGGGAGGAGAGCUCCAUUGGAUCCAUCUGCUCGACGAAUUCCGAGCCAGCAUGGAGGCUAUUUUCGAUGACCCGAGAAGUCAUCGUCGGUGCAGCAGCCGAACAGGCGGUCAUGACGAAGCUGCCAAGCCGGAGAGUUUGGCCGACAGCCAGGGCUGCUCCGGCGGUAAUGUUGUUUUUAACAACAAGAUGAGGCAUCCUUCCUUACCGCGAUGACACAGAGGAACUCUCAAUGAAAGCACCAAUGUCGGUGUCAAAACCGGCGGAUCUCGGGUAGGGGGUCUCGAACUGUGCGUCUAAGGCAGAUGGUAACAGGAGGCAGGGGACACGAUGUUUUACCCAGGUUCGGGCCCUCUUGAUGGAGGUAAAACCCUACGUCCUGCUUGAUUUAUUCUUGAUGAUAUGGGUAUUACAAGAGUUGAUCUACCACGAGAUCGGAGAGGCUAAACCCUAGAAGCUAGCCUAUGGUAUGAUUGUUGUUGUCCUACGGACCUAAACCUUCUGGUUUAUAUAGACAUCGGAAGGGGCUAGGGUUACACAAGGUCAGUUACAAAGGACGAGGUAUACAUAUCCGUAUUGCCUAGCUUGCCUUCCACGCCAAUUAGAGUCCCAUCCGGACACGGGACGAAGUCUUCAAUCUUGUAUCUUCAUAGUCCAAUAGUCCGGCCGAAGGAUAUAAUCCGGCUGUCGAGAUACCCCCUAAUCCUGGACUCCCUCAGUUAGCAUCUUAUUCAAGAUUUCUAACGCAUUGGAAGAAAGGGUUUGAAAGCUUACCCAACCAAGGUUUUUAGAGGAGGGAGUUGGGUUGCUGUCGACUCGCCAGAGGAUGAGGGAGGUGUCACCUGAUAAUUUGAAUCGGACGGAUUAAGAGGUUGUUUGAAAUAACCUGCCUUGGGAUAAGAAUUGUCAGAAGUGGGAGAGACCUCAGACCGGCGCUUCCGAACCAGGGUAUCAGGUAAACCGGCUGAAGUGACCUGUUGGCCACUAUGCCGGGUUGUCCGGCGAGCUUCAUGCUGCUGUGUCUCCAAAAUAAAUGUUGGAUCAAAGUAAGCAAGAGGAUGAGAAAAGCUUACUUUCCGGACUGCUUGACGGGUUUUUUUGUGUUGGCAUAGAGUCUAAAUCGGAGGAAAUGGUAAUUACCUCUACAUCAUCAGCUUGGCUGCCCUCUACGUCCUCCUGAUAAAGAUCAUUGUUAAUGAGGUGCAUGAAAAGGGAGCCAACUGAGUCAAGUUCUACCUCAGCUUCCGAAUCAUCGACAUCUUCAUCAAGUUCCAUGCUGAUCCGGUCAGUCAUUUUCUGCUUUGAGGUACGUUUGACAGCUUUGGUUUUGGGACGGGAUGGCUUUGCCGCUUUAUCUGCGGAUUUCCGUUUCCAGAAGGGAUCAUCACCCUGUUCAUACACAAAUAGAGGAAAGUUCACAAGUUGAACAAAUCAAAAGAUAUCAAAGAUAAAAAGGAAGCAUUGUGCUUACAGCAGGCGGUUUAUUCUGAGUGUAGAAGGGGCUCAAGCCGGUUUGGCGACAAACUGAUUCCGGUUCAUUCAAAAUUUUCUUGACGCUUUCAGUGACCUCUUCAUCGGUUACCUGAAUGUUGAUGUGGCAUUGGGGGUCUUCAACUUCACCGGUAUACUCACACAUUAAACCGGGGCAGCGGCUUAGUGGCAAGACGCUCCAUGAUAUCCAGCAAUGCACAAAAUUAACGGCUGUUAAACCGCUGGCCAUAAAGGCCCGAAGUUUGGCGAGUUCAGGGGCAUAUUUGGCCCAUUCCGCAGAGCUUAAACGUUGAGGAAGUGGAUGAGUGUUGGAAAGCCGGUGAUCAUGAUAGCCUCGAAGAGGGUUUUCAUCUUUAGGGGAGGUAUCUCUGUAGUAGAACCAAGUCUGGUUUUAUUCCUUAGGGUGACUAUGCAGUUUGACAUGAGGAAAUUCAACUUCCUUCCGCUUUUGAAUAGAAACACCACCAAGUUCAGUGUUGGGACCAUUUACAAAUUUUGUAUGCCGGUUCAGAUGAAAGAAGUCCCGGAACAACUCAGCAGUCGGUUCUUCUUGUAAGUACACUUCACAGAAGACCUGGAAGUUGCAUAGAUUGGACACCGAGUUGGGUCCGAUAUCUUGAGGAUGGAGUUGGAAACUGGCAAGCACAUCUCGGUAAAACUUUGAACCUGGCGGUUUGAAACCACGACCUAUGUGGUCGACAAAGACCACAACCUCACCCUGCCUCGGGGUUGGAGGAUUUUCUGUUCCUGGAACUCACCAUCGAACUUCAGUUUUCUUACACAAGGUGCCGAUGCUGACCAUUCCGUUCAACUGUUCCUCGGUGACCCGAAUGAGCCCAAUUGCAAGCGGCAAACUGUUUGGCCAUUGUGAAACAAAAACCUGGAAAAGAAAUGCCGGUUUACAAAUCAUUCACGAUGGUACGCGAGAUGCAGUAGAAUAAAGAUAUACAGGUAUGUGAAGUUGCGUAAACCGGAGACUAAUACAAUAGUGAAUGACAAGGUCAUAUCAAGGGCAUACAUGUGUUGUUAAACCGGACUAUUACCAUCAACGUAAAGAAGGUUUGCCGGUUUACUAGGUGACUAAUGGUAUGAGAUAGAUUGUUUUUACAAAGGUAAACCGCCUAGAUGGUAAAGAGGAUACAAAUCUAAGGCGAAGAGGGUUAAGUAAGGUAAAAACAAGUUUCACAGGAUCACAGGGGCAUUUUGGAUCUACCACAGGUCAGGAAAACAAAAAGAUUUAGACCUAAAAAAGUUGGUCUUGGAGCAGUUCAUGACAGCACAGAUCAAGGUUCUUUUUUAUGCGCAUAAAGGCUUGAUUUAAAACAAACAAGAAGGGGAGCUCUAGAACUAUCGCACGGAGCAUAUCAAGCCUAAGGUUUACUGUCUAAAGACUGGCGAAGAACGAGAAAGGAACACCAUGAACUUGCUGGAACCCUAAUGGAUCUAGAAAGGAAGGAGGGAAGGACUUACUGCGUCUGCGGAAGCAGCGGAGGUGUGCUGCGGGGCUCUGGUACGAACAGGUUGAUGCAGCGGCCGACGGUGAGGCAGAGGCGAGGCUUGACGAUGGCGGCGGCGCUCAAGUGCGGAGACGUCGCAAGGAAGAAGAAGGGAUGAAGGGGCAACCGAAAGAAAAGAAAGGGGUCCUCUGCCCCUAUUUAUAAGGCGAAGCGAUAAAACGGCAAGUGCGGGAAUCGAGGAGCUCAAAAAUGGAUAGUUAAUAAUGGUGUCGCCUCGAUGACUGGAUAUGCAUUAAUGAAGGUAAUCCUCAGCUUCAACGAAUAGAUGACGUCAGGGCGGUUUGUUAUGAUCCUGGAGCAUGACAUCACGGCGGUUUACAAGAUCAAAGUGAAGAUGCAAAGGAGGAGUUUUUCUAAGUGUUGAAGAUUGACAUGAACCAGUUCAAACCAAUCUGGGGCCUAAUGUUGGGGAUAUUACUACUGGACGUAAACCGGCCAGGAGUAGCCGGGUUAACUUUAUGAAGAUUAGAAGCCCAUAAGAAUGAUGGUACUUUGUGAAGGCCCAAGGCCCAAAGGCGAGUUAACACUUGUAGAUGUAAACCGACCUAAUUAUGUAACUUGCAUUGUAAGAUAGGAAGUAUAGAGACCGAACCGGACACGUUUAUGAUCCGGCUUCGGGAGUCUGUAAACCGGCGUGCGUCAACCUAUGUAUAUAAAGGGACAACCCGACAGCGGUUUAGGGACGACAGACAAUAACUCGAGAGCCAGACAAAGCGGAUUCGCUCCCUGGUCUUCGAAACCCUAGCAAUACCAAUCACAACUAGACGUAGGCUUUUACCUUCAUCGAAGGGGCCGAACUAGUAUAAACUCCCCGUGUCCCCUUGUCUGGUUUAACCCCUUUAAGCUAACCUGUUGCGAUGGCUCCACGACUAAGUCCUUGCACAAGGACAUCUGCCGUGACAAACCCACGACACUUCCCUAGAAACAAAAUUAUAUAAAUUACCAUAUGAAUCUAUUAUGAGAGCCACUUAUGGAUUGCCUACAAAAUAUGGCAAUGCCUAGAUCUAUCCUCGCUUUUAUGCCAAGCUAGGGGCAUUAAACGAUAGCACUUGUUGGGAGGCAACCCAAUUUUAUUUGUGUUCCUUGCUUUUUGUUCCUGUUUAUUAAUAAAUAAUUUAUAUAGCCUCUAUUUUUGUUGUGUUUUUUUGUGUUUAAUUAGUGUUUAUGCCAAGUAGAACCGUUGGGAAGACUUGGGGAAAGUCUUUUUGAUCUUGCUGUAAAAAACAGAAACUUUAGCCCUCACGAGAAUUGCUGCCAUUUUUUAUUGGAGAGUGAUAUUUAGUUAAUUAUUUUUGAAGAUGAUUAAUAUAUAAAUUCCUCACGUCCAGAAAUUUAUUUUAGAAUUUUUGGGGUUCCAGAAGUUUGCGUUAGUUACAGAUUACUACACACUGUUCUGUUUUUGACAGAUUCUGUUUUUCGCGUGUUGUUUGCUUAUUUUGAUGAAUCUAUGUCUAGUGAUGUAGUUUAUAAACCAUAGAGAAGUUGGAAUACAGUAGGUUUAACACCAAUAUAAAUAAAUAAUGAUUUCAUUACAGUACCUUGAAGUGGUGUUUUGUUUUCUUUCGCUAACGGAGCUAACAAGAUUUUCUGUUAAGUUUUGUGUUGUGAAGUUUUCAAGGUUUGGGUAAAGAUUUGAUGGAUUAUGGAACAAGGAGUGGCAAGAGCCUAAGCUUUGGGAUGCCCAAGGCAACCCAAGGUAAAAUCCAUGGACACCGAUAAGCCUAAGCUUGGGGAUGCCCCGGAAGGCAUCCCCUCUUUUGUCUUCGUCUAUCGGUAACUUUACUUGGAACUAUAUUUUUAUUCACCACAUUAUAUGUGUUUUGCUUGGAGCGUCUUGUAUGAUUUGAGUCUUUGCUUUUUAGUUUACCACAAUCAUCCUUCCUGUACACACCUUUUGGUAAAGACACACAUGAAUCGGAAUUUGUUAGAAUACUCUAUGUGCUUCACUUAUAUCUUUUGAGCUAUAUAGUUUUUGCUCUAGUGCUUCACUUAUAUCUUUUAGAGCACGGUGGUGGUUUUAUUUUAUAGAAAUAAUUGAUCUCUCAUGCUUCACUUAUAUUAUUUUGAGAGUCCUUUAGAACAGCAUGGUAAUUUGCUUUUAGGCAUAAUAAAAACUUUCAUAUAAGUGCAUUGAAUACUAUGAGAAGUUUGAUACUUGAUAAUUGUUUUAGAUAUGGAGAUGGUGAUAUUAGAGUCAUGCUAGUUGAUUAAUUGUGAAUUUGAGAAAUACUUGUGUUGAAGUUUGUGAUUCCCGUAGCAUGCACGUAUGGUGAACCGUUAUGUGAUGAAGUCGGAGCAUGAUUUAUUUAUUUAUUGUCUUCCUUAUGAGUGGCGGUCGGGGACGAGCGAUGGUCUUUUCUGUUGGAAAUAUGCCCUAGAGGCAAUGAUAAAUUAGUUAUUAUUAUAUUUCCUUGUUCAUGAUAAUCGUUUAUUAUCCAUGCUAGAAUUGUAUUGAUAGGAAACUCAGAUACAUGUGUGGAUACAUAGACAACACCAUGUCCCUAGUAAGCCUCUAGUUGACUAGCUCGUUGAUCAAUAGAUGGUUACGGUUUCCUGACCAUGGACAUUGGAUGUCGUUGAUAACGGGAUCACAUCAUUGGGAGAAUGAUGUGAUGGACAAGACCCAAUCCUAAGCCUAGCACAAAGAUCGUGUAGUUCGUAUGCUAAAGCUUUUCUAAUGUCAAGUAUCAUUUCCUUAGACCAUGAGAUUGUGCAACUCCCGGAUACUGUAGGAAUACUUUGGGUGUGCCAAACGUCACAACGUAACUGGGUGGCUAUAAAGGUACACUACAGGUAUCUCCGAAAGUGUCUGUUGGGUUGGCACAAAUCGAGACUGGGAUUUGUCACUCCGUGUGACGGAGAGGUAUCUCUGGGCCCACUCGGUAGGACAUCAUCAUAAUGUGCACAAUGUGAUCAAGGAGUUGAUCAUGGGAUGAUGUGUUACGGAACGAGUAAAGAGACUUGCCGAUAACGAGAUUGAACAAGGUAUCGGGAUACCGACGAUCGAAUCUCGGGCAAGUAUCGUACCGAUAGACAAAGGGAAUUGUAUACAUGAUUGAUUAAGUCCUUGACAUCGUGGUUCAUCCGAUGAGAUCAUCGUGGAGCAUGUGGGAACCAACAUGGGUAUCUAGAUCCCGCUAUUGGUUAUUGGCCAGAGAACGUCUCGGUCAUGUCUGCAUGGUUCCCGAACCCGUAGGGUCUACACACUUAAGGUUCGGUGACGCUAGGGUUAUAGAGAUAUUAGUAUGCGGUAACGUGAAAGUUGUUCGGAGUCCCGGAUGAGAUCCCGGACGUCACGAGGAGUUCCGGAAUGGUCCGGAGGUAAAGAAUUAUAUAUAGGAAGUGCUAUUUCGGCCAUCGGGACAAGUUUCCGGGUCACCGGUAUUGUACCGGGACCACCGGAAGGGUCCCGGGGGUCCACCGAGUGGGGCCACUUGCCCCAGGGGGGCCACAUGGGCUGUAGGGGGUGCGCCUUGGCCUAUAUGGGCCAAGGGCACCAGCCCUAAGAGGCCCAUGCACCAAGAGAUGAGAGAAAGGAAGAGUCCUAAAGGGGGAAGGCACCUCCUAGGUGCCUUCGGGAGGAUGGACUCCUCCCUUGGCCGCACCCUUCCUUGGAGGAAGGGCCAAGGCUGCGCCCCCCUCUCCCUUGGCCCUAUAUAUAGUGGGGGGAAGGGAGGGCAGCAACACCUAAGCCCUGGCGCCUCCCUCUCCCUCCCAUGACACAUCUCCCUCCUCCCGCAGCGCUUGGCGAAGCCCUGUUGGAAUCCCGCUACUUCCACCACCACGCCGUCGUGCUGCUGGAUCUCCAUCAACCUCUCCUUCCCCCUUGCGGAUCAAGAAGGAGGAUACGUUGCUGCUCCGUACGUGUGUUGAACGCGGAGGUGCCGUCCGUUCGGCGCUAGGAUCAUCGGUGAUUUGGAUCACGACGAGUAUGACUCCAUCAACCCCGUUCUCUUGAAUGCUUCCGCGCGCGAUCUACAAGGGUAUGUAGAUCCACUCCUCCCUCGUUGCUAGAUGACUCCAUAGAUAGAUCUUGGUGACACAUAGGAAAAUUUUGAAUUUAUGCUACAUUCCCCAACAGUGGCAUCAUGAGCUAGGUCUAUGCGUAGUUUCUAUGCACGAGUAAAACACAAAGUAGUUGUGGGCGUUGAUUUUGUUCAAUAUGCUUACCUUUACUAGUCCAAUCUUGAUUCGGUGGCAUUGUGGGAUGAAACGGCCUGGACCGACCUUACACGUACUCUUACGUGAGACUGGUUCCACCGACUGGCAUGCACUAGUUGCAUAAGGUGGCUAGCGGGUGUCUGUCUCUCCCACUUUAGUCGGAUCGGAUUCGAUGAAAAGGGUCCUUAUGAAGGGUAAAUAGCAAUUGGAAUAUCACGUUGUGGUUUUUGCAUAGGUAAGAAACGUUCUUGCUAGAAACCCAUAGCAGCCAUGUAAAACAUGCAAACAACAAUUAGAGGACGUCUAACUUGUUUUUGCAGGGUAUGCUAUGUGAUGUGAUAUGGCCAAAAGGAUGUGAUGAAUGAUAUAUGUGAUGUAUGAGAUUGAUCAUGUUCUUGUAAUAGGAAUCACGACUUGCAUGUCGAUGAGUAUGACAACCGGCAGGAGCCAUAGGAGUUGUCUUAAUUUAUUUAUGACCUGCGUGUCAACAUAAACAUCAUGUAAUUACUUUACUUUAUUGCUAACCGUUAGCUAUAGUAGUAGAAUUAAUAGUUGACGAGACAAAUUCAUGAAGACACGAUGAUAGAGAUCAUGAUGAUGGAGAUCAUGGUGUCAUGCCGGUGACGAUGAUGAUCAUGGAGCCCCGAAGAUGGAGAUCAAGAGGAGCAAAGUGAUGAUGGCCAUAUCAUGUCACUAUUUGAUUGCAUGUGAUGUUUAUCAUGUUUAUGCAUCUUGUUUACUUAGAACGAUGGUAGUAAAUAAGAUGAUCCCUCAUAAUAAUUUCAAGAAAGUGUUCCCCCUAACUGUGCACCAUUGCGACAGUUCGUUGUUUCGAAGCACCACGUGAUGAUCGGGUGUUAGAUUCUAACGUUCACAUACAACGGGUGUAAGACAUAUUUACACACGCGAAACACUUAGGUUGACUUGACGAGCCUAGCAUGUACAGACAUGGCCUCGGAACACAAGAGACCGAAAGGUCGAGCAUGAGUCGUAUGGUAGAUACGAUCAACAUGAAGAUGUUCACCGAUGAUGACUAAUCCGUCUCACGUGAUGAUCGGACAUGGCCUAGUUGACUCGGAUCAUGUAAUCACUUAGAUGAUUAGAGGGAUGUCUAUCUAAGUGGGAGUUCAUAAGAUGAACUUAAUUAUCCUAAACAUAGUCAAAAGGUCUUCGCAAAUUAUGUCGUGGCUCACGUUUCUAUUCUACUGUUUAGAUAUGUUCCUAGAGAAAAUUUAGUUGAAAGUUGAUAGUAGCAAUUAUGCGGACUAGGUCCGUAAACUGAGGAUUGUCCUCAUUGCUUCAUAGAAGGCUUAUGUCCUUAAUGCACCGCUCAGUGUGCUGAACCUCGAACGUUGUCUAUGGAUGUUGCGAACAUCUUACAUACACAUUUUGAUAACUACGUGAUAGUUCAGUUAAACGGCUUAGAGUUGAGGCACCGAAGACGUUUUGAAACGUCGCGAAACAUAUGAGAUGUUUCGAGGGCUGAAAUUGGGAUUUCAGGCUCGUGCCCACGUCAAGAGGUAUAAGACCUCCGACGAUUUUCUUAGCCUGCAAACUAAGGGAGAAAAGCUCAAUUGUUGAACUUGUGCUCAGAUUGUCUGAGUACAACAAUCGCUUGAAUCGAGUGGGAGUUGAUCUUCCAGAUGAAAUAGUGAUGGUUCUUCGAAGUCAUUACCACCAAGCUGCUUGAGCUUCGUGAUGAACUAUAAUAUAUCAGGGACAUAUAUGAUGAUCCUUGAGAUAUUCACGAUGUUUGACACCACAAAAGUAGAGAUCAAGAAGGAGCAUCAAUUGUUGAUGGUUGGUGAAACCACUAGUUUCAAGAAGGGCAAGGGCAAAAAGGGAUGCUUCAUGAAACGGCAAAUCAGCUGCUGCUCUAGUGAAGAAACCCAAGGUUGAACCCAAACCCGAGACUAAGUGCUUCUGUAAUAAAGGGAACAACCACUAGAGCAGAAUUACCCUAGAUACAUGGUAGAUAAGAAGGCUGGCAAGGUCGAUAGAAGUGUAUUGGAUGUAUUAUGUUAAUGUGUACUUUACUAGUACUCCUAGUAGCACCAGGGUAUUAGAUACCGGUUCGGUUGCUAAGUGUUAGUAACUCAAAAUAAAAGCUACGGAAUAAACGGAGACUAGCUAAAGGUGAGAUGACGAUAUGUAUUGGAAGUAUUUCCAAGGUUGAUAUGAUCAAGCAUCGCACGCUCCCUCUACCAUCAAGAUUGGCAUUAAAACCUAAAUAAUUGUUAUUUGGUGUUUGCGUUCAGCAUAAACAUGAUUAGAUUAUGUCUAUCGCAAUACGGUUAUUCAUUUAAAGAGAAUAAUGGUUACUCUAUUUAUUUGAAUAAUACCUUCAAUGGUCUUACACCUAAAAUGAAUGGUUUAUUGAAUCUCGAUCGUAGUGAUACACAUGUUCAUGCCAAAAGAUAGUAAUGAUAGUACCACCUACUUGCGGCACUGCCACAUAAGUCAUAUCGGUAUAAAACGCAUGAAGAAGCUCCAUGUUGAUGGAUCUUUGGGCUCACUCGUUUUUGAAAAGUUUGAGACAUGCGAACCAUGUCUAUUGGUGUAUAUUGCAUGAAGAAACUCCAUGCAAAUGGACCGUUUGAACUCACUUGAUUUUGAAUCACCUAAGACAUGCAAGUCAUACCACAUGGGCAAGAUGACUGAAAGCCUCAUUUUCAGUAAAAUGGAACUAGAAAGCAACUUGUUGGAAGUAAUACAUUUUGAUGUGUGCAGUCCAAUGAGUGCUGAGGCGUGUAGUGGAUAUCAUUAUGUUCUUACUUCACAGAUGAUUUGAGUAGAUGUUGAGUACAUUUACUUGAUGAAUCACGAGUCUGAAUUAUUGAAAGGUUCAAGUAAUUGAGGGUGAAGUUGAAAGAUCGUCGUGACAAGAGGAUAAAAUAUCUAUGAUAUGAUCAUAGAGAUGAAUAUCUGAAUUACGAGUUUGGCACAGAAUUAAGACAUUGUGGAAAUUGUUUCACAACUAAUACAGCCUGGAACACCGUAGUGUGAUGGUGUGUCCGAACAUCAUAACUGCACCCUAUUGGAUAUGAUGCAUACCAUGAUGUCUCUUAUCGAAUUACCACGAUAGUUUAUGGGUUAGGCAUUAGAGAUAACCACAUUCACUUUAAAUAGGGCACCACGUAAUUCCGAUGAGAUGACACCGUAUGAACUAUGGUUUAGAGAAACCUAAGCUGUCAUUUCUUAGAAGUUUGGGGCUGCGACGCUUAUGUGAAAAAGUUUUAGGCUGAUAAGCUCGAACCCAAAGCGGAUAAAUGCAUCUUCAUAGGACACCCAAAACAGUUGGGUAUACCUCCUAUCUCAGAUCCGAAAGCAAUAAGGGAUUGUUUCUAGAAUCGGGUCCUUUCUCGAGGAAAAGUUUCUCUCGAAAGAAUUGAGUGGGAAGAUGGUGGAGACUUGAUGAGGUUAUUGAACCGUCUCUUCAACUAGUGUGUGGAAGGGCACAGGAAGUUGUUCCUGUGGCACCUACACCAAUUGAAGUGGAAGCUUAUGAUAGUGAUCAUGAAACUUCAGAUCAAGUCACUACCAAACCUCGUAGGAUGACAAGGAUGCAUACUACUUUAGAGUGGUACGUAAUCCUGUCUUGGAAGUCAUGUUGCUAGACAACAAUGAACCUACGAGCUAUGGAGAAGCGAUGGUGGGCCUGGAUUCCGAUAAAUGGCUCGAGGCCAUAAAAUCCGAGAGAGGAUCCAUGUAUGGAAACAAAGUGUAGACUUUGACAGAACAGCUCGAUGGUCGUGAGGCUGUUGAGUACAGAUGGAUUUUAAAAGGAAGACGGACAAUGAUGGUAAAUGUCACCAUUAAGAAAGCUCGACUUGUCGUUAAGAUGUUUUCCGACAAGUUCAAGGAGUUGACUACAAUGAGACUUUCUCACUCGUAGCGAUGCUAAGAGUCUGUUGGAAUUAUAUUAGCAAUUACUGCAUUAUUUGUGAAAUCUUGCAGAUAGGAUGCCAAAAACCAUUGUUUCCUCGACGAUUUUUGAGGAAAGGUUGUAUGUGAUACAAACCGGAAGGUUUUGUCAAUCCUGAAAGAUGCUAAUAAGUAUGCAAAGCUCCAGCAAUCCUUCUAGGGACUGGAGUAAGCAUCUCGGAGUUGGAAUGUAUGCUUUGAUGAUGAUCAAAGAUUUUGGGUUUAUACAAAGUUUAUGAGAAACUUGUAUUUCCAAAGAAGUGAGUGGGAGCACUAUAGAAUUUCUGAUGAAUAUAUGUUGUUGACAUAUUGUUGAUCAGAAAUGACGUAGAAUUUCUGGAAAGCAUAUAGGGUUAUUUGGAAAGUGUUUUUCAAUGGAAAGCCUGGAUUAAGCUACUUGAACAUUGAGCAUCAAGAUCUAUAAGGAUAGAUCAGCAUGCUUAAUGGUACUUUCAAAUGAGCACAUACCUUGACAUGAUCUUGAAGGUGUUCAAGAUGGACCAGUCAAAGAAGGAGUUCUUGCCUGAGUUGUAAGGUAUGAAGUUAAGACUUAAAGCUCGACCACGGCAGAAGAAAGAGAAAGGACGAAGGUUGUCCCCUAUGCUUUUGUCAUAGGCUCUAUACGGUAUGCCAUGCUGAGUACCGCACCUGAUGUGUGCCUUGCCACAUAUCUGGCAAGAGGGUACAAAGGUAAUCUAGGAGUAGAUCACCAGAUAGCGGUCUAAAUUAUCCUUAGAGGAAUAAGGAUAUGUUUCUCGGUUAUGGAUGUGAUAAAGAGUUCGAUGUAAAGAGUUACGUCGAUGCAAGCUUAACACCUAUCCGGAUAGCUCUGAGUAGAGAUACCGAAUACGUAUAAUGGAGCAACAAUUUAGAAUAGCUCCAAGUAGAACAGUUAUUUGAAAUGGCUCCAAAUAUAGCGUAGUAGCUGCAUCUACAAGAUGACAUAGAGAUUUGCGAAGUACAUACAGAUCUGAAAGAUUCAGACCCGUUGACUAUAACAUCUCUCACAUGCAUAACAUGAUCAAACCCAGAACUCAUUGAGUGUUAAUCACAUGGUAAUGUGAACUAGAUUAUUGACUCUAGUAAACUCUUUGGGUGUUAGUCACAUGGGGAUGUGACCUUGAGUGUUAAUCACAUAUCGAUGUGAACUGGAUUAUUGACUCUAGUGCAAGUGGGAGACUGUUGGAAAUAUGCCCUAGAGGCAAUAAUAAAUUAGUUAUUAUUAUAUUUCCUUGUUCAUGAUAAUCGUUUAUUAUCCAUGCUAGAAUUGUAUUGAUAGGAAACUCAGAUACAUGUGUGGAUACAUAGACAACACCAUGUCCCUAGUAAGCCUCUAGUUGACUAGCUCGUUGAUCAAUAGAUGGUUACAGUUUCCUGACCAUGGACAUUGGAUGUCGUUGAUAACGGGAUCACAUCAUUGGGAGAAUGAUGUGAUGGACAAGACCCAAUCCUAAGCCUAGCACAAAGAUCGUGUAGUUCGUAUGCUAAAGCUUUUCUAAUGUCAAGUAUCAUUUCCUUAGACCAUGAGAUUGCGCAACUCCCGGAUACUGUAGCAAUACUUUGGGUGUGCCAAACGUCACAACGUAACUGUGUGGCUAUAAAGGUACACUACAGGUAUCUCCGAAAGUGUCUGUUGGGUUGGCACAAAUCGAGACUGGGAUUUGUCACUCCGUGUGACGGAGAGGUAUCUCUGGGCCCACUCGGUAGGACAUCAUCAUAAUGUGCACAGGAUGAUGUGUUACGGAACGAGUAAAGAGACUUGCCGGCAACGAGAUUGAACAAGGUAUCGGGAUACCGACGAUUGAAUCUCGGGCAAGUAUCGUACCGAUAGACAAAGGGAAUUGUAUACGGGAUUGAUUAAGUCCUUGACAUCGUGGUUCAUCCGAUGAGAUCAUCAUGGAGCAUGUGGGAGCCAACAUGGGUAUCCAGAUCCCGCUAUUGGUUAUUGGCCAGAGAACGUCUCGGUCAUGUCUGCAUGGUUCCCGAACCCGUAGGGUCUACACACUUAAGGUUCGGUGACGCUAGGGUUAUAGAGAUAUUAGUAUGCGGUAACCCGAAAGUUGUUAUGAGUCCCGGAUGAGAUCCCGGACGUCACGAGGAGUUCUGGAAUGGUCCGGAGGUAAAGAAUUAUAUAUAGGAAAUGCUAUUUCGGCCAUCGGGACGAGUUUCGGGGUCACCGGUAUUGUACCGGGACCACCGGAAGGGUCCCGGGGGUCCACCGGGUGGGGCCACCUGCCCCUGGGGGGCCACAUGGGCUGUAGGGGUGCGCCUUGGCCUAUAUGGUCCAAGGGCACCAGCCCCAAGAGGCCCAUGCGCCAAGAGAUGAGAGAAAGGAAGAGUCCUAAAGGGGGAAGGCACCUCCUAGGUGCCUUGGGGAGGAUGGACUCCUCCCUUGGCCGCACCCUUCCUUGGAGGAAGGGCCAAGGCUGCGCCCCCCUCUCCCUUGGCCCUAUAUAGUGGGGGGAAGGGAGGGCAGCAACACCUAAGCCAUGGCGCCUCCCUCUCCCUCCCAUGACACAUCUCCCUCCCGCAGCACUUGGCGAAGCCCUGUUGGAAUCCCGCUACUUCCACCACCACGCCGUCGUGCUGCUGGAUCUCCAUCAACCUCUCCUUCCCCCUUGCUGGAUCAAGAAGGAGGAGACAUCGCUGCUCCGUACGUGUGUUGAACGCGGAGGUGCCGUCUGUUCGGCGCUAGGAUCAUCGGUGAUUUGGAUCACGACGAGUACGAGUCCAUCAACCCUGUUCUCUUGAACGCUUCCGUGCGCGAUCUACAAGGGUAUGUAGAUCCACUCCUCCCUCGUUGCUAGAUGACUCCAUAGAUAGAUCUUGGUGACACGUAGGAAAAUUUUGAAUUUAUGCUACGUUCCCCAACAUUUUCCUACCAAUCUAUCCCCCUAGGAGCAUGCGUGUAGUACUUUGUUUCGGUAACUAAUAGAUUUUUUCAAUAAGUAUGUGAGUUCUUUAUGACUAAUGUUGAGUCCAUGGAUUAUAUGCACUCUCACCCUUCCACAUUUGCAGGCCUCUCUAUUACCGCGCACUUUUUGCCGGUAUCAUACACCCACCAUAUACCUUCCUCAAAACAGCCACCAUACCUACGUAUUAUGGCAUUUCCAUAGGCAUUCCAAGAUAUAUUGCCAUGCAACUUUCCACCGAUCCGUUUGUUAUGACAUGCUUCAUCAUUGUCAUAUUGCCAUGCAUGAUCAUAUAGUUGACAUCGUAUUUGUGGCAAAGCCACCGUUCACAAUUUUUUCAUACAUGUCACUCUUGAUUCAUUGCAUAUCUCAGUACACCGCCGGGGGCAUUCACAUAGAGUCAUAUUUUGUUCUAAGUUUUGUGUUGUAAUUCUUGAGUUGUAAGUAAAAAGAAGUGUGAUGAUCAUCAUUACUAGAGCAUUGUCCCAAUGAGGAAAGGAUGAUGGAGACUAUGAUUCCCCCACAAGUCGGGAUGAGACUCUGGACGAAAAAAAGAAAAGAGGCCAAAAGAAAAAAAGGCCCAAAAAAUGAGAGAAAAAGAGAGAAGGGACAAUGUUGCUAUCCUUUUUCCACACUUGUGCUUCAAAGUAUCACCAUGAUCUUCAUGAUAGAGAGUCUCCUAUGUUGCCACUUUCAUAAACUAGUGGGAAUUUUACAUUAUAGAACUUGGUUUGUAUAUUCCAAUGAUGGGCUUCCUCAAGUUGGCCUAGGUCUUCGUGAGCAAGCAAGUUGGAUGCACACCCACUUAGUUUAUUUUGUUGAGCUUUCAUACACUUAUAGCUCUAGUGCAUCCGUUGCAUGGAAAUCCCUACUCACUCACAUUGAUAUCUAUUGAUGGGCAUCUCCAUAGCCCGUUGAUACGCCUAGUUGAUGUGAGACUAUCUUCUCCUUUUUGUCUUCUCCACAACCACCAUUCUAUUCCACCUAUAGUUCUAUGUCCACGGCUCACGCUCAUGUAUUGCAUGAAAGUUGAAAUAGUUUGAGAACAUCAAAAGUAUGAAACAAUUGCUUGGCUUGUCAUCGGGGUUGUGCAUGAUUUAAUAUUUUGUGUGAUGAAGAUAGAGCAUAGCCAGACUAUAUGAUUUUGUAGGGAUAACUUUCUUUGGCCAUGUUAUUUUGAGAAGACAUGAUUGCUUAGUCAGUAUGCUUGAAGUAUUAUUAUUUUUAUGUCAAUAUUAAACUUUUAUCUUGAAUCUUUCGGAUCUGAACAUUCAUGCCACAAUAAAGAAAUUACAUUGAGAAAUAUGUUAGGAAGCAUUCCACAUCAAAAAUUCUGUUUUUAUCAUUUACCUACUCGAGGACGAGCGGGAAUUAAGCUUGGGGAUGCUUGAUACGUCUCCAACAAUUUUUGAUUGUUCCAUGCUAUUAUAUAUUCUGUUUUGGAUGUUUAAUGGGCUUAUUUGUACACUUUUAUAUUAUUUUUGGGACUAACCUAUUAACCAGAGGCCCAGCCCAAAUUGCUAUUUUUUGCAUAUUUGAGUGUUCCGCAGAAAAAGAAUAUCAAACGGAGUCCAAACGGAAUGAAACCUUCAGGAGCGUGAUUUUUGGAACAGACGUGAUCCAGAGGACUUGGAGUGGACGUCAAGCAACCAACGAGGAAGCCAUGAGGUAGGGGGUGCGCCUACCCACCUGGGCGCGCCCUCCACCCUCGUGGGCCCCUCGUGGCUCCACCGACCUACUUCUUCCUCCUAUAUAUACCUACGUACCCUGAAAACAUCAGAGAGCACCACGAAAACCGAAUUCCACCGCCGCAACCUUAUGUACCCGUGAGAUCCCAUCUUGGGCCUUUUCCGGCGCUCCGCUGGAGGGGGCAUUGAUCACGGAGGGCUUCUACAUCAACACCAUAGCCUCACCGAUGAUGUGUGAGUAGUUUACCUCAGACCUUCGGGUCCAUAAUUAUUAGCUAAAUGGCUUCUUCUCUCUCUUUGGAUCUCAAUACAAAGUUCUCCUCGAUUCUCUUGGAGAUCUAUUCGAUGUAAUCUUCUUUUGCGAUGUGUUUGUCGAGAUCCGAUGAAUUGUGGGUUUAUGAUCAAGAUUAUCUAUGAACAAUAUUUGAAUAUUCUCUGAAUUCUUUUAUGUAUGAUUGGUUAUCUUUGCAAGUCUCUUUGAAUUAUUAGUUUGGUUUGGCCUACUAGAUUGAUCUUUCUUGCAAUGGGAGAAGUGCUUAGAUUUGGGUUCAAUCUUGCGGUGCUCGAUCCCAGUGACAGUUGGGGAAAUGACAUGUAUUGUAUUGUUGCCAUCGAGGAUAAAAAGACGGGGUUUAUAUCAUACUGCAUGAGUUUAUCCCUCUACAUCAUGUCAUCUUGCUUAAAGCGUUACUCCAUUCUUAUGAACUUAAUACUCUAGAUGCAUGCUGGAUAGCGGUCGAGGUGUGGAUUAAUAGUAGUAGAUGUAGGGAGGAGCCGGUCUACUUGUCACGGACGUGAUGCCUAUAUACAUGAUCAUACCUAGAUAUUCUCAUAACUAUGCUCAAUUCUAUCAAUUGCUCGACAGUAAUUUGUUCACCCACCGUAAUACCUAUGCUAUCUUGAGAUAAGCCACUGGUGAAACCUAUGGCACCUGGGUCUAUUUUCCAUCAUACAAGUUUCCAAUCUAUUUUAUUUUGCAAUCUUUACUUUCAAUUUAUAUCAUAAAAAUACCAAAAAUAUUUAUCUUAUUAUUAUUAUCUCUAUCAGAUCUCACUCUUGCAAGUGGCCGUGAAGGGAUUGACAACCCCUUUAUCGCGUUGGUUGCGAGAUUCUUAUUUGUUUGUGUAGGUACGAGGUGACUCGCGUGUGGUCUCCUACUGGAUUGAUACCUUGGUUCUAAAAAACUGAGGGAAAUACUUACGCUGCUUUGCUGCAUCACCCUUUCCUCUUCCAAGGAAAACUAACGCCUGCUCACGAGGUAGGACCGUUCGUGUCAUUGAAGAAGUUGUGGGAGGUACCCGAGUCAAUAUGCCUAUUGAUACGACAAUAGCUGAAGGUCAAGAGAAUGAUGCCUAGAAUCCUGCGGCAACCAACAAUGUCAAUGAAAAGAAUGCAACCCCAGGUUGGUAACUUCACUUUUUCUGUUUAAGCCAUGAUAACUCAAGUUAAUGUUCUGACAUUAACAAAUACAAUGUCCAUUUCAUGUUUAUCCGAUGCAUUUUUUCCAUUUUGUGUGUUACUUUUGGUGUUUAUUGCAGUAGUUGACCCUGUGUUGGACUUGAGCACCCCUGGAGCUAGAGAAGAUGUCGAUGUGUAUAUAGACUAUGGUGAUUUUAUGCCACCCAACUGCUCUCUUAGGCUUGAUGCCAUCUUUGGUGCGAGUCCACAAGUGCCACCAUCUACUGAAGCAUCUCCAACGGUUCAAGCUACACCAGCAUUGGCUCCUACGGGUCAAGCUGCACCUCCAUCACCAGAUGCUUCAGCGGCGGUGGCAUCGGCUCAAGUUCAACCUGCAGCACCAGAAGCAUCGGCGACGGCGCCAUUGGCUCAAGUACCACCUGGAACACCAGAAGCAUCGGCGGCGGCGCCAUCGGCUCAAGUUCCACCUGCAGCACCAGAAGCAUCGGUGGCGCCAUCAGCUCAAGUUCCACCUGCAGCACCAGCUACUGGCCCUGUCGCGGUUCUAGGGCUUGCAUCCCCUGUUGCUGCUGACUCCAAGGGCAAGAAAGGAGGGAAAGUUGACAAUGUGCAACCGGUUGCUUGGGCUCCGCCACGCAACUCUGGUAAGUGAAGACCUUGCGUCUUUGCUUUUUAUAGCGAGAGUGAUGGAUUGACAUAUGUCAGUGUAUAGCUUUUGUUUGUGGUUGGGUGUGCUCCCGUCAUUUAUGUGUUUGGAAUUUUCUAUGCUUUCGUGUGUAUGGAUGAAUGUAAGACUACUUCUGUGCUUUGUGUGAUGAAAAUGAACAUUUGUGCUUUCAGUACCCGGAAUAUAUUUUCUGUUGUGUUCCCUAAAAAUAUUUGGUAUGACACUAGCCUAGAUGAUAACAUACAAUAUGUUCCUUUUUCUGGUAACCCCUCCUCCUGGUGAUAACUCCAACAUCUUUCCCCCUGGUAGCUUUGUCAGUUUGGAAAGUUGUUGUUAUCACACCAACCAUGUGGCUUGUAACUGAACCACUUUUAUCUAUUACUAACUUUAUUAUGCGCGUGAUACAUACAUCUCAUAUCAUUGCCUAUUUAUUUUCCUUAAUUUUUUGUCAUGCUUACUAAACAUGACUGCACUGGUAGUAGCAGGUGUGUACUCUUAUUCAUCUGAAAUUUGUUAUUAUUCCCUCAUUUUUUAGUUAUGCUGAUAAGUCUUUUACCACUAUCUUGGCAACUCAAAUGUUCAAAUCCUGAUAAUUUCUGAACCAUGGACAUGAUAACUCAAGCCAUAUAUUCAUUACCAAUUCUGGGCUAUAAAGUUCUUUUGGUCUUCUUUUUAAUACAUGUUUUGAUGCUAUCACACCUGCUCCUCAUUAUGCACCAAUGCUAUCUAAUUUGUUUUUUAAAAAGCCCAUAGCAUUGUAGUGGUAAUCCACAUUCACAUUACCUGGUAUUUUCUGCAAUGUGGGCCUGAUAACUUAAUGUAUAUUGACUCAAUUUUUGAUACUUGUUUAUUUUCAAUAUAUUAUCUUGCUUAUCACUACUGUUCAUGUCCUCAUCCCUCUCUUUUUAUUUAUGUAACACCGGAAGGUGGUCGUGUGCAAGUGUAUGAUGUCGAGAUCGAUGAUGAUGAGGUUCUCAUGUGGUGGGAAGAGUUUGAACAUGACAAUCCAGCAUUAAAAGGGAAAUUGAAUGUUCAAAUAGGUGAUUUUUUCUGCUCCAUGAACAUUGCAACCCUUGCAUAAAUCCCUUUCUUUGUUUUCCAACUAUGGAAAACAUGUGACAGUUGAUAAGUUAUGACCCACCACUUGAUAAGUCUUUCACCCUUCUGUUGAUAACUUAUGUUUUCAGUGUUUUUUUGACUUUGCUUGUCGGGGGUUGGGUGCGACAUAUGCCAAAGGAUGGCUUAUCAUGAUGGGAGCGAGUAGAACGUCGCCGGUGCCUGGAAACGGGAUAAGGCGAAGGCAUGCACGCCGGCGAAUCUUACCCAGCUUCGGGGCUCUCUGUGGAGAUAAUACCCCUACUGCUGCUCUGCGGGGUCUCCGCAUGAUCACUAUGGCAAAGUGUGUACACGGUUGCUCCUUGAGCUGUUUCUUGGAGGUAGGAGAAGGCAAGGCUAGCUCUCUCCUUCCUAUAUGAUUCCAACCCUUUGCAUGGGUGCCCUGGGGGGUUUAUAUAGGCCUACCCCCCAGGGGUACAAUGGUAAUCCGGCUGGACGCGGGCCCAGCCAUCAGUCUCUCUGGCCGCUGUCUUAUCCGCCGACUCCUGGGGCCCGCCGACUGGCUCGGUACGGAGCCGACAGGCCGCGUCCGCCGCGGGCGGGUCUUGCCGGUUGUAGAUUACUGUAGUCGUGCCUCUAAUGACGCGGGCUCGGUCAUGGGGUCGUGGCGACAGCUCCGCCGUCUGGCGGGCGAUCACUGUGGCCACUCCCUGCCGCGUCUGGUUAAUGGCGCAUGGGGCCCGUGGGAGGGGCUGGCCGACUCCUGGGGGCCGACUCCCAACUGGGCCGACUGGUGGCGCUCUCGCCGUCUUCCGUAUGCCUGCCGACUGGUGGGACCCGUCAUCCCUGGGUCGUACCGGCAGGCCGUCGUGGGCACAGGACUCCGCCCACUGGGGCUGACGUCAGGGCCGACAUGGCAACAGUGUCGCGCCAGGCGGAGAUCUCCAUGGGUACAGCGUACUGUGGCCAUGCCUGCCCUUGGAAAAGGGUGGGAGUGGACCUUACUGUGGCCACUCCCCGUCCCGUCCCUCUUUAUGAGGGCUUGGGGGUUGUUGGCGUCGCAGGCCGACUCCCCAUGGCCGGCUUCUCUAGAAGUCGCCAGUCAGGAGUCGGCUCAUCCUGAAGUCGUCCUCGGGACUCGGCCGUGAGUGGGCAGUCAGCUGCCUCGCAGCCGACUCUCAGAAGGCAGCUCUUCGUCCUGGGGUCUUGAGGGGUGCAGCCUGCCCUGAUGUCUUGAAAGGUUCUGGGCCUGGGUUAGCCUACCCAUGGCCCAUUACUCCGACAGUAGUCCCCGAAGCUGGUGAGGCACCGAAGGCGAUAUGUCGAGGAGCCUCAAUAGUUUCUUCUUUCCGGCGGUCGGAUCUGGGCCUCGCUAGCCGUCUUCUGUCAAGCCGACUAGUUGGAGCCGGACUUGCUUAAGGCCGACUUGCCCCUAAAAAAGUUUGAACGUCGUGGCGGAGUCCAGGCUGCGUGCCUGAUAAGCCUCCGGGUUGCCGCCCGUUGUGAACCCGUCGCGAGGCGCCACGUGGCUGAGCUAGUCUGCCCACCCACGUGCGCGAUGGGACAGGCCUAUAGAUGGGGCCCGCCACUACCGCGCCUCGGCAUGUGAACGGAUCCGUUGUGGCCGUGCGGACGGUUGGGCUGCCCGCGCGGUUAUUGCACGCAGUAACUUCGUGUGGUAAAUCGUGGGGGUCGUGGGUUCCCGGGCACAAUUAAUCCCACGACUGCCCCAUCGGCUUCUCAGCCUAUGAGCCUAUAAGUAGGUGGGGGGAGGGGGCGGCGACGCACGAGCGCCCAUCUUCCCUACUCCCUUUCGCUCCUUCUUGCUUCUUCUUCCUCUCGCCGCUGCUGCUCCGAACCACGCCGCACCCGCAGCGAUGAGCUCUUCCUCCACCGCCACGCCUCCUGUUGUGCGCUCCGGAGUGUGGGACGACUCCGAGGUCGAUGACGACAACGUCGAGAUCCUCCGCAAGACACGGCGGCGGCGCGGCAGGGGCUUAGUGCGGGUCCGCCUCGCGCCAGAGGGGGAAAUAUCACCGGCGCCGGAGGAGGGCGAGCGGCUCAUAUUCCGCUCGCACCUUAUGCGCAGCCUGGGGAUGCCGGCGAGCGGUUUCUUCCGCUCCUUCUUGGAGUUCCACGGGCUCUAGCCGCACCACCUUACUCCGAACACGGUGGUGCUGCUGGCUGCCUUUGCCACCUUGUGCGAAGGUUUCCUUGGUGUUCUCCCCACCAUCGAGCUCUUGGGUGAGUUCUUCCAGUCCAAGCUCGGCACACACGUCACCGGCGUGCCGGCCCAGUGCGGCGCAUUUAUCGCGAUGCGGAGAUCAGUGGCCGACAAUCCGUUUCCCACCAUCGCACUGAUUAAGUCAGUGAAGAUGCGGCAGUGGUCCUAUUUUUAUGUGAAGAACGUCGCCCCAGAAGGCGACUGGGUCAACCUGCCGGCUUACGAAGCCGGCGCGCCGGCUGGAAGGCUCCCCAGCUGGUCACACCGAGCCAGGACGUUGUCUCCUGCUGGCGCCGCCGCUGUUGCGCGACUCCGAGUGCUGAUGCAGUCGGAGGGCUUGACCGGGGCCGACUUGCUGGCCGCCUUUGUGGCGCGCCGAGUCCUCCCACUCCAAGGCCGACCUCACCUGAUCUGCCAGAUGAGCGGUCAUCAGGACCCGAGUCGGAUGUGCUCCAAGGACAUGCCUCACGCGGAGGUGGCGGACCUGGUGAACUACAUCGCGAACUGCGGUCUCUCGGUGGAUUGGCGGUUCAGCAAGGAGCCGUACUCACGUGCCAACCCCCCGCCUAUUGUAAGUCGUCUUCCUUCUUCUUCUGUUUCUUUUGUUGCCGAGUCCGACUUGUCCAGUCUGACCGUUUUUGUUUUGGAUCAGAACCCUCUCGUCCAUCCUUCGGCCGGCACCACGGGGCCGGCUCGUCAGUUUGUCCCCGAUCGGGCGGAGAGCGACGUCGACGAUCCUGACUUGGGGGCGGCGGCCAUGGAGGCCGACGCCGAGGGAGGAGGAGGAGAAGCAGGCGGCUUCAGGCCAACGGCCACUUUCGCCGACUGGCCUGAUGACGAUGCUGAGGGGGAAGUCGCCCCGCGUCACCAGCCAAAGGCUGGCCAGCCAAGCGCGAAUUCCUCCACUGCCUUGGACGCUCAAGGCAGCGCGAAGAAGCGCCGGGCCAGGCCGAGUACACUUGGUGGCCGGUCAAAGAAAUUUAAGGGAGCGGCCGCCGCGACCAAGCGGGAAGAGGCGGCCGCGAAGGCCAACCGCUUCCGCAAGGAAGUGAAGAAGCCGCCGCUGGUCUCUGCGUAAGCGCCUCCGUCCCUCAUCUUUAUUUUCUCUUUGUUGAUCUUGUCUAAGUCUCUCAUAUGCUUCCCUCACUUCAGGGCUCCCCUCACUCUUGAGAGGGUUGCCGCCGCCUCCGUUAUGGGGUCGGCGGGGACUUCUACCUCCACUCGGCAGAUUGACCCUGCCGCCGACCUCAGGGAGGCGACAGAGUGGAACGCGCAGGAGAAGCACGAGGAGGAAGAGGCCGCCCGCCUGAAGAAAGCGGAGGCCGAUACGGCGGAGACCUCCGCUCUGAAAAAGUUGGAGGAGGCCGAGGCCGCCGUCGCGGCAAGGCGGCAGGCUAAGGAGGUCGUGCACCGGCGAUCGGCGGUGUUCGUCACUCCUCUGAACUCUGCGCUGCCGCCCCCGGAGUUCACGGGGCAGUUAGGGGAAGCCGGCGGCGAGUUCCCGAUCAUGGAGAGGGGUGGCGGUGACGCCUCCAUGCCGGACGUGGUCAUCCCGCCACCGCCGCCCUCGGCGCCAUCUAGGAGCGUGCAAGGCAAGCAGCCGGCCGACCCGCCCUUGCCGCUGACUGAAGACGAGGCCGUGGCAAAGCUACUCCUUCAAGUCGGCUCGCCAAUGCGCCGCCGCCUUGAGAAGGCGACUUCGGCACCAUGCCCCUUGGAGACCGGCACCGCCAGCUCGACAAUCCCAGACGCCGAAGCGACGAGCGCCGCGCCCAUUGGGUGGGUGCAAGGAGGCGGCACGGGCCCGCUAAACCAGGCGCUUCUGGAUGUCCAGACAAAGCUGUGAGCUAAGAGCGACGCUAUCCAAAACUGCACCAAGGCGCACCUAGCGUCGCGGGCAGCCAUCCGGGUAUGCUUUUUCCCUUGUCUUUGUUUUCUUGUUCCUCUCUGUGGGGGAACGCCAGCGCAUCCACUGGGUGUAGUCCCUGAGUUUCGGGCCGGCUGCUGAGCAGGCGGCCCGGAACUCCAAUUGGUGAGUUCCGGGUACUAACUUUUGUCUGAAAUACUUGUCGCGGGACUAUCACAACCUCCGUGUCACCGCGUUCAACUGCAAUGUUGAAGAGCUAGGCAAGUGGACCGCCGACUUGUCGGAGAGCCAGAGUGAGUCCUUUUUCUUCUUUGCGGGGGCGCGCUGGUGCACCCGCGGGCUGUAGUCCCCGAGAUUCGGGCCGACUGCUGAGCAGUCGGGCCGGAUCUCCCCGGCUACCUUCUUUGUUGAUGACUUAACGCCUUCUUUCUUCUUUCUCUUCAGAGGCUAACACCAUUCUUCAACAGCAGCUGAGCGAAGCCAACACCACGUUACGCGCCAAGGGGGAGGAGUGCAGCAAGCUCGCCGUAGAGCGCGAUCUACUGGCCGCACAAUUGGCACAGCAGAAGGAGCUGCUUAAGAAGAUGCAGAAGGAGGCGGAAGAAGAGGAGGCCGCCCUCCUGGCUGAGUUCGUGAGCGAGCGCUCCUCCUGGACUGACAAGGAGGUAAUGCUGGCCUCCGGCUUCCACGAGAUCGAGGACCUCGUCGACGGUGAGCUUCUUUGCUUUUCUUCUUCGAGCCGCCGACUAUAGGUCGAGCCGACUCUUGGUUUUUGACUUGUUCUUCAUUCUUUUCGUCUUGGCAGACUUCUUCCCCGGCCACUCGCAGGCCACCAAUCAAGCUAUCGAGGCUGAUCGCGAGGAGCGAAGGGCGGAUGGCGCGGAGAUCGCGCCGAUGCCCCCCGGACCCUUGACGAGCAUAUUCUGAGCAUUGGGGAUCGUCUGCAGCCAGCCCAUCGGUUGCUACGCCGGCUUCAAUGUGUCGGCGCCCAAACGAUCGCUGCCCUGUGGCCAAACAUGCAGGCUCCGCGCACCCCCAGUCGGACUGCCGACUGGCUGGAGGUCGCGGCUGGCCGUCUUGAGGCCUGGAAGGGUUCCUCGGCCUGGGCUGGAGCGCGCUGAGCCUUGGAAUUUGUCAAGGCAUGGUAUCCGGGGCUGGACCUAGACCGGCUGGCCACACUCCGGUCAGAGGCCCAGCCGGAGCUGGCAGCCGCGGAAGACGCCCUUGUCAAGCAUGCAGCAGCGAUUGUUGAGUACACCGAUACUAGCAUCUUUGUCCCCGAGCGAGCUGAAGACGGCGGGGAGGUACCGCCGGAGUGGUUUGGGAUGAACCCAGACUACGGCGAGGACUCAGCGGAGGUGAUCGGCUCCAGCGUCGAGGAGGAAGACGAGGCGGGGGAUGGAAGCGAGACGGAGGCACCGGAAGACGGAGCAGACGGCCAGCCUCAGCUCGACCGCGCCUCCAGCAACGAGCCGUGCCCGCCCGAGCCAACUGCCGCCGGAGGUGAUCAAGCCAAGACUGCCCAGCCGGCCGCCCCAACAUCCAACACCGCCGUCUCCUCCGAUCCUCCAAACCCGUCUGCCGCCUCCUAGGCUGCCACCUUAUCUUUGUUUUAUCUGUUUUAAUAGUCUUUGAAGAACUUGUUAAUUCGCACAAUUCUACCCGCGGGGUGUAUUUUGAACUUCUGCUCGAAGGUUUGGCCAAGGGCCUUCAUUAUGUAAAUAUUCAUCCGACUUCUAUCUUUUCUUGCUCAUUGCUUCUUUGGCUUUUUCCUUUGCCGCCUUCCCUCAGUUGUCGUCUUUGUCAGUCGGACAGCUGCUCUGCGGACUGCUGCUGGAUCAAAUUCUUGGUCACUUUGGGAAGGCAAGUACUUAGCCGUUUUUAGAGUUGUUUUAGCAAGUCAGAUAGAAGGUGGCAAGCCGACUGCUCAAGAGUCGGUUUGCGAAAAAAAGGCUGGAAGCCGGCUUUAAGCUAUGUUUAUGCUUUGAGUCCUUAGCCAUUUUUCAUGUGGACGCCCAUUCUUCCUUACUCCUGCCCACCAGACAGUCGCUCUGCGAGCUGCGGCUUCUAACAAGAGACGGCUUAGGCGCCACACACUACUUGUCCGGCUACAGGAAGCAUUUCAUAGCGCAAGGCGGCAAGUCCCUGGGCCGGCUAGUCGAACCUGGUGCCAAACGGCAUGACGAAAAGUAACAUACUCGUAGGCAUAAUCCUUAUCAUAUAGAUAAAAGAGGGCAGUCCCCGAGCUCUUCUCGGGGGGCCCAAAGUCUUGGUACUUUUAAUACAAAAGGUAGCGUGGUACAUACUGCAUUUAACUGUAAAAUUUUCGGAGGAGGUUUGCAUUCCAUGGCCGCUCUGUCUCUUUGCCGGACUCGUCCCUGUUGCGUGCUCGUGGCUUCUGAGCGUCGAUCAGGUAGUAGGAGUCGUUGCCCAGCACUUUGCUGAUGAUGAAGGGGCCUUCCCAAGGCGCCGACAGCUUGUGCUGGCCGGCUGUUCGCUGGAUCAGUCGGAGCACAAGGUCGCCCUCUUGGAAAGAUCUCGGCCUGACCUUCCUGUUGUAGUAUCUGCGUAGGCUCUACUAGUAGAUGCUGGACCGGCUGAGUGCCAACAGCCGACCCUCUUCUAGCUGAUCGACACCGUCUUGACGUGCUUCUUCUGCUUCUUCCUCGGUGUACAUGGUGACUCGCGGGGAGUCGAACUCUAUGUCCGUUGGGAUGACGGCUUCAGCACCGUAGACGAGGAAGAAAGGCAUGAAGCCAGUUGACUUGUUUGGAGUCGUGCGCAGACUCCAGAGGACGGCGGGCAACUCAUCGAGCCAGCAGCCAGCCGAGCGCUCCAGAGGCUCGACCAGUCAGGGCUUAAUGCCGGACAGGAUGAGGCCGUUUGCUCGCUCCACCUGGUCGUUUGACUAUGGAUGGGCGACGGACGCUAGGUCCAGUCGGAUGCCCUGUGUCACGCAGAAACGGGCCAAGGCGCCUUUGGCAAAGUUCAUGCCGUUGUCGGUGAUGAUGUUGUGUGGUACGCCGUACCGAAUUGUGAUGUCGGAGAUGAAAGUCACGGCAGUCGGACCAUUCAGCUUCUUGAUUGGCUUCGCUUCUAUCCACUUGGUGAACUUGUCCACUGCAACAAGUAAGUGAGUUAGGCCACCUCGUGCCGUCUUGAAUGGUCCCACCAUGUCUAGGCCCCAAACUUCGAAGGGCCAGGCAAUGGGGAUGGUCUUGAGUGCAGAAGCCGGCUGAUGCGGCUUGGAGCGGAACUUCUGGCACCCUUUGCAUUUUUGGACCAAUUCCUUGGCCUCUUCUAAGGCCGUUGGCCAGAAGAAACCAUGUCGGAAGGCUUUGGCGACAAGUGCUCUUGAAGCCGCAUGGUGGCCGCACUCGCCUUGAUGGAUGUCUUUGAGAAUUGCCUGGCCUUGCUCUGGCUCUACGCAGCGCUGGUAGACACCAGUGACGCUGCGCCUGACCAGCUCUCUGUUGACUAUGGUGUAGGCUGCCGCUCGGCGUUGUACUUGCCGAGCUAAGUUCUCAUCAGUCGGCAGCUCUUUGCUCACCAGGUAUUUGAGGAUGGGCUGGGCCCAUGAGGGUGCUACUAUUUCUUCGACUGCCAGAACUGUGACUUGGACGAGGGCGGCUGGGCUGGGAGGCGGCGGGCUGGAGUCAGCAACUGCUUGCUGGAUUAAUGAAGUCCCCGUGCCGACUGGUGCAGCCCUCGGGCCGAGUUCUGGAGUCUUUGGGCUGGCCGCCGCAGUCCUCGGGGCGGGUUCUGCAGUCCUUGGGCCGGCUUCGACUGUGGCGGCUUUGGAGCCAUCUGCCAAAAUCCUCGUACCGUCUGCCGGAGCUCUGGAGUCGGAUCCGACUUCUUGGGGAGGAGCCAGCACAAAGAUGGAGUCUGAUUCUGGUGAAGGCUUGACAGACGGCUUGAGGAGGCAUUGAAGGGCGACACUGGAUGGUAUUGCUUGGCGGGUGGAGCCGAUUCGUGCCAGGGUAUCUGCUUGGUCGUUGUCGCUUCUUGGCACAUGGAGGAACUCGCACCCCUCGAAAUAUCCACUGAGUUGCUGCACGAGGAAAUGGUAACUCGCCAUGUUUGCAUCUUUGGCAUCCCAGUCGCCAGAUGACUGCUGGAUCACUAAGUCGGAGUCGCCAUAACACAUGAUCCGACGAAUGCCAAGUUCUUUGGCAAGCCUAAGCUCGUGAAUGAGCGCCUCGUAUUCGGUGACAUUGUUGGAGGCGGCAAAGUGGAUUUGCAGUGCGUAUUUGAGCUUGUCGCCCUUAGGAGAAGUGAGGACAACGCCGGCUCCCAAGCCGGUGCGCAUCUUGGAGCCGUCGAAAUGCAUCCGCCAAUGGGUGGAGUCGAGUGCUGGUGGUAGGUACUGGGUCUCGGCCCAGUCAACGAGGAAGUCGGCCAGUGCUUGUGACUUGAUGGCGGUGCGGGGCUGGUAGUAGAUGGUGUAGGGAGCCAGCUCUAUGGCCCAUUUGGCCACUCGGCCAGAAGCAUCUCAGCUUCCGAUGAUCUCGGCAAGUGGGGUCGUGCAGACCACAGUGAUUGGAUGCUCUUGAAAGUAAGGAUUCAACUUCUUGGCGGUAAAGUGCACGCCAUAGCACAUCUUCUGGUAGUGGGGUAGUUCUGCUUGGAGGUCGACAGCACUUCACUCAGGUAAUAUACCGGUCUCUGGACAGGUAGUGCCUUGCCUUCCUCCUUGCGUUCCACUACAAUGACUCUGCUGACUACCCGGCUGGUGGCGGCGAUGUACAGGAGCAUCGGCUCCUUAGGAGUCGGAGCCGCCAAAAUGGGUGGAGUAGUCAACAUCUUCUUCAACUGGAGAAAGGAUUCGUCUGCCUUGUGGUUCCACUCGAAAAAAGUGGUCUUCUUCAUGAGCUGGUAUAAGGGGAGAGCUUUCUCGCCCAGCCGACUGAUGAAUCGGCUGAUGGACGCCAAGCAGCCAGUGAACUUUUGCACGUCCAGCAGUCGGCUGGGUACCUCCAUCCUCUCAAUGGCCUUGAUCUUUACAGGGUUGCACUCUAUGCCACGUUCAGAGACCAGGAAACCAAGGAGUUGGCUGGCUGGUACUCCGAAGACGCACUUCUCAGGGUUGAGCUUGAUCUGGAAUCGGCGCAGGUUCUCAAAGGUCUCCUUGAGGUCUUCCAGUAGUGUUCCAUGCUUCUCCGUCUUCACCACCACAUCGUCCACGUAAACAUGGGCGUUUCUGCCGAGUUGCUUGAGGAGGCACUUCUACAUGCAACGCUGAAAGGUGGCAUCGGCAUUCCUCAAGCCGAAUGUCAUGGUUAGGUAGCACAAGGCUCCAAACGGUGUGAUGAAGGCGGUCUUAAGUCUGUCAGCCGGGUUCAGCUUGAUCUGGUGAUAUCCUGAAUAUGCAUCCAAGAAGCUCAACAGCUCGCAUCCGGCUGUGGAGUCUAUCACCUAAUCAAUUCUUGGCAAAGCAAACGGAUCCUUGGGGCAAGCCUUGUUGAGGCUUCUGUAGUCAAUACACAUUCGCCACUGCUUGUUCUUCUUCAGUACCAGGACCGGGUUGGCUAGCCACUCUGGAAAGAAUACUUCCAUAAUGAAGCCGGUUGCUAGGAGUCGGGAUAUCUCUUCUUCGACAACUCUUCUCUUUUCUUCUGAUAGGAGGCGCAAGGGCUGCCUGACUGGCUUCGCAUCAGAUCGGACAUGUAACUUGUGCUCGGCGAAUUCCGUCGGUACACCUGGCAUGUCUUCAGUCUAUCAGCCGGGUUCAGCUUGAUCCUGAAUAUGCAUCCAAGAAGCUCAACAGCUCGCAUCUGGCUCUGGAGUCUAUCACCUGAUCAAUUCGUGGCAAAGCAAACGGAUCCUUGGGGCAAGCCUUGUUGAGGCUUCUGUAGUCAAUACACAUUCGCCACUGCUUGUUCUUCUUCAGUACCAGGACCGGGUUGGCUAGCCACUCUGGAAAGAAUACUUCCAUAAUGAAGUCGGCUGCUAGGAGUCGGGCUAUCUCUUCUCUGACAACUCUUCUCUUUUCUUCUGAUAGGAGGCGCAAGGGCUGCCUGACUGGCUUCGCAUCAGAUCGAACAUGUAACUUGUGCUCGGCAAAUUCCGUCGGUACACCUGGCAUGUCUUUGGGGGACCAUGCGAAGAUGUCCCAAUUCUCACAGAGGAAAUCAAUGAGCUCGCCUUCCUAUUUGCUGUCGAGGUUUGCGCCUAUGACAGCGUACCUCUCUGGGUGCUCCGGGUCCAAGGGUAUCUUCUUCAUCUCUUUGGCCGGUUUAAACGAACCCUCAGCCUCCGACUCCUUGGGGUUAAGCGGCAUCUCUAGCUGCUUGCCGGCCAUCGCCACAACUCGGUCAAGGAGCCGCUUCUCGGCCGCGAUCACCAGGGACUCGGCCAACCGACUACUUUCAGCCGCACAAGCAGACGACUUUUGGUAGUCGCCGGCUACGUUCAGAAUCCCCUUGGAACUAGGCAUUUUCAUCUUGAGGGAGGCGUAGUGGGGGACCACCAUGAACUUGGCCAGGGCGGGUCGGCCAAGUAAUGCAUGGUAUGGGCUCUCGAGAUCCACCACCUCAAACCAAACUGACUCUCGGCGGAAGUGAUCUUUGUCUCCAAAGAGGACGUCCAUCAGGAUCUUGCCGAUUGGUGAGCAGGAAAGGCCAGGAACAAUGCCGUGGAAUACAGUCCGGCUGUUCUGAAGCUGUCUUUGCUUGAUUCCUAACUUCUCCAUGGUGUCCUUGUACAGGAUGUUGAUGCUGUUGCCUCCGUCUAUCAGAACUCGCGAGAAACGAGCAGCUCGUCUAUCUGUGGCAAAGGUGGCAUCCAAGACCAAGGCAUAAGAGCCCGGACUCGGCAUCACCUCUGGGUGAUCAGCUCUGCUCCAGCUGAUAGGCUUCUCAGACCAGUGCAUGAAUUCUGGUGUCUCAGAUGCUACUGCGUUCACCUCUUGCUGCUGUAGCCGCCUGCUGCGUCGAUCAUCAGCCACGCUGGUAAAUACCAUGUAGGCUCCAUGCUCUUCGGGGUACUCGUCUUGUACUGUGCCGACUGGCCUGACAGCCGACUGCUGGGGCGGAGGCGGAGGCUACUGCCCAGCAGGCGGGGGAGGUAGGAGGCCGUCUCCUUUGGCAAUCCUGGUGAGCCAGUGGCACUUCCAGGUGAUGUGGUUCGACGGCUUCGCGCCGUUGUGGAACUUGCAAGGACCAUCCAGAGUCUGCUCGUAUGAGAAAGCCGGCAACCAGUUGGGCUUGCCGCCUUUCUGUCGCUUGGGUGGAGGCUUCCCUUCCGGCUGCUAGUCUUCGACUGUCGCCACCUGCCGGCUGCUGGAAGCCGGCUGUGGGGCCUUGCGCUUGUGGUCGCUCUACUGUUGUCGCCGACUGGCGUCUCCAGCCGGAGUUCUAGGAGCCUGAGGGGCCACUUUGCCAGUCGCACUAACUUGAAUCUCCGCCUUCAUGGAGGAGUCGGCCGUGGCAUACUUGUCUGCUAUGAUCAGCAGCUCGUCGAGGGUUUCUGGCUUGUCGCAAAGGAGCUUGUGCUUGAGGAGGGUGCCUUCUCUGCAGCCAGCGGUGAACUACUCGAUAGCCUGCACCUCGUGCACGCCCUCGCAGGAGUUCCGAAGCUCGGCCCAACGCGUGAGGUAGUCGCGAGUCGACUCGUUGGGGCCUUGCAUGCAAAAGGAAAGCUUGCGAGGUUUGGGAGGACGCUUGUACGUGAUUGUGAAGUUGCGGACGAAUGCAUCGGUGAAGUCGACCCAGCUGUUGGUGCUGUGGGGCUUCAAGUUGUUCAGCCAUGUCCGGGCCGUGCCCUGGAGCAUGAGCGGAACGUAUUUUACGGCAACGCACUUGUUGCCGUUCGCUAUGUUGACGGCCGUGGAGUAGUCAACCAGCCAGUCCUCCGGCUUCACGGAGCCGGUGUACUAGGGCGUGUCUCUUGGGAGCGUGAACCCUUUGGGAAAGGGCUCGUCUCGAAUGCGGGGCCCGAAACAAGGCGGACCUAACUCGUCUUCUUCUUCCAGCGCCAGGGAUCGAUGAAGUCGGUCGAUCCGGUGGCGGGCGUCAUUUUCUCCGACUCCCUCUCGGCGGCCAAGGCGGUCGCCGAGAGUCGGAUGGUCAACUAGCGGCAGGGAGACUCGCCUUUCCUUGCGAGGAGGAGGCGGACAGUCAUCCCGUCGUUCUACUGCUCUUGGGUGGUCGUCUUGGUCGCACUCUAUGGUAAUGCGAGUCCGACUGCGGCUGACAGCCGGAUCCUUGUCUUUCCUUCCUCGGGCGCCGCCAGUCGGCGUCCGAGACAUCGCGCCUUGGUCUCAGCAUGGAGGCGGGUCGUCGUUUUGUCGCCGCGGCGCCUCUGUGCGGCAGCCGGCCUCGUUCUGUGCGGCAGCCGCGUCGAGGAGCCGCUGGACUCGCUCCGCCAUCAGGCGGCGCUCCUCACCCUCGAAGUUGUCCAGCUCGUCCGCUGCCGCCUGGGCGGCUCGAAUGUUCUCCGUAGGCGUGGCGUACACAGGGCGAUUUGCCCCGAAUAGGUUGGCGAUGGCCACGCCGCGCUGCUGGACCGCGCCUAGGCGGCUGGGCCCAGUUGUGGAUGGCGAACCACCUACAGCACGAUCCAUCUCACGCUGGUAGGCUUCUGACAAGCGUCUCAUGCUAGCCAGCUUCUUCGCGCCUUCGAUGAGCUAAAGGCGGCGCGCCUCCAACGUCCCCGCGUCAGCGUCUUCCGGAAUGGGCGCGGUCAGGUCAUGCAAUGCCGCGCCAAGUGGGUCAUGCGCUCCUCCGCCGGGAGGCACGUCAUGACCGAUGAUGAACACCUUUGUGACGGUGCUUCCAUCGCUCUCCGUGCGAGGGAGCGGCUCAUCGUAGACCACCACAUUGGUGGGGAACGCGUCGAGCGACGCGGUGUCAGAGUCGACCAGCAUCGGGUCGGUGGAGCCUACAGACUCCAAGUCCAUGGCAGGCUCACCGGCGACGUGGAGUUGGUCAAGGAGGCCCGCAAGGAGGCUCUCGGGGCCGCCCGUGCCUGCAUCAGAUGCAGGCUCGUCGGAGAGGCGAACCUCGCUGACAAGAUCGGCAAGACAGCUGGCUACGCAGGCGAUCUCAGCGUCGUGCAGUGCGUCGGCGCAAACUCCGUCUGGCGUGCCGGGCUGGCUGUGCUCGCCAAGGAGGAAAAGGGUUCCCGUCCAGAGCAGGUCUCCGGACGACAGUGCACCAGGCCCCACGGUGGGCGCCAAAUGUCGGGGGUUGGGUGUGACAUAUGCCAAAGGAUGGCAUAUCAUGGUGGGAGCGAGUAGAACGUCGCCGGUGCCUGGAAACGGGAUAAGGCGAAGGCAUGCACGCCGGCGAAUCUUACCCAGCUUCGGGGCUCUCCGUGGAGAUAAUACCCCUACUGCUGCUCUGUGGGGUCUCCGCAUGAUCACUAUGGCAAAGUGUGUACACGGUUGCUCCUUGAGCUGUUUCCUGGAGGUAGGAGAAGGCAAGGCUAGCUCUCUCCUUCCUAUAUGAUCUGGUCUAGUGCUAAUGGAUUCCAACCCUUUGCAUGGGUGCCCUGGGGGGUUUAUAUAGGCCUACCCCCCAGAGGUACAAUGGUAAUCCGGCUGGACGCGGGCCCAGCCAUCAGUCUCUCUGGUCGCCGUCUUAUCCGCUGACUCCUGGGCCCGCCAACUGGUGGGCCCCGCCGACUGGCUCGGUACGGAGCCGACAGGCCGCGUCCACCGCGGGCGGGUCUUGCGGCUAUAGAUUAUUGUAGUCGCGCCUCUAAUGACGCAGGCUCGGUCAUGGGGUCGUGGCGACAGCUCCGCCGUCUGGCGGGCGGUCACUGCGGCCACUCCCUGACGUGUCUGGUUAAUGGCGCGUGGGGCCCGUGGGAGGGCCGGCCGACUCCUGGGGGCCGACUCCCAACUGGGCCGACUGGUGGCGCUCUCGCCGUCUUCCGUAUGCCCGCCUACUGGUGGGACCCAUCGUCCCUGGGUCGAACCGGCAGGCCGUCGUGGGCACAGGACUCCGCCCACUGGGGCUGACGUCAGGGCCGGCAUGGCAACAGUGUCGCGUUGGGCGGAGAUCUCCACGGGUACGGCGUACUGUGGCCACGCCUGCCCUUGGAAAAGGGUGGGAGUGGACCUUACUGUGGCCACUCCCCGUCCCGUCCCUCUUUAUGAGGGCAUGGGGGUUGUUGGCGUCGCGGGCCGACUCCCCAUGGCCGGCUUCUCUGGAAGUCGCCAGUCAGGAGUCGGCUCAUCCUGAAGUCGUCCUCGGGACUCGGCCGCGAAUGGGCAGUCGGCUGCCUCGCAGCCGACUCUCAGAAGGCGGCUCUUCGUCCUGGGGUCUUGAGGGGUGCAGCCUGCCCCGAUGUCUUGAAAGGUUCAGGGCCUGGGUUAGCCUACCCGUGGCCCAUUACUCCAACAUUGCUUACUCAUGUCCUUCUUACAUUAUACAUCUUAGUUAUGUUUUUUCUGUUUUUACCAGACAACCCUCAAAGUCCAACAUUUGUUACACCAGAGUUACCACCUCGCACAGAGCAUUUAGUACGCAGUGAAACCCCUAAAUCCUUUAUUCAGAAAGUUAGGCUCACCCACCCGUCCAAAUACCCGCUCCCGCCUUUGUCCACCCUCACACCGACCGAGGAGGAAGAGUUUGUUUACAAUGAAGUUAUUAAGCAUACUACUGAUUCUAACUCCAAGAUUAAAGAGUUUGUUUCCAUCUUUUUCUCAUUUUUUAACAUAAAUCAUAAUUUGUGUGCCAUCUUUUGAAAUGUAUUUUUUAAAUCAUUUUGUAUUGUAGCGUUAGGGUCAUCGACAUUGAUGGUAGGUGGGUCACCCUCGGUGAGCUUGCCAAUUGUGCGAAGGAAAUUGGGCAACUAUCAACCAGCAUUGUUGAGUUACAUGUUCGCAUUCUUCAGUAUAAGGAAACCCCAAACAUGCUCAUCUUCCCUUGGCUGUUUUCUGUGUAUCUAUUGAUAGGAGACUUCAAAUCCAAGUGUGUAUUGAAGUAUUUCUGACGGGACCAGAUUUACAUUCUUAGUCACUAGGAUCAGGUUUGUUAUGUUUGCUGGAUCUGGUAUGUUAUGUUUGUUGGCCCUGGUAAUUUUACAGUUAGUGUCUUGGUAACAUCUUGUUAAUAUCGAUACUCUUUUUUUUACCCUGACAUUGUUUGUUCUUCAUGUCAUGAUAACGUCUUUCAUGCACACUGGCAACUUUGACCUUUAUGCCCUGAUAAUUUUUUCUAGUUGCCUCCCAUGUGAAUUUCAGAACCAUUUUUUAUCUUGGUAAUUUUGUUCUUUCUCCCCUGUCGUGCUUACUGCCUUUUUUUUUUUUUGCAACUGCUAUUCCCUACUUUGCAAAAGUUGGGUCUCAGUCCAAAUGACGGGCAUUGGUAUGUGUUGUUACUAAAUCUCAGGGCGAAGCGGUUCGAAGUUCUAGAUUCAUUGCGUGAACACGAUAGUCCUUCUCUUCCUUCUCGAGCAUGCGACAAGAUACAUGAACGCUAUAAAGAAGGCUUGGUUGAUAAAUUACAAGGACUCGCAUAAGCAAAUUCAGGACUAUGAACUUGUGUACAUUGAUGUUUGAAACAGGAUAAUGGGUUAGUUGUGGAUUAUUCACUCUCUUUUAACACCCCACUAUAUGUUCUUAUCCUUGUUUAUUGACCCAGUCGCAAACUCUAAUUAAACUGAUUGUGUGUUGUUUUUUUUCAUCACAAAUGUUUCAGCAUUGAUUGCAGAUUUUUCGCCUGCCCGUAUCUUGAGGUGUGGGAUGGCAAAAAUGUUCCGGCCUUAACUCAUGAACAAAUUCCAGCUCUCUAUAAAAUUUUGCACUGAGGUGGUUAGAUCAUGAUCAAAACAAAUGCAAGCAGUGGUGUUAUCAUCUAUUCGGCAGUGGGUGAUGAGGUGAUAUUUUUUUACGACAGUGUGAUAACUUCUACCAAACUAUGUUGAUAACUUUUUUACAUGAAUCUGUCAUGACAAUGUCAUGGAGCAAAGUGUUGACAUGUUGUUUUACUAUAGCAUACAAAGUCCAAACUCAUUGACCAGAUGCUAAAUUCAUUGCUGUCAUUAUAAUUUGGAUCACAUCUUAUUUGAUAACUGCAAUCAUCUUCUGGUCGAAGACCGGGAUUACUUGCUUCUAAUUUUUAUAAGUCCAAACAGGCGUAAUUUUUUGUUCAUAAGUAAUACAAUGCAGUGCCGGUAGCCUACAAAAAAUGUAGAUAUAAAUUUUUAGGAUUUACAAAUCCAUGACAACUUCAUCAUACAAUGCUGGUAACUGGCAUAGUAGGGUACUGAUAGCUUGCAUAAAAUAUAGAUAUACACUUUUUUACAUUACAAAGCCAUGAUAACUCCAUUAUACAAUGCUGAUAACUCGAAUGUUAUGGGGCUUGUAGCUUGCACAUUAUGGUCCAUGAAAAAGAAUGUAGACACCAACUUCCCUUUCCGUAGCACCUUCUUCAUUUAUCUUCUUAGGGGACAUUUGCAUUUGCGUUUGUCAUGGUCGAAGCCCCCGCAUUCUUUUUUGGCUUGGGCUUUGCAAUGUCAAAACCUUACUGCUUCCUUUUUGACUUUGGCCGCCCCUUCAUUGUAGUCUUAGGAGGGUCUAGUAUCACCUUUAUGUUUGAGGACGAAGUUGCAUCAGGAUGUGUGUGGCACCCCAGCUCAGAGAAACCGGAACGCCCCGUAUUCUAGCCCAGAGAUCGAGGAGAAGUCUUCUGGAAUACGACACUACUUAGCAUAGAACAACUCAGCUCUUUAUUACAAUCUAUAUGGGUGCAAGGGGAUUACAUCGGCAUGAAAACACUACACCUGCCACGGUUGCUCCAUGGAAGCAGCAGAACAACACGAUGCAGCGAAAUAACUCCUGGCAGCGGAACAACAUCGGCGGUGCUGAACUCCACUCCGCAGGGACUCUGGCUGGAAUGCUUAUCCUAGCUCGCAAACAAGGAAUCCACAGCAAACAAGCAAUCAAAUCUGGCAUGACCUGCAAACUGGCAUGACACGCCAGGUCAGUACAUUAAAUGUACUUGCAAGCUCACAGCAACCAAAUCAAUCAAGACAAACAAUGGCAUGGCAAUUACAGAUUAUUAAGCAAUGAUGAACAUGAUACUAUCAGAACAACAUGCCAUGUAAAACAUGCUACAGCUAGAACAAUACGAGCAUGGCAUAAACAUAUGAACAUGAUGAGACUAGCAUGUAACAUGAUGAAACUACCAUGCACCAACUUACUCUGCUCGGGUUACCUGUAACCAUCACAUGCACCACUUACCAUCACGGACAUCACACGAUCAUCUCAGGAUCCAAUCAAGCUUGGUAUUAACAAUACCGUAGUAAUCAUUUAUGACCACAAGCAGCUCGACCUUUACUCUUGACUCUCGCAUAACAUCCCAAAUAUCCAACAAGUUGGUACUCACGAUACCACAGUGAUCUUCUCAUGAUCACAUUAAUAUGAACCAACUUCUUUCAUCAUCGAACCAGGGUUGUUAUUAAGCACAUCAUUAUUAUUACUGUUGACCCAUAGUGUGACCGACACGAACUAGGCCCUUAUCUGCGGGCGCGGCUAUCGAUAGAUUUAACACACACACUCUGUAGAGGUUAGCACACUGUACCCACACCACGGAACCCAUGGCCUCGCACUCCCAUUUGGGUGGACCAACGGCGUUCUGACAAAAACGUCCUAUUGCCAUGACACUCUCCCGGCCACUCCGACCAACUCCCCUUUGGGCUAAGUCCUAGGUGGCCCCGUGCCUACCAAAGGCACCAAGGGCCACCGUUGUGGCAAAAUGGUCCCAAUCGGGGAGAAGGAUCCUUGCAAAAACAACGGGUACACAAGGCUUAUGCCGUCCUACCUGGCCAAGGUAGGGCCCACGCAUAACCUUCCCUAGCGCGAGUCACCGGCGAGAGGAAUGACAAUAGACCUAGUUAGUGAUAAUAUCCGCAGACUCGACUGACAGUGGUUCUGGCAGAAGAAUUUGGCUCACGAUAGGCUAUCGUUUGAUAAUCCUCAUAAGUGAGGGCACAUGCCUCAAGACUGUUACUCGACAUCCUAAUUAUUCAUUCUGUCGGCAUGUCCAUGGGGAUAGUCGGUUGUGCGAUGCUUUACCACAGUUGCUGGAGUUACGCUAUUGAUUUGACCUUUGGUCUGACUUCACAGAUUCAAAUAUUUGAUACUGACAAAUCUGAGCAGAUACUAUUAAUUGAGCGGGUCAUCUGGAUAUGAAGCCCUUACCAAAACCAAGCAGACCCACCUUAGGUGAAUAUCCAUGGUGAUCCAUACUGACUCAGACUGUCCAGGUAUCUGCACCAUGUAGGUCUUGCAACCACUUUUAUAACUGCAUCACCGGUCUUGCUACUCCAUUACUGUUUUUCUUGUCUGGAUCCUUGGCCGAAAGAGCUCGGUCAUAUUGCUUCUUCGUGUGACCAUGGAUUCUGUCGGGUGCAAUAUUCUGGCAUGCGUACUCUUAUCCUCAUUUCCUGACAUGGUAGCAUUAUUCAAAUUGUUGGUUCAUCACCUCUCAAAUUCUGACCGUAGAAAAAUGAUCAUCCGAACCCUUGCAAGAAAUCGGCAAAUAAAUCAGUAGCCACCAAAACGGUCUUUAUAACUCAGAUCUCAGACAUUACGGAGAUAACUCAACCACGGCUCAAGAUGGCUGAAAAGCAGCUCAGAGCAUGAGACCGGGUCGAUAAGAAGAAAGUGGCAACUCCCUAAAAUAGCCAAAAGCAGCUAUAGGGCUACUAUCACAAAAAGAAACUCAAUAGUUGUAUGAGACGGCCGAAAAGCAGCCCAGAACUCAUGGGAGUCAUUGAAGAGAGAAAUAAAAAUCGGCAUCCACCCCGGAUAGCUAAAAAUGGCUCAGAUCACAGGCGUGGUGCCAUUACUGGAGAAAGAAGACAAGGGAUCAUCAUGAUCAUCUUCCAGGUUCACAUGUACUUGUACUGAGCUCAUUCCGUUGUCACACUAUGGUGUAUAGCUGGCUUCCUUCUUUUAACAAUCCUCUUGUGCCUGUCAAAUCUGCUUUUGAGUGACUUGCAAGACCUUGGUGGUAUGCUGACCGCUUAUAUAUGAAAAUCUAAUUCCCGAGGCAGGCUUGCUUUCUAAGUGAACUGUUGCAGAUCUGAUUACUGAGAUGUACUGCCAUAUACUAUCAAGCUUGCACAUGGCUUAUCUUCUUGAUCAUUUCUGCUAUGAAGUGUGCACACUGAGGCAAACCUAGUUAUCCGUAUCACGAUCAGAUAUCCCCAUAUCUCAAUGCAGUCGGCUAAGAAUUCCAUACUGAUGCAAACUCGAUACUGACAGUCCAUCCAGGAUUUCUUUCGCAUUCAUACAAGAUAUUCCAAUUUCACUGCAGUCUGCUGAUAAUUCCACUCUGUUUAGCUGAGCUUCCAAAUAUUUGAACUCCUUGCUGAUUCUUCGGGUUCGGUGUCGGUUGACGAGCAACUUUAAUAAGGGGAAAAAUUGUAACACCGAAGGCCCAAAGAAAGAAACCAAAAGAAACGACGAAAACAAAAGCGCACAAGCAUACUAAUAAUUUAAAUAAUCAAGCAACAUCACAUAUUACUGCUCCUCAUACAAUAAUAUGCAUGCACACCUAAGCACACAAUUGUCACUAAAGCUCUGGUACUACGGUCUAAUAUGUUGUGGCGGUGUGCAUGAAAGUGAGUAUGUGUGUGGAAAGAGUUGGCAUAACCAAGGCUACACCAAGCACUGGCUGAACACCGGCUGGAUCUGGAUGGAUACGGAGGCGAGGAUGGACUUGGCAAUCAUGCAGCGAGACACAGAGGUCACAACUACCUCAUCAUCAAGCGUAUGAAGGGAAUCGUACCCGUUCAAAGAAUGAGAUGACAGGGCAAACUAGGGUAGGAAAAGCAAGGCUUGAUGGCAUUACCCUCUUCUGAUGAAAAAUAUCAGUAAGGGUUGCCAAAGGGAUGAGAUGGAGGGCACGAUUCGGGAUAAAUACACGUCUAUCACCAAAAAUGAUUUGGGUGGAGGAAAAGAUAUCGACGCAAUACCUGAGCAUAACUCCUGCAAAUGGUGUCUGGAACACUUGGUACCAGGGCAUCACUAUUGACACACGAACACGUCACGUGUACCCUCGAUGCCGGGGGUGAUGCACCGCAGCUCACGUCGAAGGAGACCCGACCGACAGCGCGAUACGCAGGACAGUCGGCGGGCGCUUUUGCAGACCCAAAACCCCGCGCACCCGGGAGGGACCCCGUCAGGGAUUGCAGCGGCUAUGGGCUGCCCUAGGUCGAUUCGCUCGCCCCUAGACCCUCGAGGAUUGCUGCCCUCCAAUGCAAAGAACGAACGAAGAACGAGAAAGAAAGAUACAAGGGUAAGGGAUAAAAGUAGAUGAACACAAAAAAGUAGUAGAUUGAUUUGAUCGAUUGGGUGUUGUUUCAAUCGGCCGUCACCCCCAACAUAUAUAAAAGGCGGUUGUACUUCCCGUACAAGCAAAGAAUUUAUCUAGGCUUUCCUUACAAGAAAAUUACAUCAAUUCACGUCCAAAACCUUAGUCAAAUUCGGACUGGUUUAUCCGAACUUUCCAAAACUGUUCGGUUUAAACUGGCUGCACCUUGCGGGUCUUUUUUACGGUGGUAAACGAUCUCGGAUGAAAACAAGCCCAAAAGCAAUCUUGACCGUUUCGAUGAGACGAACAACUUUCAUGUUGAAGGUUUUUUGAUCAGAGAUCAUCUUGAUAACCUUUUGAGCCCAUCUUCAACUUCUCGUCCGAUUGAUUAUCACAGCCUCCAACCCGGCAAGUUUUCCAUCCAAGUAAGCUUUCCACACCGACAAUGUUUCUAUCCGGCAAGCUUUCACACCGGCAAGGCUUCACUCCGGCAAGGUUUGUACUCCGGCAAGGGUUUCACUCCGGCAAGGUUUGUACUCCGGCAAGGUUUGUACUCCGGCCAGGGUUCCUCUCUGACAAGGUUUCACUCCGGCAAGGUUUGUACUCCGGCAAGGGUUUUACUCCGGCAAGGUUUGUACUCCGGCUAGGGUUCCUCUUUGACAAGGUUUCCACCCUGGCAAGAGUUUUCUUUCCCACUCAAGGCCGGCCCACGAAGUGUUGCCUCUAACUUUUGCAUACGAACCCGGAUUCUUAACCAUGCCAAAAUCUGGUGUCAACACAUGCCCCCCUGUUUUUCGGCAAAGCUUGUGUGCCGAAAAAUAACUUGUACUGUGUUUGUUCUAAGGACGAUGUCAACACCCCAUCGGCCAUUUAUUUUUCUUAGGGCGAUAAUUAUGUAUCGUCCAUUGCCUAUUUAGGCUUCUUGCCACACACUCGGGUGGUAUUUCUUCAAGUACUUGCCAUUCAGAGCUCGAGGUAACAACGCCCUUUGUAUGGAUUCCACCAUCUUUUGAACUAAUCGGUAGAAUUACUUUCCAUACGAGAUCACCAACUUGAAAAUUCUUUGACUUGACUUUCUUAUUGUAAGCUCUUGCCACCCUUAACUUGUCUCUCUCUAUGGCCUUCAAAGCAGCCAAACGUUUAUCGGCAACUUCGUCAAUGUUAUCCAUAAUUAAGUUAUAAAAGUAUACAGCCGAUAAAUCAUUUUGCUUGGCUAUUCUCAAAGCAUUCAAAUUUACCUCCACCGGUAAAACAGCCUCUUGACCAUAUACUAGCUCAUAUGGAGUUACCUUCGUAGCACCAUGCCUUGAGAUCCUAUGUGCCCACAAAGCUUCAGACAACAACUCAUGCCAUCUCCUUGGAUUAUCAUCAACCUUCUUCUUGAUGAGCUUGAUUAAAAUUUUAUUGCUAGACUCAGCUUGUCCAUUGGCUUGGGCAAAAUAUGGAGAUGAAUUGAGCAAUUUUAUAUUAUAAGAUUCGGCAAAUUCUCUAACUUGGUGUGACAUGAAAGAGGAGUCUUGAUCUGUAGUCAAUGUUUGAGGAAUGCCGAAUCUAUGAAUAAUGUGCUCGGUUAUGAAUUUUAUCACCUCCGUAUGUGUCAUGUUCUUGAGAGGUACUGCUUCAGACCAUUUAGUGAAAUAAUCGGUUGCCACCAAUAUGAACCGAUGCCCCUUUGAGGAAGACGGAUGAAUUUGUCCAAUAAAGUCUAAACCCCAUCCUCUGAAAGGCCAUGGCUUGAUAAUGGGAUGUAACAUAGCAGCAGGAGCCAACUGAAUAUCACCAAAUCUUUGACAAGCUUCGCACCCUUUAUAAUACCUGAAGCAAUCAUUAAACAUGGUCGGCCAAUAAAACCCAGCACGUCGUAAUAACCAUUUCAUCUUGAGAGCCGACUGGUGAGUACCACAAAUGCCUUCAUGUACCUCUCCCAUAGCAACUCUUGCUUCGUCCUCAUCCAAGCACUUUUAAAAUAGCAUCAUCAACUGUUCGGCGAUAAAGAUCAUCAUCCCUCAUAGUAUAUUUAAAAGCCAUACGCCGAACAGCCCUGUCCACCCUUUCACUCGGAUUACGUAAGUGAGCAACAAUGGGCUUCCUCCAGUCGGAAUUGUCACCUGCACUAGAUUUUUUGUUAAUGACCGAAUCAGUGGGUUCUGGUUCGGCCUCUUCUAUACUGGUAAGACAAGACAUCGGACUUUGAGAAAUAUGAAACAUGCCAUGAUCAACAUGGUAUCCAGAUGCUUGCUGUGCCAACUCAUUUGCUUUCCAGUUGUCGUGUCUAGAUAUAUGUGCAAUGCUAAAACAAUCCAAAGUAGAGAUUAUAUCUAGACAUUUAUCAAGAUAAACAUUAAGUGAUUCGUCCAAACACUGAAAGACUUUGGAUAUUUGCUGCACCACUAGUAACGAAUCACCAUAAGCCUCAAUAUGUAUAGCACCUAUAGCAAGUAAAAGAGUCAAUCCGAAUAACAACGCAUAUUCGGCCUUGAUUAAUCAUGCAUAAAAAUAUUCUAAGCGGCACGAGGCUUCAAAAAAUAGUACCAUAAAGAAAUAUAUAAACAACACCAACACUUUGGCCAUUGCUAUGAAUUGAACCAUCAAAACAUAAUCUCCAUAGUACUAGAGAGACGAGGUUAAUAUUAAUAUUAUGCAUGACAUUAACCCGAUGUUCAGUAGCAAAAUAAACUUUGAUUUGGCCUCUUAUAGAUCUCAAAGAUGCAUAAGCCAAAUCAUAUCCAAACAAAGUAUAAGCCCACCAACCAAUUCUGUAGCUAUAAAUUGGUCUAUGCAGCAUAUAUUCAAUGACAUCGGUCAUGAUGUCUCAAAUCCAUUCAAUCAUAAUAUAGGCAUACAUAUAAAUUUUCAUGAGCAUGUAUCUUGUCUCGCUCUCCAAUCAAACUAAGGACGAUGUUAGAAUACUACACCGACCAUGCAUUGACAUACUCUUAGGACGAUAGAUAAAUAUCGACCAUUACCAUGUAAACUUCAUUCAAAGGACAUAUAGCCGAAAUAAACAAAUGAAAUGACAAAUCAAGUAUUUUGGCCCUUUGGAUCAGCAACAAACUUGUAGCUAAUCAAAUGUAUAGUGACUUGGUAAUACCCUCUCAUAACGUAAGAAAUUAUAUUGCAUCCAUGGAUUAAAAUAAGCCCAUUGAGGGUUACCAAUCAAACCUGAUGACGAAUUCCAUGGCAUAGGCAUUAAUGGCAUAGUUGGAUAACGUGUAGACCAAAGAUGUUGAAACCUUCGACUUGGUCCUUCAUAGUUUUUACUCUUUUCCUUCUUCACUUUUGCCGCACUUCUUGUAAUGGAGGCGUGCACAUAAUUCUUAUUUUGAGCACUUCCUUUGGGAACCCAUGCCAUGUUCCUUUCUUCAAGUUCUUGUGCACUAAGUUUGUGUAAUUCCCUAUUUUGCCAAUACGAUAAGCCGAGUGGGCAUCUCGGCUGUGAUUCUGUUUUGACCAAUGACAAUUCCUUUUUGGACUUGUGCACUCUCAACUUCUUUUCUUCAGAUUUGGAACUUUGACUCUCAAUAAUUGGUCGCUUCGUCUCAUUGCCUUCUAUAGCCAAUGUCAACACUUUAAUUGGCUCUUUAUUAUUUGAGAUCAAAUCUGAAGUAGCACACUUACGACCAUCUCUUUUCACGCGGUAGACUUGCUUGACCACCUCUUUUUUCAUCCAUGGUGUCCGGACCAAUUCCUUAUAAUUGAAACGGUCUUUAACAUGUGAUUGUUCAAAUGUUGAUCUUCUCGGAGCUGCAUAAUAUUGGUGAGAUCGUCUAAAAUAAGAUGGAGAAUGUGCCCUUGUAUCAUACCUGCCCCAUGAUGAACAUGGAUCUACAUGAGCAUAGGGAGGCAUCCACGGCAUUGCCAUUGGCGGCCCAAAAUAAGGAUAUGAAUAUGUUGCAUUCAAACUCUCACUUUGCCAAUACCGAUCCUCAUAUUUGCGCCUUGGGGGUGAUCUUGGUUUCUUUGCAUGAUUGAGCCGAUAAGUAUUCUUCUCUUCACUCUUCUUUUGAUAUUUCUCCAAUAGUUCAGCGAAGGUGAUUUUUGUUCUUUUACACUUGUGCUUAUUUCGGCCUUUGUUUUCUUUUGAUUUGCUUUCAUCGAUCGUUGGAUUUGCUUGCUGCCCCCUAGUCCUUGGCGUCUCCAUUGUAGCUUCGAUGGAAUUCUCACCCUCAAGAUCAUGUUCAUUAUGCUCUUCAACAAUUUCUUUACUUGAAAGCUUGAUCCCAUCACCUGCAGUUUUUACCUUCUCUUUAAAUGGAUCGGCUUGAAGCAGCCGAUGCAAAAACUUUUUGCCAUCGGGACCAAUCGGAAUAGACUGUUCAUCUCUUGGUGUUUCAAAAAACUUCAAUCGUCCUUUUUCAAUGGCCGAUUUAACUAUUUGACGAAACAUGUUGCAGUCCUCAAAAUUAUGCUUGGACGAAUCAUGCAACUUACAAUACAUUCGUCCUUGGAUAGAUGGCUUGACAUGGUGAUCAAGAAUUCUAAUGUAAUUAUUUUUCAACAACAACGCAAAGAUUUGAUCACACAUGUUUGAAUUGAAGGUAUACCUUUUGUUUUCUAGCCGAUCUUGUUGUGAGAACAACUUUGGAGUUAAGCAAACGAAUGGUUCAGAUUUGGCAUCUUCCCAUUCGGCUAUGAAUUCUAUUUCGCAUACUUUUUCCGAUGUCCUUAAAUAAGAAACUAUACUAGCAUCGGUUUUCCCAAAAGAUUUUAACCUUGGCUUUAAAUUUCUGAAAUCAAAGUAGUUAGAACAUACACGUCUCAAUUGAGACCAUGCGUAAGCCAAGUAUGAAGCAAGCAAAGCUACCCAAUUAAAUAUGAACUUUAAAUAAAGCAAUGGGAAAAGCUUUGACUGCAGUAAUAAGUCACUAUCAGUCUCUUUGAAUGGUACAUAUAUUGACCGAUAUGCUUAGUAACCAUUUUAUUGCUAACAAGUAAAUUUCCCUUCUUCAUUGGUCUUUGAAAAUUACUUAUGAGAAUAUUUCUUAUAGAUGCAUCAACAAUAAAGUUGUGACCAAAUCUGAAAAUAGGUAAAUUACUUGCUAGAAUACCUCUUCAAAUAUGUUGGGAGAGCAUGAUGGUGGUGUGACUUGAACAAUAUCUUGCUCCGCCUUUGGAUGGCUCCCCAACGCCUCUUCAUCAUCUUUUUCUUGAUUCCGUGCAUCAUUACAUUGAAAAAAUUUGUCGGCCAAACUUUGUUCGGCUACUUGUUCUUGUCCUUGAAGUUCAUCAAUUUCUCUGGCACGAAACUCAUAGGGCAGGAAGUAGGUUCCAUUAACUCUGGAAAAAUCAAGUAUGGUCGCUUUGCUAGGCUUGCCAUGCCCUUUCUCAAUAAUGCUUGCCUCUUUGCAUUUGAUGGAUUCGGAAUAUAUACUUCUUGAUUCGGCUCUUUUAAUCGGAGCACUUUCAUGUUCUGAAUCAUCUUUCUUUACAUUGCUUCUACCAAUUGGCAAUGCUUCUUUCACUUGAGCCAAUUCUGUUUCUUUUUGUUUCUGGCGGCGAGCGGCAAAAUUGGCUUUAAUCUUUUUCUCAAUUUCAGCCCACUUCAGAUACGAUUGNNNNNNNNNNNNNNNNNNNNNNNNNNNNNNNNNNNNNNNNNNNNNNNNNNNNNNNNNNNNNNNNNNNNNNNNNNNNNNNNNNNNNNNNNNNNNNNNNNNNNNNNNNNNNNNNNNNNNNNNNNNNNNNNNNNNNNNNNNNNNNNNNNNNNNNNNNNNNNNNNNNNNNNNNNNNNNNNNNNNNNNNNNNNNNNNNNNNNNNNNNNNNNNNNNNNNNNNNNNNNNNNNNNNNNNNNNNNNNNNNNNNNNNNNNNNCCCCCCCCCCCCAAUGCUUUUAGAUUCUUUCGGCAAUGGCACAUGGGUGCUGCCGAAACUUUGCAAUUGUGUAGGGGCUGUAUAAUAUGAUGUAGUACUAGGUGAAGGCAUAUGCAUUGUUGUAAAACCAUAUUUUUGCUCGCCAAUCUUAUCAAUUGGCAAAGAUUCAUCUUCUUGCAAAACUCUAGCUUUUAUUGCGGCAUAAUCAGGAAAUAGCCCCUUUUCAUGUUGUUCAAGGCAAAGAGCACUAAUCCUCUUAUUUUGGGCUAAACUCUUCAAUGCAGCCACUACUACCUCAUCUUCUACAAUAUUGGGCACAACCUCUCCUGUAAAAUUUACAUUUAUUCGGCUAUGACCAGGAAGAUGUGAAGCCGAAUUAUGAACAUCUACAGUUGUGUAUGGUGCUGAAAAAUUACUGAGAUGGGGUGUAGCAUAUGAUGGUUGAGAGUAAUUGGCCGAAUAGCUAGUAGUAGCAUGGCCGAUUCUCCCAUCCAUCGGCAUGGUUGAACUAGUAUAUUGCAAAUUAGUUGCCGAUGAAUAAAAAGGUGAAACACUUUGUCGCAUGAUAUUGGAAGUUCCUACAAGAGGUGUUUCAACUUGAUUGCCCAAACUCAUCAUGUUAUUCAUCGGCAUAUAAAUUUUUGGGGUUGCUGAUGCAUGGGAGUUGGGAUACAUAUGUUGCAUGUUGCUAAAAUUAUAUGAAGUAGAAUCAUGGAGAUUUUGUUGCAUCGGCCCUUGCACAUAAUUAGAUAUAUGAUUGAUAAAGCUAGGGCUAGCCGAUACAUUAUUCUCAUUAGAUGAUCUAGCAACAACAUAUGAAUUAUUUGCAUCUACAUAUGUGAAUUGGGUAUUCAUAUUACCUUUGUAGAUUGCAAACCCUAGAUGACGAUCUCUUCGUAGCAAGAACGGGCUGGAGACCGUUCAAAGCUUCGUUCCCCAGCGGAGUCGCCAAAAAGUGUGUUGACACACGAACACGUCACGUGUACCCUCGACGCCGGGGGUGAUGCACCGCAGCUCACGUCGAAGGAGACCCGACCGACAGCGCGACACGCAGGACAGUCGGCGGGCGCUUUUGCAGACCCGAAACCCCGCGCACCCGGGAGGGACCCCGUUAGGGAUUGCGGCGGCUAUGGGCUGCCCUAGGUCGAUUCGCUCGCCCCUAGAGCCUCGAGGAUCGCUGCCCUCCAAUGCAAAGAACGAACGAAGAACGAGAAAGAAAGAUACAAGGGUAAGGGAUAAAAGUAGAUGAACACAAAAAAGUAGUAGAUUGAUUUGAUUGAUUGGGUGUUGUUUCAAUCGGCCGUCACCCCCAACAUAUAUAAAAGGCGGUUGGACUUCCCGUACAAGCAAAGAAUUUAUCUAGGCUUUCCUUACAAGAAAAUUACAUCAAUUCACGUCCAAAACCUUAGUCAAAUUCGGACUGGUUUAUCCGAACUUUCCAAAACUGUUCGGUUUAAACUGGCUGCACCUUGCGGGUCUUUUUUACGGUGGUAAACGAUCUCGGAUGAAGACAAGCCCAAAAGCAAUCUUGACCGUUUCGACGAGAAGAAAAACUUUCAUGUUGAAGGUUUUUUGAUCAGAGAUCAUCUUGAUAACCUUUUGAGUCCAUCUUCAACUUCUCGUCCGAUUGACUAUCACAGCCUCCAACCCGGCAAGUUUUCCAUCCAAGUAAGCUUUCCACACCGACAAUGUUUCUAUCCAGCAAGCUUUCACACCGGCAAGGCUUCACUCCGGCAAGGUUUGUACUCCGGCAAGGGUUUCACUCCGGCAAGGUUUGUACUCCGGCCAGGGUUCCUCUCUAACAAGGUUUCACUCCGGCAAGGUUUGUACUCCGGCAAGGGUUUUACUCCGGCAAGGUUUGUACUCCGGCCAGGGUUCCUCUUUGACAAGGUUUCCACCCUUUCAAGAGUUUUCUUUCCCACUCAAGGCCGGCCCGCGAAGUGUUGCCUCUAACUUUUGCAUACGAACCCGGAUUCUUAACCAUGCCAAAAUCUGGUGUCAACAAUCACUCUGCUGGGAUAGAGGUAACGCCGAACACCGAAGAGCAGGCAUGCAAAGAAAAAGGGUGUAGGUAGUGGAUCGAAAACUAUGCCACCUACACUCACAAGAUUAACCGUUAGCGAUAAGAUAAUAAUCUAUAUGCAUGCUAUGCAACAAACAAAUGCAGCAAUCAAGUGCAACAAACCAACGGGGCUCUAUACUACCGCAUUGUAAUGUUUGCGUGGGCUAGGGCAUCCUACAACCACCUGCUUUGAUACCAAGCAUGUGGCAUCCCGGCUCAGAGAAACCGGAAUGCCCCGUAUUCCAGCCCAGAGAUCGAGGAGAAGUCUUCUGGAAUACUGCACUGCUUAGCAUAGAACAACUCAGCUCUUUAUUACAAUCUAUAUGGGUACAAGGGGAUUACAUCGGCACGGCGACACUACGCCGGCCACGGUUGCUCCAUGUAAGCAGCAGAACAAUACGAUGUAGCAGAAUAACUCUUGGCAGCGGAACAACGUCGGCGGUGGUGAACUCCACUCCGUAGGGACUCUGGCUGGAACGCUUAUCCUAGCUCGCAAACAAGGAAUCCACGGCAAACAAGCAAUCAAAUCUGGCAUGACCUGCAGACUCGCAUGACACGCCAGGUCAGUACAUAGAAUGUACUUGCAAGCUCACAGCAACCAAAGCAAUCAAGACAAACAAUGGCAUGGCAAUUACAGAUUAUUAAGCAAUGAUGAACACGAUACUAUCAGAACAACAUGCCAUGUACAACAUGAUACAGCUAGAAUAAUACGAGCAUGGCAUAAACAUAUGAACAUGAUGAGACUAGCGUGUAACAUGAUGAAACUAUCAUGCACCAACUUACUCUGCUCGGGUUACCUCGUAACCAUCACAUGCAUCACUUACCAUCACGGACAUCACACGAUCAUCUCAGGAUCCAAUCAAGCUUGGUAUUAACAAUACCGUAGUAAUCAUUUAUGACCACAAGGAGCUCGACCUUUACCCUUGACUCUCGCAUAACAUCCCAAAUAUCCAACAAGUUGGUACACACGAUACCACAGUGAUCCUCUCACGAUCACAUAAAUAUCAACCAACUUCUUUCAUCAUCAAACCAGGGUUGUUAUUGAGCACAUCAUUAUUAUUACUAUUGACCCAUAGUGUGACCGACACGAACUGGGCCCUUAUCCGCGGGCGUGGCUAUCGAUAGAUUUAACACACACACUCUGCAGAGGUUAGCACACUGUACCCACACCACGGAACCCAUGGCCUCGCACUCCCAUAUGGGUGGACCAACAGUGUUCCGACAAAACCGUCCUACUGCCAUGACACUCUCCUGGCCACUCCGACCAACUCCCCUUUGGGCUAAGUCCUGGGUGGCCCCGCACCUACCAAAGGCACCAACGGCCACCGUCGUGGCAAAAUGGUCCCAAUCGGGGAGAAGGAUCCUUGCGAAAACAACGGGCACACAAGGCUCGUGCCGUCCUACCUGGCCAAGGUAGCGCCCGCGCAUAACCUUCCCUAGCGGGAGUCACCGGCGAGAGGCAUGACAAUAGACCUAGUAGGACCCCCCCCCCAUAAGGUAAGCGUGGUUGCACUGCUCAGAUAGAUAUGGUGGCACCAUGACUCAGCCAACAGUUGUUCAAGUUCAAUUUAAUCUGGUUAAACAUGAAUGCAAUAUGCUGAGUCAUGAGAAAAAUAAUAACAUGAUGCGACUACAAUGGAUGAACAUGAUAUUAACAUAAGCAUGGGGUGCAUCCCAAUCAACGAGCAUAACAACAACAUUUAACCAUUUAUCCAGAUGAGCAUGGCAUACUGACGAGCAUGGAUAUCACAACUAGAACACAUACCCAUAGCAUAACAUGGCCACUAAAAUCAACAAUAAAUAAUGUGCAAUAACAUAACGAUAAAACUACCAUGGAAGUAUUUAAUCAACUGGAUGCAAAGGAACAUGCAUAACAACGUUACUCGGAACAGACGAUAGUCAGGCACCGAAGACCAUCACCAACAUGUACUACUACCAAAGACUGCCAAUAUUAAAGUAAUACUAGCAUAAAGAACAUAAUAACAGAGUGCAUGAAAACAUUGCAUGACGGUAAACACCGAUCCAUAAGCAUAACCGAAAUACCGACCGCAGUAGCAAAACAAAUAGACAAUUAUUAAAGACUCAAGUUGAAAACCAAUGCUUCUGCAUGGCUAUCAUGCACAUGGUGGUUGUGGCUUACCUGGGGAUGAAGAAGGCUCCGGGGAGAAGUGCGGAACGACCGCGUAAAGAAUCGCUGGAAAGGGUUCGCUCUUGUAGGGGGCUGAUUAGGGGUAAGGGUAAAAUGGUCAUUUCUAGUAUGUCAAAUCACAGUGAAAAUGAUACCAAAAGUUCGGACUCGACGAGACAAAGAAGUGGGCUUUGGAUUCACCUCAUUUGGAGUUACGAGUAAAAAGUUGUGAAGUGAUGAAGAUCAGGGACUUUUCUGCAAAAAUAUCAUCACAAACAAGUCCCUGGGUGGAUAAGGCAGAAGCGGGCUUUGAGUAAAUACAUUUUCCAGAGAUGAAAACGUACUUAUGGCUGAAGUAGAACGCAUGCACUUUCCGUUAAGGGAAGGCGUACCCUGUGGAGUACGUCUCCACUUAACCACGUCAGCGGGCUGGCUCGGUUAACGCGUGAGGCGGACGUGCGGGACCCACUGGCAGGGGGAGGGGUGUCGUCAUCUUCCUCGCUUCCUCUCGCUCGCCCACGCGGCCAGAGGGUAGGGCCGGCGCCAGCGGCCAUGCUCGCAGCUCCGGCCACCAACGGCGACGCCCGACCUACCGUUGGACUCAGGGGACGGAGGCGGACCUGCCUAUGGGUGGCGCGCUCGCCAGAGAGGUCGGGGGCGAGCGCGGCAUCACCCAUAGUGGACGGCGGUUUCGGUCAGAAGUGGGCAUGCGUCCACUAGCCACGGGAGGAAGAGGCGAAGGGCAGGGAAGAACCAGAGGGCUAUAGGUGAUCUAGUGGUGGUGGAAUGGAGGAGGGAGGGCAUCAGCGUUGAGCCAAUUUAGGCCAAGGACGAUGCAGGCAUGGCGGCCAUGGAGGGAACCAGAGAGCUCUUUGAGCUCGGGAGAGUAGCGGACGGGGCCCUGGGAGGUGUAGGAGUGGCUUGGUGAGCUCGGGGGUCUCGGGGGAGGGCUUAAAUAGGCGCGAGGCAAGGAGGCCGAGCUAGCGUCGCCGUGGAUAUGUGUCCGGCGCCGCGGAUGCGUGUGCGCACGCAUGGGCUUGGAGUAAGGCGACGAGAGAGCACAUGAGGGAGAGAUCACAGGGAAGAGGAGGCCAAGAGGCACAGGGAGGAAGCAGCUGAGACGAAGACAGAGCCAAAGGGACACUGUUUGUCCGUAGGCGUGCGGCGUCUAGCUCCGGCAAGGAGGCUUCGGGAGGGGGCAGGGACACGAGAGAGAUGGUAGAGGAAGGGGGAGUCAGUUCGGCACGCUCGGACGCGAGAAAACCGUCGAGGCAGAGCUGGCCGGUGCGUCCCGACGCCCAGAGCACGGCCAACGCUGCCAGAGCGCAUGCAUAGACCCGCAAACGACGCGGUCACUACUGCGCCCGGCAAGGAGGGGACGCAAGAGGCAGGGAAACAUUGUCCAGAGUGUUGUCUUUCCAUCACAGGGGUUGUGGGAGUUGAUGGAGCAUCAAAAGAAGCCAAGGUGAUGUGUGAGUGAUCGUCUAAAGUUUGUUGUAUCAAAUUUGGCUGUGCACUGCUGAUCACUAGGGAUUUGAUUGGGUCAAAUGGAGCUGUCUGGGGUGUUUAGAUGAGGAAGGACUACGAUCCUGUGAAGUUUGAGGGGAAAUGGAUCAGAAAACAAUAGGGUUGCUUUGUAACCUCAGAUUAGGUUCAGGAACUUGAUCAUGAUGAUGCACUCACAUGAAGUAUCAAUUUGAUCUAAAAUUUGGCAAGACGGGGUUCUUUGGCCAUAUGAAGAUGCUGCAAAAGGUUUCAUACCAAUUGGAUAAACCAAAAUGGUACUUGCUUCACAAGAAUUUCCACUGACUAGAAACUUGCAAAACUUCUAGAGGAAAAUUGUCUAGAUGGAAUAUGCCCAAAUUGGGUGGAGAUAGGUUAUAUGGAUAAGGGAAGGUCUAGGAAAAUUUACAGCCAUAAUGGAGCAAGAUAAAAUAUACUUGCUUAACUAACUGAAAAUUUGGAUAGGAACAAAGAUUUGAAGCUGUGUCCUCAUGGAGGCAUGACAUGAGGUCAAAUCUUGUGGAGAGCUUUUAUUUUAUGAUAUGAAAAACCAUGCAAAAAUUCAACUCAAUUGGAUUAACCUAGCUAGUACUUCCUUCACAACCAAUUCCCUCUAAAAGGAACUUUGAAAAAUUUCUCAGGAAUAUUUACUAGGCAAAUUAAGUUGAAAUUUGUUAUGAGGCAAUUACUUGGACAUGAAAAGACGUCCAAGAAGUUUGGAGUCAAUUGGGCAAAGAUAAAUGGCACUUGCUUCACAAUCUGUCAUUCAGGACAGAAUAGGAAAAGAAUUAUUUGAGGAUGAUGGGAAACAUGGACAAUGAAAUAUUUUUCCAUAUUUGAGAAGAGAUAUGACUCAAACAAUUUAUGAGAAUUAUUUGGGAAUUUUAGGAGUGAUGGAAAUAUAGGUCGCUUCACAACCUAGGGCAAAUUGAGUUAUUCCUUUAAUAGAAAAGGAAUGUCCCCAAUAAAAAGACUAUUGGGAUUUGGGCUAGGAUGAAAAUGGAAAGGUCUAGGGAAGGAUUUGGGUAUGACAAGCCACUCUGGAAGCAAAGAAGAGUUCUUCUUCUUCAGUUUCCAGACCACAUAGCCAUGGAAAAAAAAGAAAUCUCAGGCAAAAACCUCAGAAAAUCAAAAGAAAAAGAAAGGGCCAAAAAUCAGGCUGUUACAAUGUGGGGGCUGGAUGACAAAAGCAUGAUUAUUUUUGCUAGCAUGAAUCAUCACACGCACACUUUCUUACUGUGUGGCGGGGUUAUCCUGUCGCUGCACAUUAGUAGCACUUUUCUUGUUGUGUGGCGGGGUUCUCCUGUCGCUGCACAUUAGUGGCACUUGUUUGUUGUGUGGCUGGGUUCUCCUGUUGUUUUGCAUCGGGGGUGUUUUGGUGAUGUGUGACGGAGUUGUCUUCAUUCACCCGCCCCACAGGUAUCGAGCAGGGAUCCGGUUGUCCUUGAAAUGAUCCUUUUGCUUCUUCCUUUUCCUUUCUUGCUUUUCUAAGUUGAUUUUUCUUCAGGGUUUCAUGCUCCUCCUUGAAAUUAUACAGGUGUUUUCUUGCUAAUCUGGUUCCAUCAUCUGUUACGCAAGCAUCUUUGGUUGAUGCCUUAAAUUCUUUAGGGAUUGACGUAUAUCACAUGAAGCUUUCCCCCUCUGGCAUCGACUUCUUAACUGUUGGUUGUUCGAAAUCAGGUUGAAUAAGAUCCUCCUCUGGAUCCCAAGUUCACCUCUUUAGGAUGUACUUUUCAGGUAUCUCGUAAACCCCAAUCUGGUCCAUAACUCGUAGUACGUGUGCGCAUAGUAGUCUGCCACGAUCAAACUUGCAGCAAGUACAUGAGUAUGUCUCUUCAUCCAUGUUUGCUUGCACAUGGUAGUGCCUAUCCCGAUAUUUUGGUAUUAUCUCCCGCACUAAGCUGGCCUUGAAGGUACCAUCAUCCACUGCGUCGCAUCUGUAGGCUGAUUUCACCUUCAUCUCCACCUGGAACUUGCAAAACAGGUUAUGCGUGUACAACCCCUGCACCUACAUCUCCAACGGGUUCAUCGAGUACAUUUCGGUUUCUUUGUAUACUGUUUCCAACUGCUCUUUUGACAUGCUAGCCAUCACCUUAUCAUGUAUCGCAGUGUACUGAUACGUCCAUUUUGCAUCAUGUUUUCUUACUAUUAUUUAUAAUGUUUUUAUCCAUAAUAAUGCUUUUUGGAGUGAUCCCAAUGCCUUUUCUCUCAUAAUUUGCAAGGAGCACACCAAGAGGGAGAAUUCAGGCAGCUGGAAAUCUGGACCUGGAAAAGCUAUGUCAGGCCACCUAUUCUGCAUAACUCCAAAUGAGAUGGAACUUCACGGAGAUUUUUGUUGGAUUAUUUAAGAAAUAUUGGAGCCAAUAAACACCAGAGGGGGGCCACCGGGUGGGCGCACCAUGCCCUCCUGGCGCGCCCUGGUGGGUUGUGGCCUCCUAGGCCCACCUCCGGUGCCCAUCUUCUGGUAUAUAAGUCAUUUUGACCUAGAAAAAAUAAGGAGAAGACUUUUGGGAUGGAGCGCCACCGAGGCAGAACUUGGGCAGGAGCACUUUUGCCCUACGGCGGAGCAAUUCUGCCGGGGAACUUCCCUCCCAGAGGGGGAAAUCAUCGUCAUCAUCAUCACCAACAACUCUCCCAUCUUGGGGAGGGAAAACUCCAUCAACAUAUUCACCAGCACCAUCUCAUAUCAAAACCUAGUUCAUCUCUCGAAUUCAAUCUUGUUACCGGAACUAUAGAUUGGUACUUGUGGGUGACUAGUAGUGUUGAUUACAUCUUGUAGUUGAUUACUAUAUGGUUUAUUUGGUGGAAGAUUAUAUGUUCAGAUCCAUUAUGCUAUUUAAUACCCCUUUGAUUAUGAGCAUGUUUACCAUUUGUGAGUAGUUACCUUUGUUCUUGAGGUCACGGGAGAAAUCAUGUUGCAAGUAAUCAUGUGAAUUUCAUAUGUGUUCGAUAUUUUGAUAGUAUGUAUGUUGUGAUUCCCUUAGAGGUGUCAUGUGAAUGUCAACUACAUGACACUUCACCAUACUUGGGCCUAAGGGAAUGCAUUGUGGAGUAGUAAAUAGAUGGUGGGUUGUGAGAUUGAUAGAAACUUAAACCCCAGUUUAUGCACUACUCUGUAAGGGACCGAUUAGAUCCUAGAGUUUAAUGCUAUGGUUAGAAUUUAUUCUUAAUACUUUUCUCGUAGUUGCGGAUUCUUGUGGGAGGGUUAAUGCUACCUCUUGAGCACUGCGUUGGAUUUCCCCUAAGAGGAAGGGAUGAUGCAGCAAAGUAGCGUAAGUAUUUCCCUCGGUUUUUGAGAACCAAGGUAUCAAUCCAGUAGGAGGCUACGCUCGAGUCCCUCAUACCUACACAAAAACAAUAGCUCAACGCAACCAACACGCUUAGGGGUUGUCAAUCCCUUCACGGUCACUUAUGAAAGUGAGAUCUGAUAGAGAUGAUAAAUAAUAUUUUUGGUAUUUUUGGUAUAUAGAUGCAAAGUAAAUAAAGUAAAAGCAAAGCAAUAAUAAAGUAAUGGAGAUUGAUAUGAUGAGAAAGAGACCCGGGGGCCAUAGGUUUCACUAGUGGCUUCUCUCAAGAGCAUAAGUAUUCUACGGUGGGUGAACAAAUUAUUGUUGAGCAAUUGACAGAAUUGAGCAUAGUUAUGAGAAUAUCUAGGUAUGAUCAUGUAUAUAGGCAUCACGUCCGAGACAAGUAGACCGAAACGAUUCUGCAUCUACUACUAUCACUCCACUCAUCGACCGCUAUCCAGCAUGCAUCUAGAGUAUUAAGUUAAAAACAGAGUAACGCCUUAAGCAAGAUGACAUGAUGUAGAGGGAUAGUUUCAUUCAAUAUGAUAAAAAAAACCCAUCUUGUUAUCCUCGAUGGCAACAAUACAAUACGUGCCUUGCUGCCCCUUCUGUCACUGGGAAAGGACACCGCAAGAUUGAACCCAAAGCUAAGCACUUCUCCCAUGGCAAGAACAACCAAUCUAGUAGGCCAAACCAAACUGAUAAUUCGAAGAUACUUGCAAAGAUAACCAAUCAUACAUAAAAGAAUUCAGAGAAGAUUCAAAUAUUAUUCAUAGAUAGACUUGAUCAUAAACCCAUAAUUCAUCGUUCUCAACAAACACACCGCAAAAAGAAGAUUACAUCGAAUAUAUCUCCACAAGAGAGGGAGAGAACAUUGUAUUGAGAUCCAAAAAGAGAGAAGAAGCCAUCUAGCUACUAGCUAUGGACCCAUAGGUCUGAAGUAAACUACUCACACUUCAUCGGAGGGGCUUGGAUGAUGAUGUAGAAGCCCUCCGUCAUUGAUGCCCCCUCCGGCGGAGCUCCGGAACAGGCCCCAAGAUGGGAUCUCGUGGAUACAGAAAGUUGCGGCGGUGGAAUUAGGUUUUUGGCUCCGUCCCGGUCGUUUGGGGGUACGUGGAUAUAUAUAGGAGGAAGAAGUACGUCGGUGGAGCUUCGAGGGGCCCACGAGGCAGGGGCGUGGCCCCUACCCUCGUGACCACCUCGUGGCUUUCUUGACGGAGGAUCCAAGUCUCCUGGGUCUUAUCUGAUGAGAAAAUCACGUUUCCGAAGGUUUCAUUCCGUUUGGACUCUGUUUGAUAUUCCUUUUCUUCGAAACCCUAAAACAGGCAAAAAACAGCAAUUCUGGGCUGGGCCUCCGGUUAAUAGGUUAGUCCCAAAUAUAAUAUAAAAGUGGAUAAUAAAGCCCAAUAAUGUCUAAAACAGUAGAUAAUAUAGCAUGGAGCAAUCAAAAAUUAUAGAUACGUUGGAGACGUAUCAAGCAUCCCCAAGCUUAAUUCCUGCUCGUCCUCGAGUAGGUAAAUGAUAAAAACAGAAUUUUUGAUGCGGAGUGCUACUUGGCAUAAUUUUAAUUUAAUUCUUCUUAAUUGUGGUAUGAAUAUUCAGAUCCAAAAGAUUCAAGACAAAAGUUCAUAUUGACAUAAAAAUGAUAAUACUUCAAGCAUACUAACUAAGCAAUUAUGUCUUCUCAAAAUAACAUGGCUAAAGAAAGUUCAUCCCUACAAAAUCAUAUGGUUUAGUCAUGUUUCAUUUUCGUCACAGAAGAAUGCUAUCAUCAUGCACAACCAAGACGACAAGCCAAGCAAUUGUUUCAUACUUUAGUAAUCUCAAACCUAUAAACUUUCACGCAAUAUAUGAGCGCGAGCCAUGGACAUAGCACUAUGUGUGGAAUAGAAUAAUGAGGGGGUUAUGUGGAGAAGACAAAAAGGAAGAAAGUCUCACAUCAACGAGGCUAAUCAAUGGGCUAUGGAGAUGCCCACUGAUUGAUGUUAAUGCAAGGAGUAGGGAUUGCCAUGCAACAGAUGCACUAGAGCUAUAAAUGUAUGAAAGCUCAACAAAAGAAACUAGUGGGUGUGCAUCCAACUUGCUUGCUCACGAAGACCUAGGGCACUUGAGGAGGCCCAUUGUUGGAAUAUACAAGCCAAGUUCUAUAAUGAAAAAAUCUCACUAGUAUAUGAAAGUGAUAACAUGAGAGACUCUACUAUGAAGAUCAUGGUUCUACUUUGAAGCACAAGUGUGGUAAAAGGAUAGUAACAUCGUCCCUUCUCUCUUUUUCUCUCAUUUUUUUGGGCCUUCUCUUUUUUUAUGGCCUUUCUCUUUUUUGGGGCCCUUUUUUAUGGCCUUUCCUUUUUUAUACCUCACUUGGGACAAUGCUCUAAUAAUGAUGAUCAUCACACUUCUAUUUAUUUACAACUCAAUGAUUACAACUCGAUACUAGAACAAAGAUGACUCUAUAUGAAUGCCUCCGGCGGUGUACCGGGAUACGCAAUGACUCAAGAGUGACAUGUAUGAAAGAAUUAUGAACGAUGGCUUUGCCACAAAUACUAUGUCAACUACAUGAUCAUGCUAAGCAAUAUGACAAUGAUGAAUGUGUCAUGAUGAAUGGAAUGAUGGAAAGUUGCAUGGCAAUAUAUCUCGGAAUGGCUAUGGAAAUGCCAUAAUAGGUAGGUAUGGUGGCUGUUUUGAGGAAGAUAUAAGGAGGUUUUUGUGUGAAAGAGCGUAUCAUAUCACGGGGUUUGGAUGCACCGGCGAAGCUUGCGCCAACUCUCAAUGUGAGAAAGGGCAAUGCACGGUACCAAAGAGGCUAGCAAGGAUGGAAGGGCGAGAGUGCGUAUAAUCCAUGGACUCAACAUUAGUCAUAAAGAACUCACAUAAUUAUUGUAAAAAUCUACAAGUCAUCAAAAACCUCGGCACUACGCGCAUGCUCCUAGGGGGAUAGAUUGGUAGGAAAAAACCAUCGCUCGUCCCCGACCACCACUCAUAAGGAAGACAAUCAAAUAACACCUCAUGUUUCAAAUUUGUUGCAUAACGAUUACCAUACGUGCAUGCUACGGGACUUGCAAACUUCAACACAAGUAUUUCUCAAUUUCACAACUACUCAACUAGCAUGACUUUGAUAUUAUUACCUCCAUAUCUCAAAACAAUCAUCAAGCAUCAAACUUUUCUUAGUAUUCAACACACUCAUAAGAAAGUUUUAUUAUUAAUCUUGCAUACCAAGCAUAUUAGGAUUUUAAGUAAAUUACCAUGCUAUUAAGACUCUCAAAAUAAUCUAAGUGAAGCAUGAGAGAUCAAUAGUUUCUAUAAAACAAAUCCACCACCGUGCUCUAAAAGAUAAAAGUGAAGCACUAGAGCAAAACUAUAAAGCUAAAAAGAUAUAAGUGAAGCACAUAGAGUAUUCUAUCAAAUUCCAAAUCAUGUAUGGCUCUCUCAAAAGGUGUGUACAGCAAGGAUGAUUGUGGUAGACUAACAAGCAAAGAUUCAAAUUAUAAAAGACGCUCCAAGCAAAACACAUAUCAUGUGGUGAAUAAAAACAUAGCUCCAAGUAAAGUUACCGAUAGAAGUAGACGAAAGAGGGGAUGCCUUCCGGGGCAUCCCCAAGCUUUGGCUUUUAGGUGUCCUUAGAUUAUCUUGGGGGUGCCAUGGGCAUCCCCAAUCUUAGGUUCUUGCCACUUCUUGUUCCAUAAUCCAUCAAAUCUUUACCCAAAACUUGAAAACUUCACAACACAAAACUUAAAGUAGAAAAUCUCGUGAGCUCCGUUAGCGAAAGAAAACAAAAGACCACUUCAAGGUACUGUAAUGAACUCAUUCUUUAUUUAUAUUGGUGUUAUACCUACUGUAUUCCAACUUCUCUAUGGAUUAUAAACUAUUUUACUAGCCAUAGAUUCAUCAAAAUAAGCAAACAACACACGAAAAACAGAAUCUGUCAAAAACAGAACAGUCUGUAGUAAUCUGUAGCUAGCGCAAUAUCUAGAACCCCAAAAAUUCUAAAAUAAAUUUCUGGACGUGAGGAAUUCAUAUAUUAAUCAUCUUAAAAAAGAAUUAACUAAAUAUCACUUUCCAAAUAAAAAUGACAGCAGUUCUCGUGAGCGCUAAAGUUUCUGUUUUUUACAGCAAGUUCAACAAGACUUUCCCCAAGUCUUCCCAACGGUUCUACUUGGCACAAACACUAAUUAAACACAAAAAACACAACCAAAACAGAGUCUAAAUAAAUUUAUUUAUUAAAUAACAGCAAGGAUAAAUAGUGGGUUGACUCCCAACAAGCGCUUUUCUUUAAAGCCUUAUAGCUAGGCAUAAUAUUUCAAUGAUGCUCACAUGAAAGACAAGAAUUGAAGCACAAAGAGAGCAUCAUAAAACACAUGACAAACACAUCUAAGUCUAACAUACUUCCUAUGCGUAUGCAUCUUAUAGGCAAACAAAUUAGCUAGGGAAGCAAAAACUAGCAUAUGCAAGGAAGCGGAAAGAAACAAUAGCAAUCUCAACAUAACAAGAGGUAAUUUAGUAACAUGAAAAUUUCUACCACCAUAUUUUCCUCUCUCAUAAUAAUUACAUGUAGGAUCAUAAUAAAAUUCAACAAAAUAGCUAUCACAUAAAAUAUUUUCAACAUGAUCCACAUGCAUGCAAAGUUGACACUCUUCCAAAAUAGUGGGAUUAACAUUAACUAAAGUCAUGACCUUUCCAAACCCACUUUUAUCAAAAACUUCAUAAGAUUGAACAUUCUCCAAAUAUGUGGGAUCUAAAGUUGACAUUCUUCCAAACCCACUUUCAAUAUUAUUGCAAACAUUAUAAUCAAUCUCAUAUUCAUCAUGGGGUUUAAAUAAAUUUUCAAGAUCAAAAGAAGAAUCACCCCAAUCAUGAUCAUUACAACAAGUAGAGGACAUAGCAAAACUAGCAUCCCCAAGCUUAGGGUUUUGCAUAUUAUUAGCACAAUUGAAAUUAAUAUAAUUUAUAAUAGAAUCAUUGCAGUCAUGCUUUCUAUUCGAAGAUCUAUCGUGAAUCGCUUCAUGAGGUAAUUCAUCACACUUUUCAGAUUCACGAAUUUCAAGCAAAACUUCAUAAAGAUAAUCUAGUGCACAAAACUCACUAGCAAUUGGUUUAUCAUAAUUGGACCUCUUAAAAGGAUUAGCAAGUGGAUGAGGAUCCAUAGAUCUUAAGUUCUCUGUUUAGUAAUAAAUAAACAACUAUUCUAACCAUACGAGCAAACAAGAAGCAAGCGGGCAAAAAGAGGCAAAUAGAGAGGGAGGAUAGAGAGAGAGAGGGCGAAUAAAAUGGCAAGGGUGAAUUGGGGGGAGAGGAAAACGAGAGGCAAAUGGAAAAUAAUGUAAUGCGGGAGAUAGGGAUUGUGAUGGGUACUUGGUAUGUUGACUUUUGCGCAGACUCCCCGCCAACGGCGCCAGAAAUUCUUCUUGCUACCUCUUGAGCACUGCGUUGGAUUUCCCCGAAGAGGAAGGGAUGAUGCAGCAAAGUAGCGUAAGUAUUUCCCUCAGUUUUGAGAACCGAGGUAUCAAUCCAUUAGGAGGCUACGCUCGAGUCCCUCAUACCUACACAAAAACAAUAGCUCAACGCAACCAACGCGCUUAGGGGUUGUCAAUCCCUUCACGGUCACUUACGAAAGUGAGAUCUGAUAGAGAUGAUAAAUACUAUUUUUGGUAUUUUUGGUAUAGAGAUGCAAAGUAAAUAAAGUAAAAGCAAAGCAAUAAUAAAGUAAUGGAGAUUGAUAUGAUGAGAAAGAGACCCGGGGGCCAUAGGUUUCACUAGUGGCUUCUCUCGAGAGCAUAAGUAUUCUACGGUGGGUGAACAAAUUACUGUUGAGCAAUUGACAGAAUUGAGCAUAGUUCUGAGAAUAUCUAGGUAUGAUCAUGUAUAUAUGCAUCACGUCCGAGACAAGUAGACCAAAACGAUUUUGCAUCUACUAUUACUCCACUCAUCGAUCGCUAUCCAGCAUGCAUCUAGAGUAUUAAGUUAAAAACAAAGUAACGCCUUAAGCAAGAUGACAUGAUGUAGAGGGAUAGUUUCAUGCAAUAUGAUAAAAAAACCAUCUUGUUAUCCUCGAUGGCAACAAUACAAUACGUUCCUUGCUGCCCCUUCUGUCACUGGGAAAGGACGCCGCAAGACUGAACCCAAAGCUAAGCACUUCUCCCAUGGCAAGAACAACCAAUCUAGUAGGCCAAACCAAAUUGAUAAUUCGAGGAGACUUGCAAAGAUAACCAAUAAUACAUAAAAUAAUUCAGAGAAGAUUCAAAUAUUAUUCAUAGAUAGACUUGAUCAUAAACCCACAAUUCAUCGGUCUCAACAAACACACUGCAAAAAGAAGAUUACAUCGAAUAGAUCUCCACAAGAGAGGGGGAGAACAUUGUAUUGAGAUCCAAAAAGAGAGAAGAAGCCAUGUAGCUACUAGCUAUGGACCCGUAGGUCUGAAGUAAACUACUCACACUUCAUCGGAGGGGCUUGGAUGAUGAUGUAGAAGCCCUCCGUGAUCGAUUCCCCCUCUGGCGAGCUCCGGAACAGGCCCCAAGAUGGUAUCUCGUGGAUACAGAAAGUUGCGGCGGUGGAAUUAGGUUUUUGGCUCCGUCCCGAUCGUUUGGGGGUGCGUGGAUAUAUAUAUAUAGGAGGAAGAAGUAUGUCGGUGGAGCUUCGAGGGGCCCACGAGGUAGGGGGCGCGCCCUAGGGGGGGCACGCCCCCUACCCUCGUGACCACCUUGUGGCUUUCUUGACGGAGGGUCCAAGUCUCCUGGGUCUUAUCUGAUGAGAAAAUCACGUUUCCAAAGGUUUCAUUUUGUUUGGACUCCGUUUCAUAUUCCUUUUCUUCGAAACCCUAAAACAGGCAAAAAAAACAGCAAUUCUGGGCUGGGCCUCCGGUUAAUAGGUUAGUCCCAAAAAUAAUAUAAAAGUGGAUAAUAAAGCCCAAUAAUGUCUAAAACAGUAGAUAAUAUAGCAUGGAGCAAUAAAAAAUUAUAGAUACAUUGGAGACGUAUCAGUUAAUCAUAAGUAGGAGGUCCGCUCAAGUAAGAACAGCACCUAAGCACCGGUCCACCCACAUAUCAAAUUAUCAAAGUAGUGAACACAAAUCAAACCAACAUGAUGAAAGUGACUAGAUGAAAUCCCCGUGUACCCUCAAGAACGCUUUGCUCAUUAUAAGAGACCAUUUUGGCAUGCACUUUGCCUCAAAAGGAUUGGGCUACCUUGCUGCAUACUUGUUACAAUUAUCAUUACUUGCUCGUUGCAAAUUAUCUUGCUAUCAAACUACUCGCUACUUACAAUUUCAACACUUGCAGACUUUACCUUACUGAAAACUACUUGUCAUUUUCUUCUGCUCCUCGUUGGGUUCGACACUCUUAGUUAUCAAAAAGAGCUACAAUUUAUCCCCUAUACUUGUGGGUCACCAAGGCUAUUUUCUGGCGCCAUUGCCAGGGAUUGAAGCGCCUUUGGUAAGUGGAAUUCGGUAAGGAAACAUUUAUAUAGUGUGCUGAAAUUUAUUGUCACUUGUUACUAUGGAAAACAAUCCUUUGAGGGGUUUGUUUGGGGUAUCUUCACCUCGUCCGGAACCACAAUUAAUUGCCCCUCAACCUACUGCACCUACUAAAAAUAUUGAAUAUGAAAUUCCUUUAGGUAUGAUAGAACAACUGCUAGCUAAUCCUUAUGAAGAGAUGGAACAGAACAUCCUGAUAUGCACUUGAUAUAUGUAGAACAAAUUUGUGGAUUGUUCAAGCUUGCAGGUUUACCCGAGAUGAGGUGAUGAAAAAGGUUUUCCCUUUAUCUUUGAAGAGAAAAGCAUUGGCAUGGUAUAGGCUAUGCGAUGAUAUUGGAUUAUGGAAUUGGAAUCGUUUGAAAUUGGAGUUCCACCAAAAAAAAUUAUCCUAUACAUCUAGUUCAUCAUCAUCGGAAUUAUAUAUAUAAUUUUUUGCCACGUGAAGGAGAAAGUAUCACUCUAUCUUGGGGGAGGCUUAAGUCAAUGUUAUAUUCAUGCCCCAAUCAUGAGCUCUCAAGAGAAAUUAUUAUUCAGAAUUUUUAUGCUCGGCUUUCUCGUAAUGAUCAAACCAUGCUGGAUACUUCUUGUGUUGGUUCUUUUAUGAAGAAAACUAUUGAAUUCCGGUGGGAUCUUUUGGAAAGAAUUAAACACAACUCUAAAGAUUGGGAACUCGACGAAGGUAAAGAAUCGGGUAUAAAGCUUAAGUAUGAUUGUGCUAAAUCUUUUCUGGAUACCGAUGCUUUUCAAAAGUUUAGCACUAAAUAUGGACUUGACUCUGAGAUAGUAGCCUCCUUUUGUGAAUCAUUUGCUACUCAUGUUGAACUCCCUAAAGAGAAGUGGUUUAAAUAUCACCCACAUAUUAAAGAAUGAAUUAAAGAAUCGGUACCAGUUAAAGAAGAAACUACACUCUAUAAUGUUGAUCCAGUUGUUCCUACUGCUAAUAUUGAGAAACCACCUUUUCCUGUUAGGAUAAAGGAACAUGCUAAAGUUUCAAUUGUGGUUAACAAAAGCUUUGUUAGAACACCUAAACCUGAUGAACAAAUUAAAUUAGAACCUAGCAUUGCUAUUGUUAAAGAUCUCUUAGAACAAGAUAUGGAUGAGCAUGUUAUUUACUUCUGUGAAGAAGCUGCUAGAAUUGCUAAACCAGAUGGAAAAGAUAAACAUAGACCUGUUGUUGGCAUGCCUCUUAUUUCACUUAAAAUAGGAGAUCAGUGUAUCAUGGUUUAUGUGACAUGGGUGCUAGUGUGAGGCUAUUCCUUACACUUUAUAUAAAGAAAUUAUAAAAGACAUAGCACCUGUAGAGUUAGAAGACAUAGAUGUUACUAUUAAACUUGCUAAUAGAGACACCAUAUCGCCUUGUGGGAUUAUUAGAGAUGUUGAAGUCUUGUGUGGGAAAAUAAAAUAUCCUACUAAUUUUCUUGCUCUUGGUACCCCACAAGAUGACUUCUGUCCCAUUAUCUUUGGUAGACCUUUCUUGAACACAGUUAAUGCUAAGAUACAUUGCAAGAAACAAACUAUUGGUGUUAGCUUUGGUGAUGAGUCUCAUGAGUUUAAUUUUUUCAAGUUCAGUAGAAAUCAUUAUGAGAAAUAAUUACCUAGUAAGGAUGAAUUAAUUGGUAUUGCUUCUAUAGCUAUACCACCUACUGAUCCUUUAGAACAAUACUUGCUAGACCAUGAGAAUGAUUUACAUGUGCAUGAAAGAAAUGAAAUAGAUAAGAUUUUCUUUGAACAACGUCCUCUUCUUAAACACAAUUUGCCUAUUGAAACUCUAGGAGGUCCACCUCCACCUAAAGGUGAUCCUAUGUUUGAAUUAAAACAAUUGCCAGACACUAUGAAAUAUGCUUAUCUUGAUGAAAAGAAGAUAUAUCAUGUUAUUAUUAGUGCUAACCUUUCAGAACAUGAAGAAGAAAGAUUAUUGAAAGUUCUAAGGAAGCACCGAGCUGCUAUUGGAUAUACUCUUGAUGAUUUAAAGGCAUUAGUCCCACUCUAUGUCAGCACAAAAUUAAUAUGGAACCUGAUGCUAAACCAGUUGUUGAUCACCAACGUCGGUUAAAUCUGAAGAUGAAAGAGGUGGUAAGAACGGAAAUAGUAAAACUUCUGGAAGCAGGUAUAAUCUAUCAUAUAGCUGAUAGUAGAUGGGUAAGUCAUGUUCAUUGUGUCCCUAAGAAAGGAGGUAUUACUGUUGUCCCUAAUGAUAAGAAUGAACUUAUUCCACAAAGAAUUGUUACAGGCUAUAGAAUGGUAAUUGAUUUUAGAAAAUUAAAUAAAGCUACUAGAAAAGAUCAUUACCCUUUGCCUUUUAUUGAUCAAAUGCUUGAAAUAUUAUCUAAGCACACACACUUUUGCUUCCUUGAUGGAUAUUCUAGCUUUUCACAGAUACUUGUUUCUUAACCUAAUCAAGAAAAGACCACUUUUACUUGUCCUUUUAGAACCUAUGCUUAUAGACGUAUGCCUUUUGGUUUAUGUAAUGCAUCUGCUACCUUUCAAAGAUGCAUGAUGGCUAUAUUCUCUGAUUUUUGUGAAAAUAUUGUUGAGGUUUUCAUGGAUGACUUCUUUGUUUAUGGGAAGUCUUUUGAUGAUUGUUUAAAACUUGAUCGAGUUCUACAGAGAUGUGAACAAACAAAUCUAGUCUUGAAUUGGGAGAAGUGCCACUUUAUGGUUAAUGAAGGCAUUAUCUUGGGUCAUAAAAUUUCUAAAAGAGGUAUCAAAGUGGACCAAGCUAAGGUUGAUGCAAUUGAGAAAAUGCCAUGUCCUAAGGACAUCAAAGGUAUUCAUAGUUUCCUAGGUCAUGUUGGUUUCUAUAGGAGAUUUAUCAAAGACUUUUCCAAAAUUUCUAGGCCUCUUACUAAUCUUUUGCAAAAGGAUAUUCCUUUUGUUUUUGAUGAUGAUUGUCCUGAAGCCUUUGAAAUAAUCAAGAAAGCUUUAAUCUAUGCACCUAUUGUUCAACCACUUGAUUGUAAAUUGCCUUUUGAAAUUAUGUGUGAUGCUAGUGAUUAUGUUGUUGGUGUUGUUCUAGGACAAAGAGUUGAUAAGAAAUUGAAUGUUAUUCAUUAUGCUAGUAAAACUCUAGACAGUGCUCAAAGAAAUUAUGCUACAAAUGAAAAAGAAUUCUUAGCAGUGGUGUUUGCUUGUGAUAAGUUUAGACCUUAUAUUGUUGAUUCUAAAGUAAAUGUUCACACAGACCAUGAUGCUAUUAAAUAUCGUAUGGAGAAGAAAUAUGCUAAACAUAGACUUAUUCAUUGGGUUCUCUUGUUAUAAGAAUUUGAUUUACAUAUAAUUGAUAGAAAAGGAGCUGAGAACCCUGUAGUUGAUAACUUGUCUAGGCUUAAAAAUAUGCUUGAUGACCCACUCCUAUUAAUGAUAGUUUUCCUAAUGAGCAGUUAGCUGCAAUAAAUGUUUCUAAUAAUACUCCUUGGUAUGCUGAUAUUGCUAGUUACAUUGUUGCUAAAUACUUGCCACCUAGCUUUACAUAUCAACAAAAGAAAAAAUUCUUCUAUGGUUUAAGACAUUACUUUUGGGAUGUCCCACAUCUUUAUAAAGAAGGAGUAAAUGGUAUUAUUAGACGUUGUGUACCUGAGCAUGAAUAGGGAUAAUUCCCAUGGAAAUGUCACUCUGAGCCUUAUGGAGGGCAUCAUGCUGGAGACAGAACUACUCACAAGGUAUUGCAAUCUGGAUUUUAUUGGCCUACUCUCUUCAAGGAUGCUCGUAAGUAUGACUCAUCUUGUGAUGAAUGCCAAAGAAUAGGUGCUACCUCUUGAGCAUGCGUUGGUUUUCCCUUGAAGAGGAAAGGGUGAUGCAGCAAAGCAGCGUAAGUAUUUCUCUCAGUUUUUGAGAACCAAGGUAUCAAUCCAGUAGGAGACCACGUGCAAGUCACUUCGUACCUACACAAACAAGUAAGAACCUCACAACCAACAUGAUAAAGGGGUUGUCAAUCCCUUCACGGCCACUUGCAAGAGUGAGAUCUGAUAGAGAUAAUAAUAAUAAGAUAAAUAUUUUUGAUAUUUUUAUGAUAUAGAUUGAAAGUAAAGAUUGCAAAAUAAAUGGUGCGAGAAAUAGCUAGUUGAUGGAAGAUUAAUAUGAUGGAAGAUAGACCCGGGGGCCAUAGGUUUCACUAGUGGCUUCUCUCAAGAUAGCAUAAGUAUUACGGUGGGUGAACAAAUUAUUGUCGAGCAAUUGAUAGAAUUGAGCAUAGUUAUGAGAAUAUCUAGGUAUGAUCAUGUAUAUAGGUGUGACGCCCUCGAUUCAAUCGUACACUAAUCAUACACGCAAAUGUGUACGAUCAAGAUCAAGGACUCACGGGAAGAUUUCACAAUACAACUCUAGACACAAAAUAAAAUAAUACAAGCUUUAUAUUACAAGCCAGGGCCUUGAGGGCUCGAAUACAUAAGCUCGAAUACACAAGAGUCAGCGGAAGCAACAAUAUCUGAGUGCAGACAUGAGUUAAACAAGUUUGCCUUAAGAAGGCUAGCAGAAAAGCAACAUCGAUCGAAAAGGCAAGGCCUCCUGCCUGGGAGCCUCCUAACUACUCCUCGUCGGUGGCGGUCUUCAUGUAGUAGUAGGCAUCAACGGUGGCAUCUGACUCCUGGGCUCCGACAUCUGGUUGCAUCAAUUGGAAAGAAGAAGAAAGGGGAAAAGGGGGGGGAGUGAAAGUGCGUUAUAUCGACUAGAGGGGGGGUGAAUAGGCGAUUUUUAUGAAAGUCUUCAAAACAUGGAAGUUAUGAAGACAAACGAUAGAAAUAAACCUAUUACCAUGCAGCGGAAGGUAGACUACACUAGGCAAACCAUAGUCAAGUAUUCAAUGGAGUGAAAGCACAAUGACUAGUAGCAGCAAUGUAGUAAGGAUCAGAUAGGAAGAUAUUAUGAAGCCAAACAGAACUCGCAGUCACUCAGUGAAGACAAAAGAUAGUGCAAUCAUACAAUGACUUCACAAGGACCAACAGUAAGUAAAGGGAAGGGAUGGAUGAAACCAGUGACUCGUUGAAGACAAUGAUUUGUUGGACCAGUUCCAGUUGCUGUGACAACUGUACGUCUGGUUAGGGCGGCUAGGUAUUUAAACCUGAGGACACACAGUCCCGGACACCCAGUCCUGAACACGCAGCUCAGGACACCCAGUCCUCACCAUAUUCCCCUUGAGCUAAGGUCACACAGACCUCACCCAAUCACUCUGGUAAGUCUUCAAGGUAGACUCCCAAACCUUCACAGACUUUGUUCACCGGCAAUCCACAAUGUCUCUUGGAUGCUCAGAACGCGACGCCUAACCGGCUGGAGGAUUCAUAGUCCUUAAGUGUAAUAAGUCUUCAGAUCACACAGACAAGAAGACUUAAGUGAUGCCUGACACUCUUUGGCUCUGGGUGGUUAGGGCUUUAUCCUCGCAAGGAAUUCUCUCUCAAAGGCUUUGAGGUGGGUUGCUCUCAAACGACAAAAGCCGUACUCUAACUCGGAGCAGCCAACCAUUUAUGGUUGUAGGGGGUGGGCUAUUUAUAGCCACUAGGCAACCCGACCUGAUUUGUCCGAAAUGACCCUGGGUCACUAAGGAACUGACACGUGUUCCAACGGUCCGAUUUCAAACUCACGCGGCAGCUUUACUUGGGCUACAAGCAAAGCUGACUUGUCCGACUCUGGACAAGUUUCACCCUCAUAGUCUUCACUCGAAGACAUAGGUUUUGGUUAAGCAUCACUUCAGUCAUUCUAACUGGUUCACUUGGACCCCACUUAACAGUACGGUGGUUCUUAUGACUCAAUAAAGAAGAAACAGAACUACAAAAGAUCUAAGUCUUUGAGCUCCAUAGGCUUCAUGCGAUGUCUUCUCUUGUCAUAGUCUUCAAUGAGAAUAUCUUCAUAUACCACCUUUGACAUCAAUGUCUUCAUACAUUUUUAGGGGUCAUCUCUAGUAGGAAAACAGAAUCAAUGAGGGACUUCUACCUAUGUUAUCCUGCAAUUCUCACAAACACAUCAGUCCCUCAACUAGGUUUGUCGUCAAUACUCCAAAACCAACUAGGGGUGGCACUAGAUGCACUUACAAUCUCCCCCUUUUUGGUGAUUGAUGACAAACUAGUUGAAGUUUUCAAUGGGGAAUAUAAUAUGUGAAAUUGUAAAGAAUAAGGAAUUGUCUUCAUAAGUUGCAAGGGCUCCCCCUGAAGAUGUGCAUAUAAGUAAUUUGCUUUUGGAAUGCAAAUGCACAUGGCAGGUUGUGCUUGUGGAGAUCCUCUUCAACUUAUGAUGACAAUCCACUAUGCAUGUGAAGGUAUGUGAAGAUAAUGACAUGCAUAAUGGAAAAUGGACGUCUGCAAAAUGAUCUAAGUGCGGAAUUUAUCGUCGCACAUGCGGAAUUUAUCAUCGCAUCACAAAGUAGCAAAUAAGUAGCAGACGACCAUCGAGUUUAAGUGUUACAACUCAAGGAACCAAAUGUAUCAAAACGAGAGUUGUAAACACGAAGCAAAAUAUAAAGCACCCGCCCAUAUGGACCCGCUUGAAGACUAUCAAAUUCAUAUGCUUCUCCCCCUUUUGUCAGUAAGGACCAAAAAGGUUUAAAGACAUAGAGCAUCUACUCGUUCCCAUGAAGAGUGGGUGAAGCAGCAAGGUCGUCAGUGGUGUUCGGCGGUGCAGAAGAACUUGGAGCAGUGUUGAAGCAUGCUGAAGGAGGUGGCGGUGAAGUGGCAUCGUCUUCAUCGUCGAUCACUCUGCCAUUCAUAGUUGCAGCAGAGGAAGAGAACUCAGAGUCUUCGAGAGAUGGAGUUCGUCACAACACGGCCCUUCGAGGAGGUGUGGAGUCAAAGUUGAAGCAUUCAGAGAAGCCAUCCUCUUGAAGAUCAUCUUCAGAGCACAUCAGCAUCAGACCUUUCCAUGUGCGUCGAGAGGUUUCAUGGGCAACAAAAGCAUUCUUGGUGGCAAGAUUGCGAAUGCGGUUGACAUCCACCAAGAGGCUUUGCAUUUGGCGCUUCAGCCAGUCAUGAUGCCUAUCCUGAUUCUGAUGAAGAGCCACCAGAAGCUCUCGGUCAUUAAGAACACGAGUGCGCUUCUUGGGUCGUUGGGCAGUUGUGCUGUCGGUGGCUUCAGUAAGGGCAGGAUGUGGUGAACGUGUAGUUCCAGCCAAAGGAUACACACGAGUGACUGCUUCAACUCCUUCAAUGUUCUGAGAAAAACUUUGAUGCUCCGCAUUCUGAAGACUUAGAGGUUCCUUGGCAGGCUUAGGAUAAAUGGCUUCAAUAGACAUAUCCACAUCAGGCAGAAAGAUCCGAUGAUUGCGAGCAGAUGGUUGAUAUGAGAUAGCGGAGUGGAGUUUGAUCAGCCGCAUUAUCCAUGGAGCGUAGAACUUCAGGCCAAAAAGAUCAGAGCCUGAUGCAGCAAGUUAGCGGAUGAAGAAGUCCUAUGCAUUGAAGCAUUUGCCAUGAAGAAUAUAGAAGACCAAGGUCUUCAUUGCACCUUCUAGCUUGGCAUGUGGAGAGUGUCCUUUGAUGGGCCAGAGAGUUCGCCUUAUGAUGUGAUAAAUAGUCCUUGGCAGAUACUCAAGGUCUUCAACAAAGAGCUCUUUGGGAUAUGCAGCAUCUUGGGGCAAUGGCUUCAUCAUACUAAGCAUCUGACUCAUGUUGGGUUCAGGCUUCUGAAAGAUGCUUUCCACAGCUUCACUGUGAAUUUGACAGCCAGUUUCGUAGAGAUCGCCAGGAGUGGGUAGACCAGUGAGCUCAAUGAUGUCAAAGGCUUUGGCUUCGUGAUGAAUGUUUCCUGUCAUCCACUCCAAGACCCAAGUCUUCGGAUCUCUGUUGUACCCACGGAUGUGAAGUGUGGCAUAGAAUUGGAGCAGCAACUCUUCAUUCCAAUGCUCUUGGUCGGUGACGAACGGCAGCAAUCCAACCUCUUUGAAGCAAUCCAGAGCUUCUUCCAGGCAGGGCAGACCAGCUAUUGCUUCAAUGUCAAGACGCUUGUGUGGGAAGAUGCGACCUUGAUUGUAUAGAAUGCAGGAGUAAUAGCUUCGCUGCGGAUAGCUCCAGAACCGAUCAGAUGAUAUUCUUUCCCUUGAGUAGGUUCCUGGAGCUAUCGAAGAAAGUGUUGUCUGCUCUGAAGCCAUUGACAUUGAAGGAUCCAGGUGCUGAUGUAGGACCUGGAAACCUGGGCAAUCUUGGGAUUGGCUUCUGUACCUGAGGCCUGUGCUCAACAUGAUAGUCGAACUGAGGACCAGCAGCAGGCACAGGAACAGAAGCAGUGGGAUCAGUGGCUUCACUGACUUCUGGUGCUUGGGUUGGUGAAGGCUCCACAUUAGCUUCAGCCAUGAUAGCGUCAGUGGCUUCAUUGGUGUUGGUGGUGGCAGCCUCAAGAUUCUCAACCUCCACUUGACGAGCUGGAGGGUCGGUCAUAGUCACGUUCUCCUUGAGAAUAGCUUCUUGGUGGGACGGGGGAGUAGCAGCUUUUGGGGUUUCUUCUUCAUCGGCUGAUGCAGCCGGAAUGUCUUCAGCAGCUAUAGCUUCAGCUCGGAGACUGGAGGCCUUGGUCCUUUGCGAAGCCUGCGUAACGAUGGCGACGCCUGUGGAGUUGGAGUUGGCUGGGCCUCAAAGUCUUCUUCCUCUUGUGCUUGUGGGCGAUCAGCCCAUGAUGCAUCCUAAGCAAUUGGCGUCAGAGGACGACCAAUGCUGAUGAGUUCGUUGUGCGUUAGCAUAGACGAUGAUACCUGUUGGUGCUCGAGCUGAGGAAGAAUUGCAUCAUCUUCAACAUGGUCAAGGUGACCAAUGUCUUCAGCAGCAAUGGGAUCAGCUGCUGGAAAGUCUUCAGCUUCAUGAGCCUCUGUGAAAGCAGGCUCAUGGACAGUCAGUUGACGUUCUUGAGGUUCAGCGUCAGGGCGAACCAUGGAGAUGGGUUCAACAAUCAAGGGCUCUGUGGGAGCAGCCCGUUCCUUCUUGUUCUUCCGCUUCUUCUUGGAGGGGGCAGUAGCAGAGGCUUCAGGAUGUUUCCUCUUCCUUGCUUCAGCCUCAGCAGUCCUCGUCUUCUUCAGCUCUGAAGUGGUUGACCGGGCCUUUGGCUUCGAGCCAGUCAUGCUAGUUAGGAAGACAAUGGGAUCUGCUUCCUGCAUUGGUGCGUUGGGUUCGGCCAUAGUGGGCUUCUUCUUCUGCUUAGCAGCCAUCCUGGGAUCAAUGCCCGGACGCCCAAGGGUCUUGCGCUUCUCAGCCUCGUUGUAGCCUUGCACACACUUGUCAGCAAGGCUCUUCAUGCGCUCCCUAGAACCCUGAGCUUCUGCGUGUUUCUUGAGAAAGGCUUCUUUGAGCUCGUGCAUCAUAAUCUUGAAGUUUUUCACCUCUUGCACGCUGAGCUUGGCCAUAUGCUUCUUGAACUGAGCCUUUUCAUAGUCAAUAUUUUGCUUCAGUUCGACGAUGCGCUGAGCGAGAGCUAGUUCUGAAGCAAUGGCGCCAUGGAAGGCGACACUGAGGCCAAUGGGUAGUUGCAGAUCUUCGAAGCUGAUGUUGGGCGUGUCAAACCACUCAUCAAUGAAGUUGUGGAUGAUUGUCACAUCAAAGAGAGGCAGAUCAUUGAAGAUUUCUGCUUCUUCUUUGCUCUUGAUGAUUUGCUCAAGAGCGUCGUCUGCAAGAUCUUCAUCACUGGACAGAUCAAUGGCAUCAUUUCGUAGAAUGGGAGCAACUGUCAGUUCUUGGCCGGUGUGUGGCAGAGGCAUCCUGACCUUCUGGGGCUUGGAGGUGCGUGACAAAUCUUCAGACUGCACACUGUCUUCAGGAGGUGCAGUGGCCAGUGGCUUCGCCCGUGAGAUUCUUGGUGCAGAGGCAGGCUUUGAAGCUUUUGGCUGCUUCAGCUUCUUUGGCUUCGGCGCUGCAGGCGCUUCAUCUGAUUCAGCGUCAUCUGCAGGCUCAUUCACGGCAGUCCCUUGAACCACGAUAUGGGUGAUGAUACCUUCAAGGUUGUAGAAGGCCCCAAGAAGAUUGGGUUCAGCUUCGCGAGUUCCAUCGGCAUGGGGAGCAGAGGGACCAGGGUUGAAGUCUAGUCCCAAAGACUUCUUGUUUUGCUUUGCUGAGUUCUUGGCAAACUGGAAGUUGCGCUUGAACAGAUUGUCGUCACGGCGCCAUAGUAGUGACGAUGGGUGUGCAUCUGCAGGCUGUGGCCCAUGGACCAUGCAGGGAUAGAAGCCUUGUUCAAUGGCUUCUUCUCUGGACCUGGGUUGAAGAUUCAUAUAUAGGAUGUCUCCCCACGGUCGCUUGAUGGCAUUUUUCUCACCAUAUUCUUGGGUCACAAACCAGUAUUUGAACCAUUGUUCUGCCCAAUAUCUUCGAAUCCACUGGAUUCGGGUCUUGUGCUAAUUAUAAUCCUCUUCAGGAUCUGACUUGUAAAGUUCUGAGAGGUCAUCAGGCAGAUCUCUUGAUGUUCCGCCACGAUGCUGUCUGCCUCCCUUCCUUGCAGAUUUCUCUGAAGCCAUGAAUUUUAAAUUAAAAGGCUUCAAUACAUUCAAAGGCUUCAAGGGCUUUCGUUUGCUGGACAAACAUGAACUGGCUUCGGGAGAAUUUAUAUGAUGCUGUAAGAAUUCUGCAAAUGCAUGCAGACUAUGAGAACCAAGGGAUUCUCCCACGGACAUGUACCUGUGACAGCAUUAAGGUGCGAGGGAAGGGGAAGAGGUCAUAUGCAUUCUCAGAAGAUUUUGAAGAUAAAUCAGUUUAGAAGACAUUGACCUCAUCGUGCGAAGACAUUCACUCAUAGAGAAGGAGUUGGUUCCAGAUUUGUACGAAUCCAUGGAUCAGUACAAGUGAGGAAUCUAACUACUUUGCGAAGUACAAGUGAAUAUACUAGGCAUAUUAUGAGGUGCAGUAUGUAAGAGUGUGAACAGAAACUGCUUGUGGUAGAAAGUGACGAAGCUAUAGGAUCAAAGGGCCUAUAAAAAGGAAGUUUUAUUUACCACACGAAGAAUUGCUAGAUGGAGUGGAAGAGGAGGCCGAGCAGUUCGAUCGUCCAUGCCCUAACUUGGCGAUGGAGGACACCUACGGCGACGGCGGAGAGGACGAUGUCCGCGGUCGGCGUGAGGACGGCGUCGGAGAGGUUGCGGCAGCGAAGCGCUUCAUCGCCGGCGUCGUCGAGGGUUAGCGGUGGUGCUAGGGUUCGUGCGAGAGUGGAAGAAGAGAUAAUGACUGCGGUGAGGCGUGUAUUUAUAGGUAUAGGGGCGGCUCAGUGUUAUUACACAGGUGCCCCUGGCGAUUCACAUCUGAGGAACACGUGGCCAUCAUGCAGCAUGUCGGAGGUUGUUCCACGUCCCACGCACGCCUGGAUUGUCGGGUGGUCGUUCCUACUUCUCCGGGUUUCAGGUGAAGGAAUGAGCAUUGAAAACAGACUUAAUGUUUGUCUCUGUAUCUUCAGCUGACAAGGACGCAGAGAAGACAUUCGACCGUUUCAAUAGAAUGCAUAUGACUUGGAGAGAUAGAGUUUGAGAUAGAAAGCAUAGAGAGGUUAGGGUCCGAUCACAUUCACUUAGUUCAAAAAAUUCAACAAGAAGACAUAGCUAUAAGUGAACGCUGUAGAGGACAGAACACUAGUGUAUAUAUAUAUAUAUAUAUAUAUAUAUAUAUAUAUAUAUUCAACAUAGUGAAGAUAAUCAUGAAGACAUGUUGAGAUUGAAGCCAAACCAAAUGUGAAAACAUAGCAAAUGUAACACCAUGAGUGAAACACUUCAAACAGAACAUUUGGUGGUGGCGUUACCCACCGUAUAGGAAGUAUUAGACCCAGACACGGCGCACAAUUAUCGUGGCGCUCCGAAGUCAAAUUUCACAUUAAUGUAUUCACACUUAGAAUGUAUGUCUUCAUUGAUUGAAGUUAUACUUUACUUCGUGUGUUGCACAUCUAAGUCAUCAAUAUGCAUAAGUGUUAGGAUGUGUGCCUGAUCACAGGACAUUUGAGGAUUCCAAGAUAUUUAGCUCACACCGUAACUUGCAAAAUCUCUUCUCAUCCAAGGGCUUGGUGAAGAUAUCUGCCAAUUGUUCUUCAGUGUUGAUGUGUAUGAUAUCAAUGUCUUCCUUCACAACAUGAUCUCUGAGAAAGUGAUGACGAAUUUCAAUGUGCUUUGUCUUCGAGUGCUGAACUGGGUUGUUGGCAAUCUUGAUGGCGCUUUCGUUGUCGCAGUAGAGUGGCACUUGCUUGAGAUGAAUGCCAUAGUCCUUGAGUGUUUGCUUCGUCCACAGAAGCUGAGUGCAGCAAGAUCCAGCAGCAAUGUAUUCAGAUUCAGCAGUGGAGAGAGAUACACAGUUCUGCUUCUUUGAAGACCAACAUACAAGUGAUCGUCCCAGAAAAUGACAUGUGCCUGAUGUAGACUUGCGAUCCACCUUGUCACCAGCAUAAUCAGCAUCCGAGAAUCCAACCAGAUCAAACUCUGAGCCCUUUGGAUACCAUAAUCCUAGAGUUGGGGUGUGAGCCAAAUAUCGAAGAAUUCGCUUCACAGCUAAGUGAUGCGACUCCUUUGGUGCCACUUGGAAUCGAGCACACAUGCAAACACUAAGCAUAAUAUCUGGCCUAGAUGCACAUAGAUCAAGUAAAGAACCAAUCAUGGAGCGGUAUACCUUUUGAUCGAACUCUUUACCAUUGUCUUCGGGGCCCAGAUGAUGUUUGGCUGGCAUUGGCGUUGUGAAGCCUUUGCAGUCUUGCAUACCGAACUUCUUCAGGCAAUCUUUGAGAUACUUCUCUUGAGAUAUGAAGAUGCCAUUGCGUUGCUGUCGUAUUUGAAGACCGAGGAAAAACUUCAGCUCUCCCAUCAUGGACAUCUGAUAUUGCUCUUGCAUCAUAUAUCCAAACUCUUCACUGUACUUCUGAUUGGUGCAGCCGAAGAUGAUGUCAUCCACAUAUAUUUGGCACACAAACAGUUCACCAUCAUAUGUCUUCGUGAAGAGAGUGGGGUCGAGGGAACCAGGUAUGAAGCCUUUGCUCUUCAGGAAGUAUUUGAGUGUGUCAUACCAAGCCCGAGGGGCUUGUUUGAGGCCAUACAGUGCCUUGUUGAGCUUGUAUACCAUGUCAGGAUGUUUUGGAUCUUGAAAGCCAGGCAGUUGUGCAACAUACACUUCUUCUUCAAUCUUGCCAUUGAGGCGCUCUUCACAUCCAUUUGAUAUAGAAGUAUGUUAUGAUGAUUUGCAUAGGCCAGCAGUAUGCGUAUGGCUUCAAGUCUAGCCACAGGAGCAAAUGUUUCAUCGAAGUCAAUGCCUUCCACUUGAGUAUAUCCUUGAGCAACGAGACGAGCUUUGUUUCUGACAACUUGACCAUGCUCAUCUUGCUUGUUGCGGUAUAUCCAUUUGGUGCCUAUUAUGUUGUGCUUCCGAGGAUCAAGACACUUAGCCAGUUCCCAUACAUUAUUCAGCUCAAACUGUUGAAGCUCUUCUUGCAUAGCUUGAAUCCAUUCAGGCUCCAUGAAGGCUUCUUCAACUUUCUUGGGUUCUGUUAUUAAGACGAAUGCGAAGUGCCCACAGAAAUUUUCUAGCUGAGUUGUCCUUGAACGAGUGAGGGGACCAGGUGCAUUGAUGCUAUCAAUUAUUCUCUCAAUCUGCACUUCAUUGGCAACACGAGGAUGUACAGGGCGAAGAUUUUGCUCUUGCUGAUCAUUGUCAUUGUUAGUGGGAUUGUCUUCAGGCUGAGCAUUGUCUUCAGGUUGAUCAGGUGUGGAGAUGAUAAGUUCCUCUUCAGGUUGAGCUUCAGAGGGUAUGAUUUCUCCAGUUCCCAUUAGCUUGAUUGAUUCUUUGGAUGGAACUUCAUCUAGCACAUUUGGCAGGUGCUCUCUUUGUGAACCGUUAGUCUCAUCAAACCGCACAUCCACUGUUUCAACCACUUUAUAAUGAAAGAGAUUGAAGACUCUGUAGGAGUGCGAAUCCUUUCCAUAUCCAAGCAUAAAACCCUCAUGUGCUUUUGGUGCAAAUUUUGAAGUGUGAUGUGGAUCUUUGAUCCAGCACCUGGCGCCAAAUACUCUAAAGUAACGGACAUUUGGCUUCUUGCCAGUAAGGAGCUCAUAAGAUGUCUUGUUCAGAAGCUUGUGAAGAUAAACACGAUUGCUUGUAUGGCAUGCAGUAUCAAUGGCUUCAGGCCAGAAUUUUCUUGGAGUCUUGUAUUCAUCUAGCAUCGUUCGGGCUAUCUCAAUGAGUGUUCUGUUCUUGCGUUCGACGACGCCAUUCUGCUGUGGCGUGUACAAAGCUGAGAAUUCAUGUGUGAUGCCCAAAGUAUCAAGAUAUGUAUCAAGGCCAGUGUUCUUGAAUUCAGUGCCAUUGUCACUUCUGAUGUGCUUUAUCUUGGCGCCAUAGUUGUUCAUUGUUCGAUUGGCGAAGCGUCUGAAGACAUCAUGCACUUCAGUCUUGUAGAGGAUUAUGUGCACCCAAGUAUGUCUAGAAUAAUCAUCAACAAUGACAAAGCCAUAGAGACAAGAAGUAGUAGUAAGAGUUGAGUAAUGAGUGGGACCGAAAAGAUCCAUGUGGAGCAGUUCAAAGGGUCGAGUGGUUGUCAUGAUUUUCUUUGAGGGAUGUUUGGCCCUCGUCAUCUUUCCUGCUUCACAGGCACCGCAUAAGUGAUCUUUCUUGAACUUGACGCCCUCGAUGCCUAUGACAUGCUUCUUCUUUGCAAGGGUGUGGAGGUUCCUCAUGCCAGCAUGCCCUAGCCUCCGAUGCCAGAGCCAGCAUUCUGAAGCUUUUGCUAGAAGACAUACGGCAAGUUGUGGUCCUGCUGAGAAAUCUACCACGUACAAAUCAUCUUUCCGAUACCCUUCAAACACUAGAGACUUGUCAUAUUCCAUUAGAACAAGGCAGCGAUAUUUUCCAAACAUUACGAUCAUGUUCAAAUCACAAAGCAUUGAGACAGACAUUAAGUUGAAGCCAAGGAAUUCAACAAGCAUGACUUUAUCCAUGUGUUGAUCCUUUGAGAUUGCAACUCUACCUAGACCCAAUACCUUACUUUUACCAGUGUCAGCAAAUGUGAUGUGAAUCUUGUCGGAUGGACGUAAGGUUGAGUCCAUAAGAUGGCUUCUUUUGCCGGUCAUGUGAUUGGUACAUCCACUAUUAAUAAUCCAUUCUAAAGACGCUGGUGUCGUACCCUACAGUGCAGUUAGGGGGAUAGGCUUCACGAAGAGAAUUGUGAAGCAAAAACAUUUGACGAACCAGUGGGUUAUGAAAGCUUAGAUCCAGAUUAGGACUAAUAGGGAGAGUAGCAAGCGAUUCAGGAACGAAGUACAUAGUAAGACCAUUCGGGCAUUUGAUCUUGCGCCCUACAAGAUGUUUAAGGUCCCCAGCAAUAGCAUCAGGCGAUUUUGGUUUUCUGCUGGAGACCUUUCCCUGCAAAAGAGAGUUAAGCUUUCUUAGCCACCCACAUCUUCAAGGGUGGCUUAGAAGCAAUAAGUCUAAGUGCAGCAUCUGAGAACUUUGGCUUUGGAGCCCUAGCAAACAGUCUUGCAGGUGGACAAUAGUACACAUAAGAAUAAGCAUAAUAGUUCUUGGUCUUAUGAACAUGGCGGUUUGAUGAACCGCGCUCAUAUUCAUAGGCCUGAGUAUGGUUUCCCUGCAAAACAUUUGCAUUAGUGCGACUCGGGUGAGUCCUCUGUCUGUGUGAAGCCUUUGGACCGUAUGAAGCCUGUGGUCUGGGGUUUGUCUUCUUCACCUAUGGUGUCAUGAUGACAUUCACAGGAAGAUUCUCCAGACACUUUUUCGGUACCCAGAUCUUCUUCAUAGGCGGUCCAUUCCUGCAGUUAGUACCAAUGUACCUGGCAAACACUUCAUGAUUUUGAUUCUUAAACAGUUUAUAGUUUGCAUCAAAGGAUUCAUCAAAGACAAUAGGGUUAGCACAAGUGAAGCCAGAUAGAGUGGAUGGAUCUGCUGAAGAUUCCUUUGCAGCAACCCAUGUGGUUUUGGGGUACUGCUCAGGUUUCCAGUAAGAGCCAUCAGCAUUCAUUUUCCUUACGAACCCAACACCCUCUUUCCUCGGGUUUCGGUUCAGGAUCUGCCUUUUGAGGACAUCACAUAGUGUCUGAUGCCCUUUAAGACUUUUGUACAUCCCUGUUUCAAGCAAUGUCUUCAACCUAGCAUUCUCAUCAGCAAUAGCAGUGGUAUCCUCAGCAGAGGGGUUAGUUCCCACAUCAACAGUUGAAGAUAUUGCAACAGUAGCAGCAGUAGAACAUUCAGCAACAGAAGUAGCAUUAUCACGGUCAAUGCAUUUAAGGCAUGGUGGUUCAAAUCCUUCCUGAGCGGAACUGAUCUGUUUGGCGCGAAGUGACUCGUUUUCCUUUUGAAGAUCUUCAUGAGCCGCUCCCAAUUUCUCAAGAUCUUGCUUCCUUUGAAGAUAAUCAUAGGAAAGCUUUUCAUGAGUUGUUGAGAGCGUUUCAUGACGACUUUCAAGUUCCUCAUACUUAAUGUGAAGAUUUUUUUAUGUCUUUAAUUAAGGACUCAGAUCGAGUCAUUUCAGCGCCUAACAGAUCAUCGCUUUUGUCUAACAGUUUUUGAAUAUGUUCCAUAGCUUUCUGUUGUUCAGUUGCAAUUUUAGCAAGUGUUUUGUAGCUGGGUCUUGAACCACAAUCAGAGUCAUCUUCACUAGAUGUUUGAUAGUGAGUAGUGCGUGUGUUUACCUUGGCACCGCGUGCCAUGAAGCAGUAGGUAGGAGCGGAGUAGUCCUUGUCAUUUGCAUCAGUGUCGGUGAUGAAGUCAUUGUCUUCAGUGUUGAAGAUGGACUUGGCAACGUAUGCUGUAGCCAGACUUGCAACGCCAGAAUCGGACUCCUCCUCAGACUCCACCUCCGCCUCCUCAGAAGCGGACUCCUCCUCUGAAUCCAUUUCCUUGCCAACAAACACACGUGCCUUGCCAGAUGAUCUCUUCUUGUGUGAUGAAGACUUUGAGGAAGACUUGGAAGAAGACUUUGAGUAUUUCUUCUUCUUCUUGUCGUCAGAGUCAUAUUCCUUGCUCUUCUUCUUCUUUUUGUUCUCAUUGUCCCACUGCGGACACUCAGAGAUGAAGUGGCCAGGUUUCUUGCACUUGUGACAUGUUUUCUUCUUGUAGUCAUGAGCGGAAGCUUCAUCAUUCCUUGAGCUUGAUCGUGAAGACUCUCUGAAACCUUUCUUCUUGGUGAAUUUUUGGAACUUCUUCACAAGCAUAGCAAGUUCCCUUCAAAUGUCUUCAGGAUCAUCAGAACUGCUGUCAGAUUCUUCUUCAGAUGAGGAGACAGCUUUUGCCUUCAAGGCACGAGUUCGCCCAUAGUUUGGACCGUAGAUAUCUCUUUUCUCAGAAAGUUGAAACUCAUGUGUGUUGAGCCUCUCAAGUAUGUCAGACGGAUCGAAUGUCUUGAAAUCAGGACGUUCUUGAAUCAUCAGGGCUAGGGUGUCAAACGAACUGUCAAGUGAUCUCAGUAGUGUCUUGACAACUUCAUGCUUGGUGAUCCCAGUAGCGCCAAGGGCUUGAAGCUCAUUUGUGAUGUCAGUGAGUCGAUCAAAUGUGAGCUGGACAUUCUCAUUGUCAUUUCUCUUGAAGCGGUUGAAGAGGUUGCGAAGGACACUGAUUCUCUGAUCUCUCUGGGUUGAGACGCGGCCAUACAGUCCUUUGGUCAGAUGACCACAGAUGAUAUUCUUGGCAGUAGAGUCCAGUUGAAUGAACUUCUUGACAUCAGCAGCAGUGACACCUUCUCCAGCCUUGGGAACGCCGUUCUUGACGACAUACCAUAGGUCGACGUCAAUGGCUUCAAGAUGCAUGCGCAUCUUAUUCUUCCAGUAGGGAUAUUCAGUUCCAUCAAAGACGGGGCAUGCAGCGGAGACUUUAAUUAUCCCUGUAGUCGACAUAGCUAAAACUCCACGUGGUUAAACCAAAUCACAUAGAACAAGGGAGUACCUUGCUCUGAUACCAAUUGAAAGUGUGUUAUAUCGACUAGAGGGGGGUGAAUAGGCGAUUUUUAUGAAAGUCUUCAAAACAUGGAAGUUAUGAAGACAAAUGAUAGAAAUAAAUCUAUUACCAUGCAGCGGAAGGUAGACUACACUAGGCAAACCAUAGUCAAGUAUUCAAUGGAGUGAAAGCACAAUGACUAGUAGCAGCAAUGUAGUAAGGAUCAGGUAGGAAGAUAUUAUGAAGCCAAAUAGAACUCGCAGUCACUCAGUGAAGACAAAAAAUAGUGCAAUCAUACAAUGACUUCACAAGGACCAACAGUAAGUAAAGGGAAGGGAAGGAUGAAACCAGUGACUCGUUGAAGACAAUGAUUUGUUGGACCAGUUCUAGUUGCUGUGACAACUGUACGUCUUGUUAGGGAGGCUAGGUAUUUAAACCUGAGGACACACAGUCCCGGACAUCCAGUCCUGAACACGCAGCUCAGGACACCCAGUCCUCACCGUAUUCCCCUUGAGCUAAGGUCACACAGACCUCGCCCAAUCACUCUGGUAAGUCUUCAAGGUGGACUCCCAAACCUUCACAGACUUCGUUCACCGGCAAUCCACAAUGUCUCUUGGAAGCUCAGAACGCGACGCCUAACCGGAUGGAGGAUUCACAGUCCUCAAGUGUAAUAAGUCUUCAGAUCACACAGACAAGAAGACUUAAGUGAUGCCUGACACUCUUUGGCUCUGGGUGGUUAGGGCUUUAUCCUCGCAAGGAAUUAUCUCUCAAAGGCUUCGAGGUGGGUUGCUCUCAAAUGACAAAAGCUGUACUCUAACUCUGAGCAGCCAACCAUUUAUGGUUGUAGGGGGUGGGCUAUUUAUAGCCACUAGGCAACCCGACCUGAUUUGUCCGAAAUGACCCUGCGUCACUAAGGAACUGACACGUGUUCCAACGGUCAGAUUUCAAACUCACGCGGCAGCUUUACUUGGGCUACAAGCAAAGCUUACUUGUCUGACUCUGGACAAGUUUCACUCUCAUAGUCUUCACUUGAAGACAUAGGUUUUGCUUAAGCAUCACUUCAGUCAUUCUGACUGGUUCACUUGGACCCCACUUAACAGUACGGUGGUUCCUAUGACUCAAUAAAGAAGAAACAGAACUACAAAAGAUCUAAGUCUUCGAGCUCCAUAGGCUUCAUGCGAUGUCUUCUCUUAUCAUAGUCUUCAAUGAGAAUAUCUUCAUAUACCACCUUUGACAUCAAUGUCUUCAUACAUUUUAGGGGUCAUCUCUGGUAGGAAAACCUAAUCAAUGAGGGACUUCUACCUGUUUUAUCCUGCAAUUCUCACAAACACAUCAGUCCCUCAACUAGGUUUGUCGUCAAUACUCCAAAACCAACUAAGGGUAGCACUAGAUGCACUUACAGGGAGCAAAGCAACCGUGAGUACUCAUCCAAAGUACUCACAAGCAAGGAUCUACACUACAUAUGCAUCAGUGUCAAUGAAAAGGGUUGUAUCUAUGGACUAGACUACAGAAUGCCAGAAGAGAAGGGAAAGCCUAGCCUAUCGAAGACUAGCAUCUUCUAGAAACCACCAACUUGCAGCAACAGGAGGGAGUAGAGUAGCAUAAAGUAAAGUAGUAGAAGUGUUAUCAACCUCGGCCAGAGAUCCUUUCUCGACUCCCUACGAGAAAGCAAUCCCAGAGCCAUACUAUCCAGUUAUCAUCACAAUCCAAUUCUCAUCACAAGUAUCCAGUUCUAGUUGUAUUGAUCGGGAUACAACUCCAAGUGUCUGUUACUGUAGGACAGGCUAUCGAUAGAUGUUUUCUUCCCUGCAGGGGUGCACCAACUUACCCACCACGCUCAAUUAACUCUGACCGGACACACUUUCCUAGGUCCUGCCCGGCCUCGGCCAAACAAUGCGCCGCAACCCGACCUAGGCUUAAUAGAGAGGCCAGCACGCCAGACUAAACCUAUGCCCCCAGGGGUCAUGGGCCAUCUCCCCGGGAACUCCUGCACGUUGCUUACAUGGCCGGUGAGCAGACCUAGCUACCUCCUUCAAAAAGGUAGGUGCUUACCAGUCCAACCCGGCGCGCGCCGCUUAGUCGCUGAGAUCUAUUAAGCUUCGGUUGAUGCAUACGACACAGAACGCCCAUACUAUGCCCAUGUGAUAGUUAGUGCUAUCAGGCCAGAGGCCCCUCGGAUCAAAUAUCCAAAUCGUCGUGGAUUAGGAGCACGCGGUAACAAGCAGAGACUCAGGAAAGAUGUGACCCCAUUGCCCCGUCUCGAGGACUUGCAGCAAGGGCUAAGAAUGCCCGGCCACGCCUCGUAAGUAUCUCGCGGGUACCUUCCAGGUCAACCUGACUCCACAUCACUCGCGGGUACCCCUCAGGGUCGACCCGCCUUUCCAAGUAGCAGUGGUAAAUUCCAAGUAUCCGUGUGUUCAAACAUCAAGGGGAAAACCCGAGGAAUCACCCCCGGUGAAUUCCACUCGAUGUAAUCAUCAAGGUGAACAUAAGAGGAUCCACCCUCGAGGUUCACACUUGAGGGGUUGCACCAUAGAGCCGUAUUGGAAGUGAUUAAGGAGGAAAUCACCCUCAAUGACCAUGACCGAAUAGCUACACUACAGGGUUAACAUCAGAAGUGCUGAUGAGGUCUCACCCUCGGUACUCAAUAGUAACCGAGUAGUGUCAAGCAACUAAGGGGAAAGUGAUGUGCAGUGCCGGGGCCUAGUCUUCGAUCCCGUUGAUCGGGUCUUCGAUGAUGAAGCAGGGGCAACAAGGACAAGGUGGGGGUCACUGAUGGAUCACUAACCAACCUAUACUAAGCAGUUUAGGAUAAGUAGGUAGGUAACAAUGAGCAGGUUACAAAAGCAGGCUAUGCAUCAGAAUAGGAGCAAACAAUAACAAUAGCAAAAUCUAAUGCAAGCAUGAGAGAAUGGAAUGGGCGAUAUCGAGAUGAUCAAAGGGGGGGCUUGCCUGGUUGCUCAGACGAGAAGGAGGGGUCAUCGGUGACGUAGUCGUUUACAGGGGCAUCAUCAUCCUCACGGGGUCUACCGAAGAGAAAAGGGGGAAGAAACAGUAAAUACAUAGCAAGCAAGUGCAUAAUAGGACAACAGGCAGAGGUAGACGUGUUCUAACGCGGUGCUACACGAUACCGGUGAAGGGGGAAGUCAACCGGGAAAGUUUCCCCGGUUCCGGACCUGUGUCAGACAGGUGACCGGAGGGGGAAAGUUUCAUGUUCGCUAUGCUAGGGAUGUGUGGCGGAUGAACGGACGGCGUAUUUGGAUUCGCCUCGUCGUUCUGAGCAACUUUCAUGUAGAUAGUUUUUCGAUCGGAGCUAUGGUUUAUUUUCUAUGAUUUAUCAAAGUUCAAAGCAUUUUGUGGAAUUGCUGAAAUUCUGCUAAGUCCUCAGUUUUAAACCUCACUUGGCUGUUUUCAAAAGGCUAAAACUAUUGUUUUGUUCAUCCUAUGGCUUAGUGCCCUUUACCAAUUUUUAUCAUCUUUCCAGGAUCUACAUGACAGUUUCAAGUUCAUCUAUGUUAGUGCCCAUUUGCCUGUCGAAAACUUCGUUUGAAAAGUGCUACUGGAUGUCAACUCCAAAAUCUGUUUUUCAGUUCUUCCAGUUAACAGAGCAUAGACUUUUGUCAUUUUUAUAGGAAUUAAUCCACGCACCAAAUGGAUUUGGUCUAAUGGAAACAUUUGAACCUUGACAAGUGUACUACCUCCUCAUAAUAGUUUUGCUCCGGUUAAAAUUCGUUUAGUCGCUGUUUAGGGGCUGACCAGAGGGUUAUUUAGUGUAGAAUUAAAAAAGCUAGCUACAUCUACAGUAGCAAGCAGCAGUACAGUAGAGCAGUAGCAAGCAGGCGGGAGCGCUGCAGCAGGGAAGGCAAGGUCGUGCGCGAGCCAAACGGGCGCAUACGCGCGGGCGCGGCCGGGGUGCUCCAGCGGGCGCGCACAGGAAGCGCCAGCGACACCGGCAGCCAGCAAAGCAGUAGCAGUAGCAGCAGCAGCGGACGGGGGCGUUGGCGCGGGCGGCACGGUCGCGGCGACUACGAGCACAAGCAAGGGCAGGGGCCGGUGCAUGCGGGCAUGGUGACGUGCGCGUGGCAGGUCGGCGAGCGCCGUACGGGGUGGCAUUGGAGCAGUAGCAGGCGAAGUAGCACUAGACCACAGCGAGGCCGGCGCACUUGCAUAGAAGCAGCCGCAGCACGCAUGCACGUACGCGUAUGCGGCAGCUCGGACGAGUUCGGGGACGACGGCCUACGGUGCAAGAACGGGAGGGAAGAGGAUGUGCUCAUCGAGCAGGCACAAGGAGGCCCGUCGAGUGACUUAGGAGCAGCAGAGGUGGCCGGCGUUGGCGACGGCGGCGGCGACCGAGACGGAUGGAGGUUGAGGACGGGGAAGCAGUGGGCGUCCCGAUGGCUUCCAGCUUGAUCUCGCCCAUGUAGUCGAAGUAGGCGAGGUCGGGGAGGCCGGAGGCGGACUAGAGUCACGGCGACGAUGGCGGACACCGGCGAUGUACGCGGUGGGAACGGGCUCGAUGGCGAGCGUACGGGGCGGCCCCGCUCGAAUCGAGGCUUGCGGUCAAUGAGGAAGAGGACGGCGGUGCUCCUGGACUAAGCUCGGCGACAAGGGAUGGCCGGUGGCCAUGGGAUCGAUGACGACGCGGCGAUGGAGGAGCUCGGGCAGGUGCGGGGGCGAGAGUGACGGCGCGUGGGAGGGAGAAAGGAGGCUAGGAUUUGGGGGAGAGGAAGAGGGGGCCGAGGGUUGCUCUUAUCCGCCGGGGAAAACGACGGGGAGGCGUGGGAUGGCUGCCACGGCGUCAUCGAUGUCCAUGGCGCCGGUGGAUCAUUGCCACGAUCCCCCUGUGUGAACAGAGAAGGGAGACGAGGGCGAGUUGGGUUGGGCUGGACCUGUUUUAGCUAAAUGGGCCAAGCGUCCAGUAGGUUUAGGUCUCCCUUUUCUGCUUUUCCUUUUCUGUUUUGCAAAUAGUUGGAGCACAAAAUGAAUGUUGUGACGAAUGAAACUUGGCACAUAAUUCAUGCACCAAAUUGUGGUGUUGCACUAAAAGUUUUAGAGCCAACGGAAUUGUUCAAGCAUUUUUGGAAAUUGAAAAGGCCAAUUAAUAUGUCGUUGGGUCACUUUAUAUUUUCCUAGUGAUUAAAGGGAGAGCCAAAUGAUGUUUGUUGCCACAUGAUAAUUAGCUAGUGAAUAUUUGCAAUCCAAAGAACAUUUUUGUUUUGACAUUUGAAAACUUUACUUGUUUGACUUUAUUUUAAAAAUCUUGAAUUUGGACCGGAUUCGAACCAACGCGAGUUUAACAAAAGUAAUCGCGGUGACAUGGCAUCAUUAGCAGAGGAUUACUGUAGCUUUAUUAUCCGGGCGUCACAAUUCUCCUCCACUACAAGAAAUCUCGUCCCGAGAUUUAAGGGUUGAAGUAAGGAAAGACUCGAAAAGGACGGAGCUCAACAAAAGAUAUGUACCUGGUGGCUAUCUCAGUGAACAUGGCAUAGAGGCAUCUCUCGAGUUGAAAUUUAAGAAAGUCAUCGAGAGCAAGAUAAGAAGGUGCAAUAACAAGCUUCAACCGGGUAGGCAGUAGUUUGUUGCCUGAAAUAGAGGAUGAAUGGGGUUCAGAGCAAUGGGAAUAAGUGUUGCGUGUGAUACCAGAAUAGAUCACUAGGAAGGUGGCUCAUGAUUUACAUACGAAGCUAAGUGCAAAGAAUAUUUUGGAGUCAAGGGUGUACAGGACAGUCAGGUUUUGAUCCUGUGGAACUAUGGGUUAUGGACCCACAUGUGGGUUAAAAGAAGGUAGGCGCUAAUCAUUUUUGCAUGGUCAUGAUAGCAAGGCAGGUCAGAGGAUAGCCUGUCAAUUAUGUUGGCAACAACGUUGGUACCAAGGGCGAGGGGCGAAGAGAACCAUUUUCCUGCUCGUUGAACAAGGCGGACCAAUAGGCAAGGUUCUCAUCCAUCGAUGGUUACCGGAAUGUCAUCAACAUUAGUAACAGGGUCAUACUGACUGAAUUGUACCUCGAGGUGUUUUCAUAAGCAGGGAAUUAUUUCUGCUUAUAUCAUCCAGAUCAUAAGAAAGGUUAAGCAAACCAAUGGAAAGAAAAAAUGAUUAAUUGAUUAUUCAAAUUAAUCAAUGGAAAGGAAAACGUGUUUACACACAAAAAUUGGGAGUAUAUCCUUCCCAGGAAAAAAGCGGAGCAGGAAAUACAUGAUAGGGCAGCAAGUUCAAAAGGCAUUUAGAUAAAGGGGCGAAGGAAGAAUCAUGAUAUUACCCAUACAACGGUGUUUGGAUAAUUGAUCAAGGGACAUGUAGCAUUGCGUUUCCACUGUCCUCAAUGAUAUUCGGAAUACCAUAGUCAUGCUCCGAGGUGGCGAUAACAUGGUGUUUCAAGUAAGGGUUGGAUCUAAAGAUCACAAUAAAUACAAAGGAACACUUCCAAGAUUAUCUCGGAAUGUAAGGAUUAACCAAACACAACCAGGUCUGUGUUGGCAGAAAGUCAAGGAUGUCAUUGAUGAUAUCACCAAUCAUCGAAGAGCAAGGAUGGUAUUUCCCAACAUGAAUUUGAUUGACAUCUCUGAAGAAAUCAUAGUGUUGACAGUGAUCACGACAAAUUUUGUCGGGAGAUUCUAGGAAGAUGCCAUCGAGCAGCGACGACAACAAACAACAAGGAAAGAUGAAGUGAAAGUCCAUGAGAACCACAGAUUCGACACAAGCUCGAAAUCAAACUUGUUGUUCGAGAUGAAAUGAUAUGACGAGGAAGAUCGACGUAAGCUUAGCUCAUUGUUGAAAAUUGUGCUCCGGGAAGGACCAGGUAGCACAGUUAAAAUUUACCACGAUAAUGAUAUAGCCGAUUAGGCUAGGAAUGGCUCGAAGUAUUAUUAAACUCAUAAGCAAUGAAAAUUUACUUAGAGUCACUGAAUCGGAGUGCAGGAUCGGUUCACUUAUCAGUGUGAUCGGUUGACAAACAACCCAGAACCCAUGAAGUGACAAUGACAGGGAAAGGUAGUGUUCAUCAAAAGUCCAUAAGAUUUGGUGCAAUGGCAUGAUAUCCUCGAGAUACCAGGGGUAAUACUCGAAGGUAGGUCAUAAUAGAGGUUGGGCAGGCGUAUUGACCUGCCGAAGACAAGUGAUUUAACUUGUCCAAGAAAUGGGACCAAAGAAGAACGAUCAUGGUCGGAACCACGGUUGCGAAGGAUCAAUUCACCGAUACCAGAUGAACUUAUAACAAGGGGUAAUUAUUUUUACGAGCAGCUUCCAUGAUAAAUUCUACAUCGGGUCCAUGGGCAUGAACACAAAGGUUCAAGGUCGACUCCCACUUCUUCAAUGCAUAACCUUCCAUUCACUUAUUGUUUCGAAAAUAGUAUUAGUGUUGAAAGUUUUACCUGGUGAAAUACCAGAUGGGUAUGACCCAUGAAAUCCUUCGGGAUCACAAAGAUUAGGGAAGGCAUAGGUUCAACCCAGUGGGGCAUCAUAGGAACAUAUACCAAAAACCUUAAGAAUAAGAAAACACAAUCUUGAAAGCAGAGCAUGGUUGACAAAACAGGGGAUACAUUUUACCAAAGGCAUUAUGUAUCAGGGGAAGAACUCACAAGGAUUUUAAAUAUGUGGAGCUGUUGGAUAAUAAUCCACCAAAGGAUCUAGUUGACCAUAAAGAAUCUGACAUGAGUAUCAAUGUUCAACCAGAAGAAGUAAUGCAAGGGCAUCGAAAUAUAGAAGUUUCUGGAUAAUUUCAAAGCUUAAAUACAAAGGAAUUAAGAUUUCCAAAUCGUGGGAUCAGAAGAAAACACUCUGAUUAAGGAUGGAUAAGUUGAAGAGACUUAGGGGUACAAUCGACGCAAUUUGAUUGGUCGAGAACCAGCUCCUGUACGGAGUGACGUCUGAGGAAAAAGGACGAAUUUCAUGAGGAUCAACUGAUGAUUGUGUGCAUUCACAUACAUGUUGAAUCAAUAGGAUCAGAAAGUCAACCACAACGGAUUUCAAUUGGAUAUUGCUAGACAUAUGGAAUUAACCAUAAUGCAAGCAUGUAGUGAAGAACAAGAGCAAUAAGCUACUGAGGAUUUCGGGGGAUCGAAUAGUAUUUUGAAGAAUUUUGUGAAACACAUGAACAACUAGGGAUGAGCGGAUACUCCGUGAGUGCGAGGAAUUACCUAUAGGGGUAUUCAUGUGGCAAGGAACUGCAAGGCGGUAGACACAAAGUAUUCUCGGUACAAUAGAGAGGAUUUCGGGUAUCUUGUAAUAACAAGAUAAACGGAGGAAUGAUUUUAUGAAUGACAAGUGUACUUGGUCAUCCAUAGGGGUUUAUCGAUGGAAGGGAAUUGCAAAAGUGAUGGGCACAAGGGUCUCAGAAAAACAUAGAAAGUAUCUUCAGAAUCUUCUGGUGCACCAAGCAAUCAUCUGGAGUGAGGGGGUCUCCGGGAGAAAGUAUUUACGAGAACCUAGAGUUAGAGUUAACAAAAUGUUUAACCCGACUAGACGAGAGAUAAGAGUCCCAGAGUAUAGACGAGGAGUAAAAAGAUCCUAAUACCACCCAAUGGCGACGUGGGCCCGUAAGCCACACAACCAAUGUUAGUAAAAGUUUUUCAGUGACUAGACUCAACUUUGGCCAAGGGGUUGGAAGGGGGCUACCUAUAGGCAGUCGGCUCUGAUACAAACUUGUAACGUCCUCGAUUCAAUCGUACACUAAUCAUACACGCAAAUGUGUACGAUCAAGAUCAAGGACUCACGGGAAGAUAUCACAAUACAACUCUAGACACAAAAUAAAAUAAUACAAGCUUUAUAUUACAAGCCAGAGGGCUCGAAUACGCAAGAGUCAGCGGAAGCAACAAUAUCUGAGUACAAACAUGAGUUAAACAAGUUUGCCUUAAGAAGGCUAGCAGAAAAGCAACAUCGAUCGAAAAGGCAAGGCCUCCUGCCAGGGAGCCUCCUAACUACUCCUCGUCGGCGGCGGUCUUCACAUAGUAGUAGGCAUCGGCGGUGGCAUCUGGCUCCUGGGCUCCGACAUCUGGUUGCAUCAACCGGAAAGAAGAAGAAAGGGGAAAAAGGGCGAGCAAAGCAACCGUGAGUACUCAUCCAAAGUACUCGCAAGCAAGGAUCUACACUACAUAUGCAUCGGUGUCAAUGAAAAGGGUUGUAUCUGUGGACUGGACUGCAGAAUGCCAGAAGAGAAGGGGAAAGCCUAGCCUAUCAAAGACUAGCAUCUUCUAGAAACCACCAACUUGCAGCAACAGGAGGGAGUAGAGUAGAAUAAAGUAAAGUAGUAGAAGUGUUAUCAACCUCGGCCAGAGAUCCUAUCUCGACUCCCUGUGAGAAAGCAAUCCCAGAGCCAUACUACCCAGUUAUCAUCACAAUCCAAUUCUCAUCACAAGUAUCCAGUUCUAGUUGUAUCGAUCGGGAUACAACUCCAAGUGUCUGUUACUGUAGGACAGGCUAUCGAUAGAUGUUUUCUUCCCUGCAGGGGUGCACCAACUUACCCACCACGCUCGAUUAACUCCAGCCGGACACACUUUCCUAGGUCAUGCCCGGCCUCGACCAAACAAUGCGCCGCAACCCAACCUAGGCAUAAUAGAGAGGCCAGCACGCCGGACUAAACCUAUGCCCCCAGGGGUCAUGGGCCAUCUCCCCGGGAACUCCUGCACGUUGCGUACGUGGCCGGUGAGCAGACCUAGCUACCUCCUUCAAAAAGGAAGGUGCUUACCAGUCCAACCCGGCGUGCGCCGCUCAGUCGCUGACGUCUAUUAAGCUUCGGUUGAUGCAUACGACACAGAACGCCCAUACUAUGCCCACGUGAUGGCUAGUGCUAUCAGGCCCGAGGCCCCUCGGAUCAAAUAUCCAAAUUGUCGUGGAUUAGGAGCACGUGGUAACAAGCAGAGACUCAGGAAAUAUGUGACCCCGUUGCCCCGUCUCGAGGACUUGCGGCAAGGGCUAAGAAUGCCCGGCCACGCCUCGUAAGUAUCUCGCGGGUACCUUCCAGGUCAACCCGACUCCACAUCACUCGCGAGUACCCCUCAGGGUCGACCCGCCUUUCCAAGUAGCAGUGGUAAAGUCCAAGUAUCCGUGUGUUCAACCAUCAAGGCGAAAACCCAAGGAAUCACCCCCGGUGAAUUCCACUCGAUGUAAUCAUCAAGAUGAACAUAAGAGGAUCCACCCUCGAGGUUCACACUUGAGGGGUUGCACGACAGAGCCGUAUCGGAAGUGGUUAAGGAGGAAAUCACCCUCAGUGACCACGACCGAAUAGCUACACUACAGGGUUAACAUCAGAAGUGUUGAUGAGGUCUCACCCUCGGUACUCAAUAGUAACCGAGUAGUGUCGAGCAACUAAGGGGAAAGUGAUGUGCGGUGCCGGGGCCUAGUCUUCGAUCCCGUUGAUCGUGUCUUCGAUGAUGAAGCAGGGGCAACAAGGACAAGGUGGGGGUCACUGAUGGAUCACUAACCAACCUAUACUAAGCAGUUUAGGAUAAGCAGGUAGGUAACAAUGAGCAGGUUACAAAAGCAGGCUAUGCAUCAGAAUAGGAGCAAACAAUAACAAUAGCAAAAUCUAAUGCAAGCAUGAGAGAAUGGAAUGGGCGAUAUCGAGAUGAUCAAAGGGGGGGCUUGCCUGGUUGCUCAGACGAGAAGGAGGGGUCGUCGGUGACGUAGUCGUUCACAGGGGCAUCAUCAUCCUCACGGGGUCUACCGAAGAGAAGAGGGGGAAGAAAUAGUAAAUACAUAGCAAGCAAGUGCAUAACAGGACAACAGGCAGAGCUAGACGUGUUCUAACGCGGUGCUACACGAUACCGGUGAAGGGGGAAGUCAACCGGGAAAGUUUUCCCGGUUCCGGACCUGUGUCAGACAGGUGACCGGAGGGGGAAAGUUUCAUGUUCGCUAUGCUAGGGAUGUGUGGCGGAUGAACGGACGGCGUAUUCGGAUUCGCCUCAUCGUGCUGAGCAACCUUCAUGUAGAUAGUUUUUCAAUCCGAGAUAUGGUUUAUUUACUAUGAUUUAUCGAAGUUCAAAGCAUUUUCUGGAAUUGCUGAAAUUCUGCAAAGUCCUCAGUUUUAAACCUCACUUGGCUAUUUUCAAAAGGCUAUAACUAUUGUUCUGUUCAUCCUAUGGCUUAGUGCCCUUUACCAAUUUUUAUCAUCUUUCCAGGAUCUACAUGACAGUUUCAAGUUCAUCUACGUUAGUGCCCAUUUGCCCUGUCCAAAACUUCGUUUGAAAAGUGCUACUGGAUGUCAACUCCAGAAUCUGUUUUUCAGUUCUUCUAGUUAACAGAACAUAGACUUUUGUCAUUUUUAUAGGAAUUAAUCCACGCACCAAAUGGAUUUGGUCUAAUGGAAACAGUUGAACCUUGAGAAGUGUACUACCUCCUCAUAAUAGUUUUGCUCCAGUUAAAAUUUGUUUAGUCGUUGUUUACGGGCUGACCAGAGGGUUAUUUAGUGUAGAAUUAAAAAAGCUAGCUACAUCUACAGUAGCAAGCAGCAGUACAGUAGAGCAGUAGCAAGCGGGCGGGGGCGCUGCAGCAGGGAAGGCAAGGCCGUGCGUGAGGCAAACGGGCGUGUACGCGCGGGCGCGGUCGGGGUGCUCCGGCGGGCGCACGCAGGAAGCGUCGGUGACACCGGCAGCCAGUAAACAGUAGCAGCAGCAGCGGAUAGGGGCGUUGGCGCGGGUGGCACAGUCGCGGCGACUACGAGCACGAGCAAGGGCAGGGGCCGGUGCAUGCGGGCGUGGUGACGUGCAAGUGGCAGGUCGGCGAGCGCCGUGCGGGGCGGCGUUGGAGCAGUAGCAGGCGAAGUAGCACUAGAUCACGGUGAGGCCGGCGCACGCGCAUAGAAGCAGCCACAACACGCACACACGUACACUUACGUGGCAGCUCAGACGAGUUCGGGGACGGCGGCCUACGGUGCAAGAACGGGAGGGAAGAGGAUGUGCUCACCGAGCAGGCACAAGGAGGCUCGUCGAGUGACUUACACUACAAAAAAAUACACUUCCGUGAUGAUACGUGUUUGUCACAGUAGGUCGCAUUUUUUGUCAUGCAUGUACAUCCAUGACAAAUUUAUGACAGAAUCAAGAUAGUCAUACCUGUGCUGUCGUAGAAGUGUUCCAUGACAUUACCAAAAUUAUCAUCACGGAAGUGUCCACUCCCAUGACGAUAAAUCGCGCGUCACAGAAGUGCUUUUGUCAAGGGUGACCGACACGUGGCAUCCACCAUAACGGAACGUCAUUAAGCUAUCGGGUCGGUUUUGGAUCCGAUAACCCAUUAACAGCCCCGACCAAUGGGAAAUUUCCAUGUGUAAAAUUCUUAUUGGCCGGAUGAAACACGUGACAGCUCGUCAGUGGGUCAGAUAGGCGCCUAUGAUACGUCGACACGUGGCACGGCCCAACAGAGGCCCAUUCUUGUGAAAAGGCCGGCCCAUUUGACUUGGUCAAAAGGUGGCGGGCCGGCCCAUGGAAAGCCUGUUAACGGCAUGUUCUCAUAUAGCCCAUUUACAGCCUGCUAACCCAAGGCCCGUUACGCCCUAUUAGAAUUAGGCCCAGUAGCGUCAUCUGGGCCAUCCAAUAUGAUUCCAGCCCGUUUUCACUUCUGGCCCAUGUAUGGCCCAUGACAUCUUUCGGCCCAUAUGAGGCCCUAUGUAACUCUUGGCCUAUUAACGGCCCGUGGUGAAACUGGCCCGUAAUGAACAGUGUAUCACUUUACACCCAUUAACGGCCCGUGGUGAAACUGGCCCGUAAUGAACAGUGUAUCACUUUAUACCCAUUAACGGCCUAUUAUUCCGUUGGGCCAUUUCCAGCCCAUGUUAUCUUUCGGCCUUCUCAGAGCCCAUUUAUUCUUGGGCUCAUUUCCAGCAUUCGUUUACUUACGGGUCGUUACUGUCAUUUUCUGCUUGUGGGCCAAAUUCAACCCGUGGUUAUAGUCGGCCCAUUUGUGGUCCGUUAAUACGUUGGGCCAUUUUCAUAGCGUCAUCAAAUACGGCCUAUUAACAAUGGCCCAUUACGGUCGGCCCAUGAACGGACGAUUCUAACUCUAGCCCGUUUACGGCCAUAAUGCGGCCUGUUAUUGGCCCAUGUUUAGCCAAUCGAUCAUACGGCCCGUAUAAGGCCCAUUGAUGAUACGGCCCGUAGAAGGCCCAUUGUUUCUAUGGCCCGUAGAAGGCCUACUGUUUCUACGGCCUGUAGAAGGCCCACUGUUUCUACGGCCCGUAGGAGGCCCAAUGUCACUACAGUAAAUAUUAGCCCAUGGUUAUUGUGGCCUAGUUUUAAAAAAUAGGUUAUUGCAGCCACUAGUUAACCACGGAAAAAGAACUGCAAUGACUACAAGCAAACAAAUAAACAAGACAACAAGGAAAUAAAUAAGCAAGCAACUAACCCUAGGCUAUCACGGCUAUUACACAUAUUACAUCCACUGGGCAUCAAUGUUCGCCACUAGUGCAAAUAUAGGGAACAAAGCAGCAUAUCAUAUACACUGGCCGUCAAAAUUGGCCACCAGUGCAAAUAAACGCGGCAGCAAAACAAGAGCAUAACUGAAACAACUUUAGAAGAGCUCAAGAAACGUUAUCCUGGGUAUCCACCAUGCUGGCAAUAAGCUUAGCAAGCUGAUUAGCUUUUUCCUGUUUGGCGCUAAAAUCCUCCAACGCUUGCUGUUGCACCAGAAAGUAUGCAUCUGAAUGCUCCAGGGACUUCCGCAGUCCUUCCGCUUCUUGUCACAGCACAGCUGAUCGAUGUCUUUCAGCUUGUAGUUGAGACUUAAGAAAUCGGACUGAUUCAGACAGUGAGUUUGAAUAGCUUGUGCAAGCGGUAGUGGCCAGUAACUCCAACACUAAACCAAGACAGGAUGUGUCACUAUCCUGAACCUUAUCUGCAUUACUUCCUUUACCGUUGCUUAAUAAGGCACUCUUCCCCAAUAUUCUAUCAGCAUUCUAAAAGAAGAAACAAGCAGACACAUAACAAGUUUAGCAUGUACUAGUAUGUGAAACUCAUUUCGGUGAACCAGUUCAUUAGUAAGGUGGACAGGAUUAAACUACCAAGUCUUCUAUUGCCAAGUACUAGUACAUAAUAAAAGCAUCAAACAAACAUAUAUCUAUGUCCUAUGGUAGCAAUGGAAUCUUAAAUUAGAACAGUUGUUCUUCAGGUUUAGGCACUUGUUCUACAUGAACAGAGUACAGUAAGACGCAAGAAUAUAAUACUUAAAAAUAGAAAAUGAGAUCAUAGACUUUACCACAUUCUUGGUUCGGGACCAGUACAGAACAAGGCGUUCCCAGUCAUCGUCCAGUAAAUGUGUCUCGGGAGAACGUAAGGAAAUUUGAUGAGUUUCUUUGCCGAUGAAGUACGUUUUCUUCAGGUAAUUCCGAUACUUCCACCAAGCAUUCUUGAAGAUAGGAGAGGUAUUAGCACAGGUUACCUCAUCCUAAGUUUCCAAAUCGGUCCUUCUCUAUAGAUAAAAAUGGGAAAAUUUGCUGUAUUAUAACCAUCAUGGAGGUAGGAUGUAUGGGACGAAGCAAAGUAAUUGCCAUGAAUAACAUUACUUACACAUAACUCCUAGACAAACACCUGCAACUGGCAUUUUCCUUCAUCUUCAGUAUAAUAUUUCCAAGAUGGGAAGAUACGCACAUACAAUUUAACAACAUCAAAUGCGAUAGAUGCUAAAUUACGACUAGCUGGUUAUGCUUCCUCCACAGGAAUAGGCGUACUAACUGGUGGAGUUGGGGUUCGCUGUGAUAGUACUGGCCCUUUGGGCACUGGAGCUGCCUUACUAACUGCUCUUGUUUGGGAGCUCUGUGGUGGAGAUGGUGCUGUGUUAACAGGAACUGGGUUACUAUCGGCUGGGGUUGGGGUUAGAUUGGGUGAAGCUGGUUCUCUGUCCAUCAUAGUAGGGGUACAAUCUGCGAGAGUUUGGGUUAUGUGUGGUAGGGCUGGUUCUUGUGCAUUUACAAAUGGGGUGCUAUCUCCACCAAGAGGUAGCACUGUUUUAUUUGAAGACCGUGUUUUUAGUCCGCUAGAUACUGGCAUCACCUGCUCCAAUUCAAAUGGCUGAUAAACAGGAAACAUAGUUGAAUGUACAUACAUUGUAUGAGAGACAGAUGCAAUAGAUAGUGUGGAAAAAAGAGGGCAUGAAAUAGUUGACAUGUAUAUUGUUUAACUAAAACGGAUAGCAUGACAUAAUUUCACAUAUAUGAUGUCUCUAAACUGGAUAGCAUAGCAUAACAUAAUUCAAAGAUAUGAUGAAUAACUAAACAGGAUCACAUGACAUAAUUCACCUACAUGUUAUCUAAGUAAUCAGGAUCGCAUCAUUUAAUUCACAUAUGUGAUUUAUAUGCUAAACAGAGGGCAUUCGAUAUGAUGUCUGAACUAAGAACAUGGUGUUGAAUAUUGUGUAUAUGAUGUCUAAACUAUGCAAUGCAAGACACCGUAUGCAUGAUAUGAGCAGUAUAACCGUGCCAAGUUAGAGCAUACGCCUCAGUGGGGGAAUAGGAUUGGUCAUCUGUCUCUGAAUCCAUCUCUGAGGAGCUAUCGGGACCCAACAAGAGAUCUGCUUCGAUAGGUAGCACUGUCUGCUCUGAAGGCCUUGUUUUCACUCGAGAUUUUCCCAUCUCCCACCCAAAUGGUUGACUCACAGGAAGAGUAGUUUAAUGUACAAACAUUAUCGACAAAUGGAAAUGUAAUGAAGAAAAGGAUGGGCAAGAUAUCAUUCAAAUAUAUGAUGUCUGGUUAAACAGGAUGGCAUUGCACAUUUCACAUAUAUUAUGGCUGGCUAAAAGACAUGAGACUGCAUAAUUCCCAUAUAUGAUAUAGAAACUAAACAGGUGGCAUUAUAGAACAUGUCUAAACUAAGCAGAUGACAUAUAUGAUGUCAAAAGUAGGCACUGCAAGGCAACAUAUGCAUGAUAUGACUAACAUCAUCAUGCCAAGGUAGAGCAAACACCUUGGGGGGUAAAUAGGAGUGGUCAGCGGCGUCCGAAUCCGCCUUAGAACGGAUAUCUUCCUCUGGAUUGCAAUCUGGAGAGGGGUGGGGAGGGUUUGCCAUUGAACCCACCAUGGAGCGAUGUCUGCAUGACAUUGUAUUGCCGCGCAAAACUCUUCUCUUUUUCUCUACAUGUUCAGCAUGACUGUGUACAAUAUCUGACAUGCAUACGAAAAAAAUAUGGUGAGAUUAUGUAAGGAGAGCAUGCAGAAAUUUAGAGUGAUGGUAACAACCAGUGGAUCGAUGUUUUUCCGUUGAACCAAAAUAGCGCUAAUGGAUCGACGUGAAUGUAUAGUAAUAAGUGAUGCAACAAGUGUAAAACCUCUUUGCCGUAGCCGUGUCGACCUCAGCAUCAUUGGGUUGGUCGCUGAAGCAGUUGAGGCAGAGGUGGCUGUCGGAGGUGUGGAGGAAGAUCUGAGGAAUCUGUAGACGGCGUCCAGGGCACUGCUCUGUUGUGAUGGAUCGUUCUGUCGUUGGAGCAGCUCCGGUGAGCCAUAAGACGUCAAGGCUGAAGCAGCACAAGACAGACAUCGUCAAUCUUAAGUGGGAUUCUAAUAGCAUCUCCAAUAGAUGAUGUAAAAUGGAUGUAAAACUAACAUCACCAAAAACCACCUGACUACAACAGAUGAGGUAAAACCUAUUGACUCUAAACUUAACUGUCAAAACUGAAAUUUACUGUGGAAUCUGAAUGCUACUAUCAAAACUAAAUGCAAUGGUAGCAGAGAGGCACUUGACAUGUAGUUUAGGGAGGGCCUGCAGUUCAUCUUCAACCUGCACCCCCUGAGCCGCCAGCCACCACCGGCCAAACCGCCGGCCCCAGCGCCGCCUCGCCACCCCAAAACAACUCGCCACCGCCGCCCCGACCAGCCCUCUAGGCCCCCCGCCCCCCCACCCUGAACCCUAAGAUAGAUAGUGGGGUACCUCUCUAGCGAGCCCCCAUCCCCGCUGCGGGUGGUUCUUCCUUAACUCCAGCGAGCCCCCCAACCCUUGAAAAUCGACUGACCCAAAAGUCGAUUCAGUUGACUGAAGUGUGGCUUAAUCGGAGCAGAGCAGCAGCACGAGCAAGGGGGGAACAGCAGCAGCAACUGGGCGAGCGAGCGAUCGAGCGAGAGCCGGAGCUGCAGCAGCAGAUCCGGCUGGUAUGGACGCCACCGCCGAAGGGGCCUUGCACUGGGGGAGAGCCACCGUGGAGAUGUCGCCCGUGGCGCCGACUUCAAGGUAGCCGCUCCAUGGGGUGCGGGAUGGAGCACCGUCAGCGCCGGGAGGUCGAGUUAAGGAGAAGGUGCGAUGCGAUGAGUGUACAACCUCUUUGGUGGCGCCGAGUAGGCCUCAGCUUCGUCCGAGGAGUCGGUGAGGAUGAUGCGGUUCCGGUGGAGCAGGUUAAGGCGGCGCUGUGGGGAUGGAGCAGCCGUGAUAGACGAGGUGAUCAUCAGAGCAGCUCCUUGGAGGUGGAGGACGGGGCGGCUGAACCGGCAGGACGGCGAGAUGGACGACGAAUCCUCAUCCGGGGAGGUGGACGAGGGACGUUGAGCUGUUGCGGUGGACGACGUCGUCGGGGAAGAGGCUCCGCCUGGGCAGCGGUGACGUGGCGGGCGGAGGAGGGUGGGGUUUCGCGGCUGGAGCGGAGAGGUUAUGGCGGCUGGGAUUUCGAAUGGCGAAAAGGGGGCGAUGGGAGGGGGUGAAGCAUGACUUAGGAACGCGCUUGUCCAAAAUGUAGGGUGUGUUACAAAAGUACCCCCCACCGAUUUGAACUAGUGUCCCUUUCGGCUCAGGAUUAGAAGGGGGAUUUCGCGUGUCGAGAUUUGGCAGCUGCAGGGAGUUUUCGCGCGCGUUGUAAUUUCGGGAUAGCAAGGCACGGGUUAUGAAGGCGCCAGUUUUGGGAGCACGAUAUCUGAAUUUUCGGGAUAUAACAAGACGCGGGUUGAAUUUUAGGGACAAGCCUAACGUGUAGUAAUAUUGUACUUGUACGUACCAAAUCAAUUCGCACUUCCCUCAACCAAAAAGAAAAUGAAAAAAAUAAAACUAUUCACACCACACAAAGAGAGAGUCUUGCCCCGUUUUACUAUACAAAUGCUAUUCAAAGCUACUCCCUCCUUCCAUCUAUAUAGGGCCUAAUGCGUUUUUCGAUGCUAACUUUGACCAAAUAUUAGAGCAAUGAUAUAUGACAUGCAACUUACACAAAGCACACCGUUAAAUUCGUCUGUGAAAGGUUCUUUCAAUGAUAUAAUUUUCAUGUUGUGCAUGUCAUGUACUAUUAAUCUUGUCAAUAGUCAAAGGCGGUCUUAAAAAUCUCAUUACGCCUUAUAUAGAUGGAAGGAGAGAGUAUGAAUCCAUGUUAUGUCCGAUUAAAGUUUUUCGCUUGCUGUAUAAUGCAUGUAACCUACUCAUGCCAACAUUUUAGUGCAUUCCAAAUGUCUAUACUACCGCUGCAAUUCAAACUAAAUUUGAAUUCGUUUCUCUAUUUAAAUAAGAAUCUACAAUCAUGAUUGUUGCCAACUUCAACCAUCGUAGUUUCCUUGCUAUCCGCCAGAUAUAAAUCAGACGGCCUAUAAUGCAAGAUGGCAGGCACACCAUCAUCAACAACUCCAUUUUUUAUAAGAGUAGAGAUAAAAUAUAUUAAAUGUAGUAUACCAUGUUCAUAACCACACCAUGUGUAUCACCAUUAUAUAUAUUCACACAUCCGUCCAUUUGAAACACUAUGAUAAAUUCUACAAAUAUCCGAAUUCGCUUUUUAUAAUGAAGUAUAUAUGAUCUCUAUUCGUCUUUUACACCCACACAACCCUCUUAUCUUUGUAGCUAGCGCUAACUUUCUCUUGUGCAUGCACAUGCCUGCAUCCCUCUCACCCUCCCUCAGCAUUCCCUAGCUCCAUCGUGCAAAUUCGUCUUUUCACUUUAGGUCGUUCACCCACGGUGUGUGUAGGCCCCCUAGCUCCUUCUUUACGGCACACAUUGAUCGAUAUGCCUCUCUAGCCAGGUGUGCCUAGCAUAAACACAAGCUUCCCCUCUUCUCUUGUCACUGUCCAUGCCUCACUCCCACCACUCUUUUCAUCGUUCUCGUACUCGCACACUCCUCCCCCUCGAUAUAGUAUGCCUCUCGUACCACCUCCUACAUGCAUCCCUCUCUCUCUAUCCUUCUCCUUGUGCCUCAUUUGCUUCUAACACACACAUGCAUGUAUACCGAUCGAUCUCCCAACAUAUACCUAGAUCGACUUUAACUACCCCCCNNNNNNNNNNNNNNNNNNNNNNNNNNNNNNNNNNNNNNNNNNNNNNNNNNNNNNNNNNNNNNNNNNNNNNNNNNNNNNNNNNNNNNNNNNNNNNNNNNNNNNNNNNNNNNNNNNNNNNNNNNNNNNNNNNNNNNNNNNNNNNNNNNNNNNNNNNNNNNNNNNNNNNNNNNNNNNNNACCUCACAAGUUAUGUCUCUCCUUUCUCUUACAAAGGGCGAUUGAUCUUCCUAUCUAGUUACGUCUGCUUACCACAGCCACAUCGUCCCCCUCAUCAUUCGUGCAUGUCUCCUGACCCGUCUCUCACACGCACGUGCACAGACAACAAGCAGCCAUCUCCUCUCUUAUUGAUAUUGCGGGCAUGCCCUCCGUUUGUCUAGCAAGCCUAUCCCACCAUUUGUUAGAAGCAACUCCACUACCACCCCCUCCAACACUCUAGCUCUGUCUCUCUCCCAACCUUAUUCAUCUCCUGCGCAUAUGCAUGGAUGCCGAUCGAUCUCCCUCAAUACAUGAGGCAGAUCGAUCUCCUUAAUACAUGAGGUAGGCCUCUCUCCUCCUCCACACAUAUACCAGCCAUUGUACCUCUAUAGUUAAUUGGGCCUCCCUCUUCCCCCACCACACACCGAUAGUUGAGCGCUGCAGGUAGGUAUCCAUGACACAGAGACAAACUGCAUGUCCCAUCUCACGUUCCAAUAGGCCAACCACUGUAUAUCUUUGACGUGGGCACACACAAAUUCGAUGGCACUCUUUAUCGAUCGCGCGCGCACACACACACACACAUCAUCAUCAUCCCUCUCUUCGAUUCUAUGGAUACCUCAAGCCGAUGAUACCUCCACUCUCUUCUCGUGGAUCGCCCCCUCUAUAUAUAUGUUAUAUCCAGGACUCUAUUUCACACACAUUGCAUAUGUUAAAUUUUUUGAUUGACCCCUCCCCCCCACAAAAAAACUCUCAAGAACCCACACACUAUAUCUCUCUAGGUUUGUAUCUCUCUCACACAACCCCACGUAGGUGGUGUACAUAUACAAGAAGAGAAUAGGUGCACCGUGCAUGUACUCACACUUUGUGCCUAGCCACACCCGCGCGGGUACACGGUGGAGCUCAUUUCUUUACGAAAUGGCAGCCCACGUGCUAAUUUGAAUGCUUGUAGCAGUUGUUUACCUAGGGAGGUUGUGUACCAUGCGUGCAUGAAACAAAGUUCGACUUGACGCAUUGCUGCAUUAUUUUAAAAUAAAGUUAUAGCACUCAAUGGCACGUACAUAGAAUAUAAAACGAUUUUUAUGGAGGAAAAGGUAGUCUGCUCAUCAGAGUAUCUCACACAAGGCUCUGGUGGCCUCUCUCUCUCUCUCUCACCGUUGGUCACUGAUCCGGCCGCAUCCCGUCCGCCGGGGGAAAGGGAGUGCGGUGGCCUCUCUCUCUCUCAAUGUUGGUCACUGAUCCGGCCGCAUCCCAUCCGCCGGGGGAAAGGGAGUGCGGUGGCCUCUCUCUCUCUCAUCGUUGGUCACUGAUCCGGCCGCAUCCCAUCCGUCAGGGGAAAGGGAGGAAGUGCAUCAUUUCUCCGUUCGACGGUGCCGAGGCAGCACGUCCCGAUCUGCGGUACACGCCGUUCUCUCUGGCCAAGCUCCGGCGCGGCAUGGCCUACACCACCUGCUCGCAGAUUCCACCCGUGUUGGUUCAUAUGGUGGUUGUGCGGUCAUUGUCCAUAUGGUGGUAGUACUAUCACUUGUUAAAUGAAGAAAUGCUUUUUUUCUCGGAUAUCCUGGUUUAGUUCCCAUCAAGAUAAUUAUGAUGCUUCUGUUUGUUGGUGUACUUUUCAUUAAUUCUUAUUGACAAUUGAGAUGUCGUUGCUAACCCUUUUUUAUAUUUUUGGAAACAGCGAUGCGUGUCUCCAUACCCGGGCAUGUCUUCCUCAAUUUUAGUGGAACUGCACAAAAUUGGAUGGCCAUUGUUGUUCCACCUCACUGUCCUCUGCCACGUGGUUCUUCCUUCCUUGAGCUUGAUUACUGAGAAGAAACAGACCACAGUGAGGAUUUGUCGAACUUCUUAGGUGCCUCACCCAAACUUGAUGCCAAAUGGAUGAUGCAUCACCACGAUGACCUAUCGAUGCUCAUGGUUGCGCCUCAUGGUUGCGUCGGCUAGUGAAGCUGAUCGAUUUUUGACGAAAAACAAGUUGUCUUCCAUUAGUGCUCUUUGCUUGUUACGCACAAAGAUGAUAUCCUUCGUCAGUUCACCUUGGUUACGUUGGAGACGCAGUCGUCUUUCACGUUGGUGCAAAUUUCGCUAGGGUUUUAUGACAGGUGGACCCAAAAUGUGGCUGGCUCACCUGUCAUACAGCCAAAAGCAGGUCUAGUGAAGGCACCGGAGCUCAGUCCAUACUACAGUAGUAUAUAUAUAAGCGGGACCCUCAGCGCUUGUUUGCUAGGGUUUGCACUCUCCACACGCUCGCCGCACUACAUAUAUGUUACACGCUGGAGGCUCAGCAUUCAUUUGCUAGGGUUUGCUAUAUUCACAGUCUCUCACCCUCUCUUCACCAGAUCUAAACAAGAAUGUGUUGGCCUCUUGUCUCUCUCUCUCCCCCCUCACAGCUGGUGAAGGAGGCGUCUGUAUCCCGUCGCACCGGGAAGGGGAGGAGGUGCAGCAUUCACUCUAUCGCCUUUGGCGAGGGAGGCAAUCCACUGCCGGCUGCGCUAUUCUCUUUCACCCAGCGCCUAUGCGGGAGGGCCACCGACCCCUUCUUCCUCGCUGCCGUACGUAGUGUGGGCAGAUCCGGCCUCCCCCUGCACGCCUUGCCACAUCCUGACGACCCUAAGGUAUAAGUUUCUUUGAAACCGUCGUUGCUCUAGCUGCAUGUGGAUCUUUUUCGAUCUGUAGUCGAAUCUAGGUCUUGGUUCAAAGAGGAAAGAAGGGUGCGGUGGGCUAGAGCAAGAAUCUAGGACGUGGUUCAAUGAGGAAAGGAGGGGCGGAAAGUAGUAUAGACUGGCUAUCCAGCCGCUUUGUAGGUCGAAAAGGGAAAAAGGGGGUAACCUAGUACACACAUCUGUAAGGAACCGAUCUCUUUGUUGAAAAGGGAAAGAAAUUGGGGGGUCGGGUAGUUUAUGCACGACUAGAUUUGCUGCCCUCACAUAGGAAGAAGGUUCAAAGAGAACAAAUAUGGGACCAACGCAUAUAUGCUGCUUGGCUACAUACUCUGCAUCACCCAUUUAUACGCGUGGACGCACAUGGUGCUGGCAUGUCCCAUGCAGCUAUUUUGUUGUUGCUAAUCUCAGAAUUAACUACUGAUUUGUUUUAAAAGAAUUUCUUUGUUAAUAUGAAUCAAUGCAACCGUUUUAGAAAUGCUACUGUCCUAUACUUUGUUUUCCAUCAAGAUAAGGUAGAUGCUUCUUUUUGUGGCCGCAUGUUUCAUCCUCCUUUAUUGGCCAGUAAUUGUUUUCUUUUUUGCCUCUUGAAACAGGGAUAUCUAUUCAACUUGUUGCUAUAGAAAACUUAAAUGUCACACCGGCAACUUUGCUUGAUUUCAGUGCAACUGCAUAAAACUUGAUUCGAUUUCCUAUUCGUAUUGGUAGAUUCGUAUUUUAUGUUGGUCGUCUCAUGAAAGGUCAGUACAGGCCUUCAUCCACAUGAUUGUGUAGUGUGCUUUGAGAUGUUGUGCUACUUGUAUUGGUACUGUUUUAAAUAAAUGAUGAAUUGAAGCUAUUGUAUUGCUGUCUUUUCCCAUUAAGUAGUGAACAAAAAUGGGACCAACCCAGACAUGAUGCUUGUUGCUUUGUUACAACAAAUUCAGCAUCACCCCCUUUAUAAGCCAGUAAUUGAUGCCACUCUCAGAAUUAACUACUGAAUCUUAUUUCAAAACUGCAACACUUGUUAGGGAUUGGCGGGAUUACCAUUUUUGUGGUCGCAUGUUUCAUCCUCCUUUAUUAGCCAGUAAUUGAUUCCUUUUUUGCCUCUAUUUAUACAGGGAUAUCUAUUCAACUUGUUGCUAUUGUGACAUUUUGCUUCGCUAUGCGAAACACUUUGCUUGAUUUCAGUGCAACUGCACAAAACGAGAUUGGAUUUCCUAUUCGUGUUGGCAGAUUCGUACGUGAUCUUGUGUGCGUCAUGACAGGUUGGUACUUGCCUUCAUCCACAUGAUCAUGCGGUGUGUUUUGAGAUGUUGUGCUACUUGUAUUGGUAUUGUUUUAAAUAAAUGAUGAAUUGAAGCUAUUGUAUUGCUGUCUUUUCCCAUUAAGUAGUGAACAAAAAUGGGACCAACCCAAACAUGAUGCUUGUUGCUUUGUUACAACAAAUUCAGCAUCACCCCCUUUAUAAGCUUUGUCGUUCUUUAUACAUGCUGAAACAAGGCAUUGUUAAGAUAAUGUCUCAGUCAAUAUGAAUGAAUUACACUGAUGGAGAAUUGCUACUCUCCUGCUUUGUUUCCCAUUAAGAUAAAGUAGAUCAGUAGAUGCUUUUCUUCUGGGAGUACAAGUCAUCAACCGUUAUUUCUUAGUAAUUGUUUCCCUUAUACCUAUUGUUUCUUACAGGGAUAUCAAAAUUAAAGCUCGGUUUUAUUCCGACUUCGAUUUUAGUUGAACUGCACAAAAGGAGCCAAUGUGUAAGGCAAACUGCUGCAUUACUGGGUCUAGUUGGUCGUUCCACUUUGCAGAAAGAAGCAGUCACUGUUUGCGCUACAUUACAGAAGGAAUGACCGAGAAGCUUUGCAGAGUAUUAUUAGACACCAGUGACAUGACUAGUCUGCAGAGACCAUUGGCAAUUUAACAACACGUGGAGUGCCCUGGGCAAAAAUUUCCCAAACAAGUACAAAAGCUACGACAGGACUCCACGAUCAUAGGCAUUACAUAUUUUGAAUGGGAGAAGCUUGUCAAAGUUUAAUCAUUGAUGUUAGCAAGAAGACGUUAGUUUAAUAUAUUGGAAUUGGAAAACCUUGUCAAAUUUUGCUCAUUGGUGUUAGCCAGAAGACAUGCAUUUGAUAUUUUUGAGUGGGACGCCCUUGCUGUGAGCAGCGUCGAGUGUUUUUUCCUAUUCCUGUGUUCAAUUUAGAAGUAAAAAGUUACUCUGCUGAGAUAUUCCUGUGUUAAGAGUUUGUUCUGAAUAUUGUCUAUGUAAUGCCAGGCCUUGUGUUUGAUUGCAAAGUUGAGCUUGGAAUGUUGCGGCAUGCGGCAUCACGAGCUGUUCACCGUGCCUCCUGAGAAUAAUGCUUCGUAUUGUUUUGCAUGUCGAUCUAAUGCCAGUGAUUUAUUUGUUAAGAAGACCAUCCUCUUCUGUUGUUUCCGUGCUUAAGAAGUUCAUCGUCUGAUGUUUCAUUCAUAGCCUAUACGACAAGUCGGGUAGGUUAGACGUGAAACCAUAUGAUCUUCCGACCAACUCAUGACAUUAGGCUGUGAUUGGAUCAUCGUUUUCCAACCAAAACCGCUUGUAAAACUGACGCUUGUAAAUUAAAGCAGAUGGUCUCGGGCGAAGGCGCUUGGUUGGUCGAUUUCGACUAGCAAAAUAUCGGAAGUACUUGACACACUAUAAAAACGCUGAACGGCACUCAGACAAUUGCUAAUCCAGCCGUUAGCUGCUGUUUCAGCCUUGCCCAUGGAUGGCAUGAUACGCACGUCGUGCAUGUAUCGUCUGGUAAUCUCGUCCAUAUAGCAGUGCUCGUAAAAUAUACACUGGUCUCUCAAAUUACACGCGUAACCCACCGGUUUUACUUAUAGACCUCGGGCCCUCGGUUUCAUUACGCCUGUAUUUUACGCGUUGUUUUCAAUGACGAGUAAAUUACACUUGUAUGUUAAUACAAGUUUGAAAUAAACCAGAGCUCCCAAGUGCGGCCUUACCGUUUCAUGUCGUCUCUGUUUCUCAAAGGUGCUCAUAGGUGUCCGAUGAUCCUGGCUUCCUGAAUGAGUAGCGGGCGCUGUAUCAGACCAUCUGUAGGGCCCGCGAGGCCCUCUCCGUUGUCCUUCAAGUUGUUGCGCUCGCAGUGGCGCCGAGCAUUGUUAACAUCAUCAACGAACAUGAGGAUUCAGGAGAUGACUUUAUUUUGACUGGAUGACACUAGGGACCCACUAGGGCCAUAGCCGUACGUACGCAAGUGCCUCCUUAUUACGUACAACUAUAUUUUUUUUGCUUUCUCCUGGUUUCCUGACAUCACGGUCCCACACCAUUGUCAACCUAUGUAGUCAAUAUAAACGAGAGAAUUGCACAAGGUGCGGCCGACAGCUGGGACCAAGCAGCUCGAGCAGUAUUUGUGUUUUUGAGGCGUGAGCACUGCAGAGUUUUUCUUGGCGAUGAUUUCGUUGUUGUUCAGAGGAGAGCAGGGUAUUAACUGGGCGGACUGUGGCCCGUCUAGCCCAGGCCAAAUAUCCAGCCCAGAUACUAAUUUUUUUCAAGAUGAAAAUGGCUAGCCUAGCUAUACGUCUUUUUGAGGAAUACCCAGGCAAGGUCAACUUGUUAUUCUCCGCCCCGCUGGGCUGCAAAUCUUUCCUAGGAGGGAUGCAUUAGGCUUAACAGGAAAAUGGGCUUUAAAAAUAAUAAAUGGGAUGUAAUUAUAAAAACUGGGCAGUAACUAUAAAAAAAUGCACCAAACACGAAAUUAGUUUAUAAAAUAUUAUUUAUGGAUUUUGGAAAUCUUAAAUUUUCAUUGUUGCGCGCGCAAUGUUUCGUUGGAUUUUUACGUAAUACAAAUUUAUAUUUAAUCUGACUAGAAAUUUCGGGAUAAAAAUAUUUUGGAGCCCAUCAAAAUGUGGGAAAUUUUAUUGAAUUCUGUCUUCAACGGUUGGUUGAAAUUAUUAAUCAUUGUCCUAGCUAGAAAAUGGGAUGUACUUUUAACAAACUGUAAAUGGGCUGUUGUAAAUUCCAUUAGAAUUCCAAAAUGGGUUGUACAUUCUUACAAAACGCAAAUGGGCUAUAAGUUCUCUGCCACACACUUGUGGUCCUACUAAGUGACGCGUCCCCUAAAAAAAUAAGUUGACGCAUAUGCAAGGCUUUGCCAACUUAUUAUAGUCAACACACGGUUCUAGCAGCAGUGGCCGUUGGAUGUCUAUCCAACAGAUGUCGUGCUUCUUCUUCAAUCUCGGAUAUUCUUAGCUUUGGCCACCCAAAAAAUGAUUCCUCCCCCUGACAUCUGGGGCGCACCAUUUCGAAGGCUGACCUGUGAGCCUACUAAGUUGGAGCGUACCAAGGGCUUUGUCAACUUAGUCAAUAAUAAACGUUUCUAGCUUCAGUGACCGUACGAUGUCCAUCCAACGGCCGUAGUGCUUCUUCAACCUCUGGUCUUCUUAGUCCAGCCGCCCAAAGCAGCGCCGGUCGUGCCGCCUGCUCCUGCCUCCCGUGGACGGCUGUGCUGCUGCGGAGGCCUCACCGCCCCCAUACUACUCCCACCGUUGGCCAGGCCAUCCCUCCACUCACCCACACCCCCUGUUAUUCUGCGGCGACGGCAGCCUCACACCGCAGCCAAACCAGUGAACCCUCGUACUCCUCUCCGCGCGGGCUUCCACUGUUGCGUCUUCCCCGGCUCCGCGUCAUUCCCUUCCUAGGCCUCGCCGUCGUCCAGACCACCGCCCUGAUGCUCUCAGCGCAGCGUGGUCAACGUGGUCAACGAUUGACUUCCAUCGGAAGAGUACUGUACAUGGAGAGGCUGACAGCUGGGUCCAGGCGGCCGCAAGGAAGUGCCUCCUUGUUACACGCAAAAUAAUUAUUCAUCCACCUUAUAGCAGGGACCCACCGGACGGGCCACCUUAUUUCGUGAAAAAAUGUUUCCCCCCUGACUGCUCGGACCCACCGGACGGGCCAGCGUAUUUCACGAAAAAAACGUUCCCCCGCUGUCAGCUCGGACCCACCGGAAGUGCCUCAUUAUUACGCUCAAAAAAUUGAAUACUCCCCUUGCUAGUUGGGACCCACCAUGGUGGGAGGCUGACUUGAGGGCCUACUAAGUUGACUGGGAUGGGGGCCUUUGUCAACUUUAGUCAAUAUGAACGAUUCUAGAUCCAGUGACCAUACGAUGUCCAUCCAACGGCCGUAGUGCUUCUUCAGCCUCUGGUCUUCUUGCUCCAACCGCCCAAAGCAGCGCCAGUCGUGCCGCAUGCUCCUGCCUCCCGUGGCCGGUUGUGCUGCAGCGGAGGCCUCACCGCCCCCUACUAUUCCCACCGCUGGCCAGGCCCUGCGGCGAUGGCAGCCUCACACCGCAGCCGAACCAGUGAACCCUCGUACUCCUCUCCGCGCGGGCUUCCACUGCCGCGUCUUCCCUGGCUCCCCGUCGUCCCCUUCCUAGGCCUUGCCGUCGUCCACCGCCCUGGUGCUCUCGGCACGGCGUGGUCAACGUGGUCAAGGAACGACUUCCAUCGGACAUGGACUGUACAUGGAGAGGCUGACAGUUGGGUCCACGGCCGCAGCAAGGAAGUGCCUCCUUAUUACGUGCAAAAUAAUUAUUCCUCCACCUGACAGCGGGGACCCACCGGAUGGGCCACCGUAUUUUGUGAAAAAAAUGUUUCCCCCCUGACUGCUGGACCCACCAGCUACACCUUCGCACGCAAGGAAGUGCGUCCGGGCAAAAAAAACAAAACGAUUCGCCCCCCUAACUGCUGGGACCCACCAGCUACAUCUUCGCACGCAAGGAACUGCCUGACGGUCGGGACCCACCUGGUCGAAGCGUACGUAGCAUUGUCAUUCUGGUUGUGAACGUGUACGUACAUAUAUACUGGUCAAUGUAGAGGCGCGCACGUAGCAUGUAUACGUAUAGCGGUCAGGGUGCAAGAAAGAAAAUACGGCCACGUAUGUGUACAUAUGGGCGGGGUCUCAAACGCCUACUCGCGCAUACUACGGCGAGGGCUCGUGUACAUGGCUAGGUCGGAACGGAGAAACAGCGUCGUCGUCGUGUUCAUGGGGAGGCAAUGGAAUGCGUCGUGUUCAUGGGGAGGCAAUGGAAUGCGUCGUGUUCAUCGGGAGGGCUUGGAUGGAACAGGCGAUGGAAACGAGGCCUGGCGUACCGCAGAACGGAGGAAACGGCCUUGUGUUCGACCGGACAUCUUUGAAACGGGAUCCUGUUCAUCGGGAGGGGUGUGGCGUACCGCAAAAUGGAGGAAACGGACCUCCUACGGUCAAAACGGGGGUCCUAUUGAUCGGGAGGGGUGUGGCGUACCGCAAAACGGAGGAAACGGACCUCCUACGGUCGAAACGGGGGUCAUGUUGAUCGGGAGGGGUGUGGCGUACCGCAAAACGGAGGAACAGACUUGUGUUGGAGCGCUACGGUCGAAACGGGGGUUUUGUUCAUCGGGACGGGUGUGGCGUACCGCAAAACGGGACUCCACGGGAUAUUGUUCAUCUCCACCGUCGACCUCCUCCAGCCUCCACGGGCUCCUAUUCAUCCAGCCUCCACCGCGCGCUACUCCACCGGCUACUGUUCAACCACCCCUCCACCGUCUACUGUUCAUCCAGCCCUCCACACGACGGGGUCCUGUUCAACCACCCCUCCACGGGCACCCCUCCAUCGUCUAAUGUUCAUCCAACCCUNNNNNNNNNNNNNNNNNNNNNNNNNNNNNNNNNNNNNNNNNNNNNNNNNNNNNNNNNNNNNNNNNNNNNNNNNNNNNNNNNNNNNNNNNNNNNNNNNNNNNNNNNNNNNNNNNNNNNNNNNNNNNNNNNNNNNNNNNNNNNNNNNNNNNNNNNNNNNNNNNNNNNNNNNNNNNNNNNNNNNNNNNNNNNNNNNNNNNNNNNNNNNNNNNNNNNNNNNNNNNNNNNNNNNNNNNNNNNNNNNNNNNNNNNNNNNNNNNNNNNNNNNNNNNNNNNNNNNNNNNNNNNNNNNNNNNNNNNNNNNNNNNNNNNNNNNNNNNNNAUCGAUCGGCUUCAGUUAGCAUCAGUAGCGAAGGAAUCGCUCGAUCGGGUUCAGUUAACAGCCAUCGAUCGAUCGCUCGGGUUCAGUAACGCAUAGCCUGCAGUGCAAUCGCUCGGGUUCAGUUAGAGCCCAACGCCUCGCUCGGGUUUAGUUAGAGCCAACGCCUCGCACACACGCGCGUACAUGUACGAGAGAAAUGCGCAUCGUUCGGCCCCCGACCUCCCACCGUAACCGGGAACUCCCCGAAAUUUUCCUCCCCCUCGCUUCUACCAUGGUUUUUUCCAUCAUGGACGGCCCAAAGAAUGUCAUGGAGUUGCAUAUCCGGCCCGCCCAGGACGAAAAGCCCAUUUUCUGCCAUGAUUUUUUGUCAUAGAAGUAGGAGCCCACCACAUCUAUGAUGAUACCGGGUUUUGUCACAAUUCUCGUCAUAGAAGUGUCAUAUGUAUGACAGGAAAAAAAUUCGUUCGGCCCAAAAUGUCACGGAUGUGUCUUUUUUUUGUAGUGUUAGGAGCAGCAGAGGUGGCCGGCGUUGGCGACGGCGGCAGCGACUGAGACGGAUGGAGGAUAAGGACGGGGAAGCAGCGGGCGUCCCGAUAGCUUCCAGCUUGAUCUCGCCCAUGUAAUCGAAGUAGGCGAGGUCGAGGAGGCCGAAGGCGGACUGGAGUCGCGGCAACGACGGCAGACACCGGUGAUGUACGCGGUGGCGACGGGCUCGAUGGCGAGCGCACGGGGCGGCCCCGCUCGAAUCGAGGCUUGCGGUCAACGAGGAAGAAGACGGCGGUGCUCCUGGACUAAGCUCGGCGACAAGGGAUGGCCGGUGGCCAUGGGAUCGAUGAUGACGCGGCGAUGGAGGAGUUCGGGCGGGUGCAGGGGCGAGAGUGACGGCGCGUGGGAGGGAGAAAGGAGGCUAGGGUUUGGGGAGAGGAAGAGGGGGCCGGGGUUGCUCUUAUCCGCCGGGGAAAACGACGGGGAGGCGUGGGAUGGCUGCCACGGCGUCAUCGGUGGCCAUGGCGCCGGUGGAUCGUAUCCCCCUGUGUGAAUAGAGAAGGGAGACGAGGGCGAGUUGGGUUGGGCUGGACCUGUUUUAGCUAAAUGGGCCAAGCGUCCAGUAGGUUUAGGUCUCCCUUUUCUUAAAAUUAUUUCCCUUUUCUGCUUUUCCUUUUCUGUUAUGCAAAUAGUUGGAGCACAAAAUGAAUGUUGUGAAGAAUGAAACUUGGCACAUAAUUCAUGCACCAAAUUAUGGUGUUGCACAAAAAGUUUUAGAGCCAACGGAAUUGUUCAAGCAUUUUUGGAAAUUGAAAAGGCCAAUUAAUAUGUCGUUGGGCCACUUUAUAUUUUUCCUAGAGAUUAAAGGGAGAGCCAAAUGAUGUUUCUUGCCACAUGAUAAUUAGCUAGUGAAUAUUUGCAACCCAACGAACAUUUUUGUUUUGACAUUUGAAAACUUUAUUUGUUUGAGUUUAUUUUAAAAAUCUUGAAUUUGGACCGGAUUCGAACCAACGCGAGUUUAACAAAAGUAAUCGCGGUGAUGUGGCAUCAUUAGCAGAGGAUUACUGUAGCUUUAUUAUCCGGGCGUCACAAUAGGCAUCACAUCCGUGACACGUAGACCGACUCCUGCCUGCAUCUACUACUAUUACUCCACACAUCGACCGCUAUCCAGCAUGCAUCUAGAGUAUUAAGUUCAUAAGAACGGAGUAACGCUUUAAGCAAGAUGACAUGAUGUAGAGGGAUAAACUCAUGCAAUAUGAUAUAAACCCCAUGUUUUUAUCCUCGAUGGCAACAAUAAAAUAUGUGUUGUUUACCCUACUGUCACUGGGAUCGAGCACCGCAAUAUUGAACCCAAAGCUAAGCACUUAUCCCAUUGCAAGAAAGAUCAAUCUAGUAGGCCAAACCAAACUAAAAAUUUGAAGAGACUUGCAAAGAUAACCAAUCAUACAUAAAAGAAUUUAGAGAAGAUUCAAAUAUUGUUCAAAGAUAAUCUUGAUUAUAAACCCACAAUUCAUCGGAUCUCGACAAACACACCGCAAAAGAAGAUUACAUCGAAUAGAUCUCCAAGAGAAUCGAGGAGAACUUUGUAUUAAGAUCCAAAGAGAGAGAAGAAGACAUCUAGCUAAUAACUAUGGACCCGAAGGUCUAAGGUAAACUACUCACACAUCAUCGGAGAGGCUAUGGUGUUGAUGUAGAAGCCCUCCGUGAUCAAUGCCCCCUCCGGCGGAGCGCCGGAAAAGGCCCCAAGAUGGGAUCUCACGGGUACAGAAGGUUGCGGCGGUGGAAUUAGGUUUUCGUGGUGCUCUUCGAUGUUUUCAGGGUACGUAGGUAUAUAUAGGAGGAAGAAGUAGGUCGGUGGAGCCACGAGGGUGGAGGGCAAUCCCAGGGGGUAGGCGCGCCCCCUGCCUCGUGGCCUCCUCGUUGGUUGCUUGACGUCCACUUCAAGUCCUCUAGAUCACGUUUGUUCCAAAAAUCACGCUCCCGAAGGUUUCAUUCCGUUUGGACUCCGUUUGAUAUAUUUUUUCUGUGAAACACUAAAAUAGGCAAAAAAACAACAAUUUGGGUUGGGCCUCCGGUUAAUAGGUUAGUCCCAAAAAUAAUAUAAAAGUGUAUAAAUAAGCCCAUUAAACAUCCAAAAUAGAAUAUAUAAUAGCAUGGAACAAUCAAAAAUUAUAGAUACGUUGGAGACGUAUCAAGCAUCCCCAAGCUUAAUUCCUCCUCGUCCUCGAGUAGGUAAAUGAUAAAAACAAAAUUUUUGAUGUGGAAUGCUUCCUAACAUAUUUCUCAAUGUAAUUUUCUUUAUUGUGGCAUGAAUGUUCAGAUCUGAAAGAUUCAAGAUAAAAGUUUAAUAUUGAUAUAAAAAUAAUAAUACUUCAAGCAUACUAACUAAGCAAUCAUGUCUUCUCAAAAUAACAUGGCCAAAGAAAGUUCAUCCCUACAAAAUCAUAUAGUUUGGUCAUGAUUCAUUUUCGUCACACAAGAAUGCUCUCAUCAUGCACAACCCCGACGACAAGCCAAGCAAUUGUUUCAUACUUUAGUAAUCUCACACUUUUUUCAACUUUCACGCAAUACAUGAUCGUGAGCCAUGGAUAUAGCACUAUGGGUGGAAUAGAAUAUAGUGAAGGGGGUUAUGUGGAGAAGACAAAAAGGAGAAAGUCUCACAUUGACGCGGUUAAUCAAUGGGCUAGGGAGAUGCGCAUCAAUUGAUAUUAAUGCAAGGAGUAGGAAUUGCCAUGCAACGGAUGCACUAGAGCUAUAAAUGUAUGAUAGCUCAAGAAAAGAAACUAAGUGGGUGUGCAUCCAACUUGCUUGCUCACGAAGACCUAGGGCACUUGAGGAGGCCCAUUGUUGGAAUAUACAAGCCAAGUUCUAUAAUGAAAAAUUCCCACUAGUAUAAACAAGAGACUCUCUAUCAUAAAGAUCAUGGUGCUACUUUGAAGCACAAGUGUGGAAAAAAGGAUAGUAGCAUUGCCCCUUUUAUUUUUAUUUUUAUUUUUUCUAGGCCUUUUUUUAUUUGGCCUUUUGAUACGUCUCCGUCGUAUCUAUAAUUUUUUAUUGUUCCAUGCCAAUAUUCUACAACUUUCAUAUACUUUUGGCAACUUUUUAUACUAUUUUUGGGGACUAACAUAUUGAUCCAGUGCCCAGUGAUAGUUCCUGUUUGUUGCAUUUUUUUGUUUCGCGAAAAAUCCAUAUCAAACGGAAUCCAACUAGGAUAAAAAAGGAUGGAGAUUAUUUUUCGAAUAUAUGUGAAAUAUGGGAAGGAAAUCAAUGCGAGAUGGUGCCCGAGGGAGCCACGAGGCAGGGGGCGCCCCUGACCCUCGUGGGGCCCCCGUAAGGCGGUUAAUGCUCUUCUUCGGCCGCAAGAAAGCUAAUUUUCGGGGGGAAAAAAUCAUAGCGAAGGUUUCAAUCCAAUCAGAGUUAUGGAUCUCUGGAUAUAUAAGAAACAGGGAAAGGGCAGAAUCUGGGAACACAGAAACAGAGAGAAACAGGGAGACAGAUCCAAUCUCGGAGGGGCUCUCGCCCGUCCCAUGCCAUGAUGGACAAGGACCAGAGGGGAAACCCUUCCCCUAUCUAGGGAGGAGGUCAAGGAAGAAGAAGGGGCCCCCUCUCCCCUUCUCUUUCGGUGGCGCCGGAACACUGUCGUGGCCACCAUCAUCAUCACCGCGAUCUUCACCAACACCUCCGCCAUCUUCACCAACAUCUCCAUCACCUUCCCCCCCUCUAUCUACAGUGAUCCACUCUCCCGCAACCCGUUGUACCCUCUACUUGAACAUGGUGCUUUAUGCUUCAUAUUAUUAUGCAAUGAUGUGUUGCCAUCUUAUGAUGUCUGAGUAGAUUUUCAUUGUCCUAUCGGUGGUUGAUGAAUUGCUAUGAUUGAUUUAAUUUGCUUGUGGUUAUGUUGUUGUCCUUUGAUGAUCAUCAUAUGAGCGCGCGCGUGGAUCACACCAUAGGGUUAGUUGUAUGUUGAUAGGACUAUGUAUUGGAGGGCAAGAGUGAUAGAAGCUUCAACCUAGCAUAGAAAUUGAUGCAUACGGGAUUGAAGGGGGACCAAUAUAUCUUAAUGCUAUGGUUGGGUUUUACCUUAAUGAACGUUAGUAGUUGCGGAUGCUUGCUAAUAGUUCCAAUCAUAAGUGCAUAGAAUUCCAAGUCAGUGAUGACAUGCUAGUAGUGGCGUCUCCCACAUAAAACUUGCUAUCGGUCUAGUAAAGUAGUCAAUUGCUUAGGGACAAUUUCGCAACUCCUACCACCACUUUUCCACACUCACUAUAUUUACUUUAUUGUGUCUUUAUCUAAACAGCCCCUACUUUUUAUUUACAUUCUCUUUAUUAUCUUGCAAACCUAUCCAAAAACACCUACAGAGUACUUCUAGUUUCAUACUUGUUCUAGGUAAAGCGAAUGUUAAGCGUGCGUAGAGUUGUAUCGGUGGUCGAUAGAACUUGAGGGAAUAUUUGUUCUACCUUUAGCUCCUCGUUGUGUUCGACACUCUUACUUAUCGAAAGAGGUUACAGUUGAUCCCCUAUACUUGUGGGUUAUCAAGACCUUUUUCUGGCGCCGUUGCCGGGGAGCAAUACGUGGGGUGAAUAUUCUCGUGUGUGCUUGUUUGCUUUAUCGCUAAGUAAUUUUUAUUUGUUGUUCUUAGUUCUUUUAUAUCUUUAGUUAUGGGUAGGAAACGCAAAAUACCAAAAAAAAUUAGUUGUACCUACUGAACCAAUGGUUGAAGAACCACUCAAAAUCUAUCACACUCUUGAAGCUUAUUACUUGGAUCAUCUUCGAUCCCUAUGUGCUCGUGCUGAAACCCCAACUAGCUUAGUUGAGGGCAAAUCUUUAGAUGAGCAUGCUUGUUAUGUGCGACACCGCAUAUCUGAAAAAGGGAAACGUUUACUGGAUCAAAUCCAUCGUUUGCAAUGCUAUGCUUGGAAUUUAUGCGAAAUAUAUGAUAUUACUUGUUGUUCUAAAGACCCUAAGAAACACCUUCCCUACCAAUGUUUGUUUAGUGAUAAUGGAAUCGUAUCUUCUUAUGCUAAGGGUGUUUAUAAUUACUAUGAUGUUCAACAAAUUGAAGAAUUUGUUGCUUUUAAGAGUGCUUAUGAAAUUGCUUUUUUGAUUGAAACAUAUGAUGCUACUCUUUACAAAUCUGAAAUUUUUACCAUACUUGAAUAUUGUUAUGAGAAUUAUGCUUCUAAUGCCUAUGUUAAACCAUAUAUCGAGGUCUCCUCCUCUGUCCAAGAAGAGACUAAUAUUUUGCAGGAGUCUAUGGAAGAAGAAAUUGAUGAAACUGUGAGCUCAUUGGAUGAAAAAGAUGAUGAGGAGAGCGAAGAACAAAAGGAGGGAGAGCGGAUUAGCUACCCGUGCCGACCUUCUAAUGAGAGUAACUCUUAAACUCAUACAUUGUUUAAUUUCCCCUCGUGCUUACCGAAGGAUGAUUGUUAUGAUCCCGUUGAUUCUUUUGAAAUAUCCCUUUUUGAUGAUGCUUGCUAUGCUUGUGGCCAAGAUGCCAAUAUAAAUUAUGCUCAUGGAGAUGAACUUGCUAUAGUUCCUUAUGUUAAACAUGAAAUUGUUGCUAUUGCACCCAUGCAUGAUAGUCCUAUUAUCUUUUUGAAUUCUCCCGACUACACUAUAUCGGAGAACUUUGUAGUUAUUAAGGAUUAUAUUGAUGGGUUGCAUUUUACUAUUACACAUGAUGAUUUUGAUGAAUAUAAUAUGCAUGUGCUUGCUGAUCCUACUUGCAAUUAUUAUGAGAGAGGAACUAUAUCUCCACCUCUCUAUGUUUCCAAUACGAUAAAAUUGCAAGAAACUAUUUAUACUAUGCAUUUGCCUUUACUAUGUGUGCAUGAAUUGUUCUUUUAUGACAUGCCGAUGCAUAGGAAUAGAGUUAGACUUUGUUGUUGCAUGAUAUAUGUUACUUUAUGCUCACUACUAAAUUACAAAUCAUUGUUAAUUAAAAUUGGCUUUGAUAUACCUUGGGAUCCGGGUGGAUUCACUACUUGAGCACUAUAUGCCUAGCUUAAUGGCUUUAAAGAAAGCGCUGCCAGGGAGACAACCCGGAAGUUUUAGAGAGUCAUUUAUUUAUGUUGAGUGCUUUUAUAUAGUUUAAAAAAGAGGGGAACCUAAAACUUUUUCAAAAAGGAAAGUGAAAGUGAGAAAGACAAGCAUUGUUAAAGUGGGAUCUAGCCUUGAACUUUGUUCAUGCUCACGGAAACUUUGUGAAUCUUGAUUACAGAAAAUUUUCAACAAAAAUAUUUAUCCCCUUGUACAAUUCCAUCGUAUUAUAAAAAUAAUGUGCCAAGGUUUGCAUUUAGGAUGUUUACAAUGCUUGUUGGUUUGUACGGUGCAGGAUAGAAACAAUGGCUGUAGUGCGCGAUUUUACAUUUUUUACUGGAACAUCAAAUGGUUCUGAUUCUUUUUGCACUGUAUUUCUAUACAAAUUUUUUAUUUUUCCUAAUUUUGGCAAAAUUGUUCAAGUAUCAUAAGUAUGGUGAAUGUUCAGAUUAUUAUAGACUGUUCUGUUUUAGACAGAUUCUGUUUUUGAUGCAUAGUUUGCUUGUUUUGAUGAAACUAUAUAUCGAAUUAUAUCAGUGGAUUAAGCCAUGGAAAAGUUAUAAUACAGUAGCUAUAAUUAAAAAUCAAAAUAUAAAUUGGUUUCCAACAGUACUUAGAGUAUUGAUUUGCUUUAUUAUACUAACGGAUCUUACCGAGUUUUCUGUUGAAGUUUUGUGUGGAUGAAGUGUUCGAUGAUCGAGAAGGUCUCGAUAUGAGAAGAAGGAAGAGAGGCAAGAGCUCAAGCUUGGGGAUGCCCUAGGCACCCCAAGUAAAUAUUCAAGGAGACUCAAGUGUCUAAGCUUGGGCAUGCCCUGGAAGGCAUCCCCUCUUUCUUCAACAAGUAUCGGUAUGUUUUCGGAUUCAUUUCAUUCAUGUGAUAUGUGCAGAUCUUGGAGCGUCUUUUGCAUUUAGUUUUCAAUUUUAUUUUAUGCACCAUGCUGGUAUGAGAUAGUCCUUGGUGGAUUUAUAGAAUUCUCUAUGCACUUCACUUAUAUCUUUUGAGUAUGGCUUUAUAGAAUGUUUCAUGUGCUUCACUUAUAUCAUUUGAAGUUUGGAUUGCCUGUUUCUCUUUACAUAGAAAACCGCCAUUUGUAGAAUGCUCUUUUGCUUCACUUAUAUUUGUUAGAGCAUGGUCAUAUAUUUUUUAUAAAUAUUUAAACUCUCUUGCUUCACUUAUAUCUAUUUAGAGAGAUGACAGGAACUGAUCGUUCACAUGAUUAGUCAUAAAAUCCUACAUAAAACUUGUAGAUCACUGAAUAUGAUAUGUUUGGUUCCUUGCAAUAUAAAGAUGGUGAUAUUAGAGUCAUGCUAGUGGGUAGUUGUGGAUUAGUAUAAAUACUUGUGUUGAGGUUUCUGAUUCCCAUAGGAUGCACGUAUGGUGAACCGUUAUGUAACGAAGUCGGAGCAUGAUUUAUUUAUUGAUUGUCUUCCUUAUGAGUGGUGGUCGGGGAUGAGCGAUGGUCUUUUCCUACAAAUCUAUCCCCCUAGGGGCAUGCAUAGUAGUACUUUGCUUCGAGUGCUAAUAAAAUUUUGCAAUAAGUAUAUGAGUUCUUUAUGACUAAUGUGAGUCCAUGGAUUAUACGCACUCUCACCCUUCCAUCAUUGCUAGCCUCUUCGGUACCGUGCAUUGCCCUUUCUCACCUCGAGAGUUUGUGCAAACUUCGUCGGUGCAUCCAAACCCCGUGAUAUGAUAUGCUCUGUCACACAUAAACCUCCUUAUAUCUUCCUCAAAACAGCCACCAUACCUACCUAUCAUGGCAUUUCCAUAGCCAUUCCAAGAUAUAUUGCCAUGCAACUUCCAUCAUCAUCAUAUACAUGACUUGAGCAUUUAUUGUCAUAUUGCUUUGCAUGAUCAGAAGAUAGCUAGCAUGAUAUUUUCAUGGCUUUUCCUUUUUUGUCAUUGCUACGCUAGAUCAUUGCACAUCCCGGUACACCACCGGAGGCAUUCAUAAAGAGUCAUAUCUUUGUUCUAGUAUCGAGUUGUAAUAUCGAGUUGUAAGUAAAUGAAAGUGUGGUGAUCAUCAUUAUUAGAGAAUUGCCCCAAGAAAAAAAAAGAGGCCAAAGAAGCCUAAAUAAAAAAAGGGGGCCAAAGAAUCCCAUUCAAAAAAGGGGCAAUGUUACUAUCCUUUUAACACACUUGUGCUUCAAAGUAGAACCAUGUUCUUCAUAUAGAGAGUCUCUUGAGUUAUCACUUUCAUAUACUAGUGGGAAUUUUCAUUAUAGAACUUGGAUUGUAUAUUCCAAUGAUGGGCUUCCUCAAAUGCCCGAGGUCUUCAUGAGCAAGCAAGUUGGAUGCGCACCCACUUAGUUUCCGUUUGAGCUUUCAUACACUUAUAGCUCGAGUGCAUCCAUUGCAUGGCAAUCCCUACUCCUCGCAUUGACAUCAAUUGAUGGGCAUCUCCAUAGCCCAUUGAUUAGCCGCGUCGAUGUGAGACUUUCUCCCUUUUUGUCUUCUCCACAUAACCCCCAUCAUCAUAUUCUAUUCCACCUAUAGUGCUAUAUCCAUGGCUUGCGCUCAUGUAUUGCGUGAGGGUUGAAAAAGCUGAAGUGUGUUAAAAAGUAUGAACCAAUUGCUUGGCUUGUCAUCGGGGUUGUGCAUGAUGUGAAUAUUUUGUGUGGUGAAGAUGGAUCAUAGCUAGACUAUAUGAUUCUGUAGGGAUAACUCCCUUUGGCCAUGUUAUUUUGAAAAGACAUGAUUGCUUUAUUAGUAGGCUUGAAGUAUUAUUGUUUUUACGUCAAAUGAUAGACUAUUGCUUUGAAUCACUCGUAUCUUAAUAUUCAUGCCAUGAUUAGAUAUGUGAUCAAUAUUAUGCUAGGUAGCAUUCCACAUCAAAAAUUAUCUUUUUUAUCAUUUACCUACUCGAGGACGAGCAGGAACUAAGCUUGGGGAUGCUGAUACGUCUCCGUCGUAUCUAUAAUUUUUGAUUGUUCCAUGCCAAUAUUCUACAACUUUCAUAUACUUUUGGCAACUUUUUAUACUAUUUUUGGGGACUAACAUAUUGAUCCAUCGCCCAGUGCCAGUUCCUGUUUGUUGCAUGUUUUUUUCACAGAAAAUCCAUAUCAAACAGAGUCCAAACGGGAUAAAAACGGACGAAGAUUAUUUUUGGAAUAUAUGUGAAAUAUGGGAAGAAAAUCAACAUGAGGCGGUGCCUGAGGGAGCCACGAGGCAGGGGCGCGCCCCACCCCGCUGGGCGCGCCCCUGACCCUCGUGGGCCCCCAUAAGGCGGUUAAUGCUCUUCUUCGGCCGCAAGAAAGCUAAUUUUUGGAGAGAAAAAUCAGAGCGAAGGUUUCAAUCCAAUCAGAGUUACGGAUCUCCAGAUAUAUAAGAAACGGUGAAAGGGCGGAAUCUGGGAACACAGAAACAGAGAGAAAUGGAGAGACGGAUCCAAUCUUGGAGGGGCUCUCGCCCCUCCCAUGCCAUGAGGGCCAAGGACCAGAGGGGAAACCCUUCUCUCAUCUAGGAAGGAGGUCAAGGAAGAAGAAGAAGAAGGGCCCCCCCUCUCCCCUUCUCUUCCGGUGGCGCCGGAACGCUGUCGUGGCCACCAUCAUCAUCACCGCGAUCUUCACCAACACCUCUGCCAUCUUCACCAACAUCUCCAUCACCUUCCCCCCUCUAUCUACAGCGGUCCACUCUCCCGCAACCCGUUGUACCCUCUACUUGAACAUGGUGCUUUAUGCUUCAUAUUAUUAUCCAAUCAUGUGUUGCCAUCUUAUGAUGUCUGAGUAGAUUUUCGUUGUCCUAUCGGUGGUUGAUGAAUUGCUAUGAUUGAUUUAAUUUGCUUGUGGUUAUGUUGUUGUCCUUUGGUGCCCAUCAUAUGAGCGCGCACGUGGAUCACACCAUAGGGUUAGUUGUAUGUUGAUAGGACUAUGUAUUGGAGGGCGAGAGUGACAGAAGCUUCAACCUAGCAUAGAAAUUGAUGCAUACGGGAUUGAAGGGGCACCAAUAUAUCUUAAUGCUAUGGUUGGGUUUUACCUUAAUUGAUGUUAGUAGUUGCGGAUGCUUGCUAAUAGUUCCAAUCAUAAGUGCAUAGAAUUACAAGUCAGGGAUGACAUGCUAGUAGUGGCCUCUCCCACAUAAAACUUGCUAUCGGUCUAGUAAAGUAGUCAAUUGCUUAGGGACAAUUUCGCAACUCCUACCACCACUUUUCCACACUCACUAUAUUUACUUUAUUGUGUAUUUAUCUAAACAACCCCUACUUUUUAUUUGCAUGCUCUUUAUUAUCUUGCAAACCUAUCCAAAAACACCUACAAAGUACUUCUAGUUUCAUACUUGUUCUAGGUAAAGCGAACGUUAAGCGUGCGUAGAGUUGUAUCGGUGGUCGAUAGAACUCGAGGGAAUAUUUUUUCUACCAUUAGCUCCUCGUUGGGUUCGACACUCUUACUUAUUGAAAGAGGCUACAAUUGAUCCCAUAUACUAGUGGGUUAUCACCUUUCUCUUUUUUGGGACAAUGCUCUAUUAAUGAUGAUCAUCAUACUUCUAUUUAUUUACAACUCAAUGAUUACAACUCGAUACUAGAACAAGAUAUGACUCUAUAUGAAUGCCUCCGGUGGUGUACCGGGAUGUGCAAUGACUCAUGAGUGACAUGUAUGAAAGAAUUAUGAACGGUGGCUUCGCCACAAAUACGAUAUCAACUACAUGAUCAUGCAAGGCAAUAUGACAAUGAUGAUGCAUGUCAUAAUAAACGGAGCGGUGGAAAGUUGCAUGGCAAUAUAUCUCGGAAUGGCUACGGAAAUGCCAUAAUAGGUAGGUAUGGUGGCUGUUUUGAGGAAGAUAUAAGGAGGUUUAUGUGUGAUAGAGCGUAUCGCAUCACGAGGUUUGGAUGCACCGGCGAAGUUUGCGCCAACUCUCAAGGUGAGAAAGGGCAAUGCACGGUACAGAAGAGGCUAGCAAUGAUGGAAGGGUGAGAGUGCGUAUAAUCCAUGGACUCAACAUUAGUCAUAAAGAACUCACAUACUUAUUGCAAAAAUCUACAAGUCAGCAAAAACCAAGUAUUACGCACAUGCUCCUAGGUGGGUAGAUUGGUAGGAAAAGACCAUCGCUCGUCCCCGACCGCCACUCAUAAGGAAGACAAUCAAAUAAAACCUCAUGUUUCAAAUUUGGUACACAAUGUUUACCAUACGUGCAUGCUACGGGACUUGCAAACUUCAACACAAGUAUUUCUCAAAUUCAUAACAACCUUAAUAUCACUAUCUCCAUAUCUAAAAACGAUCAUCAAGUAUCAAACUUCUCUUAGUAUUCAAUGCACUUAUAUUAAAGUUUUUUAUUAUUCCUAAAAGAAAAUUUCCAUGCUGUUCUAAAGGACUCUCAAAAUAAUAUAAGUGAAUCAUGAGAGAUCAAUUUAUAUAAAAUGAAACCACCACCGUGCUCUAAAAUAUAUAAGUGAAGCACUAGAGCAAAAACUAUAUAGCUCAAAAGAUAUAAGUGAAGCACAUAGAGUAUUCUAAUAAAUUCCGAUUCAUGUGUGUCUCUCUCAAAAGGUGUGUACAGCAAGGAUGAUUGUGGUAAACUAAAAAUCAAAGACUCAAAUCAUACAAGACGCUCCAAGCAAAACACAUAUAAUGUGGUGAAUAAAAAUAUAGCUCCAAGUAAAGUUAUCGAUAGACAAAGACAAAAGAGGGGAUGCCUUCUGGGGCAUCCCCAAGCUUAGGAUUUUUGCUGUCCUUGUAUUUUACCUUGGGGUGCGUUGGGCAUCCCCAAGCUUAGGCUCUUGCCACUCCUUGUUCCAUAAUCCAUCAAAUCUUUACCCAAAACUUGAAAACUUCACAACACAAAACUUAAAGUAGAAAAUCUCGUGAGCUCCGUUAGCGAAAGAAAAUAAAGAACCACUUCAAGGUACUGUAAUGAACUCAUUAUUUAUUUAUAUUGGUGUUAAAACUACUGUAUUCCAACUUCUCUAUGGUUUAUAAACUAUUUUACUAGCCAUAGAUUCAUCAAAAUAAGCAAACAACACACGAAAAACAGAAUCUGUCAAAAAAAGAACAGUCUGUAGUAAUCUGUAGCUAGCACAAGAUCUGUAACCCCAAAAAUUAUAAAAUAAAUUGCUGGACGUGAGGAAUUUAUCUAUUAAUCAUCUGCAAAAAGAAUUAACUAAAUAGAACUCUCCAAUCAAAAAAGACAGCAGUUCUCGUGAGCGCUAAAGUUUCUGUUUUUUACAGCAAGUUCAACAAGACUUUCCCCAAGUCUUCCCAACGGUUCUACUUGGCACAAACACUAAUUAAACACAAAAAACACAACCAAAACAGAGGGUAGAUAAAUUAUUUAUUACUAAACAGGAGCAAAAAUCAAGGAAUAAAAAUAAAAUUGGGUUGCCUCCCAACAAGCGCUAUCGUUUAACGCCCCUAGCUAGGCAUAACAAGCAAGAAUAGAUCUAGGUAUUGCCAUCUUUGGUAGGCAAUCCAUAAGUGGCUCGCAUAAUAGAUUCAUAAGGUAAUUUAAUUUUCUUUCUAGGAAAGUGUUCCAUGCCUUUCCUUAACGGAAAUUGGAAUCUAAUAUUUCCUUCCUUCAUAUCAAUAAUUGCACCAAUCGUUCUAAGGAAAGGUCUACCAAGAAUAAUAGGACAUGAAGGAUUGCAAUCUAUGUCAAGAACAAUAAAAUCUACGGGCACAUAAUUCCUAUUUGCAACAAUAAGAACAUCAUUAAUUCUUCCCAUAGGUUUCUUAAUAUUGGAAUCCGCAAGGUGCAAGUUUAGAGAGCAAUCAUCAAAAUCACGGAAACCUAACAAAUCACACAAAGUCUUUGGAAUCGUGGAAACACUAGCACCCAAAUCACAGAAAGCAUAGCAUUCAUGAUCUUUAAUUUUAAUUUUAAUAGUUGGUUCCCACUCAUCAUAAAUUUUUCUAGGGAUAGAAACUUCCAAGUCGAGUUUUUCUUCAUAAGAUUGCAUCAAGGCAUCAACGAUAUGUUUAGUAAACGCUUUAUUUUGACUAUGAGCGUGAGAGGAAUUUAGCACGGAUUGCAACAAGGAAAUACAAUCAAUCAAAGAGCAAUUUUCAUAGUUAAAUUCCUUGAAAUCCAUAAUAGUGGGUUCGUUGCUAUCUAAAGUUUUAACCUCUUCAAUCCCACUUUUACCAAUUUUUGCAUCGAUAUCUAAAAACUCUGAAUUUUUGGGACGCCUUCUUACUAAAGUUGACUCAUCUCCAGUCCCAUCAUUAUCAAGAUUCAUAUUACAAAACAAAGAUUUAAUAGGGGACACAACAAUAACUUUUGGAUCUUCAUCUUUAUUAUCAUGAAAACUAGAAGAACACGCUUUCACAAAGCAAUAUUUCUUAGCACGCGUCCUAGCGGUUCUUUCCUUACACUCAUCAAUGGAAAUUCUCAUGGCUUUGAGAGACUCGUUGAUAUCAUGCUUAGGUGGAAUAGAUCUAAGUUUCAAAGAAUCAACAUCAGGAGAAAUUCUAUCCAUGUUCCUAGCCAAUUCAUCAAUCUUAAGCAAUUUUUCUUCAAUCAAAGCAUUGAAACUCUUUUUAGAACUAAUAAAUUCUUUAAUACUAGAUUCAAAAUCAGAGGGCAUAUUAUUAUAAUUUCCAUAAGAAUUGUUUUAGGAAUUACCAUAAUUAUUAGAGGAAUUACUAGGAAACGGCCUAGAAUUAAAAUUACCUCUAUACGCGUUGUUACCAAAAUUGUUCCUACCAACAAAAUUCACAUCCAUAGAUUCAUUAUUAUUCUCAAUCAAAGUAGACAAAGGCAUAUCAUUAGGAUCAGUAGGAGCACUCUUAUUAGCAAACAAUUUCAUAAGUUCAUCCAUCUUUCCACUCAAAGCAUUAAUCUCUUCAAUCGCAUGAACUUUUUUACUAGUAGAACUUUCAGUGUGCCAUUGAGAAUAAUUAACCAUAAUAUUAUCUAGGAGUUUGGUAGCUUAUCCUAAAGUGAUUUCAUAAAAGUGCCUCCCGCGGCCGAAUCUAAAAGAUUUUUAGAAGCAAAAUUCAAUCCGACAUAAAAAAUUUGUAUAAUAAUCUAUAAAUUCAAACCAUGUGUAGGGCAAUUACGUAUCAUAAAUUUCAUCCUCUCCCAAGAUUGUGCAACAUGUUCAUGAUCAAGUUGCUUAAAAUUCAUAAUAUCGUUUCUAAGAGAGAUUAUCUUAGCGGGAGGAAAAUACUUAAAGAUAAAAGCAUCUUUGCACUUAUUCCAUGAACCAAUACUAUUUUUAGGCAAAGACGAAAACCAAGCUUUAGCAUGAUCUCUAAGCGAAAACGGAAAUAGCUUAAGUUUAACAAUAUCAUUAUCCACAUCUUUCUUCUUUUGCAUAUCACACAAAUCAACAAAGUUGUUUAGAUGGGUAGCGACAUCUUCACUAGGAAGGCCAGAAAACGAAUCUUUCAUGACAAGAUUCAGCAAAGCAGUAUUAAUUUCACAAGAUUCAGCAUCGGUAAGAGGAUAAAUUGGAGUGCUAAUAAAAUCAUUAUUGUUGGUAUUGGCAAAGUCACACAAUUUAGUAUUAUCUUGAGCCAUCAUGACAAGCAAGCAAUCCAACACACAAGCAAACAAGCGAAAACAAGAAAAAGCGAACGGAAGGAGAGGACGAAAGGAAAAGAGGGUGCAUAAAACGGCAAGGGUAAAGUGGGGGAGAGGAAAACAAGAGGCAAAUGGCAAAUAAUGCAAUGCGAAGGAUAAGAGUUGUGAUGGGUACUUGGUAUGUCUUGACUUGGCGUAGAUCUCCCCGGCAACGGCGCCAGACAUCCUUCUUGCUACCUCUUGAGCAUGCGUUGGUUUUCCCUUGAAGAGGAAAGGGUGAUGCAGCAAAGCAGCGUAAGUAUUUCCCUUAGUUUUUGAGAACCAAGGUAUCAAUCCAGUAGGAGACCACGCGCAAGUCACCUCGUACCUACACAAACAAAUAAGAACCUCACAACCAACGUGAUAAAGGGGUUGUCAAUCCCUUCACGGCCACUUGCAAGAGUGAGAUCUGAUAGAGAUAAUAAUAAUAAGAUAAAUAUUUUUGGUAUUUUUAUGAUAUAGAUUGAAAGUAAAGAUUGCAAAAUAAACGGUGCCAGAAAUAGCUAGUUGACAGAAGAUUAAUAUGAUGGAAGAUAGACCCGGGGGCCAUAGGUUUCACUAGUGGCUUUUCUCAAGAUAGCAUAAGUAUUACGGUGGGUGAACAAAUUACUGUCGAGCAAUUGAUAGAAUUGAGCAUGGUUAUGAGAAUAUCUAGGUAUGAUCAUGUAUAUAGGCAUCACGUCAGUGACAAGUAGACCGACUCCUGCCUGCAUCUACUACUAUUACUCCACACAUCGACCACUAUACAGCAUGCAUCUAGAGUAUUAAGUUCAUAAGAACGGAGUAACGCUUUAAGCAAGAUGACAUGAUGUAGAGGAAUAAACUCAUGCAAUAUGAUAUAAACCCCAUCUUGUUAUCCUCGAUGGCAACAAUACAAUACAUGCCUUGCUGCCAAUACUGUCACUGGGAAAGGACGCCGCAAGAUUGAACCCAAAGCUAAGCACUUCUCCCAUUGCAAGAAAGGUCAAUCUAGUAGGCCAAACCAAACUGAAAAUUCGAAGAGACUUGCAAAGAUAACCAAUCAUACAUAAAAGAAUUCAGAGAAGAUUCAAAUAUUGUUCAUAGAUAAUCUUGAUCAUAAACCCACAAUUCAUCGGAUCUCAACAAUCUCACCGCAAAAGAAGAUUACAUCGAAUAGAUCUCCAAGAGAAUCGAGGAGAACUUUGUAUUGAGAUCCAAAGAGAGAGAAGAAGCCAUCUAGCUAAUAACUAUGGACCCGAGGUCUGAGGUAAACUACCCACACAUCAUCUGAGAGGCUAUGGUGUUGAUGUAGAAGCCCUCCGUGAUCAAUUCCCCCUCCGACGGAGCGCCGGAAAAGGCCCCAAGAUGGGAUCUCACGGGUACAGAAGGUUGCGUUGGUGGAAUUAGGUUUUCGUGGUGCUCUUCGAUGUUUUCAGGGUACGUAGGUAUAUAUAGGAGGAAGAAGUAGGUCGGUGGAGCCACGAGGGGCCCACGAGGGUGGAGGGCGCACCCAGGGCGGGUAGGCGCGCCCCCUGCCCCGUGGCCUCCUCGUUGGUUGCUUGACGUCCACUCCAAGUCCUUUGGAUCAUGUUUGUUCCAAAAAUCACGCUCCCGAAGGUUUCAUUCCGUUUGGACUCCGUUUGAUAUUCUUUUUCUGCGAAACACUGAAAUAGGCAAUAAACUGCAAUUUGGGUUGGGCUUUCAGUUAAUAGGUUAGUCCAAAAAAUAAUAUAAAAGUGUAUAAAUAAGCCCAUUAAACAUCCAAAACAGAAUAUAUAAUAGCAUGGAACAAUCAAAAAUUAUAGAUACGUUGGAGACGUAUCAAUAGGUAAUAUCGGUAAGCGCCAAGAAAUGCCUAUGAAUUAUCCACUUACUGUUGAACCAUUUGAUGUUUCGGGGUUUGAUUACAUGGGACCUUUUCCUUUUUCUAAUGGGUAUACACAUAUUUUGGUUGCUGUUGAUUAUGUUACUAAACGGGUAGAAGUUAUUCCAACCAGUAGUGCUGAUCACAACACCUCUAUUAAAAUGCUUAAGGAAGUUAUUUUCCCAAGGUUUGGAGUCCCUAGAUAUUUAAUGACUGAUGGUGUUUCACACUUUAUUCAUGGUGCUUUCCGUAAAAUGCUUGCUAAGUAUGAUGGUAACCAUAUAAUUGCAUCAACCUAUCAUCCUCAGCCUAGUGGUCAAGUUGAGCUUAGCAAUAGAGAAAUAAAAUUAAUUUUGCAAAAGACUAUUAAUAGGUCCAGGAAGAAUUGGUCUAAGAAAUUAGAUGAUGCACUUUGGGCUUAUAGAACAUCAUAUAAAAAUCAUAUGGGUAUGUCUCCUUAUAAAAUGGUUUAUGGAAAAGCUUGUCAUUUGCCUCUUGAGUUAGAACAUAAAGCAUAUUGGGAAGUUAAAGAACGCAACUAUGAUUUCAAACUUGCUGGUGAAAAGAGGUUGUUUGAUAUAAGCUCAUUAGAUGAAUGGAGAACCCAAGCUUAUGAAAAUGCAAAGUUAUUCAAAGAAAAAGUUAAAAGCUGGCAUGACAAAAGAUUUCAAAAACGUGAGUUUAAAGUCGGAGAGUAUGUUCUUUUGAACAACUCUCGUUUCAGAUUCUUUGCAAGAAGACUCCUCUGAAAAUGGGAAGGCCCCUAUGUCAUUGAGGAGGUUUACCGGUCUAGAGCCAUCAAAAUAAAUAAUUUCGAAGGCACUAACCCGAAGGUUGUCAACGGGUAACGAAUAAAACAUUAUAUCUCAGGUACGCCCAUUAAUGUUGAAAGCAAUAUUGUCCAGACUUUGACACCGGAAGAACACAUAAAAGAGGCCUUUCGGAACACUCUAGAAUUAUCAAAAUAAGGAGGUACGUAGUACGGUAAGUAAGCAGACUCCAAAAAAUCUGCAAAAUUAUUUUUUGUCAGUUUUGGAAUAAUUUAGAAUUUUGGGAAUAAAGAAACUCCCAGGAAGCAUCCCCUGGUGGGCACAAGACGCUAGGGCGCGCUAGGCAUGCUUGGCGCACCCAGGUGGGUUGUGCCCAUCUGGGGCACCUUCUGGACUCAUUUUUCUUCUGAAUACUUGUCCUGCAAGAUAAAAAAAUCUAUUUAUACUUUCCGAACUUGUUAAGCGUUGUAUCACGAAGAAGUCCUUUGUUCUCUUUUCUUGUUGUUUCUGGUUAGAUUUAUCAAGCUAGGCAUCAUGUCUUCCUGCUCCUCCAACAACAUGGAAGAAGAUGCUUGGCUGGUGAAGAUAGAGACGAAGAGGGAGGAGCCCACGGACGCCGCCUUCUUCACCACCAAAGGAGAAUUGAGUAUCGGGUAUGGGCACUCCCCUUGGCUUCCGCCAAGCUUGGGGGAGGUGCCCUGGUAUCGUAUCAUCCCACUCUCCUUUUGCUUUUACUUAUCUUAGUUCAAUCUUUUGCUUAGAUGAAUAAAGUUUAGUUCGAUCUUUUCUUCUUUGAAAGUUUGCUUAGUGAUCUAUCAUUGUUAUCAUGUGCAAGUUAUAUAAUAAAGUAGUUCGAGUUUUUACUUUUUUUACUUUCAUGUUGCAAAUAAAGAAAAGAAAAAGAGAAAGAAAGCAAACGAAAGAAAGGGAAAUAAAUCAAUAAGAUCAUAUACUAAUCCUGUGGUAGGUGAUAGCACCACAUAAGGAAAAAUAUAAGUAAGAAAAUUUUAUUAGAGAUUGACAACAUAGCAUUGGUCAGUGAUGCAAAUCAUGAAAGAAUUAAUAAGGUAAGGGAAGAUUCACAUAUAAAUAUACUAUCCUAGAAAUCUUUUGUGAUUGUGAGCCCUCAUCAAAAUAUUAUAUGCCAAAAUUGUUGACGUUGGACAAGGAAGACAACGUAAUGGUUUAUGUUUGUUUAUAUUCACAUAGAAGUGAUAUUGUCAUAGAUCCUUUAACACCUGGCGCUUGCCCCUAUCUUUGCUAGCCAAAAAUUCUGCACUAAGUAGAGAUACUACUUGUGCAUCCAAAAACCCUUAAACCCCAAAUCUUUUUCAAGUGUCCACCAUACCUACCUAGGGAUUGAACAAGAUCCCUCAAGUAAGUUGUCAUUGGUGCAAAAAGGCAAUAAAAAUUUCUUCUAAAUAUGUAAGAUCAUUUAGUGUAAGAGAAAAUUGAGCAUUGUACGAACUUGAAUGACAAAGAAUAAAAGCGACAGACUGCAUAAUAAAGGUUGUCAUCUUAAGGGGAAAUACAAUGUGACGUUCUCUGGCACUAAGGGAUUGAGCAUGCAAAUAAAUAAGCACAUGGCAACCUCUGCUUCCCUCUGCAAAGGGCCUAUCUUUUACUUUUAUGUAUUUAAUUUUAUGCAAGGAGUUAAAGUUUUCCCUCUAUUCCUUUUUAUUUUCUCUUUUGGCAAGCAUCAUGUGGUGAGGAAAGACCUAGGCACAUAUGUCCAGUUGAAUAUAGAUAGCAUGAGUUAUUAUUGUUGACAUCACCCUCGAGGUGAGUAUGUUGGGGGGCGAAACUAAAAGCCCCUAUCUUUAUACGUGUCUGAUUGAAACGUUUUGUUCAUGGGUACGAGGUGAGUGUUAGCAAUCAUAGAAGACUGUAUGAUAGUUGAGUAUGUGGACUUGCUUAAAAGGCUCCGACAUGUGACUCUUCCUGAAAAGAUGAUGAAUCAUAGUUGCAAAGUUGACUGAAAACAUAGUUUGUUGGUUUCUAAUAGAGAUUUUGCUUCAUACUUCUAUUGUGUGAUGAACUGUUACAUAUUCAUAGGAAGUAUAUGGCGCAAGUUCUAUGAUAAAAGUCCUAUGUUAAAUUUUGUUGCUAUUAUAAUAAUCAACAUGAUGCUUCUAUGUCCAUAUUUUGUUUUUAUCGACACCUUUCUCUCAAAGCAUGUGGACAUGUUUUUCGAUUUCGGUUUUCGCUUAAGGACAGGCAAGGUCUAAGCUUGGGGGAGUUGAUACGUCCAUUUUGCAUCAUGUUUUCUUACUGUUAUUUAUAAUGCUUUUAUCCAUAAUAAUGCUUUUUGGAGUAAUUCUAAUGCCUCUUCUCUCAUAAUUUGCAAGGAGCGCACCAAGAGGGAGAAUUCUGGCAGCUGGAAAUCUGGAUCUGGAAAAGCUACAUCAGGCCACCUAUUCUGCACAACUCCAAAUGAGCUGAAACUUCACGGGGAUUUUCUUUGGAUUAUUUAAGAAAUAUUGAAGCCAAUAAACACCAGAGGGGGGCCACCAGGUGGGCACAACCCACUUGGGCGCGCUGCUACCUCUCGAGCACUGCGUUGGUUUUCCCCGAAGAGGAAGGGAUGAUGCAGCAAAGUAGCGUAAGUAUUUCCCUCAGCUUUUGAGAACCAAGGUAUCAAUCCAGUAGGAGGCUACGCGCGAGUCCCUCGUACCUGCAUAAAACAAAUAAAUCCUCGCAACCAACGUAAAUAGGGGUUGUCAAUCCUUAUAAGGCCACUUACGAGAGUGAGAUCUGAUAGAUAUGAUAAGAUAAUAUUAUUGGUAUUUUUAUGAUAAAUAUGCAAAGUAAAAUAAAGGCAAAGUAAAUAGAAAAGGAAAUAACUAAGUAGUAGGAGAUUAAUAUGAUGAAGAUAGACCCGGGGGCCAUAGGUUUCACUAGUGGCUUCUCUCGAGAGCAUAAGUAUUCUACGACAGGUGAACAAAUUACUAUUGAGCAAUUGACAGAAUUGAGCAUAGUUAUGAGAAUAUCUAGGUAUGAUCAUGUAUAUAGGCAUCACGUCCGAGACAAGUAGACCGACUCCUGUCUGCAUCUACUACUAUUACUCCACUCAUCGACCGCUAUCCAGCAUGCAUCUAGAGUAUUAAGUUAAAAACAGAGUAACGCCUUAAGCAAGUUGACAUGAUGUAGAGGGAUAGACUCAUGCAAUAUGAAGAAAACCCCGUCUUGUUAUCCUCGAUGGCAACAAUACAAUAUGUGCCUUGCUGCCCCUACUGUCACUGGGAAAGGACACCGCAAUAUUGAACCCAAAGCUAAGCACUUCUCCCAUUGCAAGAAAGAUCAAUCUAGUAGGCCAAACCAAACUGAUAAUUCAAAGAUACUUGCAAAGAUAACCAAUCAUACAUAAAAGAAUUCAGAGAAGAUUCAAAUAUUGUUCAUAGAUAGAUUUGAUCAUAAACCCACAAUUCAUCGGUCUCAACAAACACACCGCAAAAAGAAGAUUACAUCGAAUAGUUCUCCACAAGAGAGGGAGAACAUUGUAUUGAGAUCCAAAAAGAGAGAAGAAGCCAUCUAGCUACUAACUAUGGACCCGUAGGUCUGAGGUAAACUACUCACACUUCAUCGGAGGGGCUAUGGUGUUGAUGUAGAAGCCCUCCGUGAUCGAUGCCCCCUCCGGCGGAGCUCCGGAAUAGGCCCCAAGAUGGGAUCUCGUGGAUACAGAAAGUUACGGUGGUGGAAUUAGGGUUUUGGCUCCGUAUUUGAUCGUUUGGGGGUACGUAGGUAUAUAUAGGAGGAAGGAGUACGUCGGUGGAGCAACAGGGGGCCCACGAGGUUGGAGGGCGCGCUUGGGGGGGUAGGCGCGCCCCCCUACCUCGUGGCCUCCUCUUUUCUUUCUUGACAUAGGGUCCAAGUCUCCCGGGUCUUGUUCGUUGAGAAAAUCACGUUCCCGAAGGUUUCAUUCCGUUUGGACUCCGUUUGAUAUUCCUUUUCUUCGAAACCCUAAAACAGGCAAAAACAACAAUUCUGGGCUAGGCCUCUGGUUAAUAGGUUAGUCCCAAAAAUAAUAUUAAAGUGGAUAAUAAUGCCCAAUAUUGUCCAAAACAGUAGAUAAUAUAGCAUGGAGCAAUCAAAAAUUAUAGAUACGUUGGAGACGUAUCAAGCAUCCCCAAGCUUAAUUCCUGCUCGUCCUCGAGUAGGUAAAUGAUAACAACAGAUUUUUUGAUGCCUACUUGGCAUAAUUUUAAUGUAAUUCUUCUUAAUUGUGGUAUGAAUAUUCAGAUCCAAAAGAUUCAAGACAAAAGUUCAUAUUGACAUAAAAAUAAUAAUACUUCAAGCAUACUAACUAGGCAAUUAUGUCUUCUCAAAAUAACAUGGCCAAAGAAAGUUUAUCCCUACAAAAUCAUAUAGUUUAGUCAUGUUUCAUUUUCAUCACACAAGAAUGAUCUCAUCAUGCACAACCCCGAUGACAAGCCAAGCAAUUGUUUCAUACUUUAGUAAUCUCAAACCUAUAAACUUUCACGCAAUAUAUGAGCGCGAGCCAUGGACAUAGCACUAUGGGUGGAAUAGAAUAUAAUGAGGGGGGUUAUGUGGAGAAGACAAAAAAGGAGAAAGUCUCACAUCAAAGAAGCUAAUCAAUGGGCUAUGGAGAUGCCCACCGAUUGAUGUUAAUGCGAGGAGUAGGGAUUGCCAUGCAACGGAUGCACUAGAGCUAUAAAUGUAUGAAAGCUCAUCAAAAGAAACUAGUGGGUGUGCAUCCAACUUGCUUUCUCACAAAGACCUAGGGCACUUGAGGAGGCCCAUUGUUGGAAUAUACAAGCCAAGUUCUAUAAUGAAAAAUUCCCACUAGUAUAUGAAAGUGACGAAACAAGAGACUCUCUAUCAUGAAGAUUAAGGUGCUACUUUGAAGCACAAGUGUGGCAAAGGAUAGUAACAUUGUCCCUUCUCUCUUUUUCUCUCAUUUUUUUGGCCUUCUCUUUUUUUAUGACCUUUCUUUUUAUAUGGCCUUUCUCUUUUUUUAUAUAAUUCCUCACUUGGGACAAUGCUCUAGAAAAUGAUGACCAUCACACUUCUAUUUAUUUACAACUCAAUGAUUACAACACGAUACUAGAACAAAAGAUGACUCUAUAUGAAUGCCUUCGGCGGUGUACCGGGAUAUGCAAUGGACCAAGAGUGACAUGUAUGAAAGAAUUAUGAACGGUGGCUUUGCCACAAAUACUAUGUCAACUACAUGAUCAUGCUAAGCAAUAUGAAAAUAAUGAAUGUGUCAUGAUGAACGGAAUGAUGGAAAGUUGCAUGGCAAUAUAUCUCGGAAUGGCUAUGGAAAUGCCAUAAUAGGUAGGUAUGGUGGUUGUUUUGAGGAAGAUAUAAGGAGGUUUAUGUGUGAAAGAGCGUAUCAUAUCACGGGGUUUGGAUGCACCGGCGAAGUUCGCACCAACUCUCAAUGUGAGAAAGGGCAAUGCACGGUACCGAAGAGGCUAACAAGGAUGGAAGGGUGAGAGUGCGUAUAAUCCAUGGACUCAACAUUAGUCAUAAAGAACUCACAUACUUAUUGCAAAAAUCUACAAGUCAUCAAAAACCUGGGUACUACGCGCAUGCUCCUAGGGGGAUAGAUUGGUAGGAAAAGACCAUCGAUCGUCCCCGACCGCCACUCAUAAGGAAGACAAUCAAAUAACACCUCAUGUUUCAAUUUUGUUGCAUAACGUUUACCAUACGUGCAUGCUACCGGACUUGCAAACUUCAACACAAGUAUUUCUCAAUUUCACAACUAUUCAACUAGCACGACUUUGAUAUUAUUACCUCCAUAUCUCAAAACAAUCAUCAAGCAUAAAACUUCUCUUAGUAUUCAAAACACUCUUAAGAAAAUUUUACUAACUUUGAAUACCUAGCAUAUUAGGAUUUUAAGCAAAUUACCAUGCUAUUAAGAAUCUCAAAAUAAUCUAAGUGAAGCAUGAGAGAUCAAUAGUUUCUAUAAAACAAAUCCACCGCUGUGCUAUAAAAGAUAUAAGUGAAGUACUAGAGCAAAAUUAUAUAACUCAAAAGAUAUAAGCGAAGCACAUAGGGUAUUCUAACAAAUUCCAAAUCAUUUAUGGCUCUCUCAAAAGGUGUGUACAGCAAGGAUGAUUGUGUUAAACUAAAAAGCAAAGACUCAAACAAUACAAGACGCUCCAAGCAAAACAUAUAUCAUGUGGCGAAUAAAAAUAUAGCUCCAAGUAAAGUUACCGAUAGACAAAGACAAAAGAGGGGAUGCCUUCUGGGGCAUCCCCAAGCUUAGGAUUUUUGCUGUCCUUGUAUUUUACCUUGGGGUGCGUUGGGCAUCCCCAAGCUUAGGCUCUUGCCACUCCUUGUUCCAUAAUCCAUCAAAUCUUUACCCAAAACUUGAAAACUUCACAACACAAAACUUAACAGAAAAUCUCGUGAGCUCCAUUAGCGAAAGAAAAUAAAAGACCACUUCAAGGUACUGUAAUGAACUCAUUAUUUAUUUAUAUUGGUGUUAAAACUACUGUAUUCCAACUUCUCUAUGGUUUAUAAACUAUUUUACUAGCCAUAGAUUCAUCAAAAUAAGAAAACAACACACGAAAAACAGAAUCUGUCAAAAAAAGAACAGUCUGUAGUAAUCUGUAACUAGCGCAAGAUAUGGAACCCCAAAAAUUAUAAAAUAAACUGCUGGACAUGAGGAAUUUAUCUAUUAAUCAUCUGCAAAAAGAAUUAACUAAAUAGCACUCUCCAAUCAAAAAUGACAGCAGUUCUCGUGAGCGCUAAAGUUUCUGUUUUUUACAGCAAGUUCAACAAGACUUUCCCCAAGUCUUCCCAACGGUUCUACUUGGCACAAACACUAAUUAAACACAAAAAACACAACCAAAACAGAGGGUAGAUAAAUUAUUUAUUACUAAACAGGAGCAAAAAUCAAGGAAUAAAAAUAAAAUUGGGUUGCCUCCCAACAAGCGCUAUCGUUUAACGCCCCUAGCUAGGCAUAACAAGCAAGAAUAGAUCUAGGUAUUGCCAUCUUUGGUAGGCAAUCCAUAAGUGGCUCUCAUAAUAGAUUCAUAAGGUAAUUUAAUUUUCUUUCUAGGAAAGUGUUCCAUGCCUUUCCUUAACGGAAAUUGGAAUCUAAUAUUUCCUUCCUUCAUAUCAAUAAUUGAACCAAUCGUUCUAAGGAAAGGUCUACCAAGAAUAAUAGGAUAUGAAGGAUUGCAAUCUAUGUCAAGAACAAUAAAAUCUAUGGGCACAUAAUUCCUAUUUGCAACAAUAAGAACAUCAUUAAUUCUUCCCAUAGGUUUCUUAAUAGUGGAAUCCGCAAGGUGCAAGUUUAGAGAGCAAUCAUCAAAAUCACGGAAACCUAACAAAUCACACAAAGUCUUUGGAAUCGUGGAAACACUAGCACCCAAAUCACAGAAAGCAUAGCAUUCAUGAUCUUUAAUUUUAAUUUUAAUAGUUGGUUCCCACUCAUCAUAAAGUUUUCUAGGGAUAGAAACUUCCAAGUCAAGUUUUUCUUCAUAAGAUUGCAUCAAGGCAUCAACGAUAUGUUUAGUAAACGCUUUAUUUUGACUAUGAGCGUGAGGGGAAUUUAGCACGGAUUGCAACAAGGAAAUACAAUCAAUCAAAGAGAAAUUUUCAUAGUUAAAUUCCUUGAAAUCCAUAAUAGUGGGUUUAGCAACAUCUAGGGUUUUAAUUUCUUCAAUCCCAAUUUUAUCAAAUUUAGCAUCAAGAUCAACAAAUUCUGAAUUCUUGGAACGCCUUCUAGGUAAAGGUGGAUCAUAUUCAGUCCCAUCAUUAUCAAGAUUCGUAUUGCAAAAAAAAGAUUUAAUAGGGGACACAUCAAUAACUUUUAGAUCUUCAUCUUUAUUUUCAUAGGAACUAGACGGACACGCUCUUAUAAAGGCAUAUUUCUUAGCACGCAUCCUAGCGGUUCUUUCUUUGCACUCAUCAAUGGAAAUUCUCAUUGAUUUGAGAGACUCAUUGACAUCAUGCUUAGGUGGAAUAGAUCUAAGUUUCAAAGAAUCAACAUCGAGAGCAAUUCUAUCAACGUUCCUAGCCAAAUCAUCAAUCUUAAGCAAUUUCUCUUCAACCAUAGCAUUAAAAUUCUUUUGUGAAGUAAUAGAUUCUUUAAUAUUAGAUUCAAAAUCAUAGGGCAUCUUAUUAUAAUUUCCAUAAGAAUUGUUGUAGGAAUUACCAUAAUUAUUAGAGGAAUUACUAGGAUAAGGCCUAGGGUUGAAAUUUCCUUUAUACGCAUUGUUACCAAAAUUGUUCCUACCAACAAAAUUCACAUCCAUAGAUUCAUUAUUAUUCUCAAUCAAAGUAGACAAGGGCAUAUCAUUAGGAUCAGAAUAAACACUCUUAUUAGCAAAUAAUUUCAUAAGUUCAUCCAUCUUUCCACUCAAAACAUUAAUUUCUUCUAUCGCAUGCACCUUUUUAUUAGUAGAUCUUUCAGUAUGCCAUUGAGAAUAAUUAACCAUAAUAUUAUCUAGGAGUUUAGUAGCUUCUCCUAAAGUGAUUUCCAUAAAAGUGCCUUCCGCGGCUGAAUUUAAAAGAUUUCUAGAAGCAAAAUUCAAUCCGGCAUAAAAAUUUUGUAUAAUCAUCCACAAAUUUAAACCAUGAGUAGGGCAAUUACGUAUCAUUAAUUUCAUUCUCUCCCAAGAUUGUGCAACAUGUUCAUGAUCAAGUUGCUUAAAAUUCAUAAUAUCGUUUCUAAGAGAGAUGAUCUUAGCGGGAGGAAAAUACUUAGAGAUAAGAGCAUCUUUGCACUAGUUCCACGAAUCAAUACUAUUUUUAGGCAAAGACGAAAACCAAGCUUUAGCACGAUCUCUAAGAGAAAAUGGAAAUAGCUUAAGUUUAACAAUAUCAUUAUCCACAUCUUUCUUCUUUUGCAUAUCACACAAAUCAACAAAGUUGUUUAGAUGGGUAGCGGCAUCUUCACUAGGAAGGCCAGAAAAUGAAUCUUUCAUGACAAGAUUCAGCAAAGCAGUAUUAAUUUCACAAGAUUCAGCAUCGGUAAGAGGAGCAAUCGGAGUGCUAAUAAAAUCAUUAUUGUUGGUAUUGGUUAAGUCACACAAUUUAGUAUUAUCUUGAGCCAUCGUGACAAGCAAGCAAUUCAACACACAAGCAAACAAAAAGCAAGCGGGCAAAAAGAGGCAAAUAGAGAAAGAGAGGGAGGAUAGAGAGAGAGGGCGAAUAAAACGGCAAGGGUGAAGUGGGGGAGAGGAAAACGAGAGGCAAAUGGAAAAUAAUGUAAUGCGGGAGAGAAGGGUAUGUGAUGGGUACUUGGUAUGUUGACUUUUGCGUAGACCUCCACGGCAACGGCGCCGGAAAUCCUUCUUGCUACCUCUUGAGCACUGCGUUGGUUUUCCCCGAAGAGGAAGAGAUGAUGCAACAAAGUAGCGUAAGUAUUUCCCUUAGUUUUUUAGAACCAAGGUAUCAAUCCAGUAGGAGACUACACUCGAGUCCCUCGUACCUGCACAAAACAAAAAAAAUCCUCGCAACCAACACAAAUAGGGGCUGUCAAUCCCUAUAAGGCCACUUACCAGAGUGAGAUCUGAUAGAAUGAUAAGAUAAUAUUUUUGAUAUUUUUAUGAUAAAGAUGCAAAGUAAAAUGAAGGCAAAGUAAAUAGAAAAGGAAAUAACUAAGUAGUAGGAGAUUAAUAUGAUGAAGAUAGACCCCGGGGCCAUAGGUUUCACUAGUGGCUUUUCUCGAGAGCAUAAGUAUUCUACGGCGGGUGAACAAAUUAUUGUUGAGCAAUUAACAGAAUUGAGCAUAGUUAUGAGAAUAUCUAGGUAUGAUCAUGUAUAUAGGCAUCGCGUCCGAGACAAGUAGACCGACUCCUGCCUGCAUCUACUACUAUUACUCCACUCAUCGACCGCUAUCCAGCAUGCAUCUAGAGUAUUAAGUUAAAAACAGAGUAACGCCUUAAGCAAGAUGACAUGAUGUAGAGGGAUAGACUCAUGCAAUAUGAAGAAAACCCCAUCUUGUUAUCCUCGAUGGCAACAAUACAAUACGUGCCUUGCUGCCCCUACUGUCACUGGGAAAGGACACCGCAAGAUUGAACCCAAAGCUAAGCACUUCUCCCAUUGCAAGAAAGAUCAAUCUAGUAGGCCAAACCAAACUGAUAAUUCGAAGAUACUUGCAAAGAUAACCAAUCAUACAUAAAAGAAUUCAGAGAAGAUUCAAAUAUUGUUCAUAGAUAGACUUGAUCAUAAACCCACAAUUCAUUGGUCUCAACAAACACACCGCAAAAAGAAGAUUACAUCGAAUAGUUCUCCACAAGAGAGGGAGAACAUUGUAUUGAGAUCCAAAAAGAGAGAAGAAGCCAUCUAGCUACUAACUAUGGACCCGUAGGUCUGAGGUAAACUACUCACACUUCAUCGGAGGGGCUAUGGUGUUGAUGUAGAAGCCCUCCAUGAUCGAUGCCCCCUCCGGCGGAGCUCCGGAACAGGUCCCAAGAUGGGAUCUCGUGGAUACAGAAAGUUACGGCGGUGGAAUUAGGGUUUUGGCUCCGUAUCUGAUCGUUUGGGGGUACGUAGGUAUAUAUAGGAGGAAGGAGUACGUCGGUGGAGCAACAGGGGGCCCACGAGGUUGGAGGGCGCGCUUGNNNNNNNNNNNNNNNNNNNNNNNNNNNNNNNNNNNNNNNNNNNNNNNNNNNNNNNNNNNNNNNNNNNNNNNNNNNNNNNNNNNNNNNNNNNNNNNNNNNNNNNNNNNNNNNNNNNNNNNNNNNNNNNNNNNNNNNNNNNNNNNNNNNNNNNNNNNNNNNNNNNNNNNNNNNNNNNNNNNNNNNNNNNNNNNNNNNNNNNNNNNNNNNNNNNNNNNNNNNNNNNNNNNNNNNNNNNNNNNNNNNNNNNNNNNNNNNNNNNNNNNNNNNNNNNNNNNAGAAAAUCACGUUCCCGAAGGUUUCAUUCCGUUUGGACUCCGUUUGAUAUUCCUUUUCUUCGAAACCCUAAAACAGGCAAAAAACAACAAUUUUGGGCUGGGCCUCCGGUUAAUAGGUUAGUCCCAAAAAUAAUAUAAAAGUGGAUAAUGAAGCCCUAUAAUGUCCAAAACAGUAGAUAAUAUAGCAUGGAUCAAUCAAAAAUUAUAGAUAUGUUGGAGACGUAUCACGCGCCAGGCCCCCCUGAUGCACUCUGGUGGGUUGUGGCCUCCUCGUCCCACCUUCGGUGCCAAUCUUCUGGUAUAUAAGUCAUUUUGACCUAGAAAAAAUAAGGAGAAGACUUUCGGGAUGGAGCGCCGCCGUCUCGAGGCGGAACUUGGGCAGGAGCACUUUUGCCCUCCGGUGGAGCGAUUCUGCCGGGGGAACUUCCCUCCCGGAGGGGGAAAUCAUCGUCAUCAUCAUCACCAACAACUCUCCCAUCUUGGGGAGGGCAAUAUCCAUCAACAUCUUCACCAACACCAUCUCAUCUCAAACCCUAGUUCAUCUCUCGAAUUCAAUCUUGUUACCGGGACUAUAGAUUGGUACUUGUGGGUGACUAGUAGUGUUGAUUACAUCUUGUAGUUGAUUACUAUAUGGUUUAUUUGGUGGAAGAUUAUAUGUUCAGAUCCAUUAUGCUAUUUAAUACCCCUUUGAUCAUGAGCAUGUUUACCGUUUGUGAGUAGUUACCUUUGUUCUUGAGGUCAUAGGAGAAAUCAUGUUGCAAGUAAUCAUGUGAAUUUGAUAUGUGUUCGAUAUUUUAGUAUGUAUGUUGUGAUUCCCUUAGUGGUGUCAUGUGAAUGUCGACUACAUGACACUUCACCAUACUUGGGCCUAAGGGAAUGCAUUGUGGAGUAGUAAAUAGAUGGUGGGUUGUGAGAGUGACAGAAAAUUAAACCCCAGUUUAUGCACUACUCCGUAAGGGACCGAUUGGAUCCUAGAGUUUAAUGCUAUUGUUAGAAUUUAUUCUUAAUACUUUUUUCAUAGUUGCGGAUGCUUGCGGGAGGGUUAAUCAUAAGUAGGAGGUUUGUUCAAGUAAGAACAACACCUAAGCACCGGUCCACCCACAUAUCAAAUUAUCAAAGUAGUGAACAUAAAUCAAACCAACAUGAUGAAAGUGACUAGAUGAAGUUCCCGUGUACCCUCAAGAACGCUUUGCUCAUUAUAAGAGACCAUUUUGGCAUGUCCUUUGCCUCAAAAGGAUUGGGUUACCUGGAUGCAUACUUGUUACAAUUAUCGUUACUUGCUUGUUACAAAUUAUCUUGCUAUCAAACUACUCGCUAUUUACAAUUUCAGCACUUGCAGACAUUACCUUACUGAAAACUACUUGUCAUUUCCUUCUGCUCCUCGCUGGGUUCGACACUCUUACUUAUCGAAAAGAGCUACAAUUGAUCCCCUAUACUUGUGGGUCAUCAUGUACUGUUGUGCAAAUUCGACCAGUGAGUUGUUUGGGUUGACAUACUUCUUGAGCACAGGGUUAAAACCCUCGCUUCUUGCCAUGCUCUGCAAGAACGGAAAAAAACCAUGCAUGUAGUAUACCGGGACCCAACACUUCCUGUUCUCCCACAGCCAUUGGAAAUGCUCGUUGUCGGUCUAGCCAUACGCUUCCAUCAUCACCCACCACUUGUGCUCAAACUCCUCAACUACAUUUAUAACAGAAACAUGGUAACAUCAGGUAUUGAAGGAUGGUAACCUUGGUUCAUACAUAUUGGUAACUAGAAACACGUUGCUGUUGAUAAUUCUAUCACACACACUUGGUUCCUUUAGUUCAAGCAUCAUGGUAAGUACAUUGCACAUAUGAUGAUUUUUUGUCCACAUCGAAUACCACUCUGUGUGUAGUACAAGCAACAUUUUUAACUAGCAACAAAAAAGAUUCCUAUCAAUCACCACUAGUUGGUGAUUGAAAAGUUUUGUUGUAGCUACUGGGACGAACAACCGAAAUGCGUGCGACAAACAUGAACAUGGUAGGUUCAGUACAGAAAAUAACGAAUGGAGGUAAUUUUGUUAUAAUCCUCUGGUAACCUGUCACCUUGUUACAUGGUAACUGUUGAUAUCAUGCAUGUAAACCCAUUUCUUGUGUUUAAGGUAGUGAGGGUGGGAAGUAAAAUACCAGUCAGGCUGUUGUCAACACAAUCCUUGAAUGCAUUAUUUAGUGGCCCAUCAUCAGCCAUCAGCUCCCCAAGCUUCUCUUGUGCUUUUUUCAUUAUAUGCCAACGACAAUUCCUGUGUACUAUCCCGAUGAACACCCCAUUGCAAAAACUUGAUCUGUUAUUAUGUUCUUUGGCGCAAUUCCACCCAUUGCAUGCAAGAAUGCAUUAAACAGCCACACAAAGUUACCAGAUAGUUCGUUUCGAACAAAUCCACAACCAAACUGGAUUGAUUGUCCAUGGUUAUUAAUGCCAAUGAAGGGCGCACAGGGCAUCUUGUACAUGUUUGUCAUGUAUGUUGUGUCGAAUGAUAUGACAUCAUUGUCUCUAGCAUAUGCCCUGCGCGACGCACCAUCUAUCCAGAACAAAUUUUCCACUCUGUCCUCGUCAUCAAGCUUUAUUCUCCAAUAGAAAUCUGGAUCUUGUGCCUUCAUAUCUUGGAAGUAUGAGAUCGUGCUCCUCACAUCAGCAUGGUGGUACUCCAUGCGGAAUUUAGCUCGCUGGUUUGCAAUGUCCUUUGUCGUGUAUGGUACAUCUUUAGGAGACCCAUAGAACCAUGACAUUAGUUGCAUCUGUCUUGUUGUCUCUAUGUUGCAUCCGUGCAAUAUCUUCAAGAAGUCUUGCUCAUCCUUGGGAAUGUUCCUAUGUGAUGAUAGGAACUUUGUCAAUGAUAGAUUUCUUAUAAGAGGGUGGUUGUGGUCGUCGUUGAAGCGUUUGACUCUCCACCACACAUCCGUGUGGGUGAUGUAAAGGUGGGCUGGACAUCCCGACCUCACAACCUUCCCUCUUUCCUCUUCUUAACGGCGCCUUUUGGGUCCUGCACAUCCUGUGUCUCAUCCUUGUUUUUUUGGCUUGCCGUAUUUCCCACAAACCAAGAGGACUCUGCUUACAGUGUCGUAUUUAAUUGUUUUUCUAUAUUCCAGCCUCAUCCCAAACCCAUGGCUGAGUGCAUAUUGCUUGUAGUGAUCAUAAGCUUCCUCAUAAGUAUCAAACUUCAUCGUUUCAUCAGGAGGCUUCGGUAUGGAGUAUGCCUCGGUGUUUUUGUCUCCCUGAUCAGCAUUCUCUCCUCCUGUUUCUGGACUCACUGGCUCACUGACUGAAUGAUCAAAGAAGCUUUCUCUCCCCCCUAUGCUGCUAGUAGUCAGUUCUUUGCUUGUCUCUCGGACCAUCGGGUUGCUUCUAGAUGUAGCACCUGUAAUGUUUUUGAAGUUGUUAGUUUGUGUUAUGUUUCUGCAUGCCAAAACUAGUGGUAACUUGUACUCCACUUGCCUGGUAAAGUUUGCAUGCAGUAAGAUGUUUUUGUAGUUGUAAAGUGAAAGCAUGUAAUUGUAAUACAGACUGCAUGAUAAUUCGUAUGCAGUAAGUGUGGUAAUUGUACCUAAUUUCAUGGUAACUUGUGUGCAUUAAGCUUGGUGAUUGUGAACUGAUUCAUGGUGAAUGUGGUAGUUGUAAAUAACAUAGGUGGUAGUUGCAACUCAAGUAUGAUGGUAACAAGUCUGUGUAUACAAAUGUGGUAGCAUGGUAAAUGUUUUACCUUCGUCUGUUUUGUUGAUGUUGGCAGAACCAAAGCUUGCCGUGUGUGCAUAUUCACACUGUUGGUUUGUUCCCACACCACUCAUCAUGAUAUCCACAUUACCCUCGUUGUCAUGUGCCAUUUUUUGUGUUGCAGCACCUGCUAGCACAUAUGAUUGCAUCCAUCAAUUUUCCACACUUACAAGCAAUUUUGAUUAUUUUUUCACAACAACUAUAUUUUUUCUUUUUUCUGCACUGAUUACUUCUUUUUUAUAACAGGUAUCAUUUUGGGAGUAACCAACGUAUGAGAGUAUGACAGCGAUAGUUCCUAUCAACCUCAUUUCAUCAACAUCAUUUCUUAUCAAAAAAUUCUGGUGGCAACAAUGUAAAUCAACAAAUGGUAUUCUUGUACUCCCUCCGUCCCAAAAUUCUUGUCUUAGAUUCAUCUAGAUACGAAUGUAUCUAAUACUAAAACGUGGCUUGAUACAUCCGUAUUUAGACAAAUCUAAGAGAAGAAAUUUGAGACAGAGGGAGUAGUGUUUUAGCACCUUUGGUUCUGAGUUUUCCUGGUAAAUUAGCAUGAUAACUUGUUCUGACAUGGGUUUGUUCAAUAAAAAAGGAUCUUUUUUAUGUUGAAUAAGUGUUAAAGGAUGCUGAUUACUCAGUGCACACACUUGGUAAUCUAUAUUGACUCGAAAUGGUAACUCAGUUAUUAAUGAGAAAUUUCAUACAUGUAGUUCUAACAUGCUUCAAAAAAGAUAGCUUAAUAGAAUGACGAUGAUAGCCUAUAUGGAUUUAUGAUGGUAACUCAAUGAUGAGGUAACUCAAUGAUGUAGUUUGUAGGUAGGAACAUGGAUCAAUUUUUACCAACUUUUUGGCAUUAAAAGAGGCAAAUUUAUUCAAUCUUUGUUGGUAACCUGACUGAAUUUGAAUGGUAACUCAAUUACAACGGAGGAAUUACACACAUGUAGUAAAAGGCUACCUUCUUAUGCAUCUUGUUGGCUUUGUUCUUUAGUUCUUGUUGUUCUUUUCCCAUGUUUUUUUGCCUUGAUUUUAUUGGUAUGAAAUGUAUAUGCAGCAUGUGUAUAGAGGUUGAAUCACUUACCUCCUUGAUUUUUGCCUGAUUAUGGCGAAAUUCAGAUGAACUGGGGUAUUUGUCCCAGUAGCAUGUGGUAACCCUUGUGAUGUUGAUGUGGUAAGCUAGACCCCUCUCUUAAAUCCUUGUGUUUGGUAGUGUUUUUCGUGGGUUUUUUGGUGGAUCAGAUCUGGGGCGCAUGUCGUCGGCGAUGGAGGCGCGUCGGGGAGAGACGAGAACAGAUCGGGGCAGGUGGCUGUUUCUUGCGAUGGAGGUAAGAAACUAGGUUUUAGGAUGGUAAGUCACGUGCGGGGGAAGGUGAGCGAGAGGGGCUUUCUUUUUUGUCCUGGGCCUCAUGCGUUGUGCAUGCUGGGCCUCGCGAAAGAAGGCUAGGUCAUCGUGGGUGGCUCUGGCAAAGCGGGUCGCGCGGGAGGGACGUGGGUGUACGAUCGUGCGGAUCUGAUGUUUAGUGUCCAGUCGACUGGUGGUUAGCCGCGUCCUUAAAAAUAUUGAAGAAGUAUUUGAAAAUGCUGAAUAACUAUUAGAAAAUGCUAAAUAAGUAUUUGAAAAAUGUAGAACAUAUAAUUGAAAAAAGUUGAACAAGUAUUUAAAAAUAUUGAAUAAGCGUUCGAACAAUAUUGAACGUGUAUGCAAAAAAUGUUAAUCACUUUCUAACAUUUAAAAAACGUUGAUCACUUUCUUUGUGGCUGGGCUGGGCUGGGCCGGGCUGCUACUUGGGAGACGGUCAGAUGGGCUAACAUUUUGACGACCUAACUAAGAAGAAGUGCAUAGAGCAGGGAAAACCCUCGUUCGCCCAUUCCGCUCCUCUCGCCCCCACCCGCCGUCUUCCCAUGGCCUCCGCCUCCGCCGCCGCCGCCGCCACCCGGGCGAACAGCCUCUCCCGCAUCUUCUCCUCCUCCUCGCCAACCGUCAAACUACCCAAGCGCAAUCCCAAGACCAAGCGCGCGCCGGCGCCGCCGCCGAAACCGUCCGCCGCCGAUGCUGACUCCAUCGCGGGACAGAAGCUCCCGGAGCCCCUCGGCGUACAUCCCGCCGCCAAAGCUGAGUCCGAUGCGGACCACAAGCUCCCGAAGCCCCUUGACGAUAUCCUCAUUGCCCUCAUCCGGCAGCGCAACCCUGAUAAGCUGGUCUCCGAGUUCGUCCAAGCGUCAACCGUGUCGUCGCGCUUCCGCGAGCGGCACCGCGUGUACGAGGUAGCGGUGAGCCGCCUCACUUCCUUCGGCCGCCAAGACGGCAUCGAGGCCAUCAUCGAAGCGCAGAAGCCCUUCCUCGAGACCUCAGACGAGGGAUUCGCCGCGCGCCUCAUCCGCCUCUACGGCCGUGCCUCCAUGCCAUCCCACGCUACCGCAACCUUCCAUGAACUUCCCGCGCAGCAUAAAUCCACCAUGACAUUCAACGCCCUUCUUGCAGCGUACGCCGAAGCCGGGGAUUUCGAUGGGCUCACUGCUGCAUUCCAGGAGAUCCCAGCCACCCACCCCUCGGUUGUUCCCAGCGUAUACUCUUACAACAUACUCAUCCGCUCAUUGUGCCAGAAGCCUGACCUCUCAGCUGCUCUUGAUGUUGUUCUUCUCAUGGAGAAGCACGGUGUUUCAGCUGACAUUAUUACUUUCAACACUCUGUUGAAUGGGUUUUGUAACAAUGGCCCCACGGAUGAAGCAGAGACAGUAUGGGAGAUGAUGAAGGAGAGGAAUUUGGAGCCAGAUGCAAAGUGCUACAAUGCCAAGCUGCGGGGUUUGGUUGCAGAAGGGAGGAUUGAUGAUGCAGCUGCUGUGCUUGAGGGAUUGGAGAAGGACGGGCCAAAACCCGAUACGGUGUCCUACAAUGAGUUGAUUCGAGGAUAUUGCAAAGCGGGGAGGUUACAGGAGGCCAAGAAGCUGUAUGAUGAUUUGGCAAAAAAUCACUGUGCCGCAAAUAAGGGAACAUAUGAGACUCUCGUGCCACACCUUCUGCAGGCUGGAGACCUGGAUUGUGCACUGAGGUACUGCUAUGAAAUGUUUAGUGGUAAAAGGAGCGGUAGAGUGGAGUGUGGUGUGCUGCAGGAUGUAGUGAAUGCAUUGGUAGAUGCAUCGAGGGUGGAGGAGGCUGGCAAGCUUGUUGAUAUCGGGCGGAAGAAACACGAAAGGGUUUGAGGAUGCGAGGUAGUGCAAAAGGCAGUGAAUUAAGAGCUGAAACUGAUGAGUAAGAAGCAAUAUCAGAAGAAAAGGAGUGUGAUGUGGAACACAAGACUGAAAAGUAAAAUUCAUUGGUCAGGCUUUGACUGAUGCAUGCCAAAUUUCACCAUGACUUGUUUUACUCAGUUUCUCUGUUUGCAUGAUAGAACAAGAAGUGCAAGUUAAAGUAGUGGUUUAACUAGUUUAAUAAGGUAUUGGUUUAGCUUGCCCUGUGAUUUAAUACUUAUUGAAAAUCUUUUUUUCCAUUUUAGAAGAGAUCCACAGGAAGUCUUUAUUCUUACCUGCAAUGUCUUGCUUGUGCUGAUUUUUCUUCUUGCAUAAGUGCAAGUUAAAGCAGUGGUUUAACUAGUUUAAUAAGGUAUUGGUUUAGCUUGCCCUGUGAUGUAAUACUUAUUGAAAAUCUUUUUUUCCAUUUUAGAAGAGAUCCACAGGAAGUCUUUAUUCUUACCUGCAAUGUCUUGCUUGUGCUGAUUUUUCUUCUUGCAUCAAAUUCCUUUUAUGAAUGUAAUAUUUGUGUUUGGAAACAUCCUCCAAGAGUUGUGUACUUUAUGGAUACUUCUAUUUUCUAGACAUUGAUGAUUCAACUGUUAGCUCUGUGAUGAAGAUAAACACACAUACCUCCCACUUUG
This 196402-nucleotide long non-coding RNA is filed under the name Triticum aestivum (bread wheat). RNAcentral describes it as "long non-coding RNA (TAES_LNC026023)". The stretch from base 192912 to 193046 matches the Rfam family "MIR1120/MIR1122 microRNA precursor family". Lineage: Eukaryota; Viridiplantae; Streptophyta; Magnoliopsida; Poales; Poaceae. The record is from RNAcentral.